RNAcentral lists this long non-coding RNA (237782 nucleotides) under Vitis vinifera (wine grape). Its description in RNAcentral is "long non-coding RNA (VVIN_LNC002777)". The record is from RNAcentral. Lineage: Eukaryota; Viridiplantae; Streptophyta; Magnoliopsida; Vitales; Vitaceae.
GACUUCUUAUCGCCUUUGGAAGUUAAAUGCCUUAAUGGCAUAGGCAAAGGUGAAUAAGAACAGCACCACAAACCCAACAACCACAGCUGCAACCACUCCCAGGAAAUCAUGUUUGAAUCCAAAAUAAUCAUCCAAGAAUUGUUCCACCGUUUGAUUUUUGUCAAGUAGUGUGUCCUGUAUAUCUCCAAACUGUGAUGUAACCAAUCCAUACAAAGUCCAUGCAACUGGACAUAUCCAAUAGUACCAUCUCCACCACACCGGAAUUCUCUGCAUUCAUCAAGGAAGAAAUAUAACAAUAUGAGUCAUUUCUAUAUCCAUGUGGUAAGGAAAGUUGCAAUUUAAAGAAUCACAGGUUGAGAGCACUUACGUUUCGUGGGACUAUGAAACCUGAAAAGAGGUUCCAUAUUCCAUAAAAUGCCGCGGCAACGAUGGACGCAAUAUGUUGAUUUGGCGUGGCAGCCACAGCCAUCAUGCCAUAGAAGGUGAAGUACAACAAAGUGAAGAACAUGAAGAACAGAUACCAGAAGAAUUUAGCGGCUGUCCAUUCAAAUCCAAUCAUUGCAUAAACUAUAACACCAUACGCCACAGCUUGUGCAAAGACAUAAGGAAUCUCAACUAGAGCCUGCAACAAGAGAAGCAAUUUGAUUAUUAAAAGGCAAAACGUAUUAGAUAUAUGCAAAGUCUGUAGCAUCAGAAAACUAGUUACCUGUCCAAAGGCAUAUGGCAGGGCUGAAUACAUUCCAGCAGCUCUUUCUCUGUAAAAGACUGUUCGUUCAACUACAACGACUGGCUGGACCGAUUGGGCAUUCUGAAUCCCAAGGAAGAGAACAGCAGCAUACAUAGAACCCAUUGCAUUAAACAGAUCUUGUUGCCUUGUCCUGCAAUUUACCACAUGAAGUAUAAAUUAAAGUUGAUAUAGAGAAACAUACUGAGUUCUCAAAAUUUUGAACCAACAUCAAAUUACCUUUUGGUGCCCAGAUCCCAGAACAUUGUCCCAAACAUCAAGGCUAUGAAAGUUGUGAAGAGAAAUCUCACUGCCGUGUAUGGUGGGUUGCGCCAGUAUGACCAACGUUGUUUCCAUAAACAUGCCAAAAAUUGGGUAAAGAAGGGUUGGGAGUAUUGAGUAGCGAAAUAGAGGUCUUUUGUACCAGGGGCAGGUUGGCUCAGUUCUUUAAUUAAAUCUUUGUUUCUCCUGAAACAUAUGCCACUUGUCAGAAAAGGUUUCAACAACAAAUUUAAGCUUCUCAUGAGAAACAUUGGAUGGCUGUAUAUUACUUUGCAAUCUUAUAAUGCAAUUACAUAACCUAUGUUUGAAUCACCUGUACAGGUCUGAAUUCUUGUAUAUUUCAGUGAAAUCAACCCUUAAAAUUACUUCUUGUGCCGAGGUGGUAACUUCCAGCAUCCAGGUUGCAGGGUUAUAACCAUCUUUGAUUUUACUGACUCCUUCAAUUCUCUUUAUGAAAGCAAGUGAUAUGUAUUAGUAAGCGCUUAAUAUGAAUUAACUCAAACUGAAGUAUUUACUUCUUAUAGCUUUUACUUUAUCAUGGCUGCUUACCUCAAAAUAAUUUAUUAGAUGGGAAGAAUGUCUACCCAGUGGUCCCACAUAUAUCUCUUGCCCUCCACGCUUCAUCAGGAGCAACUGCAAAUCCAUUUUAAAUAUUUCAGUACUUGUAUACUAUAACCAGUACUUGUAUUUCAGUACUUGUAUGCAAAUCCAUUUUAAAUUCCCUUAACAUUUCCUACCUCAUCAAAGGCUUCAAAUAUGUCAAUACUUGGCUGAUGGAUGGUGCACACAACUGUCCUUCCUGUGUCCACAGUGUUCCUGACUGUUCUCAUAACAAUUGCAGCAGCUCUUGCAUCUAGCCCUGAAGUUGGCUCAUCCAUGAAUAUAAUCGAGGGAUUUGCCACAAGCUCAACUGCAAUUGUCAGCCUCUUGCGCUGCUCGGUUGAGAGGCCGUUUACACCUGGCAACCCAACCAGUGCAUCCCUCAAUGGGGUCAGUUCCACAAGCUCCAUGACUUCCUCAAUGAACAUCUGUAACCAUUAGCAAUGAUUAUAAAUUGUUUAAAAAACGUUGCAAACCAUAGUAGAGAUGGUAAAAAAUUUGACACUACUUGUGACUCUUCUGUUAGCAGGUUGUGAAGAGGUUUCUCUAGUCUUAUUAAAGAGAUCGGUUAAUUGAUGCAAAUCCUCAAUAACACUCAUUAGCUUGCAUGAACCUCACCAAAUUUGGAUUGCAGGUCAAUGAAAUUUGAACCAGCACUUUUUCCCAUGUGAAGGUCAAUCCAAACUUGAUCCUGGCCUUAGCUCAACCAAGUAUGAAAAUUCAAUUCUAGGGCUUUGCUUGUUUAGAGCACUAAAUUGAACAAGAAAAAUAUGGAAACAAUUCAGGAAACUCCCACCUUUCUGGUUUCAGAAUUCACAUCAGAAGGCAACCGCAGCCAAGCUGAGUAGAGCAAGGACUCAUGGACGGUAACAUGAGGAGAGUGGAUAUCAUUCUGCUCACAGUAUCCAGAAAUUCGAGCAAAAGUCUCUUGCUUCUUUGGGUAGCCAGAAAUGGUGAUCUUACCCUCAAUAUAUCCACCAGUUUUCCGACCAGCCAGUACAUCCAUGAGAGUGGUUUUACCAGCACCGCUAACACCCAUCAGAGCUGUAAGAACACCAGGCCUGAAAGCACCACUCACCCCCUUCAGAAGCUCCAGUCUGUCUUCAAGGGCACCCUGACUUUUCAUUUCCUGCAAGUUCAUUUCAAAUUACUCAGUUCUCAUUUUUGGUUUUAUAGUACAUUAUGAAGAAACAUAUGUCGUCAUUUAAAUAAAUAUGACGUUACCUCUGGCAUGUCAACGGAGUAUCUAAUAUCAUCAAAGGUGAUAGAAUGUGGUUGGAAUGGAAGAACCAUUCCUUUCUUCUUAUUAUGUUUAGCCUCAGCAAUGGCUUCUACCAUUUCCUCUCCCCUCUCUGCAUUUCAAGUUUAAAUUCAAUGAGCCAUAUAAAACAUGUAGUUAAAUGACAAGAACUGAGUCGCACAAUGGCAUGCAUGCAUGCACCAUGUUUGAGUUUCAUCACCUGUGGUUGCAGUUUUGGCAUUGUCAGACUCUUCUGUUAUAACAGCUUGAUGAUUCUCAAAUGCUGCGCAAUUUGCAACAUGUUAGUACACUAAGCUCAUAUUUUUAGGAGUUUCAAUGCAGAGAAGGUAGAGACACCCACGAUUUAGGUAAUUGAGGCACAGAGUGUAAAAGAAGUUGAACACAAAUAUGAAUCCAAGCAGUGCCCCAGCUCCUAUCCAGUACCAGUGUGCGUCUGUGGAGAACCCACGAGACUUCAAUACUGUAACUCCAAGGGAUUCUGUUGAAUCGGUAACAUUCUGAAAAAGGGAAAUACAUACAAUCAUCAGUUACUGACACACAUAAAUAAACACAGAUAUUCACAUGGAACAUUCAAGAACUUACUUUGCUCCAACUCUUCCCAAGGAAUUCAUUUACCACUAUUGCAUUCUGUGCAUACAUCAGAGGGGAAGACCAGUAACCCCAAAUCCACCAUUUCUUGACAUUAUCUGCAGCAUUGACCAAAUAAAAAAGGAAACAAAAAUUCAUUAUUAGGGGUUAUGCGCAAGAAGGUUCUAUGCUUCCUAAAAGAAUAUUUCCUCAUCAUACCAUGUGACAGGAUAAAACCACCCGAUGCCAAGAGCAUAAGUAAAGCAAAUGCCCCAAAUGUGUUUGCAACAAUCAUGUUUCUACCAGCUGCUGCUAUAAAUCGAAAUAAUCCAGAUGCCAUCUGAUUAACAAGCAAGAGGAGAAGAUACUGUCUAAACAACCUGCAAUAAGGAGAUUUGUUUAUUCAGCAUUAAUCAUUUUGGAACAGAGAAAACAUGUAAAAGAAAUCUGGAUAAGUUUCUGCAACUUCAUAACUUUUUCACUUUUACCUUUCCACAUUUGGAUCAAAUCCAAUGACAUAGUAAGUGAUGAACACCCAAACAGCAACUUCAACAAAUGUGAUGGGGAUCUUGAGCACCCAUGAUGGAAGAGCAUAUGCCCAUGCAGGAUAGAAGAGUAGGUCUCUUUGCUUGUAAAAUACGGGAAGUUUUGCAAUUGCCAUGGCAAGUUCUGCCAUUCCAUUAAACAUGAUCAUGACAACAGUGAAGAACAAAGCACCGGUGUAAAUGCUUCCGUCAUCUGUUGAAUUUUUGUGCAUCUCAGUUCUUAGGAAGAGUGUCAUUGCAAUCACUGCCAUUACUGCAAGCUAAAAACAGAAAUAGAAAUAAUAAAAUUACGAUCACAUAUAGAAAAUUAAAAGCCAUUGUUACAAGUAACAAUAAUAAUAAUAAUAAUACUCACUUGGGUGAGCUUGAAAAUAUAGACAAAUGAGUUCCUCUUCAUCAGCAAGUACUCUCUUGACAUGUUGGCAUCCAACAGUACCUUCUUUCUAACACCAUACUUCUUUGUUGUCAAAGCAGCUGGGUGGCUUUUGGCCUUGUCAAAUGGUGAUGCCAGCUCAUCUGCUACUUUCCGUCCAAUGUGAAAUGACUGGAAUGCCUCAGCAAAUUCCUUGACCGUGACAAAACUGUAAGGCUCUUCUUUACGUGCCCAAUACUGGGCCUGAUCUUUCCUAGAUGUUACCUGCAAUGAAGUUUAAAGUUAUGUUCUAGCUCAAUUUUUUUUCUUAAAAAAAAUUUAAAAAAAAAAAGAGAGAUGAAGAUAGAAGAUGCCAAAAGCUACAAAGCUAGAUUUGCACUCACUUCUUGCAGAAAGUCUGCCACACCCUUCCUUGCAGGACAUUUGAAGCCCAUGGAUUCAAAAAAUUCAAGCACAUCUUCACGAGGACCCUGAUAAACAAUCUGACUAUCAGAGAGGAGAAUGAUGUCAUCAAAAAGAUUGUAAGUCUCAGGUGCUGGCUGGAGGAGAGAGAUGACAGCAGUCCCGUUGAGAAUGUGGAUGGUUUGCUUGAGAGAAUUGACAAUUUGAUAAGUUGUUGAGCUGUCCAAGCCAGUAGAGAUCUCAUCCAUGAACAGUGCCUUUGAUGGUCCUACCAGCAUCUCACCUAUCAUUCAUACAUUUCACAUAAUUGAAUUAAAUUAAAUUAAUGAACAAAAAAAAAUCUAAUUGAUUUGUUUUUUCAUUUAGUUGGAAACCAAAUUAUCCUGCCUGUUGUGACACGCUUCCUUUGUCCUCCAGAGAUACCCCUUAUCAUCUCAUCUCCUACCAUGGUAUCUGCACAGAUGUCUAGUCCCAGAAUCUGUAGAUUUAAAUGUAAAAAAAAAAAAAAAAAAUUAUGAAUUAGAAUUGGGUUUUCUCACAAAUCUAUAAGCUAUCAUUGAAAGUUUCAUGGUUAUAAUACCUUCAAUGUAUAAUCAGUGACAACAUUUUCCUUCUGACCUUCUGUUGCUGCUGCCUGAAAUAUUGGAAUCCAAUGAUGAAAAUGUCAACCACCAUGCAAGCAACUUCAGUACAUUAAGAAAUUUCAUAGAUAAAAGAUUCUGACAUAGCAUAAAAUUCACAAAUUAGAUUGAUUCAAGCCAUUCAUUUGAGUAAAAAAAGAAAGAAACAAACUCCAGAACAGACAGAACACCGACAAUACAAAGCCAUUUUGCCUAUCUAUGUCAGAAUUCAAAAUUUAAUUUAUGGAAAAGAGUAGUAUCCAUGUUCACUGAAAGCAAAUAGCUCAAUUUUCUGCAGAACUGAUUAAAAUUUCACUAAAAGUAGAUUCUGUCUUACCUUCAUGAGACAUCAAGAUCAGGAUCAGGCUUAUUAUUUGCUGCUUUNNNNNNNNNNNNNNNNNNNNNNNNNNNNNNNNNNNNNNNNNNNNNNNNNNNNNNNNNNNNNNNNNNNNNNNNNNNNNNNNNNNNNNNNNNNNNNNNNNNNACAUCAAGAUCAGGAUCAGGCUUAAUAUUUGCUGCUUUCUCUCUUCUUGACAGCUCUGCUAACAUGUCUGAGGAUGGCAAAAGUAAGAGUCAAUCUCCUAGGCUAUGCAAAUGUCAUAUAACCACAUUCACAACCUGCAAAAAGCAGAGAAAUAAAAAGCAAAGGCAAUGGUUUAGACUAACCAUAUCGAUCUCCAACACCCUGGCAUCUUGCAGAGAAUGCCAAGGUUUCCCUUACAGUCAUUUCUCCUAUAUGGGUAUCAUGUUGGCUGAUAUAAGCUGCAGUUCUCUGGGGUACAAACUCAUUCAUGCUGUGACCGUUGUAUGUCACCCUUCCCGUAACCUAAAGAAGGAAUUUCAGUUUUUAAGUUGGAUAUGAGAUUAAAGAAAUAAAAAAUCAAACAUUCGAUAGAGAAUCGGGGAGUGAUAAUCAUUUUCUUUCAACCUUUAGAUUGGGAUCAAGCUUUCCAGCCAAUGCCAAUAAGAGGGUGGUCUUUCCAGAACUUGGAGGACCUAAAAGCAACGUCAUUCUGCAGAAGAAAAAUAUGCACAAAAAUCAUGAUCAUGGAUCUUCAGGACAUUCUAAAUUUGGAGAACGAAAAAUUCAUUUGAGUUAUCAAUCCAUUUUUAAUUACUAGAAACAAAUUCAUGCUCACCUGCGAGGUUUGAUGAUUCCACUAACAUCAUUGAGAAUAGUGCAUUUCUUCUUUUUACUUGGAAGAAUGUGGACAGCGUUCAGGAUGCCCUUUGGAAAAGAAGGGAAAAUUAGAAUCUAAAAACAAACUUACCUAAAAGAAUACUAAGUACAUAGCUAAUGAUCAGCAUUUGCAUGUAGUUACCUCAAGUUUAUUAAAAAUGAAAUUAUGGAAUGAAGGCAAAGCUCUGCUUCCUACAAAAGCUUCUGCAUCGAUGGUAAGAUGCUCAAAUCUAACUUCAAUUUCGGGAACAUCAACUCCAACUCUGAAAAAUGGAAGAGACAUGAAAACCCAUUAUCAAAAAUUCAAAGGAAGAUGUUGGAUGCGGAGAAAUGUGGGAAACGCCUAUGAGGCAUAUUUCAGGUAAAAUUUUCAAUGUUCAAAAACAAUUGGCAAGGAAUGCAAGAGAGGAGGAGAAAUCUCACCUAUCGAUACGAUUCUUAAGCUUCAACAAGAAUUUCUCAUUGUCCUCUUCGGCAAUUUUUACCAACCUCUCCACUAAAUUCUUCUUUUCCUGAAACCCAAGGUUAUGUAUAUCAAUUUCACUGGCCUCACCCUCUGAUCCCAUCAGCAAACCUUUCCUCAACCGAUUGUAGGUGGGAAGUUUCUCGAGUGCGGCCCAUUUCAAAGCUUCCUCAUCAUCCUCAUCCCUCGAAGAUUGAGAGAAAACAUCCGCACCCGAGUUCCUCCAUAUCGAAGAACCGUUCCUCCGAAAACUACCACUGGCUCUAUAAAUGUCAGCAGUGGCCAUUGCAACCUGAAACGAAAAACCCUCCUGGAAGACCAACCAAAACCCACAAAAACCCAGAACCGUUUCCUCCAAAGUUUGGGAGAGAAGCUCAAAAAUCAGAGAUGCGUCUCCUCCCUCUCUCUUCUCUGCAUAAAAGUACCUUUGUAUUGCUAAUAUUUGAUGCCUAUAGAGUGGAGGGUUUAUAUAGUGAUGGGUAGAGCAGAAAAUGGGGUGGCUUUCAAGUUUUCAAACUUCUUGAUUUCCCGUGACUCUAUUAAAAAAUAAGCGGACAAUUUGAAUAUAUAAGAGGCUGCGCAAUGACCCCAUGAUAUAACGAACAAGGAGAUGCCACCAUUUUUUACCUGUCAAAUUCUUAAAUAAAACACUUCCAGCGUCUCUCAAUAGGGAACGUGAUUUAUUACAAGCUGUCCAACCCGCUACAUCAACUAACUUUGUCUUUUCAACCGUUGGUCCGGGUUGGUUCCAGGUGGACCCAAAUCCGCCAAAACUACAAAUGUAAGUUAUGUUUUGUUUUGUAUUUUUUUAAAAAAAACUGUUGAGUACAUUUCCCCUCCAACUCUCCUACCCCCCACAAACUUGAGUUCUAAAAUUUAAAUAAAUGACUUUUUAUGUUUAGAUAUUAUAAAGAAAAGUUAAGGAAAAACUGCCACAUAUCGUGUCACAUUCUAUAACAAUAAUAGUAAGUUCCAACGGUCAAGUCAAUCAUGGGAAAUAGAAGGUGAAUUUUUUUGUGUGUGUACUUCCUUUAGAGAGGGUUGUUUCGAUUUCUCGUUUGUUGUUGGAUGGAAUUUUGUCAUAGAAACUGAGUUUUUUACAAUUGAAAUCCUUGCACUUGGGGAUUUGGCAUACUUUCAAAUAUCAUGUUUGAAAUCCUUGCACCAUUUUUGACCAUUUUCUUUUGAGUUUACCUUUUCUGGUGUCAGUAGACCAUUGCCUAUGUCAUUUUUCAAGUUUCUUUACGUUUGUGGAUUUUCGUUUUAGUUUCUUUUUUAAUAUGUAUGACAAAGUGGUUUAGAAAUGUAGAAGAUAGAUUAACUCGUGUUUCUAACAUGCAAUCCCUUCCACCUAACCACUUUAAUUACCACACCACCAGUAACACAACCAAUGGAAGAGACACAUGCUGAGUAUAGCCUUGCUCUAGGCCAAGACCAAAGGUUAGGCCAUGGAAGUGCUAAGAAUGAAGAUUCUGCAUACACAAUUUCAGACUUUGAGAGACUAUUUUCAAGCCACAAGGAUCAAUCCACCCUUUUGUAUUAUUUUACCAUAUAAUGUAGUUGGAAUACAAGUCAGACCCCAGAUGGUGCAAUUCUUACACCAAUAUUACGAGAUGGAGGGAGCCUAAUUGUAACACUGACCACUUAAAGCUAGAACUAUUUUCUUUCUCAUUGAAAGAAAAAGCUAAGCAUUAGGGAGACCUAGGAGUAUUAGUUCUUGGUAUGAGUUGCAAAUAGCUUUUCUAAACUGAUUCUUUCCUGCUCAAAAGGUCACAGUGCUAAAGAGGCAGAUUCUGAACUUUUGUUGUAAAGGAAAGAAAGUUUAUAUGAAUGUUGGGAUAGAUUCAAAGAGUUGUUGAUGAGAUGUCCUCACCACAGAUUUGAAAUAUCUUAGAUAUUAGUUUCUUCUUUUUAUGAGGGAACUUCUCUCCAGAUGAAGCGAACAAUAGAAAUUGUGGUGUAGGAACUUCAUGACUCAACAACCAAACCAGGAUUAAGAUUUUUGUAGUAUGUUGCUGAAAAAUCUAGAUCCUAGGACAUUCCAAUAUCCCAACUCCUUUCAGAUUCAGCACAGUAAGCCCCACCUCAAGUGGAGGAAUUUUAAAAUUCAAUACAGAAAAUAAUUUACAAGCGAAAAUGUUUGUGUUAACUAAGACACUUGAGGAGUUGAAAACAAAAAAAGGCAAAGGAAACUAGGACUAUCAAUGAGGUUUCUACCUCAUUUGAUAUGUGUGAAGGACCUCAAAAUAUAGAAAUACAACCUAAACCAGUGCACGUUGUAGGGCAGCUUAGAAGUCAAAAACUCAUCUAAUCUAGAUGUUUUUCUUGUUAAAAGUAUGUCUUUAGCUUCUGUUGCUAGGAUCUAGAGGCUUAGGAAGAAAAUAAUGCACCUAACCUAGUAUUGGGAUAGGGAAGAGAGAGAUCUAGUAUUCCUUAUGUACGUAAGGGCUCUCUUGUGCACCUUUCAGGUGUGUUGUACCAAAUUGUGCACCCACUUAGGCAACUUAAAUUGUGCACCUCUUAAGUCAUGUGUUGGAACAAAUUGCACACCCCUUCUCCAAAGCCACUAGAAUGCCCAAGCAACAUACCUCCUCAAGACUUGAAAUGUGUAACUCUUCCACUAAUAAUAAAGCGCACCCCUAGAGGUCAUUGAAACCCAUGCACUAGUCCUACGUUUGCAAAGGUUGAACACUAGAUAAUUCUUCCAAUGAUUGGUACACUCACCAAAGUAGUGCAUUCAUUCACACCUCAAGUCUUCAAUUAUACUACCAAAACUCACCCCAUGUUGAUUACAAAAAAAAAAAAAAAAGAGGUACAUGUACCAACCCUAAGGUAAUACAUCAAGGGUGAUGAUUAGUUAAUUGUACUUGCACAAACAAGUAUAGUGACAUUGGAAUAGGUGGAACAAGAGCUCAUUUUGCCCAUAAAAAGAGAACUAUGAAUAUACAAGUAGAUUUCUCUUACGAGUAGGAGUAACUUAAAGUGGUUUUAGCUUUUAGUUGGAAUUUUUCAUUUUUUCUUUUUUGGUAACCUACAUAUGGGAGGCCUCAACUUAGAUAACCUUUAGCACUCCAAGGGGUAAGAGGAGUUGAAGUCUCCCAUAUGUAGGGAAUCUCGGAUCACUUUGUUCCCUAUCUUAGGACUAGGUUAGGUGCAUGAUUUUCUUUCUAUUCCACUAGAUCCUAACAAUGGAAGCAAAAUACAUACUUUUUAACAAAAAAGAUAUAAAUUAAUGCAUUUGGGAAACUUUACCUUUGAUUUGGACAUUCCCAAAUUAAAUCCUUUUGGUAAAGAUGAAGUCUCUAAAGUCUCUAGAGAUCUUGUAUACCCACAUUAAUCUUCUAACCUUGAUCCUUGACAUACAAAUGAUGGGUUGUUUAGGAGGUUGGAAGCUAAGACUCUCUCUAUUUGGAUGGUGGAAGACUAAAAGUUAGAAACCCUAACCCCUAAGGAGGUAUUUAUAAGGUUCCCCACUAGGCUUAAAUGACUUAAGCCUAUUAAGGGCUUAAGUCAUUUAAUUUAACAUAAAAAAAGUCCUAAUUAAUUAAUUAAUCCAAUAGUAUUGUUCAACUAAUCAAUUAGCUCAAUCUAAAGAUGUUGUUCACCAACCCAUAUGCAACCUUGUGAAAUUACCAAAAUAUCCUUAUGCACAUAAAUGAAUAAAGAGCUAAUCCAAUCCUCAUAAAUCAUGUCAUUAAGGUACAUGAGCUCGAGUGGGGACCAUUAGGACUUAAAAGAUAGUAGUAACUCCCUAAGAAUCCAAUUCUAAAUUUUAUUUAAUAUCCCAUUACAAAAAAAUCAACUAUAAUCCAGUACUGUAUAUAAAUAACAAUGAAACACUAAGUACUCAUGUUCGUGUCCUACCAUCCAUUGCAUACAGUUUCCUCAUGAAUUGGUAUUUAUAGCCUAAUAAAGUGAAAACUAUCAACCUCUUAAGACUACCUCUAUCAUUCAAUUACAAAUCUUUUUAUUGUGUGAUCAAUUGACAUAUCCUAGCUCAUAAAAAGCUUAAGCUAAGUUCCACUUAAGGAACUACUAUGGUCAUAUAUAGUUUACCUGAACACACAUCCUUAUGAUCACUUAAAAUAACACAUUGUCUCAAAGUUCAUAAGAUAUAUAUCAUGGUGUCUAUCAAGAAAACCUAUUGCUACUGACUUCCAUCAAUAGUGACCCAAUCUAUAAGAAAUAUAUGAUCACUUUAAUAUAUCUUCUAUAAGUCAAAGCCAUUGCUAUUUUGGCAUAAGUUUAGUAUUCUCUCAAGGUUAAAAAAAUAACAUAAUAAAAUAGCUUGGUGAAGUUAUGACAACUUGAUAGCAUUAUGUCAUGACUCACCAUAGGUUCUAUCCAAUAUGUAACCAUACACACUAGUGCAAAACCUUAUCCUAAUGACUAAGACCAACUAUCCCUUCAAUUAGGAAGUAGUACACUACAAUCUCUAAUACGUUGUCUAAGUUUAUUAUGUGAUCAACUAACAUACUCUAACUCCAAGGAGCACAUGUCAAAUUCCACUAAAGCAAUUACUAUGGCCAUAAAUUUCAUGAUCACAUAUCCUUUGAAUCACUCAAGAUGACACAUUGUCUCAAUCCCAUGAGAUAUAAUGGUGUCUCUAUUGAGAAUACAUGUUGCCACCAAUCUCCUUCAAUAAUGACCCAAUCCAUGUAUAUAAUGACCACUUUAGGGUCUUACCCAUAGGUCAAAGCCUCUUGUUGAUUUGGCACAAACUCAAUAUCCUCUCAAGGUUAAAAGUCCAUAUAGUAUAGUAGCUUGGUGAAUCAUGAUAAUUGAUAGCCUUGUGUCAUAAUUCAUUAUAGAUCUUGUUCAAUAUGCAUCACAUACACUAGUGCACUCACCAUGAGAAACUCAUCCUUACGGCCAAGAUAAGUCAUCCCUUCAAUUAGGAGGUGGUACACUAUAGUCUCUAUUGGAUUGCCCAAAUCCAUGAACCAAUUGUGGACAACUUAUCUACUUAUAAGGAACCCAUGACUUGUAUCUUCUAUGCAACUCUUAAUGCACCCAAGUUAUGUACAAUGUAAGAGACAUGGGUUGAAUGCUCAAAUCAAUGUUAAUACACCAAAGCGAUAGCAAAUGGAUAAUUAAGUCUAACUUUGUUACAUCAUGGCUUGUUUUUAUGGGCUUAAUCCCAAUAGUUUUGACUUCUUAUUUACAGUAUUUAGUUUCUAUAAAAGAAAUAGGAAAUUUGCAAAUACAAAAUAUUUCUUAUUGUAGCGGUUAUAAACUAGAAAAAUUGUUCGUUUUACCUUUCAAUAGAAGUGUUUACUCUUCUUUUAUACCAUUUGAUUUAGUUCAUUUCCCAAUUUCUACAAAAGGAAAGUCUUGAUAUUAUGUUUCCUUCAUUGAUGAUUAUACUCGUUAUUAUUGUUUUUAUCUUAUGAAACAUUGUUCUUUUUUUUUUUUUAGUAUUCAUAAUGCCUUUUAAGACUUUGUAAAAACUCAACAUUUUAUUGUUAUCAAGUGCUUUGGGUGUGAUUUCAAUGGAAAGUACACUUCCAAUGUAUUUCAUGAAUUACUUGCUUCACAUGGAACUAUUCACCACACUUCUUAUCCUAGCACUAUAGAGUAGAAUGGUGUUGCUAAAAUGAAACAUAGACACAUUGUUGAAACUACUCAUUUGCUCUUAUUAUCUACAUGUGUUCUUACUAAACCUUUAGUUGCUCAUGAUUUGAAAAGUUGUAACGUUAUGCUCUUGAUUACUUUUCCUUAAGAGUCUUUGGUUGUACUUAAUUAUUUUCUCUUUAAUUAGUCCUCAUGUGGAGCAUACUAAGUUAUCUUCUCAUUAUGUCAUUUGUAUUCUUAUAGGGUAUAGAGCAUACUAAGUUAUCUUCUCAUUCUAUUAUUUGUACUCUUAAGUCAUAUCAUUGCUUUAGCUUUUAUUCAUAAUCUUUCUAAGCAUCUACCCUAUAAAGAAGUUUUUCUUAAUCAUCUUUGGCAAUUGGGUAUGACUAAGAAACUUUCUGUUUUACAUGAGAUUAACACUUAGGAUUUGGUACCUUUACCACUUGGUAAGGGUACAAUUUGUUUGUGUCAUGUCCAUAAAAUCAAAACUAAGUUUGUUGGUUCAAUUAAGUGGUACAAAGCCCGAUUAGUUGCUAAAGGGUUCUUUAAAUACUCAUAUUUUACUUUCCCUAUAUGUUGAUGACAUGAUUAUUACAAGUGAUGAUGUUUAUAGGAUUAUAAUUUUAAAAUUAUAUUUGGAUUUUGAUUGGAGCCAAAAUAUGUGCUCUAAUGACACAUAUUCAAUAUAAUUUGUGCACCAAAGGACACUCAAAUCACCCAACUUGACCUAAAUCAAUGGUAAGGUCUUAGCCAUGAGUUUAACUUAUAUUUUGGAUAUUUAUGUCAGAUUCAAGGAAAGAAAAUGGUGCAAGUUGAAUUACUUUAGAUUUUGAAAGACCAAGAAAGGGUUAAAUAAAAAGAUAAGUGAGUCAAAACUCAUGAACCAUGAGGAAAGUCAAGAAGAGGAUAUCGUGAGUUUGAAAGAUGAGAAAUGACCAUUAUGGAGGAAGAAAGAAGGUAAGAAAACAUGGGAAAUGAAGCAUGAAGCAAGAUUCAACUGCAUGGAAAUUUAGAACUCAAAAUCCGGUGGUAACAUAUACUCUAAAUUUAAGGACAAAUUUGGAGUAGUUACUGGAGUCCAUUUUAGACAUACUAUAUAUUUUUUAGAAUCUUGGGAAUUCAGGAGUCUAACGCUUCAAACAGUAUGCAAAUCAGAGUUGAAAUGAAGAAGUUAUGGUCAUUUGAAGACAAUUGCACAAAGUUGAAGAACCAUUUCGAAAUUCAACUUAUGAAUUCGAAAUGACCCCAAUUUCAAAUUCACCCACUGUCACUUUGAUAUUUCACCUCCUCAACUUAUUAUUUUUUUAAAUUAUUUUUAGGUAAUUAUUUUGUAAUAAGUGGCUAAUGAGAGUGUUUUACAUGUUAGGUUUUGAUGAUAUUAUAUAAACUCUCUUAGUUCUAGGGUUUAGAGAUCUUAGAUCUUUUUUCGGAGAGUUUGACAUUGGAGGUGGAAAAAAAUGAGAACUUUGGUUUAUUUUCUUUUCUUCUUUAUUAAAUAUAUUGUUUUUAGUUCUUUUGAUUCAAAUUAUGGAUUUUUAUCCUAUUAUGGAUUAUGAAUGUGACAUUACCCCCAAGAGAGGCUAAAAAGCCAACUUGGGCCUUGAAGCAUGACAACCUAAGGACUAGGAAAUCUAUAGGGACAAUGGGUAAAUUAUUAUAACAAUGAGAUUAGUUAUUGGUUGGGUGACAAUUUAUUAAUUUUUUAUCCUAUCCUUGCGAGUUAGUUUAAGAAAUGAUACAGUAGGUUAUUACCCGAUACUAGUGAUUCUUGGUAACUCUUGAUCAUUAGUUAUCCUCGUCUUCUUUAUCUUUAUUGCCCCAAAACAAAGUUAUAAGGACUAGAAAGUUUUAAAAAGUCAAAUCGAUAAUCGAUAAUCAAUCUCAUUCAUUUCAUAGUUUUAGGAAUCUGUUUUAAAAAGAAAAAAUUAGGCUUCAGAUGCAAUUUUGAGUUAUAGAAUUCAAGUUGAUCGCGAGCAACCAAAGAUCCCAAAACCUUAAGAUCAUAUUACUUAAAAGACCCAAGAUCCCAAAACCCUAAGAUCAAAUUACUUAAAAGACCCUUGUUUUCUCUAACUUCUAUACCCUAAGUUGGAUUGUGGAAAGCCCCAAACUUGAAUCAAUCGAAUUUAAAAUCAAUAUUUAUUUUGUUAUUAAUUUAAUUUCUUUUUACUUAGUUUCACAUUAUUCACAUAUCAUUUUCCACUUUAGGAUUCAAAUAAAAGUAAUUUAUUUACUCUAGUAUUGACAAAUCCCAUAAGCCAAUCCUUGAGGAUGAUACCCGAAAUACUACAAAAGUCAUAGCAGUUUUUUCUUUGAUCUUUAUGGCCAAAGCUACUACAUAUUAGGCUUACGUAUUUUGGUACAAUAGAGAAGUUCGAUCAGUUUCCUAUUUUGAAAAGAAGAAUUUGGGCUCUCUACCAAACUUUUUAGAUAUUGGUGUAGUUUUUUUCUCCGAAAGGUUAUCUUCUCUCACUCUCUAAGUACAUAGUUGAUAUUCUCAAUUACUCGCCUCAUUAAUACUAAGACUGUUGAUACUCUUCUUGAGGUUAAUGUUCAAUAUUCUUCUUUUGAUGGUAACCCUUUGUCAUACCCUACUUAUAUUGUACUAUUAUUAAUAGCUUAGUCUAUUUCACAAUUAUAUGUUCAGACAUUGGUUAUGUUGUUCACAUUAUUAAUUACUUUGUUAUUUCUCCUAUUAUAGUUCAUUGGGUUGUUGUUAAUAAAAUACAAAAGACAUAUAAAUAAAGUUAAAUGUUAUAUUUUUUUUCAUUUUAUAUAUAUCUUUAUAUUUAAAUAUUAUAAAUGGUCUAUUUAAUAAAAUUUAAAAUAUUAAUAUAUUUAUAUUUCUCUUCAUCAUUUAAUUUGAUAUGUCAAAUAUAAAAAUAAAAUAUUAUUAAAAAAAUUUAAUUAUAUAUAAUUUUAAUUUCUUAUAAUUAUUUAAAAUUUUAUAUAAUAUAUAAAUUAUUAUUUAUGAUGUCAUCGGGACGACCAAGGUCCAACAAUCCGACCGAGGUCCCGACCAUCGAUUCUGAACCAUGAACUAAUAACUUUUCUGAUUCAAUCAUCAAUCCAAUUCUCAAAACAUUGAUCAUAUGAAUUAAUAGUACAAAAAUUCAUGGUCCCACUAUUGAUUUUUUUAAAAAUAAAAUAAAAUUAACCAUGAAAUAUGGGCCCCAUGUUGUUCUUAAAUCUUAAUUAUCAAAUAAAAUGAUGAAAUAUUUUAAAAUUUAUAAUUAUUUAUAUAUUUUUUUAACUUAUUAUAAUAAUUUUUAAUUUUUAACCGUGAUUCAACAAGCAAUCAUUGAAUCAUGAAUCAAUAACUAUUUUGAUUCAAUAACCAAUCCAAUUUUGAAAGCAUUGGUAAAUAUAGGCAUACAACUAUUGGAAAUGACUCCCGACUUUCCAAGGAAGGCCUAAACUUCCCUUUUUUCUUGCUGAAUUCUAAAUUUAAUAGCAUUGCAAACGCUGCAGAUUAAAAACACAGGUCUAGUUUUUUUAUAGUUUCUAAAUUUUCAUCCUUUUAUCGUGUCUUUGGUACUUAGAGCAGAGACUGAAAGUGGAGGCCCAUACUGUUAAGUUGGUAAUCAAGGAUGAAAGAAUAGCUCAAGGUUCUAUUACUGUCUGGAAUUUCAAACUACAUAAAAUUGGGACGACAAAGAAAUUAAAGAAUUUAACAUCCUAACAUCCUACUUACACGAAGAACAAAACCUUUUUUUUUUUCGUCUUACAAUUAAAUGUUGAACUGGAAAGUUUAGAACUUGUGCUCAUGAGUUCUUAUCGCUUUUGGAAGUUAAAUGCCUUAAUGGCAUAGGCAAAGAUGAAUAAGAAAAGCACCACAAACCCAACAACCACAGCUGCAACCACUCCCAGGAAAUCAUGUUUGAAUCCAAAAUAAUCAUCCAAGAAUUGUUUCACCGUUUGAUUAUUCUCAAGUAGUGUGCUCUGUAUAUCUCCAAACUGUGAUGCAACCAAUCCAUACAAAGUCCAUGCAACUGGACAUAUCCAACAGUACCAUCUCCACCACACCGGAAUUCUCUGUAUUCAUCAAGAAAUGCAACAAUACGAGUCAUUUCUAUAUCCAUGUGGUAAGGAAAGUUGCAAUUUAAAGAAUCACAGGUUGAGGCCACUUACGUUUCGUGGGACUAUGAAACCUGAAAAGAGGUUCCAUAAUGUAUAAAAUGUUGCGGCAAUGAUGGAAGCAAUAUGUUGAUUUGGCGUGGCAGCCACAGCCAUCAUGCCAUAGAAGGUGAAGUACAACAAAGUGCAGAACAUGAAGAACAGAUACCAGAAGAAUUUAGUGGCUGUCCAUUCAAAUCCAAUCAUUCCAUAAACUAUAACACCAUACACCACAGCUUGUGCAAAGACAUAUGGAAUCUCAACAAGAGCCUGCAACAAGAGAAGAAAUUUGAUUAUUAAAAGGCAAAACGUAUUACAUAUAUGCAAAGUCCGUAGCAUCAGAAAACUAAUUACCUGUCCAAAGGCAUAUGGCAGGGCUGAAUACAUUCCAGCAGCUCUUUCUCUGUAAAAGACUGUUCGUUCAACUACAAUGACUGGCUGGACCGAUUGGGCGUUCUGAACCCCAAGAAAGAGAACAGCAGCAUACAUAGAACCCAUUGCAUUUAACAGAUCUUGUUGCCUUGUCCUGCCAUUUACCUCAUCAAGUAAAAAUUAAAGUUGAUAUAGAGAAACAUACUGAGUUCUCAAAUUUUUGAACCGACAUCAAAUUACCUUCUGGUGCCCAGAUCCCAGAAAAUUAACCCAAACAUCAAGGCUAUGAAAGUUGUGAAGAGAAAUCUCACUGCCGUGUAUGGUGGGUUCCGCCAGUAUGACCAACGUUGUUUCCAUAAGCAUGCCAAAAAUUGGGUGAAGAAGGGUUGGGAGUAUUGAGUAGCAAAAUAGAGGUCUUUUGUACCAGGGGCAGGUUGGCUCAGUUCUUUAAUUAAAUCUUUGUUUCUCCUGAAACAUAUGCCACUUUUUAGAACAGGUUUCAACAACAAAUUUAAGCUUUUCACGAGAAACAUUAGGAUGGAUGUAUAUGACUUUUCAAUCUUAUAAUGCAAUUAGAUAACCUAUGCUUGAAUCACCUGUAUAGGUCUGAAUUCUUGUAUAUUUCAGUGAAAUCGACCCCCAAAGUUCCUUCUUGUGCUCCGGUGGUAACUUCCAGCAUCCAGGUUGCAGGGUUAUAACCAUCUUUGAUUUUACUGACUCCUUCAAUUCCCUUUAUGAAAGCAAGUGAUAUGUAUUAGUAAGUGCUUAAUAUGAAUUAACUCAAACUGAAGUAUUCACUUCUUAUAGCUUCUACAUUAUCAUGGCAGCUUACCUCAAAAUAAUUUAUCAGAUGGGAAGAAUGUCUACCCAGUGGUCCCACAUAUAUCUCUUGCCCUCCACGCUUCAUCAGGAGCAACUGCAAAUCCAUUUUAAAUAUUUCAGUGCCUAUAUGCAAAGAGCACAGAAGAGAAACUAUAAUUCUAUCCCUUAAUAUUUCCUACCUCAUCAAAGGCCUCAAAUAUGUCAAUACUUGGCUGAUGGAUGGUGCACACAACUGUUCUUCCUGUGUCCACAGUGUUUCUGACUGUUCUCAUAACAAUUGCAGCAGCUCUUGCAUCUAGCCCUGAAGUUGGCUCAUCCAUGAAUAUUAUUGAGGGAUUUGCCACAAGCUCAACUGCAAUAGUCAGCCUCUUGCGCUGCUCAGUUGAGAGGCCAUUUACACCUGGCAACCCAACCAGUGCAUCCCUCAAUGGGGUCAGUUCCACAAGCUCCAUGACUUCCUCAAUGAACAUCUGUAACCAUUAGCAAUGAUUAUAAAUUGUUCAAAAAACGUUGCAAACCAUAGUAGAGAUGGUAAAAAAUUUGAGACUGCUUGUGACUCUUCUGUUAUCAGGCUGUGAAGAGGUUUCCCUAGUCUUACUAAAUGGAUCGGUUAAUAGGUGCAAAUGCUCAAUAACGCUCAUUAGCUUGCAUGAACUUCACCAGAUUGGAUUAAAAGUCAAUGAAAUUUGAACCAGCACUUUUUCCCAGGUGAAGGUCAAUCCAAACUUGAACUGACCUUACCUCAACCAAAUAUGAAAAGUCAAUUUUAGGGCUUUGCUUGUUUAGAGCACUAAAUUGAACAAGAAAAAUAUAGAAACAAUUAAGAAGACUCCUACCUUUCUGGUUUCAGAAUUCACAUCAGAAGGCAACCGCAGCCAAGCUGAGUAGAGCAAGGACUCAUGGACAGUAACAUGAGGAGAGUGGAUGUCAUUCUGCUCACAGUAUCCAGAAAUUCGAGCAAAAGUCUCUUGCUUCUUUGGGUAGCCAGAAAUAGAAAUGUUACCCUCAAUAUAUCCACCAGUUUUCCGACCAGCCAGUACAUCCAUGAGAGUGGUUUUACCAGCACCACUAACACCCAUCAGAGCUGUAAGAACACCAGGCCUGAAAGCACCACUCACCCCCUUCAGAAGCUCCAGUCUGUCUUCAAGGGCACCCUGACUUUUCAUUUCCUGCAAGUUCAUUUCAAACAACUCAGUUCUCAUUUCUGGUUUAUAGUACAUUAUGAAAAAACUUCAGUGCUGCUAAAACAUAUGUCAUCAUUUGAAUAAAUAUGAUGUUACCUCUGGCAUGUCAACUGAGUAUCUAAUAUCAUCAAAAGUGAUAGAAUGUGGUUGGAAUGGAAGAACCAUUCCUUUCUUCUUAUUAUGGUUACCCUCAGCAAUGGCUUCUACCAUAUGCUCUCCCCUCUCUGCAUGUCAAGUUUAAAUUCAGUGAGCCAUAUAAAACAUGUAGUUAAAUGACAAGAAUUGAGUCAUACAAAGGCAUGCAUGCAUGCACCAUGUAUGAGUUUCAUCACCUGUGGUUGCAGUUUUGGCAUUGUCAGACUCUUCUGUUAUAACAGCUUGAGGCUUCUCAAAUGCUGCGCAAUUUGCACAAUGUUAGUACACUAAUCUCAUAUUUUUAGGAGUUUCAAUGCAGAGAAGGUACAGAUACCCACGAUUUAAGUAAUUGAGGCAGAGAGUGUAAAAGAAGUUGAAAACAAAUAUGAAUCCAAGCAGUGCCCCAGCUCCUAUCCAGUACCAGUGUGCGUCUGUGAAGAACCCACGAGACUUCAAUACUGUGAUUCCAAGGGAUUCUGUUGAAUUGGUAACAUUCUGAAAAAUGGAAAUAAGUACAAUCAUCAGUUACUGACACACACAAAUAUUCACAUGGAACAUUCAAGAACUUACUUUGCUCCAACUCUUCCCAAGGAAUUCAUUUACCACUAUUGCAUUCUGUGCAUACAUCAGAGGGGACGACCAGUAACCCCAAAUCCACCAUUUCUUGACAUUAUCUGCAGCAUUGACCAAAUAAAAAAGGAAACAAAAAUUCAUUAUUAGGGGUUAUGCACAAGAAGGUUCCAUGCUUCCUAAAAGGAUAUUUCCUCAUCAUACCAUGUGACAGGAUAAAACCACCCAAUGCCAUGAGCAUAAGUACAGCAAAUGCCCCAAAUGUGCUUGCAACAAUCAUGUUUCUACCGGCUGCUGCUAUAAAUCGAAAUAAUCCAGAUGCCAUCUGAUUAACAAGCAAGAGGAGAAGAUACUGUCUAAACAACCUGCAAUAAGGAGAUUUGUUUAUUCAGCAUUAAUCAUUUUGGAACAGAGAAAACAUGUAAAAGAAAUCUGGAUAAGUUUCUGCAACUUCAUAACUUUUUAACUUUUACCUUUCCACAUUUGGAUCAAAUCCAAUGACAUAGUAAGUGAUGAACACCCAAACAGCAACUUCAACAAAUGUGAUGGGGAUCUUGAGCACCCAUGUGGGAAGAGCAUAUGCCCAUGCAGGAUAGAAGAGAAAGUCUCUUUGCUUGUAAAAGACAGGAAGUUUUGCAAUUGUCAUGGCAAGUUCUGCCAUUCCAUUAAACAUGAUCAUGACAACAGUGAAGAACAAGGCACCCGUGUAAAUGCUUCCAUCUUCUGUUGAAUUUUUGUUCAUCUCAGUUCUUAGGAAGAGUGUCAUUGCAAUCACUGCCACUACUGCAAGCUAAAAAUAGAAAUAAAAAUAAUAAAUUACGAUCAGAUAUACAAAAUUAAAAGCCAUAGUUAUAAUUAGCAAUAAUAAUAAUAAUACUCACUUGGGUGAGUUUGAAAAUAUAAACAAAUGAGUUCCUCUUCAUCAGUAAGUACUCUCUUGACAUGUUGGCAUCCAACAGUUCCUUCUUUCUAACACCAUACUUUUUGGUUGUCAAAGCAGCUGGGUGGCUUUUGGCCCUGUCAAAUGGUGAUGCAAGCUCAUCUGCUACUUUCCGUCCAAUGUGAAAGGACUGGAAUGCCUCAGCAAAUUCCUUGACUGUGACAAAGCUGUAAGGCACAUCUUUACGUGCCCAAUACUGGGCCUGAUCUUUUCUAGAUGUUACCUGCAAUGAAUUUUAAAGUUCAUGUUCUAGCUCUAUUUUUUUCUCAAAAAAAGAAAAAAAAGAAAAGAAAAAGACAGAAGAUAACAAAGCUAGAUUUGCACGCACUUCUUGCAGGAAGUCUGCCUCACCCUUCCUUUCAGGACAUUUGAAGCCUAUGGAUUCAAAAAAUUCAAGCACAUCUUCACGAGGACCUUGAUAAACAAUCUGACUAUCAGAAAGGAGAAUGAUGUCAUCAAAAAGAUUGUAAGUCUCAGGUGCUGGCUGGAGGAGAGAGAUGACAGCAGUCCCAUUGAGAAUGUGGAUGGUUUGCUUGAGAGAAUUGAUGAUUUGAAAAGUUGUUGAGCUGUCCAAGCCAGUAGAGAUCUCAUCCAUAAACAGUGCCUUUGAUGGUCCGACCAGCAUCUCACCUAUCAUUCAUACAUUUCACAUAAUUGAAUUAAAUUAAAUUAAUGAACAAAAAAUCUAAUUUGAUUUGUUUUUUCAUUUAGUUAGAAACCAAAUUAUCCCACCUGUUGUGACACGCUUCCUUUGUCCUCCAGAGAUACCCCUUAUCAUCUCAUCUCCUACCAUGGUAUCUGCACAGAUGUCUAGUCCCAAAAUCUGUAGAUUUAAAUGUAAAAAAAAAAACAAACAAAUUAUGAAUUAGAAUUGGGUUUUCUCAGAAAUCUAUAUGCCAUCAUUGAAAGUUUUAUGGUUCUAAUACCUUCAAUGUAUAAUCAGUGACUACAUUUUCCUUCUGACCUUCUGUUGCUGCUGCCUGAAAUAUUGGAAUCCAAUGAUGAAAAUGUCAACCACCAUGCAAGCAACUUCUGUACAUUAAGAAAUUUCAUAGAUAAAAGAUUCUAACAUAGCAUAAAAUUCACAAAUUAGAUUGACUCAAGCCAUUCAUUUGAGUACAAAAAGAAAGAAACAAACUCCAGAACAAACAGAACUCCGACAUUAAUACAAAGCCAUUUUGCCCAUCUAUGUCAGAAUUCAAAAUUUAAUUUCUGGAAAGAGCAGUAUCCAUGUUCACUAAAAGCAAAUAGCUCAAUUUCUGCAGAGCUGAUUAAAAUUUCACUAAAAGUAGAUUCUGUCUCACCUUCAUGAAGACAUCAAGAUCAGGAUCAGGCUUAAUAUUUGCUGCUUUCUCUCUUCUUGACAGCUCUGCUAACAUGUCUGCACAUGGCAAAAAUAAGAGUCAAUCUUCUAGGCUACGGAAAUGUCAUAAAAUUGCAUUCACAACCUGCAAAAAGCGGAGAAAAUAAAAGCAAGGGCAAUGGUUUAGACUAACCAUAUCGAUCUCCAACACCCUGGCAUCUUGCAGAGAAUGCCAAGGUUUCCCUUACAGUCAUUUCUCCUAUAUGGGUAUCAUGUUGGCUGAUAUAGGCUGCAGUUCUCUGGGGUACAAACUCAUUCAUGCCAUGGCCGUUGUAUGUCACCCUUCCCAUAACCUAAAGAAGGAAUUUCAGUUUUGAAAUUGGAUAUGAGAUUAAAGAAAUAAAAAAUCAAACAUUCCAUAAAGAAUGGAGGAGUAAUAAUCAUUUUCUUUCAACCUUUAGAUUGGGAUCAAGCUUGCCAGCCAAUGCCAAUAAGAGGGUGGUCUUUCCAGAACUUGGAGGACCUAAAAGCAAAGUCAAUCUGCAGAAGAAAAAUAUGCACAAAAAUCUUGAGUAUGGAUCUUCGGGACAUUCUAACUUUGAAGAACGAAAAAAUCAUUUGAGUUAUCAAUCCUUUUUUUACUAGAAACAAAUUCAUUCUCACCUGCGUGGUUUGAUGAUCCCACUAACAUCAUUGAGAAUAGUGAAUUUCCUCUUUUUACUUGGAAGAAUACGCACAGCGUUCAGGAUACCCUUUGGAAAAGAAGGGAAAAUUAGAUCUAAAAACAAACUUACUUAAAAGAAUACUGAGUACAUAGAUAAUGAUCAGCAUUUGCAUGUAGUUACCUCAAGUUUAUUAAAAAUGAAAUUAUGAAAUGAAGGCAAAGCUCUGCUUCCUACAAAAGCUUCUGCAUCGAUGGUAAGAUGCUCAAAUCUAACUUCAAUUUCGGGAACAUCAAUUCCAACUCUGAAAAAAUGGAAGAGUCGUGAAAACCCAUUAUCAAAAAUUCAAAGGAAGAUGUUGUUUGGCUGUGGAGAAAAUGUGGGAAACACUCAUGAGGCAUAUUUCAGGUCAAGUUUUUUUUUUUUUUUCCUCUUUAUGUCCUUCUGUUUUCAAUGUUCAAAAACAAAUGGCAAGGAAUGCAAGAAAGGAGGAGAAAUCUCACCUAUCGAUACGAUUCUUGAGCUUCAACAAGAACUUCUCAUUGUCCUCUUCGGCAACUUUUACCAACCGCUCCACUAAAUUCUUCUUUUCCUGAAACCCAAGGUUAUGGAUAUCAAUUUCACUGGCCUCACCCUCGGAUCCCAUCAGCAAACCUCUCCUCAACCGAUUGUAGGUGGGAAGUUUCUCGAGUGCGGCCCAUUUCAAAGCUUCCUCAUCAUCCUCAUCCCUCGAAGAUCGGGAGAAAACAUCCGCACCGGAGCUCCUCCAUAUCGAAGAACCGUUCCUCCUUAAACUACCACUGGCUCUAUAAGUGUCAGCAGUGGCCAUUGCAACCUGAAACGAAGAACCCUCCUGCAAGACCAAUCAAAACCCACAAAAACCCAGAAAUUUUUCCUCAAAAGUCUGAGAAAGAAGCUCAGAGUUUUGAACCCUGGAGCCCAAAGAAGCUAAAAAUCAGAUACGAGUCCCCUUCCCCCCUUUUCUCUGCAUAAAAGUCUCUACCCUUUGAAUUGGUAAGACUUGAUGCCUUCAGAAUGGAGGGUUUAUAUAGGUGAUGGGUUGAACAGGCCCUCAAGUUUUCGAACUUCUUGGUUUCCUAUGACUUUUCCUUAAAAAAAAUUAGCGUGGAAAUUGAAUAUAUAAGCUGCUGGGUAACGAUUCCAACGACUUUGACCCGUCAAAUUCUUAAAUCAAACACUUCUAGAGUUUCCCAACGGGAGCGCGAUUUGUUUAAAGCUUCCAACCCGCCAAAUGAACUAACUUUUUAAAACACUCAUCUUCUUAUCUCUUUCAGGAAAAUAAAUAAAUAAAUAAAAUUGUGGUCAUAUCAACAAUAAAAAAUAAAUUUAAAAUUUUUUAAAUUUAAAAUAUAAUUAAAAUUAAAAAUAUAAAAAAUAAAAUAUUGACCCUGAUUACAUUUUCAGCGCUUUUUCAUUAUCUAUCUUUUGUUUAUUUGUUUAUUAUCAUUAUUAUAUACUAAAAUUCCCGCAAAACAAAAUUGAAUAUAAAUAAACAUAAAUAAUAAUAAUAAUUGUUAUUAUUAUUGUAUACAAUAGUAAUAAUAACAAUAAUGAUAAAUGAAAAAAAAAUAAACAAAAGAUAGGUAUUGAGAAAGAGUUGAAAAUGCGUUAAGAGCUAACAUAUCAUUUUUAUAAUUUUAGGAUUAAAGUUUUUUUUUAACUUUUUAUUGCAUUUAUUUUUUAAAACUUUCAUUUUAUUGUUUAGGCCAACCAACAAAAUUUUUUUCAAUUUUUUAUUUUUAAUUUUUAAAAAAAGAGAUAAGAAGAUGAGAUGUUAAAAUCAAGAAUGUUUGAUUUAUAUAAUGCAAAAUAUAAAAUUAUUAUGGGAGGAUUUUUCCACAAUGACUUGCAUUCAAUAUUAUAUAAUUAAUAAAUUAAUAAAUAUAUUUACUAGUAAGAUGAUUUUAACAAAUUUAUAAAUAUAUUUAUUAGCAAGAUAAUUUUAUUUAUUAUUAUCAAAUUUUUAGGAGAGAUCAUUAAGAGGAUCUAGUUUUGCAUGAUUUUAAUAUUUGAUCCCUAGUUUUAUUACUAAAUAUGAGAUUAUGGUUCUAGGUAAAAAAAAAUUGCUAAUGUUAGAAAUUUGAAUAUAUAUAUAUAUAUAUAUAUAUAUAUAGGUUAUGUUUGGUUCCUAGAAAAUACUAAAGAAAGAAAAAAAAUGGAAAGAAAAAUAAUUUUUUCAUGUUUGGUUGUCCUAUGAAAAAUAUAAAAAAAAAUCAAAUAUAAUUAAAACUAAUUAAAAAAUUAUGUAUUUUUAAAUUAUUUAAUCUUUAUAUUAAUAAUUUAAAAUAAAUAAAAUGAGUUUGAAGUAACAAAAAAAUAAUUUAUCAACUUUUAAUAUAUUUUUUAUUUUUCUUCACUUUUUAUUUCCUUCUACUUUUCCUUUGUAUUUUCUUUUCCUUACAUUUUCCCUCAAAUUUUCUAGGAACCAAACAUAACCAUAGUAUUUCAACUCGGGGACCCCAACAACCAUAAACAAACCCUAAUUAGUCAACUAACCGAUUUGAUCAAUUUAUUAGUCACUAUGCAUUUAAUGCAUUGAUAGAUGAUCACUUAGACUUAGAUCCUUAAUCAGUUGAGCAAUGAAUUUGACGGAUACUCAACUAGUCAAAGCUUAAACUACUAGAAAAGAGAAAAAUAACAAAUGUCUCUUAAUUUAUCAAGUCUAACCUAUUUAGUCGGUUCCUCAACUCCUCAAUCGUAAAUGGCAUGGUUUAAGGUCUGAAACCUCCAAUAACUUACAUAAACCUUCUUAAAACUUUUCAGGAUAAAUUUAAAAGUAAUUUAGCUCAAGGUUUUAAUUGAAAAUAAGAAAUCGCCCAAUUCUUUGAGACAUAUGCAUAUAUAUAUAUAAAUUAUCUUAAUUUUACACAACAUUUUAGGUUGAUUUAAGUCUUCAAGGAUCCUAAGUCUUCCAUGAUUGCUUGAGCUUUCUUUAGAUUUUCAAUAGUAAACUUAAAAAACUUAAUUUGAUUUAAACUAUUAGUAAUUUUAACUUUAUUUUGUAAUUAUAAAAAACCUAUUAGGAGAAUCGUUGGGCUAAUAGUCUUGAUGUUUGAUCUUUAAGAUUAUUCAAUUCUAAAAAGAAAUGGGAGGGUCAAGGAUUUUUGUUGGUUGAAGGAGAGUGAGAGGGGCUAGCCAUGUCAAAUAGCACACUUUUGAUGCCUUUUAAUAAGAGUUAUUUGGUUAAAUGGGUCAAAAUAACCCCACUAUUUAUAAAUAUAACCCAUCUAUCAAAAAGUUAAAUAAAAAAAAAAACUGUUGAUUAAGACAAAAAUGCCCUUCCUUUUAUUUCCCUCCAACACUUACAACUUCUCAUUUUCUACUUCAUUUAACUUUCUAUAGAACGACUUCUCAUCUUUUCCUUCAGAAACCGUAAAAAAUUUCUCAUCAUUUUCUUCUACUUCAUUCUCUUCUUUUGGUGUACAAAAAGGAAAACUUAUCUUCUAUUCUGCUUCAUUUACAUAACAACUCCUCAUCUUUUAUUUUCUUCUUCUAUUUCAUUCUCUCCAUUUGGUGCAUAGAACAGAAAGCUCAUAUUUUCUUUAGAAGCCCUAGAAAAUUUCUCGUCUAUCAUAUCAUCUUUUGUUUCAUUCUCAAUCCUUAGAAAAAUUAUCUCAUCUCAUUUUAUCAUUUCAUCUAUCCUCUUAUCCUCUCAUUUUUUUGUCCAGUUAUCUCAUAUUGUAUCUUCAAGCACAAUAAAAAAAAAAUAGGUUCAUUGAAGAGUGAUAAAAGAAAAAGGUUAAAAAUGGUGAUAAAAAAAUCAAAAAUCCCAAUUGCGAAGAGAAAAAGCAAAAAAUUGUGACUAUGAACUUAACUGUGGUUAAGUUCUUUAUUAAUGCAACUCAACUAUUGUUAAGUUCAAGUGAAAAUUCCAACUGUGAACUUAACUGUGAUUGAGUUAUUCGUUAAUACAACUCAACCACUAUUAAGCUCAAGUGAAAAUUCUAACUAUGAACUUAACUGUGGUUAAGUUAUUUGUUAAUGCAACUCAACCACUAUUAAAUUUAAAUGAAAAUUCUGACUAUGAACUUAACUCUGGUUAAGUUAUUUGUUAAUGCAACUUAAUAAUAGUUAAGUUUAUAUUAAUGCAAUGACUGUCAACUUAACCAUAAUUAAACUUAACUAAUUAAUUUAUAUGAUAAAACUAAAACAUUAAUUUAAAAUUUCAAUCUAUGAUUCAAAAAAAUUGCUUUAAGCAUAUACAAAAAAAUAGGCUCACAAAUCCCUUCAUGACCCUAUACAAAAAAUUAAAUAAAUAAAAAUGUAGAUACAUAGUUAAAUCAUCCUCAAAAAAAAAAUUCUAUGGUAGCAAUAUUAAAGUGACUUAUGAACUGGUUGUAAGGAAAAUUCUUGGAUGUUGAUAUUCCUCUCAACAAUAUUGACACAACUAUAUUCAUCUCUAGGAUGUAAUGAGAUUGGUCGUUUGCAUGUUUUUUUAUCAUGCCCAUAAUCACCAAAUCUACCACAACAUCGUGUGUGUUUAACCUCUCCACUUGAACAAAUUCUCUCCUUUCUUGGUCUUCCUACUAGUCGUUGACUUUUUAGUGGUAGCACAACUCUACAAUGAAUGUCUUCCGGAAUACAAUACAUAACUCAAUUGGAUCUAGUUGAAGAAUGCGAUACACAACUCUCAUUAAUUCAUGAUAUGAUAUAUUCUUCUUCACCGUAAAGUCUUUACCUUCACUUCCUUUAAAGUGGUAUAUGUUCUCAUCUUAUACCUAAUUCCCUUUAUACAAAAGCAUUAUUCCUACAUCAUCAAUGACUGUAGAAAUAAAUAUUUCAAAUUAUCAUAUUAAGAAUGAAAUAGUACAAUAUAUGAUAUACUUUUAUUGAGUUUCAACUAUAGACUAUGUAAUGAAUCUUGAAACAUAUAUUUAUAUUUUUAUUAAAUAACCCACUACAUAAUAAUAUGUCAACAAUUCAAUCUCAGUUUUCAGUAAAGUUAUAUAAAAAUAAAUUUUUGCUUUGAAUAGCAACACAUAAACUCAACUUAUGUUAAGUUAAACCUAACAAAUAGUAAAAUUUGUUGUUCAAUGCAUCAAUGCAACACUUCCCAUAAAUCAAAUAUCCAAAGGAACAAUAUAUAACUACAAUGGGUAUUAAUCAUGAGCAAUACUAAAACCAUAAUAAAUUUUCAUGCAUGUGAUUUAUUGCUUACCAUCAUUUGACCUUGUCAUAUGGAUAAAUCUUUUCAACUUCUUUUGAAUGAACUUUUCACUUUUUCAUAAUUAAUAAUGGAGUCUCUAUUUUUUACCUACAAUGGUGAAGUGAUAUUUUGAAUUUUUAGAAAAUAGAAAGAAAUAAAAUGAUAAUCUAAAAAAGAAAUUGUUGGGUGCUUACAUUUUUUUUUUUUCAUUUUAUCGUGAUCAAGAAUGAAGAAUAAAUGAAACAAUGGUAAGGACUUAGGCUUGUUCUCUACAGGAAAACAAAAAGAAGCAACCAAUGAUUGAAUAAAAAAAUAAAAACCUAAUCUACUAUAAAAAUAAAAUGAAUUGAAAGUUAUAUUGGAGGGAAAAUGAGGGGUAUUUUUGUCUCAAUCAAGUCAACUUUUUUGCCUUUUUAGGGGUGGGUUAUAUUUGUAAAUAUGAGUGUUAUUUUGACUCAUAUAACCAAAUAACCCUUUUAAUAAGGGUGACCAUGGUUUGAUAACCCUUACUCCUUUCCUUUUGAUUUAUUUUCAUUUCAUGGCCACUUAUUAAGAUGAGUGUUCUUCAAUAGAUUACCGUAUGUUCUUCAAAAUACAUCAUUUCAGCCUGUCUAAGCUUUGAAGAUUUUGUAACUCCAACUUUGAAUCUCUUAGAAGCAUUAAAGAUUCUUAUGCAUCCCCAAAUGAAGAUAGUAGCGGCAAGGAAAGUUUCCUAGUCUAAAAUGAAAUCUAAAGAAGGGACUUUUCCCUUCAUCUUUGAGGUUUGGACAUGACAAAGGCAACAUUUUGCACCAACUUCCUCCUAAAAGAGGUCUGUCCCAGCAAGUUCCUUUUCUUAAGGUCCUAUUGCCUUUUCCUUCAGAAUGUGUUCAACUACCACCUCCAAUGAGGGUUUUUCCUUGUCCUCCCCAUGUCAAGAUAGAUGGAGGGCUUCACUAGAUGCCCCCCCCUCCCCUUCCCCCCAAAUUAGGAAGGUUGUUGCAAGGUUCUCUUAAACGCAUCCUUAAAAAAGUUAUGCACAAUUCUUCUACCAAAGCCAAGAGUCUGUUUGCUUGUGAGUUCACAACUAAAAUAGUAAUUACAUUCUUUUCAAGUCAUUCAGUUUCCUUACUUUGGAUGGUUGUAUGCUUAAUGCUUUCAUCGUUCAUUUGUAGGCUUGCAUGAUUGUAUUUGGGGUCGCAAACCAAGCUGGUCUAUUUCAAGAGAUGCCAUUCUACCAUAAGAAUGAGAUUAAGCACCUUCGUCUUUUGAUGAAUAAGGUGUCCCUUGCACGAGUUCAAGGGUGAAGUCCAUAUUCUUGUGUAUGAGAGAAUUGUCCAAGAUAUUUCAACUUUUGGGUGGAGAAAAUAGUAAAAGAAAGAGGUGGUAGCUGUCUAAACUAACCUUAAUUUCUGCCUUCCAAGCAGAGAAUGAAUCCCUCCAUUGCAAGGUUUCUCAACUUGAUAAAGAACAAAAAAGUUUGGAAGUAGGACAGAUUUGGAUUGAGAUUAGACAUAAAGAUUCAAAACAAGAAAAGUUUGAACAAGAAUCCAGGAUUAGAAAGGCCCUAAUAGGAGGCCAAAGAAAAUGAAAAGAUAAAAUGUAUAUAUAGAAGUUGACUACAAUUUUUAGAAUGACUUAGAAAAGGCUUUCAAUAAUAGCAUAGCAAGGUAACAUCCUAAAAGGCUACAUCCUUUCAAACCAGAUGAAAAUCGACUACAUCUUUUCAAACCAAAUGAAGAUCGAGUCUAUUUAAGAGUGAUUAUGAUUAAAAUGUCAUUAUUCAUAGCAUUUUUAUUACUAGCUUCCAUUAGAAACACUUUUAAAUCUUGGACAUGAGGCUACUAAUAUUCUAAUCGGUAAUCAAGGAUGAAAGAAUUUCAUAAACUUUUAUUAUUGUCUCGAAUUUCAAAUACAAGAAAAUAAAGAUUGUUUUAUUUAAUAUAAUAAGGUGGGGGUUUUUUUCUUUUUUCUUUUUUUACUUAAUUUUAAAUAGAACAUAAAACUAAAUAGUGCUUAGUAGUAUUAAGUUUUAGAUUGUUUAUUUUUAUAAUAUUUUAUUUCUAUUAAGUGUUAAAAAAUAUAGAAAAAAAUCAGCAUAUUACUUUUUCCAUUUAAAAAAAAAACUAAAUAUUUUAGUUUUUUUAUUCAACAAAAAAAUUAUAAUAAGUCAUGAAAAUGUAAAAUAUAUAUAUAACCUAAAGUCUGAAAACAAAUUGCUUUUAGCAAAAAGUUAAAAAAGUAAACACCCUCAAAAUGUUUUUAUGAACUUGCCCAUUCUAAAGAUAUGAGUUCCAAAACAUAAAAUACAUAGAAGAGUCGUUUCUUUUUAGGGAAAAUCAUCUAACCAUACACCAACUACAAAAAAAUAUGAGAUUUUGGAACUUUACUUUUUUCUUUUUAAUUUUAGUGUAAAAUGGGAAAAAAUAUUGUUUAUUCAUGCAUUCCAAUAGUGUUUUCAAAUUUGUUCCACAAUUACUCUCAAAAGUAAAGGACAAAGUACAUACCAAUUUAAUACCACUUGUUAACAAGUACAUGAGUCAUUUAUUUUUAUUAUUUUUCUCACAUCAAGAUAUCUCCCUUACUACUUGUCACGUUUUCACUUUUUUCUUUUUUUUUCUUUUUUCUUUUUUUUUCCUCUCUUGCCACCAUAAUCCAUUGUCACCUAUUAUAGUUUUUAUUAUUAUUUUUCUUUUUUUCCUUUAUAUUCUUUUUAAUAUGCUCGCGCAUUUUCUCAUAAAACUUCUUUAAUUUUAAUUUAUUUUUACUCUCUAAUUUGUCUAUAUUUAUUGAUUUUAAUUAUUUUUUUGACAUAUUAAACUUAAAAUGAUAACAUAUAAUAAAUAAUUAAUAUAACAAAUUAAAUAAAAACAAAAUCUAUAAUGGACAAAAAUGAAAAUAUCAUCCCACAAAUAAUAAUGAUUUUAAAUAUUAAUUAUAAUAAUACAUUUUAUAAAUUAAGGUUUAAAUUUAAAAUUUACAUUUUAUUAUUUAGAAGUUUAUGAUAUAAGAUUUUUUAUAUUAAUACUAAACAAAAGAUUUAUUUAUUUUGUAAAUUCUAUCACAUGUAAAAGUAAAAAUAUCAUUGUAAUGUGUUGGGCUUUGUGGAGCCUAGUUUUGUUUGAUCCGAUUUGACGACCCAACCCGAAUAAUAUUGCAUGGCUUUUUUAAUGGGAGAUUUAUUGAGGCCUGUUGGGCCCGUUUAGCCCAUUGUGGAACCACCUUUUGUAAUUAGGGUUUUUUAGUAUGGUAGGGUUGCCGUGCUAUAUAUAUAGAGAGAAUAUUGUAGCCGCCAGGUUGUACUCUGUAUUCUUUCCUGAUAAUAGUGAUAUCCCUGCAACUUCGUGGACGUAGGCAAAUUGCCGAACCACGUAAAUACUGUUUGUGUGUGAUUGUUUUUCUUUGGCGUGUGUUUUCUCUAAUUUUUUGUUUCUCACAGGUUGGGAAUUUUGUUUAAUUCCCUACAAUUGGUAUCAGAGCCUAGGGUUAGGUUUGAGUGGGAGCAAUGGCAGAGGAAGCAGGAAAGGAGUCUGGAAUAGAAAAGUUUGAUGGCACAGACUUUGCGUAUUGGAGGAUGCAGAUUGAAGAUUAUCUCUAUGGGAGGAAAUUGCAUCUGCCUCUUUUGGGGACAAAACCUGAGAGUAUGAAGGCUGAGGAAUGGGCGCUUCUUGACAGACAGGUUCUAGGAGUUAUUAGGUUAACUCUGUCUAGGUCUGUUGCACACAAUGUUGUAAAGGAGAAGACCACAGCAGAUCUGAUGAAGGCUUUGUCCGGUAUGUAUGAAAAGCCAUCCGCAAACAAUAAGGUGCAUCUGAUGAAGAAAUUGUUCAAUUUGAAGAUGGCAGAGAAUGCAUCAGUAGCACAACAUCUGAAUGAAUUUAAUACAAUCACAAAUCAAUUGUUGUCUGUAGAAAUUGAUUUUGAUGAUGAGAUUCGUGCUCUGAUCGUCUUGGCUUCUUUGCCAAACAGUUGGGAGGCAAUGAGGAUGGCAGUAAGCAAUUCUACGGGAAAGGAAAAGCUCAAGUACAAUGAUAUACGAGAUUUAAUUCUGACUGAGGAGAUUCGUCGAAGAGAUGCAGGUGAAACCUCAGGAUCUGGUUCUGCCCUAAACCUUGAGACAAGAGGUAGAGGUAAUAACAGAAAUUCAAAUCAAGGUAGAUCAAAUUCCAGAAAUUCUAAUCGGAACAGAAGCAAAUCUAGAUCAGGCCAAUAAGUACAAUGUUGGAAUUAUGGGAAAACAGGUCACUUUAAAAGGCAAUGCAAAAGCCCUAAGAAGAAGAAUGAAGAUGAUUCUGCUAAUGCUGUAACAGAAGAGGUACAUGAUGCAUUAAUUCUUGCAGUAGACAGUUCACUUGAUGAUUGGGUUUUGGAUUCAAGAGCUUCGUUUCAUACCACUCCACACCAAGAAAUCAUACAGAAUUAUGUUGCAGGUGAUUUUGGUAAGGUGUAUUUGGCUGAUGGUUCAGCCUUGGAUGUUGUGGGUCUGGGAGAUGUCCGGAUAUCGUUGCCCAAUGGGUCUGUUUGGUUACUGGAGAAGGUUCGACAUAUUCCUGACCUGAGGAGGAAUCUGAUUUCUGUUGGACAACUUGAUGAUGAAGGACAUGCAAUACUAUUUGUUGGUGGUACUUGGAAGGUUACAAAUGGAGCUAGGGUAUUGGCUCGUGGAAAGAAGACUGGCACUCUGUAUAUGACCUCAUGUCCAAGAGACACAAUUGCAGUUGCUGAUGCAAGUACUGAUACAAGCCUAUGACAUCGCAGACUUGGUCACAUGAGUGAGAAAGGGAUGAAGAUGUUGCUGUCAAAAGGAAAACUACCAGAAUUGAAGUCCAUUGAUUUUGACAUGUGUGAAAGUUGCAUCUUAGGAAAGCAAAAAAAGGUGAGCUUCUUGAAAACUGGCAGGACACCGAAGGCUGAAAAAUUGGAACUAGUACACACUGAUUUGUGGGAGCCUUCUCCGGUUGCAUCCCUAGGAGGUUCAAGGUACUACAUCACCUUUAUUGAUGACUCAAGUAGAAAGGUAUGGGUUUAUUUUCUGAAAAAUAAAUCUAAUGUAUUUGUAACUUUUAAGAAGUGGAAGGUCAUGGUUGAGACAGAAACAGGUUUGAAAGUAAAAUGUUUGAGGUCAGAUAAUGGAGGAGAGUACAUAGAUGGAGGAUUCAGUGAGUAUUGUGCUGCACAGGGAAUUAGGAUGGAGAAGACCAUUCCUGGGACACCAUAGCAGAAUGGUGUGGCUGAGCGCAUGAAUAGAACUCUCAAUGAGCGUGCUAGAAGUAUGAGGUUGCAUGCUAGACUACCAAAAACUUUUUGGGCUGAUGCUGUUAGCACUGCAGCUUACCUGAUAAACCGAGGACCAUCAGUUCCCAUGGAGUUCAGACUUCCUGAGGAGGUUUGGAGCAGUAAAGAGGUGAAGUUUUCACAUUUAAAAGUUUUUGGUUGUAUUUCUUAUGUUCAUAUUGAUUCUGAUGCUCGUAGUAAACUUGAUGCAAAGUCAAAAAUAUGUUUUUUCAUUGGCUAUGGUGAUGAGAAAUUUGGCUAUAGGUUUUGGGAUGAACAAAACAGGAAAAUCAUCAGAAAUAGAAAUGUGAUAUUUAAUGAACAGGUUAUGUACAAAGACAGGUCAUCUGUAGUGUCAGAUGUUACAGAGAUAGAUCAAAAGAAAUCUGAGUUUGUCAACUUAGAUGAAUUGACUGAAAGUACUGUCCAAAAAGGGGGUGAAGAAGAUAAGGAGAAUGUAAAUUCACAGGUAGAUCUGAGUACACCUGUAGUUGAAGUUCGCAGAUCUUCUAGGAACAUUAGACCUCCGCAGCGUUAUUCACCUGUUUUAAAUUAUCUCCUGUUGACUGAUGGUGGUGAGCCAGAGUGUUAUGAUGAAGCCUUGCAAGAUGAGAAUUCAAGCAAGUGGGAGUUAGCCAUGAAGGAUGAGAUGGAUUCCCUAUUGGGGAAUCAGACAUGGGAACUAACUGAAUUGCCAGUAGGAAAGAAGGCUUUGCACAACAAAUGGGUAUACAGAAUAAAGAAUGAGCAUGAUGGUAGCAAACGUUACAAGGCCAGAUUAGUUGUUAAAGGGUUCCAGCAGAAGGAGGGCAUUGACUACACAGAGAUAUUUUCUCCAGUUGUGAAGAUGUCAACAAUUAGACUUGUACUUGGAAUGGUGGCUGCAGAAAACUUACAUCUUGAGCAGUUAGAUGUGAAGACAACAUUCCUUCAUGGUGACUUGGAGGAAGACCUUUACAUGAUUCAACCAGAAGGGUUCAUUGUUCAGGGACAAGAGAAUCUAGUCUGCAAACUGAGAAAGAGCUUGUAUGGCCUUAAACAAGCUCCUAGACAGUGGUACAAGAAGUUUGACAAUUUUAUGCAUAGAAUUGGGUUCAAGAGAUGUGAAGCUGAUCACUGUUGCUAUUUUAAGUCCUUUGACAAUUCUUAUAUCAUAUUACUAUUGUAUGGCAAACCUGUAAGGCUCAUUUUUUAGUGUCCAAUACUGCUCCUGAUCUUUCCUAGAUGUUACUUGCAAUGAAUUCAGUUUUCAGAAAGACUAAUUGUGCAUCUUAAUAUGUAAAGCUUAUCUUCUAGCUCGGUUAUAUCUAAAAGAAGAAAAUACCAAAAGCUACAAAGCUAGAUUUGCACUCACUUCUUGGAGGAAGUCUGUCACACCCUUUCUUUGAGGACAUUUGAAGCCCAUUGACUAAAAAAAUUCAAGCACAUUUUCACGAGGUCCUUGAUAAACAAUCUGACUAUCAGAGAGGAGAAUGAUGUCAUCAAAAAGAUCAUAAGUCUCAAGUGGUGGCUGGAGGAGAGAGAUGACAGCAGUCCCAUUGAGAAUGUGGAUGGUUUGCCUGAGAGAAUUCACAAUUUGAUAAGUUGUUGAGCUGUCCAAGCCAGUAGAGAUCUCGUCCAUGAAUAGCGCCUUUGAUGGACCGACCAGCAUCUCACCUAUCAUUCAAACAUUUCUCAUAAUUCAAUUAAAUUAAAUCAAUGAACCAUACAUAUAAAUACAUAUGUAGUUUUUUUCUUCUUCUUUCGGUUAGAAACCAAAUUAUUCAACCUGUUGUGACACGCUUCCUUUGUCCUCCAGAGAUACCUCUUAUCAUUUCAUCUCCUACCAUGAUAUCAGCACAGAUAUCUAAUCCCAGAAUCUGUGGAUAGAAGCAGGUAUAAAGACAAAUAAACAAAGUAUGAGCUAGUAUUGGCUUUUCUUAGAAAUCCGCAUGUCAUCAUUGAAAGUCAUAUGGUUAUAGUACCUUCAUUAUAUGAUCAGUGACCACACUUUUCUUCUGGCCUUCAGUUGUUGCUGCUUGAAAUAUUAGAAACCAGUAAUGACAAUAUUAGAAACCAAUUCUGUUCAGUACAUUAAGAAAUUCCAUGGAUAAAAGAUUUUGCAGUAGAGCAAAAUUCAGGAAUAAGAUCGACUCAAGCCAUUCAAAAGAGUACAAAAAGAAGGGAACAAACUCCAUAAUAGACACAACAUCAAGAAUACAAAGCCAAUUUGCCUAUUUAUGUCAAGAUAUCAAAAUUUUCAUUCUAGGGAAUACAAACAUCCAUGUUCUCCACUAAGAGCAAAUAGAUCAAAUUCCGAAGAACUAGUUAAAAUUUUACUGAAAGUAGCUUCUGUCUCACCUUCAUGAAGACAUCGAUAUCAGGAUCAGGCUUAAUGUUUGCUGCUUUCUCUCUUCUUGCGAGCUCUGCUAACAUUUCUGCAGAUAGCCAAAAUAAGAGUCAAUCUCCUAGCCUAUACAAAUGAGAUAUAACUGCAUUGGCAACCUUCAAAAACAGAGAAAAUAAAAGGCAAAGGCAAUGGCUUCGACUAACCAAAUCAAUCUCCAACACCCUGACAUCUUGCAGAGAAGGCCAAGGUUUCUCGUAUAGUCAUUUCUCCAAGAUGGGUAUCAUGUUAACUGAUAUACGCAGCAGUUCUCUGUUGUACAAACUCAUUCAUGCCAUGACCAUUGUGUCACCCUUCCAGUAACCUAAAGAAGAAAUUCCAGUUUUCAAAUUAGACAUGAGAUAAAACAGCUAAAAUUUGAAUAGUCAUGAUUAUUUUUUUCAUUCAACCUUCAGACUAGGAUCAAGCUUUCCGGACAACGCCAAUAAGAAAGUGGUCUUUCCAGAACUUGGAGGACCCAAAAGUAACGUCAAUCUGCAGAAAAAAAAAUGCACAACAAUUGAAUAUAGAUCUUUGAGUAUAUUCUAAAUUCAAAGGAACUAUUCGUCUGUUUUAUUAAGUAAUCCAUUUUUACACUCGAAACAAAUUCAUACUCUCACCUGCCAGGUUUGAUGAUUCCGCUAACAUCUCGAAGAAUAGUGAAUUUUCUCUUUCUAGUUGGAAGAAUCCGAAGACCAUGCAAGAUAUUCUUUAAAACAGAAGGAAAAUUAUAAACUAUAAGUAUACGUAUCGAAAAGAGUAUUUAUUGCAUAGCUAAUGAUCUGCAUUUGCAUUGUAGUUACCUCAACUUGAUUAAAAAUGAAAUUAAAGAAUGAAGGAAAAGCUCUGCUGCCUACAUAAGCUUCUCCAUCAAUAGUAAGAUGCUCAUAUCUAACUUCAAUUUCGGGAAGUUCAAUCCCAACUCUGAAAAAGUGGAAGAGACAUGAAAACUCAUCAUUAAAAAGUUAAAGAAAGUUGUUUGGUUGGGGAGAAAAUGUAGGAAACACCUAUUGAUUACUACUCAAAAAGUGCUAUUUGAUAGCCUAUAAUUAAUCCUUUUUAACACUUUUGAGUAGUAGUUUAAGCCUUUUAACUCAAUUGGCAUGUUAAGGAUCCUUUAAAGCAAUUUUGAUCACUUUGUGUAAGUUUUGGUGUUUUUGUUAGUAUUUUGAUCACCAAAGCAAGUCAAGACUGAGGAGAGCUAUGAGGAAUCUUGGGCAAAGCUUAGAAUUCAAUUGCCAAGAGUGAAUCCGGAUUGCAAGGAGAAAAAGCAAAGAGAAUCUACCAUGAAGCCUAUUCUUGAUGACAGUCGUAGCAGCCACUUUUGGAGCACUUUCUGAAGUCCAAAUGAUGCAUGCUAUAUACCAUUUCAAAGCUCAGGAAGUCAACAAUCCAAUGCUUCAAACGGUGCACGAUUCGGAGUUGAAACGAAGAAGUUGCAGCCAUUGCAAGUCAAUCACUCUAAAGUGUUGCGGAAUCAGCCUUUUGUUGCGAGAAUUUCGCAGUACUUUUGUACAGAAAGGUGUUUCUCCUUCUGACAAUUCAGGAACCAUGCCGCGAGAAGGGAGCUGGGAACCUCAAGGUGGAAGCCAACUUCGCAGCCUAGUGAAGAUAGCUCGGUGUUGCGAAAUAAUUUCGCAGCCCUCUUGGGUGUCUGCGAAAUUUCGCAGACUUCAUUUUUCACCUGCGAAAUGGCUCCUGAAGCCUCCCGAAACUUGCUACCGACAUUGGGAGAUAUUUUCCAUUAGAUUUUUGUUGUCUAAAUCCCAAAAUACUCCUUGUAAACCACCAAUUACAUGAUUCCUUAGUUUUUAAGUUAGUAAAAAGACUAAAUAUCUUUGUAACAAUUAGUUUUAUAUUGUUUUGAUAUAUAUACCUCUCGGGAGCCUGUUCUCGGAGAGGAGUUCCUUCUGUAACCGUUUGGGUAAGCAAGUAAAGGUCUUUUCUUUCUACUGUCUUACCUUCUCACUUUGUAUUUUCAUUUUAUUUCUAAGUUAUGAAUUCUCUGAGGAGUUUUCCCCAGAGAAUGAGUAACUAAACCUCCAAUUCCUUGGAGCUAAGGUUGCCGGGGAAGGUUCCAAGUGCAAGAAUGCAAAGCUCUGUGGUUUUAGCUAGUAAUGAAGAGGAAGUGAAAUCCUUUAGUGAUUUCAAUGUUUUUAGUUAACUUAAAACACCUUAGAGUCACCUGGGCCAACACUUGGUAAGGCAAGUGAUUUCCAACCAUGGAAAUGCACUAGUUUACCCCUUGCGAGCCUCUGGGAGGUGACUUCAGGGUAGGAUUUUCUAGAAUAGCCAACACUUGGUAAGCUUUUGGACUCUUAGGAGACAUCCAUUAGUUACCUCUUGCGAGCUUUUGACGGGUAAUCCAAGGUUAAAGAUCACCUUGAAUGGUAAGUGCUCGUGAGAGGCAUGAACCAUUGCAAGUUGCAUCAGUGAGAGAAUUAAAGUGAAAUCUAAUUGAAGGAGUCUCUGUACAUCACCGGUUAGAGAAUUGACUCUAAGUUGAAUCUCUAAUGCGAGGAAAUGAACCAUUUGACCAGAGCCGUGUCUUUUGCAUGAGGAACCACCCCGGUGAACCUAAAUCUCCAAGGAAUGUUUUUCUUCCUAAAUUAUUCCAAACUUCUGUUAAGUUAGUUAGUUUAAGUCUCAACCUUUACCAAUCAAAGUUUGUGUUUUAUUUCUUAAGCUAACCGUGAAAUGAAACAAGACCAAUUCACUUGGAAUUGGUAUCCUUGAUUGCUUGUUAGUCAUUCCCAGUGAACGAUCCUAGAGCCACUAUACUAUAGUAGCUUUUUAUUUGCUACCCUAGUGUAUGGUGUUAUAGGUAUAAAUUUUGUUGAUCACUUCCUCAAUCAAGGAGCACCAGCUGAACACAAAUCAGCUGAGACACCAAUUGGGCAUGAAUCACCUAUCAGGCAAACUCACCCAUCCAUACGAUUCUUGAGCUUCAACAAGAACUUCUCAUUGUCCUCUUCAGCAAUUUUUAUCAACCGCUCCACUAAAUUCUUCUUGUCCUGAAGCCCAAGGCUAUGUAUAUCAACUUCAAUGGCCUCACCCUCUGAUCCCAGCAGCAAGCCUUUCCUCAACCGAUUGUAGGUGGGGAGUUUCUCGAGUGCGGCCCAUUUCAAAGCUUCCUCAUCAUCUUCACCCCUCGUAGAUUGGGAGAAAAUCUCGACGUCAGGGGUCCUCCAUCUCAUAGAACCAGCUCUACGAGUUUCAGGAGUCGACAUUGCAAACAGAAAGGAAGAACUCUCCUGCAAAACCAAUAAGAACCCGCCAAAACCCGAACUGUUGAAAUUAUAAUGCGAGGUAAAGUCAAACUAAAAGAAUUUUAGGAAUUUGAUAAAUAUUAAAAAUUAUUAUUUAUUUAGAUUUAUAUGUUAAUUAAGACUUUUGGUAUAAUAGCAAUUGGAGUCUAGAAUAUAAACUCCUUUUUCUCGCUCUUAGUACAAUGUUAUGUCUUGUUGUAUUGCUGCUACUGCAUUGUAAAAAUCAUAUAGAAUGGAAGGUUUAUAUAGUGAUUGGUAGGACAGAAAAUGAAGUGGUUCAAAAGAUUUGAAACUGGUUUAUUUUCUUGUGAUUCUUUAAGUUAUGUUUGGUUUCUAAAAAAGUACUAAGGAAAGAAAAAAAAUGUUAAAAAAAAAAAUGGUUUUCUCAUGUUUAGUUUCAUAAUGAAAAAAUACAAAAGAAAAUAAAAUAUAAUUAAAAUUUGUUAAAAUUUUAUAUAUUUUUAAAUUAUUUAAUCUUUAUAUAAUAGACGAAAAUAAGUAAAAUAACUUUGAAGAAAUAUAUUAAGGUUAUGUUUGGUUCUCGGAAAGUACCAAGGAAAGAAAAAAAAAUGUAACAGAAAAUGGUUUUCUCAUGUUUGGUUUCAAUAUAAUUUUUUAAAAAAAAUUAAAUAUAAUUAAAAUUAGUUAAAAAUUUAUAUAUUUUAAAAUUAUUUAAUUUUUAUAUAAUGAAUGAAAUGAAGUGAAAUGAGUUUGAUGAAACAUAUAAAAAUAAUUUAUUAAUUUAAAAUUUUUUUUUUUCAUUUUUUCUUUCCUUCUACUUUUCCUCUUUAUUUAUUUCUCUCACAUUUUCUCUCAAAUUUUAUGAAAACCAAACAAAGCCUAAAGUAAUUUAUUAAAUUUAAAUCUAUUUUAAUUUUCUUCAUAUUUUUCUUUCUUUCUACUUUUCCUCUUUAAUUUUUUUCCUUCACAUUUUUUUCUCAUAUUUUCCAGGAACCAAACAUAGCCUAGAAAAUUGGUGAGGGAAAUCGACUAUAAAAAAGUUUGCACAACGACUCCAUAAUAAUGUACACAUGCCACCAUUUUUUUUUCCCUUCAACUUCCUAUAUUAAGACUUUCACGGUUCAUAAUUUUUGGUUUCUUACACUUUCUUUAGCAAGUAAAUAGAAAUGUGAAUGAUCGAAUGUUUUGUUAGUUUUUAAAAUAAGAAGAAAUAUAAUACUUAAUUUUAUACAUGUUUUCCGGCAUGUUUGGUAUGUGAGAUAUGAUAGGAUAGAGUAUCUAUAUUCUAUAAUAUCAAAUUCCAUUAAAUGAAAAAUGCAUAUUUUAAAAUAUAAUUUUCAAUGAGAUAUGAUAUAUUUUUUAUAUUAAAUUCAAUCGAUAUGAUAUUGUAAGAUGACAUAUCCAAUGCAUUUCCUAAAAUAAAUUAUUUCCAUAUAUUUUUUAAGAUUAUUAAAUCCAAUGGAUAUAAUAUUAUAAGGUAACAUAUAUAAUGAGAUAGGUAAUGUAACAUUAUGCUUAUAUUUAAUUUGUAAAAUUAAUAAAAAAUAAAAUGGAAUAUAUAUUAUUUUAUAAUAUAUUUUGUAAAUGUUUUUUUAGUUCUUCUAUUUUAACCAUAAAUUUAACUUUAUAAUAAAAAAAUUAUUUUACUAAAUAAGUGAUAAAAUAAAAUAAAAAAUAAUAAAAGAAAAUUAAAUUUAUGAUACAUAAAAUAAUAUAUCUCACUACUUAUCCUAGAAGGAAUAUAAAAAAGCUAUAGAUAAUAUAUUUCACUACUUAUUCUACCAUGUGUUACAUCCAUCCAACCAAACCAUGACCUUACGGAUAUAAAAAAAUUUAACGUUUAAUAGCAUCCACAUUAAUGAAAACAAACAAUUUACUAAUAUAAACUAAACAAUCAAACACUCAAAUGAUAUUUCGCUCUAUUUAGACUAAUGAAAAAUAAACAAUUUAAAUAUUUAAUAACAUUCCACUUUAUUAAGCUUUAAGCUUAGAAUCUUAAAAAAAAAAAAAAAAAAAUACUUUAAAAAUAUUUUUUAGAGUUGUUUCAAAGGAAUGGGAUUAUUUGUUUUUUUUUUCUCAUUUAUGUCAUAAAGCAAAUUAUUUUAAAACUUAAAAUCAAAAUAUAAAAAUUUAUUUUUUAUAUUAAGAUAAAAUUGUCUUAUAAAAAGUAACAAGUUAAAAAACAAAUAAUUUUUAAAAUGACUUAAGUCUUAACACUAUUAAGUAUUAUUUAGAUGUAAGGUUUAUUUAAUUUUAUUUUUUUUUCAAAAAAGCACCACCUUUCAAAUAAGAUUUAAGCAGGUUUAACCUAUUCAAAAUUGCUUGAAAUUUAAGAGGUUAUUUGUUUUUUAAAGUUAAAUCUUAAAGCUAGUUGCUUUAAAAUUUAAGAUAAAAGUAAAUAAAAUAAAAUGAAAACUUUUGUUAUUAAGACAAAAUUUUCUUUUAAAAAUGAUAAACUAAAAAAAUAAUUUGAAAAAUGACUUCCAUCUUAAAGCAACUCUUUUUAUUAGGAUUGUAUCUCUAUCCUAAUUAAAAUUAACAAUCAACUUGAUUUUGAGUAAGAUUAUAUCAAUGUUAACCAACAUUAUUUUCUAAUAAAAGUAUUUGCGAAAACAUAAACACAUUUAUGCUUCAAUAAAUGGAAUACAUUUUUUUAGUAAUAUAACCAUAUUUUAAUUUUGAAAAAAAACAUAUUAGUCUAAUCAUCAAUAUUCAUAAUUGAUAAUAUCAUACAUUAAAAAUUAUUAAUGGUGAAUAACUGAUAUAUAUAUGGAUUAUUAAAGCAACUAUGACCAUACAACCUAUGGAACUUGGUGUAAACUUUUUUGUGGACCUGUAUUUUCUUUGCUUAUUAAAAAAUAAAUUAUUAAAGCAAUAAUGAGCAUAGAAAUUAAUUAAAACAAUAACUAUCACUCAAAUGAAGUAUUAGGCUCUAUUGAUAAUUGUUUUUAAAAACAAUUUUUAGUCUCCAGAAUAAAAAUUAAAAAUUAAAAAUUAAAAAAUAAAAAAACAAGAAAACAAGUUUGAUAAUAGAAAACAAAAACAUUGUAUUUUCAAUUCUUUAAUUGUUUUCACUUUUUUUAAAGGAUUAUUUUUAAAAAAGUCAUACAAAUACGAAGAAUGAUUAAAAAUAAAACACUGUAUAUAAAAAUUAUUUUUAAAAUAUAAGAAACAAGUUAAAAAUAUUUUAGAUUUUUAAAUAGGCUUUUGUUUUAUAAAAAAUCAAACAACAAUUUUCAAAAAUUAUUUUUAAAAAUUGUUUUCAAAAAAACACUUUUCAAAUAGAACCCUAUCCUACCAACUAUAUAUAUACACACACACAAUGCUAAUGAUAUUUAAAAGAAAAACAGUCACAUGAAAAAGGUAAUAAUAUUAGAGACUACAGAAGAACUUACUAUCAGAAAAACAUUGUCAAUAAUACAUGGGAUGAGAAUGAUUUCAUACAGCUACUGAGAUUGUCCUCAAAGUUGUUCUUAAAAAACAAAAAUACUAUAAAUGGUUGGAUCCAACCUUUCAAGGAAACCAAAGCCCUGUUCUUUUUUUCUUUUUUUGAUAAAGAGAUUUUCAUUUUUUUCCUUCUAAAAGGAACAUUCUAUAUAUAGAAUCUAAAGGUAUCAAACUGUGCCUCCAAGUAGUUUGACUGUAAAGUACAAUUCAAUCCAAUGUGUUGAUUGUUCUUUUGGUUUGCUAAUUGAUCAGGCAAUCAAUCUUUCCUCAUGUGGUUUCCAUAUUAUCAUUUUUUCAUCUUUUUCCACAUCAUUUUUAUCCUUUUCCAUAAAUAAAAAAAAUAUUUAGAUAAAUUAUUUCAUUAGCAAUUUGUUGAAGACUUGAAAAUAAAUUAAAUAAGAGAAAUAUUCACAAAUUUUUUACUUAAUUAUUCAUGAUGACAUUAAUAAUGAGAGUAACGUAUAACCAAAUAAGACUAAGAUAGGAAAAAAUGAGACAAAAGAAUUUGUCUCUAAAAGGUAUGAAAAAAUGAGAAUCAAAUAUGAAUUAAGGAGAUAUAGGUAUAAACUUAAUAAGAAAAAUGUUAAUUAUGCUUAAAUCUAUGAAUUUAAGAAAAUCUAAAAUUUUGGCCAUAAUUAUUCAUGAUCACAUCAAAUUUAUAUAUAGGAAUGGUUGAAAAUAAUGAGAGCAAUGCAUAACCAAAUGGUACUAAGAUGGGAAAUAAUGAGACCAAAGAAUUUGUCUUUAAAAGGUAUGAAAAAAUGAGAUUCAAAUACCAAUUAACUAGAUAUAGGUAUAAACUUAAUAGAAGAAAUAUUAAAUACGCUUAAGGUUAUGUUUGGUUUCAAGAAAAUAUUAAGAAAAUAAAAAAAAUAAAGGAAAAUGAUUUUCUCAUAUUUGAUUGUCUUAUGAAAAAUAUAAAAGAAGGUCAAGUAUAAUUAAAAUUAAUUAGAAACUUACGUAUUUUUAAAUUAUUUAAUCUUUAUAUCAAUUAAUUAAAUUAAACAAAAUGAGUUUGAAGUAAUAAAUAAAAAUAAUUUAUCAAAUUUUAAUCUAUUUUUUAUUUUUCUUUACAUUUUCCCACAAAUUUUCGUGGAACCAAACAUAGCAUAAAUGUAUGAAUUUAGGAAAAUCUAAAAUUUUGGCCAUAAUUUUUCAUAAUUACAUCAAAUAUAUAUAGGAAUGGUUGAAAAUAAUGAGAGCAAUGUGUAACCAAAUGAUAUUAAGAAAAUAAUGAAACCAAAGAAUUUGUCUCUAAAAGGUACGGAAAAUGAGAGUCAAAUAUGAAUUAAUGAGAUACAAGUAUAAAUUUAAUAAGAGAAAUACUAAUAAUGCUUAAAUAUGUGAAUUUAAGAAAUUCUAAAAUUUUGACCAUAAUUAUUCUCACAUCAAAUAUAUAUAUAUAUAUAUAUAUAUAUGAAUGGUUGUAAAUAAUGAAAUCAAUGUGUAACCAAAUGGGACUAAGAAAAAUAAUGAAACCAAAAAAUUUGUCUCUAAACAGUACCAAGAAAUGAGAAUCAAAUAUGAAUUAAUCAAAUAUAGGUAAAUUUAGUUAGAGAAAUAUUAACAAUGCUUAAAGAUAUGAAUUUAAAAAAAUCUAAAAUUUUAACCAUAAUUAUUCAUGAUUACAUUAAAUAUAUAUAGGAAGGGUUCAAAAUAAUGAGAGCAAUGUAUAAGCAAACGGGACUAAGAAAAUAAUGAAACCAAAAAAUUUGUCUCUAAAAGGUAUGAAAAAAUGAGAGUAAAAUAUGAAUUAAUGAAAUAUAGGGAUAAAUUUAACAAGAGAAAUAUUAAUAAUGCUUAAAUAUAUGAAUUUAAGAAAAUCUAAAAUUUUUAUAAUAAUUAUUCAUAAUCACAUCAAAUAUAUAUAGUGAUGGGUGAAAAUAAUGAGAUCAAUGUAUAACUAAUAGAGACUAAGAUAGAAAAUAAUAAAACUAAAAAAAUUCUCUAAAAUGUAUGAAAAAAUGAGAGUUAAAUAUGAAUUAACAUAUAUAUAAAUUUAAUUAGAAAAAUAUUGACAAUCUUAAGUAUAUGAAUUUAAGAAAAUCUAAAAUUUUGGCCAUAAUUAUUCAUGAUCACAUCAAAAAUAUAUAGGAACAAUUGAAAAUAAUGAAAGGUAUAAUCAAAUGAGACUAAGAUAGAAAAUAAUGAAACCAAAGAAUUUGUCUUUAAAAGUUACAAAAGAAAUUAAAAAAAAAAAAUCAGAGUCAAAUGUGAAUUAAUGAGAUGUUGGUAUAAAUUUAAUAAGAGAAAUAUUAAUAAUGCUUAAGCAUAUGAAUUUAAGAAAAUCUAAAAUUUUGGUCAUAAUUAUUCAUUAUCACAUCAAAAUAGGACGCUUGAAAAUAAUGAGAGCAAGGUAUAAUAAUACGAGACUAUGAUUAUCAAACUACUUCAAAAUCAAAAUCCUUAAUAGAAUCAAAUCAUCAAGAUGAUGUUAAUUAGUCUUUUUCAAAACAUUGAAGAAAAUCUAAGCCAAAGUUCCAAUGACCAAGAAAUAUGCAUAAAAGAUAGUUGCCCGCCAAAGACCUUAAAUGUAAUCACUAAGGAAUAAGAAUUAAUUUUAGAAUUAUUUAUUAAGGUUCAAGAUUCUUCAAUAAAAACAUAAUUAUGUGAAAUUUGUAAGAAAUCGAUUUCUAAACUAGAAAUGAAAAAAAAAAACUAUAAAACCUUAUAACUUCUAUGAAAUCUUGACAAGAUUUAACUAUAAUUCCCUAAAAAAGUGAUUAUUAAAGAUCUUCAAAAGGAAAUAAGAUGAUGUUAGAAGUUAGAGAAUUAAGACAAUACACCAACAUAUGUUUAACAAACCUUCAAGAACAAAUUAAUUAGAUAGUAAGUAAUAAGAAUUAAUAUAUCCUAAAAUCCUUAUAAGUUAAUGAAGAUUUAUCACACUUAUAUCUCAAUGUUAUAAAUAGGGUCAUCUUUAAAAAAUGCAGUGUUUCCCUAACAAUUGUGAUUAACAAUGAGUUCAUCGCUAAGAUUAAUUGUUGUCUUAAUAGAUUCAAGAGUAGCUUCUUUAUGGCAUGCUAAUAGGUCAAACUUAAGAUUAGCUACAAAUUGUCUAAGGCUCAUGUCAAUAAUCAAGGGAUGCACACAACAUUUAAUUUGGUAUAAGAUUUAAGAGAAGAAAUAUUCUUGGAAUACCCUAUUUAGUUGUCUACCCUAUCACUAGAGUAGAUGGUCAAGGUAUAAGACUAAACUCUUAAAUCAAGAGACUCCUUUUGAAUUUGCAUAUCCUCUAAAAAGAAACCUAAAUAAAUUAAGAUCUUUGAUUAUUUCUAUAAAAAAAAUACAUUUUUUUUAGUUCAAGAAGUUAGAUCUAAGAGAAUUGAAGAACAAUUGGAAGUUAAAAAGACUCAAGAUGCUAUCCAAUAAUUCAAAGAAAAGUUGGUUAGAGAAGCCCAUCCUAAAUUCCCUAAUGUAUUUUGGCAUAGGGAUGAACAUGUUAUAGAACUACCUUACAACCUAGAAUUUAGGGAAAAUAAUAUUCCCACUAAGGCAAGACCAAUUCAAAUUAUUCAAAAACCAUUGAGAUAUUAUGAAAAGGAAAUUUAAGAACUCUUUGAUAAAAAAUUAAUAAAGAAUCUAAAUCUCCUUGAAGUUGUGUAUGCGCAAAUUUCAUGAAGUCUUGCAAAACAACCAAAAACUAUAGGAAAAAUAUAUGUGAUCAAAACUUUAUAUUAAAAUUAAUUGAUUGUGCGGUAUAGACUCAAAUAUAAUAUUCUUUACAAAAGAAUAUUUUCCAUUUGAUUCAUUCACUUUGAUUACAAUCCCAAAGAUGAUGACAAGAGUCUUUUCUUGAUUUUAGAAAAUCAAUCCAAGGCCUAGAGUGGUUUUUUCUUGAAUGAACUUAUUAAAUGGUGAAAAACACGUAUAUGCUUUUAUUGUAUAAAAGUAUAAAACACUUUCACAUUUAAUUUUAAAAUAAUUAUAUAAUGUAAUUAAAAAUAAUAAUACAAAUUAAUUAAUAUAAUAAUUUCAAAAUAAUAAAAUACUAAAGACAUGCAAAUAAAAUUAAAUAUUAUAAUUUUAUUUUCAUUUUAUAUAUAUCCUUAUAUUUAAAUAUUAUAAAUGGUCUAUUUAAUCGAAUUUAAAAUAUUAAUAUAUUUAUAUUUCUCUUCAUCAUUUAAUUUGAUAUGUCAAAUAUAAAAAUGAAAUAUUAUUAAAAAUUUUAAUUAUAUAUAAUUUUAAUUUCUUAUAAUUAUUCAAAAUUUUAUAUAAUAUAUAAAUUAUUAUUUAUGAUGUCACCAAGUCGACCAAGGUCCGACCAGUGAACCAUGAAUUGGUAACUUUUUCGGUUCAAUCAUCAAUCCAAUUCUGAAAACAUUGAUCAUAUGACUUGAGAGUACAAAUAUUCAUGGCCCCACAAUUGAUUUUUUUUAUUAUUAUUUUAACCAUGAAAUGUGGGCCCCCAUGUUGUUCUUAAAUCUUAAAUAUCAAAUAAAAUGAUGAAAUAUUUUUAAAAUUUUAAUUAUUUAUAUAUAUUUUUUCACUUAUUAUAAUAAAUUUUAAUUUUCAACCGCAAUUCAACAACUGGUUCAACCAUUGAAUUAUGAAUCAAUAACUAUUUCGAUUCAACAACCAAUCCAAUUUUGAAAGCAUUGGUAAAUAUAGGCAUAAAACUAUUGGAAAUAACUCCCGACUUUCCAAGGAAGGCCUAAACUUCCCUUCUUGCUUCCUGAAUUCUAAAUUUAAUAGCAUUGUAAACGCUGCAGAUUAAAAACACAGGUCUAGUUUUUUAUAGUUUCUAAAUUUUCAUCCUAUUAUCAUGUCUUUAUGUCUUUGGUACUUAGAGCAGAGAUUGAAAGUGGAGGCCCAUACUGUUAAGUUGGUAACCAAGGAUGAAAGAAUAGCUCAAGGUUCUAUUACUGUCUGGAAUUUCAAAUUACAUAAAAUUGGGACGACAAAGAAAUUAAAGAAUUUAAUAUCCUAACAUCCUACGUACACAAAGAACAAAACCUUUUUUUCAUCUUACAAUCAAAUGUUGAACUGAAAGGUUACAUACAUAAAAUAACCAACCAUCCUUGAAGAACUUGUGCUCGGAAUGACUUCUUAUCGCCUUUGGAAGUUAAAUGCCUUAAUGGCGUAGGCAAAGAUGAAUAAGAACAGCACCACAAACCCAACAACCACAGCUGCAACCACUCCCAGGAAAUCAUGUUUGAAUCCAAAAUAAUCAUCCAAGAAUUGUUCCACCGUUUGAUUUUUGUCAAGUAGUGUGUCCUGUAUAUCUCCAAACUGUGAUGUAACCAAUCCAUACAAAGUCCAUGCAACUGGACAUAUCCAAUAGUACCAUCUCCACCACACCGGAAUUCUCUGUAUUCAUCAAGGAAGAAAUGCAACAAUAUGAGUCAUUUCUAUAUCCAUGUGGCAAGGAAAGUUGCAAUUUAAAGAAUCACAGGUUGAGAGCACUUACGUUUCGUGGGACUAUGAAACCUGAAAAGAGGUUCCAUAAUCCAUAAAAUGCCGCAGCAACGAUGGAAGCAAUAUGUUGAUUUGGCGUGGCAGCCACAGCCAUCAUGCCAUAGAAGGUGAAGUACAACAAAGUGAAGAACAUGAAGAACAGAUACCAGAAGAAUUUAGCGGCAGUCCAUUCAAAUCCAAUCAUUGCAUAAACUAUAACACCAUACACAACAGCUUGUGCAAAGACAUAUGGGAUCUCAACUAGAGCCUGCAACAAGAGAAGAAAUUUGAUUAUUAAAAUGCAAAACAUAUUAUACAUAUACAAAGUCUAUAGUGUAAGAAAACUAGUUACCUGUCCAAAGGCAUAUGGCAGGGCUGAAUACAUUCCUGCAGCUCUUUCUCUGUAAAAGACUGUUCGUUCAACUACAACAACUGGCUGGACCGAUUGGGCGUUCUGAACCCCAAGGAAGAGAACAGCAGCAUACAUAGAACCCAUUGCGUUUAACAGAUCUUGUUGCCUUGUCCUGCAAUUUACCACGUCAAGUAUAAAUUAAAGUUGAUAUAGAGAAACAUACUGAGUUCUCAAAUUUUUUAACCGACAUCAAAUUACCUUUCGGUGCCCAGAUCCCAGAACAUUGUCCCAAACAUCAAGGCUAUGAAAGUUGUGAAGAGAAAUCUCACUGCCGUGUAUGGUGGGUUGCGCCAGUAUGACCAACGUUGUUUCCAUAAGCAUGCCAAAAAUUGGGUGAAGAAGGGUUGGGAGUAUUGAGUAGCGAAAUAGAGGUCUUUUGUACCAGGGGCAGGUUGGCUCAGUUCUUUAAUUAAAUCUUUGUUUCUCCUGAAACAUAUGCCACUUGUUAGAACAGGUUUCAACUACAAAUUUAAGCUUUUCAUGAGAAACAUUAGGAUGGAUGUAUAUGACUUUUCAAUCUUAUAAUGCAAUUAGAUAACAUAUGGUUGAAUCACCUGUAUAGGUCUGAAUUCUUGUAUAUUUCAGUGAAAUCGACCCCCAAAGUUCCUUCUUGUGCUCCGGUGGUAACUUCCAGCAUCCAGGUUGCAGGGUUAUAACCAUCUUUGAUUUUACUGACUCCUUCAAUUCCCUUUAUGAAAGCAAGUGAUAUGUAUUAGUAAGUGCUUAAUAUGAAUUAACUCAAACUGAAGUAUUUACUUCUUAUAGCUUUUACUUUAUCAUGGCUGCUUACCUCAAAAUAAUUUAUUAGAUGGGAAGAAUGUCUACCCAGUGGUCCCACAUAUAUCUCUUGCCCUCCACGCUUCAUCAGGAGCAACUGCAAAUCCAUUUUAAAUAUUUCAGUACUUGUAUGCGAAGAGCAUAGAAGAGAAACUAUAAAUUCUUUCUAUCCCUUAACAUUUCCUACCUCAUCAAAGGCUUCAAAUAUGUCAAUACUUGGCUGAUGGAUGGUGCACACAACUGUCCUUCCUGUGUCCACAGUGUUUCUGACUGUUCUCAUAACAAUUGCAGCAGCUCUUGCAUCUAGCCCUGAAGUUGGCUCAUCCAUGAAUAUUAUUGAGGGAUUUGCCACAAGCUCAACUGCAAUAGUCAGCCUCUUGCGCUGCUCGGUUGAGAGACCAUUUACACCUGGCAACCCAACCAGUGCAUCCCUCAAUGGGGUCAGUUCCACAAGCUCCAUGACUUCCUCAAUGAACAUCUGUAACCAUUAGCAAUGAUUAUGAAUUGUUUAAAAAACGUUGCAAACCAUAGUAGAGAUGGUAAAAAAUUUGACACUGCUUGUGACUCCUGUUAGCAGGUUGUGAAGAGGUUUCCCUAGUCUUACUAAAUGGAUCGGUUAAUAGAUGCAAAUGCUCAAAAACACUCAUUAGCUUGCAUGAACUUCACCCAAUUGGAUUAAAAGUCAAUGAAACUUGAACCAGCACUUUUUCCCAGGUGAAGGUCAAUCCAAACUUGAACCUGACCUUACCUCAACCAAGUAUGAAAAGUCAAUUCUAGGGCUUUGCUUGUUUAGAGCACUAAAUUGAACAAGAAAAAUAUGGAAACAAUUAAGAAGACUCCUACCUUUCUGGUUUCAGAAUUCACAUCAGAAGGCAACCGCAGCCAAGCUGAGUAGAGCAAGGACUCAUGGACAGUAACAUGAGGAGAGUGGAUGUCAUUCUGCUCACAGUAUCCAGAAAUUCGAGCAAAAGUCUCUUGCUUCUUUGGGUAGCCAGAAAUAGUGAUGUUACCCUCAAUAUAUCCACCGGUUUUCCGACCAGCCAGUACAUCCAUGAGAGUGGUUUUACCAGCACCACUAACACCCAUCAGAGCUGUAAGAACACCAGGCCUGAAAGCACCACUCACCCCUUUCAGAAGCUCCAGUCUGUCUUCAAGGGCACCCUGACUUUUCAUUUCCUGCAAGUUCAUUUCAAACAACUCAGUUCUCAUUUCUGGUUUAUAGUACAUUAUGAAAAAACUUCAGUGCUGCUAAAACAUAUGUCAUCAUUUGAAUAAAUAUGACUUUACCUCUGGCAUGUCAACUGAGUAUCUAAUAUCAUCAAAAGUGAUUGAAUGUGGUUGGAAUGGAAGAACCAUUCCUUUCUUCUUAUUAUGAUUAGCCUCAGCAAUGGCUUCUACCAUUUGCUCUCCCCGCUCUGCAUGUCAAGUUUAAAUUCAGUGAGCCAUAUAAAACAUGUAGUUAAAUGACAAGAAUUGAGUCAUACAAAGGCAUGCAUGCAUGCACCAUGUAUGAGUUUCAUCACCUGUGGUUGCAGUUUUGGCAUUGUCAGACUCUUCUGUUAUAACAGCUUGAGGCUUCUCAAAUACUGAGCAAUUUGCACAAUGUUAGUACACUAAGCUCAUAUUUUUAGGAGUUUCAAUGCAGAGAAGGUACAGAUACCCACGAUUUAGGUAAUUAAGGCAGAGAGUGUAAAAGAUGUUGAAAACAAAUAUGAAUCCAAGCAGUGCCCCAGCUCCUAUCCAGUACCAGUGUGCGUCUGUGAAGAACCCACGAGACUUCAAUACUGUGACUCCAAGGGAUUCUGUUGAAUCGGUGACAUUCUGAAAAAUGGAAAUAAGUACAAUCAUCAGUUACUGACACACAUAAAUAAACACAAAUAUUCACAUGGAACAUUCGAGAACUUACUUUGCUCCAACUCUUCCCAAGGAAUUCAUUUACCACUAUUGCAUUCUGUGCAUACAUCAGAGGGGAAGACCAGUAACCCCAAAUCCACCAUUUCUUGACAUUAUCUGCAGCAUUGACCAAAUAAAAAAGGAAACAAAAAUUCAUUAUCAGGGGUUAUGCACAAGAAGGUUCUACAUUUCCUAAAAAAAUAUUUCCUCAUCAUACCAUAUGACAGGAUAAAACCACCCAAUGCCAAGAGCAUAAGUAAAGCAAAUGCCCCAAAUGUGUUUGCAACAAUCAUGUUUCUACCGGCUGCUGCUAUAAAUCGAAAUAAUCCAGAUGCCAUCUGAUUAACAAGCAAGAGGAGAAGAUACUGUCUAAACAACCUGCAAUAAGGAGAUUUGUUUAUUCAGCAUUGAUCAUUUUGGAACAGAGAAAACAUGUAAAAGAAAUCUGGAUAAGUUUCUGCAACUUCAUAACUUUUUAACUUUACCUUUCCACAUUUGGAUCAAAUCCAAUGACAUAGUAAGUGAUGAACACCCAAACACCAACUUCAACAAAUGUGAUGGGGAUCCUGAGCACCCAUGUGGGAAGAGCAUAUGCCCAUGCAGGAUAGAAGAGAAGGUCUCUUUGCUUGUAAAAGACAGGAAGUUUUGCAAUUGCCAUGGCAAGUUCUGCCAUUCCAUUAAACAUGAUCAUGACAACAGUGAAGAACAAAGCACCCGUGUAAAUGUUUCCAUCAUCUGUUGAAUUUUUGUGCAUCUCAGUUCUUAGGAAGAGUGUCAUUGCAAUCACUGCCAUUACUGCAAGCUAAAAAUAGAAAUAAAAAUAAUAAAUUACAAUCACAUAUACAAAAUUAAAAGCCAUAGUUAUAAGUAGCAAUAAUAAUAAUAAUACUCACUUGGGUGAGUUUGAAAAUAUAAACAAAUGAGUUCCUCUUCAUCAGCAAGUACUCUCUUGACAUGUUGGCAUCCAACAGUUCCUUCUUUCUAACACCAUACUUUUUGGUCGUCAAAGCAGCUGGGUGGCUUUUGGCCCUAUCAAAUGGCGAUGCAAGCUCAUCUGCUACUUUCCGUCCAAUGUGAAAUGACUGGAAUGCCUCAGCAAAUUCUUUGACUGUGACAAAACUGUAAGGCACAUCUUUACGUGCCCAAUACUGGGCCUGAUCUUUUCUAGAUGUUACCUGCAAUGAAUUUUAAAGUUCAUGUUAUAGCUCUGUUUUUUUCUAAAAAUAAAAAAAGGGAAAAAGAUAGAAGAUACCAAAAGCUACAAAGCUAAAUUUGCACUCACUUCUUGCAGGAAGUCUGCCACACCCUUCCUUGCAGGACAUUUGAAGCCCAUGGAUUCAAAAAAUUCAACCACAUCUUCACGAGGACCCUGAUAAACAAUCUGACUAUCAGAUAGGAGAAUGAUGUCAUCAAAAAGAUUGUAAGUCUCAGGUGCUGGCUGGAGGAGAGAGAUGACAGCAGUCCCAUUGAGAAUAUGGAUGGUUUGCUUGAGAGAAUUGAUGAUUUGAUAAGUUGUUGAGCUGUCCAAGCCAGUAGAGAUCUCAUCCAUGAACAGUGCCUUUGAUGGUCCGACCAGCAUCUCACCUAUUAUUCAUACAUUUCACAUAAUUGAAUUAAAUUAAAUUAAUGAACAAAAAAUCUAAUUUGAUUUGUUCUUUCAUUUAGUUAGAAACCAAAUUAUCCCACCUGUUGUGACACGCUUCCUUUGUCCUCCAGAGAUACCCCUUAUCAUCUCAUCUCCUACCAUGGUAUCUGCACAGAUGUCUAGUCCCAGAAUCUGUAGAUUUAAAAGUAAAGAAAAACAAACAAAUCAUGAAUUAGAAUUGGGUUUUCUCAGAAAUCUAUAUGCCAUCAUUGAACGUUUUAUGGUUCUAAUACCUUCAAUGUAUAAUCAGUGACAACAUUUUCCUUCUGACCUUCUGUUGCUGCUGCCUGAAAUAUUGGAAUCCAAUGAUGAAAAUGUCAACCACCAUGGAAGCAACUUCAGUACAUUAAGAAAUUUCAUAGAUAAAAGAUUUUGACAUAGCAUAAAAUUCACAAAUUAGAUUGACUCAAGCCAUUCAUUUGAGUACAAAAAGAAAGAAACAAACUCCAGAACAGACAGAACACCGACAAUACAAAGCCAUUUUGCCCAUCUAUGUCAGAAUUCAAAAUUUAAUUUCUGGAAAAGAGCAGUAUUCAUGUUCACUAAAAGCAAAUAGCUCAAUUUCUGCAGAGCUGAUUAAAAUUUCACUAAAAGUAGAUUCUGUCUCACCUUCAUGAAGACAUCAAGAUCAGGAUCAGGCUUAAUAUUUGCUGCUUUCUCUCUUCUUGACAGCUCUGCUAACAUGUCUGCACAUGGCAAAAAUAAGAGUCAAUCUUCUAGGCUACGGAAAUGUCAUAAAAUUGCAUUCACAACCUGCAAAAAGCAGAGAAAAUAAAAGCAAAGGCAAUGGUUUAGACUAACCAUAUCGAUCUCCAACACCCUGGCAUCUUGCAGAGAAUGCCAAGGUUUCCCUUACAGUCAUUUCUCCUAUAUGGGUAUCAUGUUGGCUGAUAUAGGCUGCAGUUCUCUGGGGUACAAACUCAUUCAUGCCAUGGCCGUUGUAUGUCACCCUUCCCAUAACCUAAAGAAGGAAUUUCAGUUUUGAAAUUGGAUAUGAGAUUAAAGAAAUAAAAAAUUAAACAUUCCAUAAAGAAUGGAGGAGUAAUAAUCAUUUUCUCUCAACCUUUAGAUUGGGAUCAAGCUUGCCAGCCAAUGCCAAUAAGAGGGUGGUCUUUCCAGAACUUGGAGGACCUAAAAGCAAAGUCAAUCUGCAGAAGAAAAAUAUGCACAAAAAUCUUGAGUAUGGAUCUUCGGGACAUUCUAACUUUGAAGAACGAAAAAAUCAUUUGAGUUAUCGAUCCAUUUUUUACUAGAAACAAAUUCAUUCUCACCUGCGUGGUUUGAUGGUUCCACUAACAUCAUUGAGAAUAGUGAAUUUCCUCUUUUUACUUGGAAGAAUGCGCACAGCGUUCAGGAUACCCUUUGGAAAAGAAGGGAAAAUUAGAUCUAAAAACAAACUUACUUAAAAGAAUACUGAGUACAUAAGUAAUGAUCAGCAUUUGCAUGUAGUUACCUCAAGUUUACUAAAAAUGAAAUUAUGGAAUGAAGGCAAAGCUCUGCUUCCUACAAAAGCUUCUGCAUCGAUGGUAAGAUGCUCAAAUCUAACUUCAAUUUCGGGAACAUCUAUUCCAACUCUGAAAAAAAUGGAAGAAUCAUAAAAACCCAUUAUCAAAAAUUCAAAGGAAGAUGUUGCUUGGCUGUGGAGAAAAUGUGGGAAACACUCAUGAGGCAUAUUUCAGGUCAAGUUUUCAUUUUUUUUCCUCUUUAUGUUCUUCUGUUUUCAAUGUUCAAAAACAAAUGGCAAGGAAUGCAAGAAAGGAGAAGAAAUCUCACCUAUCGAUACGAUUCUUGAGCUUCAACAAGAACUUCUCAUUGUCCUCUUCAGCGACUUUUACCAACCGCUCCACUAAAUUCUUCUUCUCCUGAAACCCAAGGUUAUGGAUAUCAAUUUCACUGGCCUCGCCCUCGGAUCCCAUCAGCAAACCUCUCCUCAACCGAUUGUAGGUGGGAAGUUUCUCGAGUGCGGCCCAUUUCAAAGCUUCCUCAUCAUCCUCAUCCCUCGAAGAUCGGGAGAAAAUAUCCGCACCGGAGCUCCUCCAUAUCGAAGAACCGUUCCUCCUUAAACUACCACUGGCUCUAUAAAUGUCAGCAGUGGCCAUUGCAACCUGAAACGAAGAACCCUCCUGCAAGACCAACCAAAACCCACAAAAACCCAGAAAUCUUUCCUCAAAAGUCUGAGAAAGAAGCUCAGAGUUUUGAACCCUGGAGCCCAAAGAAGCUAAAAAUCAGAUACGCGUCCCCUUCCUCCCUUUUCUCUGCAUACCUUUGAACUGCUAAUACUUGAUGCCUUCAGAAUGGAGGGUUUAUAUAGGUGAUGGGUUGAACAGACCCUCAAGUUUUCUAACUUCUUGGUUUCCUAUGACUUUUCCUUAAAAAAAAUUAGCGGGGAAAUUGAAUAUAUAAGCUGCUGGGUAACGAUUCCAACGACUUUGACCCGUCAAAUUCUUAAAUAAAACACUUCUAGAGUUUCCCAAUGGGAACGCGAUCUGUUUAAAGCUUCCCACCGGCCAAAUGAACAAACUUUUUCCUUCCAACUGUUGGGUCCAGGAAGGUUCCUAGUGGACCCAAAUCCUCCAAAACUAUAUAUAUAUAUUUGGCAUUUUUUUUAACGGAUUAAAUACAUUUUUCCCGGCUUUUGCACAUAUGUCUUCUGACGACUUUACGGAAAAUCCUUGGAGAAUUGUCCUUCUAGACGUUCUAAAACGGUAAUGUUUUGGUCAAACGGAAAGUCAACCAUGGAAAAUAAAGGUUUAACAGAUAGAUAACAAUGAUGUUUUUUUUUGUGCGCAUACCCUCUGACCUCACGAACACGCACGUUUCUAGAUUUCCUUGACCUUGUGAACACGCACGUUUCUAGAUUUCCUUUACCUUAUGAAUACGCACGUUUCAAUCUAUAGUAAUGAGUACGAGUAUAGAUUACUUUAAGUGGAAAAAUUUUCUAAAUGCUCAAGAGUUUGAUAAUAAUUUUAUAUUUCACAUUAUAUAAAUCAAACUUCCCUUUUAAAACACUCAUCUUCUUAUCUCUUUCAAAAAAAAAAAAUUGAGUUGAUAUCAACAAUCAAAAAUAAAUUUAAAAAUUUUUAAAUUAAAAAUAUAAUUAAAAUUUAAAAUAUAUAAAAAAAAAUAUUCACCCCAACUACAUUUUCAACGCUUUCUUAUUAUAUAUAUUUAUAAAUCCCAAAGAUUAUCUCAAUUUUAUUUUUAUAUUUUGACCUCAAUUUUGUUAAUAAAUUUUAAAUCUUAAUAACAUGUGUUUUUUUGGCCCACUCACCCUUUAAUUUUAAUUUUUAUUAUUUUAUAUUUUUUUAUUUUAUUAUUAUUAUUACUUACUACUACUACUAUUAUUAUUAUUAUUAUUAUUAUUAUUAUUAUUAUUAUUAUGUUUUAUUUUAUUUUUUUAUUUUUUUCUUUCUUUUCUCUCUCCUCUCUCUUCUCUCUUCCUACUCUCCAACUACCCCACCCACUGUCUCUCUCUCUCCUCCCAUACCCCUCAUCCCACAACCAUACCCCGAUUACCCCCCUCCUCCUCCUCCCAUUCAUUCUUCUACUAUGGCUGGCCUCCCAUUCCCCUUUCUUUUUUUUUUUUCUUUUUUUUCUUUCUUCUGCUUCUCACCCUAGGACACACGCACAGCCGGCCCAUUUUUCCCCCAUUCUCACCGGAUUCCAGAUAUUUUUCCUCUUCUCGGCUGACUCCCACAGUAGUCAACAACCCUAUCUCCCCACUCCGUUUCUCAGCUCUUUCCCCAUUUUUCCUUCACUCCACAGACGACCAUAGCUGGCUCCCCAGUUUUCUUGAUUUUUUUUAUUUUUAUUUAUUUUUAUUUUUAUUUUGGCUACCCAAACACCACAUCUCGUCGACCCCGAUUCUCUUCUUCCUAUUUUUUCUCUCAUUUUCUCCAUUUUUUUCUCAUCUCUCUCCUUACUCACUCUCACAUGAUUGGAGCCCCCCAUUUUCUUCUUCCCCAUUUUUCAUUUUUGUUCUCUAUCCAAACACCCACUUGCAGAGACACAGGCUGACCCAUUUCUUCUCUUCCAUUUUUAUUUUUAUUUUUUAGUAUCUCCCUUUUUUUUAUUAUUAUUAUUAUUAUUAUUAUUAUUAUUAUUAUUAUUUGUUUUUGUCUUUCAAAAACACCAUCAACCCUCAUUGCGCCGGUCGGCGACCCCCUCUCAUUUCCUCUCAUUCCGUCACUUUCCUAUCCCACUCACUUUCCAUUACUAUUAUUAUUGUUAUUAUUUUUUAUUUGAUUUUAUAAAUAAAAUUGAAUAAUGAUAAAUAAAAUUGAAUAUAAUAAUAAUUGUUAUUAUUAUUGUAUAUAAUAAUAGUAAUAACAAUGAUAAAUAAAAAAUAAAUAAAUAAACAAAAGAUAAAUAUUGAGAAAGAGUUGAAAAUGCAUUAAGAGUUAACAUAUAUAUCAUUUCUAGGAUUAAAGUUUUUUUUUUUUUUUUUACUUUUUAUUGUAUUUUUUAUUUUUAAAAUCUUUUAUUUUAUUGUUUAGGCCAACCAACAAAAUUUUUAUUCAAUUUUUUUUAAAAGAGAUAAGAAGAUGGGAUGUUUUAAUCAAGAAUACUUGAUUUAUAUAAUGCAAAAUAUAAAAUUAUUAUGGGAGGAUUUUUCCACAUUGACUUGCAAUCAAUAUUAUAUAAUUAAUAAAUUAAUAAAUAUAUUUGUUAGUAAGAUAAUUUUAAUAAAUUUAUAAAUAUAUUUAUUAGCAAGAUAAUUUUAAUAAAUUAAUAUGAGAAAUCAAUUUUAUGAUAAUUUUAUUUAUUAUUGUCAAAUUUUUAGUAUCUAAAUUUUUAGGAGAGAUCAUUAAGAGGAUCUAGUUUUGCAUGAUUUUAAUAUUUGAUCCCUAGUUUUAUUACUAAAUAUGAGAUUAUGGUUCUAGGAAAAAAAAAAUUCUAAUGUUAGAAAUUUGAAAAUAUAUAUAUAAUUACUAGUCAUUAUGCAUUUAAUGCAUUGACAGAUGAUCACUUAGGCUUACAUCCUUAAUCAGUUGAGCAAUCAAUUUGACGGAAACUCAACUAGUCAAAGCUUUAACUACUAGAAAAGAGAAAAAUAACAAAUGUGUCUUGAUUUAUCAAGUCUAACCUAUUCAACAGAUUCCUCAACUCCUCAAUCGUAAAUGGCAUGGUUUAAGGUCUAAAACCUCCAAUAACUUACGUUAACCUUCUUAAAACUUUUCAAGAUAAAUUUAAAAGUAAUUUAGUUCAAGGUUUUAAUUGAAAAUAAAAAAUCGUCCAAUUCUUUGAUAUAUGUAUAAAUGAUCUUAAUUUUACACAACAUUUUAGGUUAAUUUAAGUCUUCAAGGAUCCUAAGUCUUCCAUGAUUGCUUGAGCUUUCUUUGGAUUUUCAAUAGUAAACUUAAAACUUAAUUUGAUUUAAACUAUUAGUAAUUUUAACUUUAUUUUGUAAUUAUAAUUAAAAAAACCUAUUAGGAGAAUCCUUGGGCUAAUAGUCUUGAUGUUUGAUCUUUAAGAUUAUUCAAUUCCAAAAAGAAAUGGGAGGAUCAAGGAUUUUUGUUGGUUGAAGGAGAGUGAGAGGGGCUAGCCAUGUCAAACAACACACUUUUGAUGCCUUUUGAUAAGGGUUAUAAUUGGUUAAAUUGGUCAAAAUAACCUCAAUAUUUGCAAAUUUAACCCACCUAUCAAAAAGUUAAAAAAUAAAAAUAAAUAAAUUGUUGAUUGAGACAAAAAUGCCCUUCCUUUUAUUUCCCUCCAACACUUACAACUUCUCAUCUUCUACUUCAUUUAACCUUCUACAAAAAAAACUCAUCAUCUUUUUCUUCAAAAACCAUAAAAAAAUUCUCAUCAUUUUCUUCUACUUCAUUAUCUUCUUUUGGUGUAUAGAAAGGAAAGCUUAUCUUCUAUUCUGCUUCAUUUAUAGAACAACUUCUCAUCUUUUAUCUUCUUAUUUAUUUCAUUCUCUCCAUUUGGUGCAUAGAACGGAAAGCUCAUCUUUCCUUUAGAAGCCCUAGAAAAUUUCUCGUCUAUCAUCUCAUUCUCUAUUUCAUUCCCAAUCCUUAGAAAAAUUAUCUCAUCUCAUUUUAUCCUCUAGUCUAUCCUCUUAUCCUCUCAUCUUUUUGUCAAGGUAUCUCAUAUUGUAUCUUCAAGCACGAUAAAAAAAUAAGUUCAUUGAAGAGUGAUAAGAGAAAAAGAUUAAAAAUGGUGGUGAAAAAUCAAAAAUCACAAUUGCGAAUAGAAAAAGCAAAAAUUGUGACUAUGAACUUAACUGUGGUUAAGUACUUUAUUAAUGCAACUCAACUAUUGUUAAGUUCAAGUGAAAAUUCCGACUAUGAACUUAACCGUGGUUGAGUUAUUUGUUAAUGCAACUCAACCACUAUUAAGCUCAGGUGAAAAUUCUAACUGUGAACUUAACUGUGGUUAAGUUAUUUGUUAAUGUAACUCAACCAUUGUUAAAUUCAAGUGAAAAUUCUGAUUGUGAACUUAACUUUGGUUAAGUUAUUUGUUAAUGCAACUUAAUAAUAAUUAAAUUUAUAUUAAUGCAAUGACCGUUAACUUAACCAUAAUUAAACUUAAUCAAUUAAUUUAUAUGAUAAAACUAAAACAUUAAUUUAAAAUUUCAAUCUAUAAUUCAAAAAAAUUGCUUUAAGCAUAUACAAAAAAAUAAGCUCACAAAUCCCUUCAUGACCCUAUAUAGAAAAAUAAAUAAAUAAAAAUGUAGAUACAUAGUUAAAUCAUCCUUAAAAAACAAAUUCUAUUGUAGCAUUAUUAAAGUGACUGAUGAAUUGGUUGUAAGGGAAAUUCAUGGAUGUUGAUAUUGCUCUCAACAAUAUUGACACAACUAUAUUCAUCUCUAGGAUGUAAUAGGAUUGAUCGUUCGCAUGUUUUUCGAUUAUGCUCAUAAUCACCACAUCUACCACAACAUCAUGUGUGCUUAACCUCUCCACUUGAAUGAAUUCUCUCCUUUCUUGGUCUUCCUACUGGUCGUCAACUUUUUAAAGGUAGCACAACUCUACAAUGAAUGUCUUCCUGAAUGCAAUACACAACUCUCAUUAAUUCAUGAUAUGAUAUAUUCUUCUUCACCAUAAGGUCUUUACCUUCAUUUCCUUUAAAGUGGUAUAUGUUCUCAUCUGAUACCUAAUUCCCUUUAUACAAAAGCAUUAUUCAUACCUCAUCAAUGACUGCAAAAAUAAAUAUUUCAAAUUAUCAUAUUAAGAAUGAAAUAGUACAACAUAUGAAAUACUUUUAUUAAGUUUCAAUUAUAGACUAUGUAAUGAAUCUUAAAACAUAUAUUUAUAUUUUUAUUAGAUAACCCACUACAUAAUAAUAUGUCAACAAUUCAAUCUUAGUUUUCAAUAUAGUUAUAUAAAAAUAGACUUUUGCUUUGAAUAGCAACACAUAAACUCAACUUAUGUUAAGUUAAAUCUAAAAAAUAGUAAAAUUUGUUGUUCAAUGCAGCAAUGCAACACUUCCCAUAAAUCAAAUAUCCAAAGGAACAAUAUAUAACUACAAUAGGUAUUAAUCAUAUGAGCAAUACUAAAACCAUAAUAAUUUUUCAUGCAUGUGAUUUAUUGCUUACCAUCAUUUGACCUUGUCAUAUGGAUAAAUCUUUUUAACUUCUUUUGAAUGAACUUUUCACUUUUUCAUAACUAAUAAUGGAGUCUCUAUUUUCUACCUACAAUGGUGAAGUGAGGUUUUGAAUUUUUAGAAAACAGAAAGAAAUAAAAUGAUAAUCUAAAAAAGAAAUUGUUGGUUGCUUACAUUUUUUUUUUUCAUUUUAUCGUGAUCAAGAAUGAAGAAUAAAUGAAACAAUGGUAAGAACUUAGGCUUGUUCGCUACAGGAAAACAAAGAGAAGGAGCAACCAAUGAUUGAAUAAAAAAAUAAAAACCUAAUCUACUAUAAAAAUAGAACAAAAGGGAAAGUUAUAUUGGAGGGAAAAAUGAGGGGUAUUUUUGUUUCAAUUAGGUCAACUUUUUUGCCUUUUAAGGGGUGGGUUAUAUUUGCAAAUAUGGGUGUUAUUUUGACUCGUAUAACCAAAUAAACCUUUUAAAAAGGGUGACCAUGGUAUGAUGACCCUUUCUCCUUUCCUUUUGGUUUAUUUUCAUUUCAUGGCCACUUAUUAAGAUGAGUGUUAUUCAAUAGAUCACCGUAUGUUCUUCCAAAUAAAUCAUUCCGACCUGUCUAAGCUUUGAAGAUUUUGUAACUCCAACUUGGAAUCUCCUAGAAGCAUUAAAGAUUCUUAUGCUUCCCCAAAGGAAGAUAAUAGCUACAAGGGAAGUUUCCUAGUCUAAAAUGAAAUAUAAGAAGGGACCUGUCACUUCAUCUUUGAGGUUUGGACAUGAUGGAGGCAACAUUUUGUUUGGUUGGGGAGAAAAUGUAGGAAACACCUAUCAGGCAAACUCACCUAUCCAUACGAUUCUUGAGCUUUAACAAGAACUUCUCAUUGUUCUCUUCAACAAUUUUUAUCAACCGCUCCACUAAAUUCUUCUUGUCCUGAAGCCAAAGGUUGUGUAUAUCAACUUCAAAGCCCUCACCCUCUGAUCCCAGCAACAAACCUUUCCUCAACCGAUUGUAGGUGGGGAGUUUCUCGAGUGCAGCCCAUUUCAAAGCAUCCUCGUCAUCCUCACCCCUCGUAGAUUGGGAGAAAAUCUCGACAUUAGGGGUCCUCCAUCUCAUAGAACCAGCUCUACGAGUUUUAGGAGUCGACAUUGCAAGUAGAAAGGAAGAACUCUCUUGCAAAACCAACAAGAACUUGGCAAAACCCGAACGGUUGAAAUUAUAAUCCGAGCUAAAGUCAAACUAAAAGAAUUUUAGGAAUUUGAUAAAUAUUAAAAUUGUUAUUUAUUUAGAUUUUUAUGUUAAUUAAGACUUUUGGUAUAAUAGCAAUUGGAGUCUUGGUACAUUGGUUUAUUAUAAGUUAUCAUGUUGAAAAGAAAAAAUGCAAUAAAGUAUUAUUUUAGCAAAAAUAUUAUUAAUACUCAAUUGUGUGGGUUCCAACUGAAACCUUUCCAAAGAAUAUAAACUCCUUUUUCUCUCUCUUAGUACAAUGUUAUGUCUUGUUGUAUUGCUACUACUGCAUUGUAAAAAUCAUAUAGAAUGGAAGGUUUAUGUAGUUAUUGGUAGGACAGAAAAUGAAGCGGUUCAAAAGAUUUGAAACUAGUUUAUUUUCUUGUGAUUCUUUAAGCUAUGUUUGGUUUAUGGAAAGUAGUAAGGAAAGAAAAAAAAGUGUUAAGAAAAAUGGUUUUUUUAUGUUUAGUUUCAUAAUGAAAAAUAAAAAAGAAAAUAAAAUAUAAUUAAAAUUUGUUAAAAAUUUAUAUAUUUUAAAAUUAUUUAAUCUUUGUAUAAUAGUCGAAAAUAAGUAAAAUAACUUUGAAGAAAUAUAUUGAAGUAAUUUAUUAAAUUUAAAUUUAUUUAAAUUUUCUUCAUUUUUUUUUCUUUCUACUUUUCCUCUUUAUUUUUUUUCCUUCACAUUUUUUCUCAUAUUUUUUGGGAACCAAACAUAGCCUAGAAAAUUAGUGAGGGAAAUCGACUAUAAAAAAGUUUGUGCAAUGACUCCAUAAUAUUGUACGCAUGCCACCAUUUUUUUUUUCCUUUCAACUUCCUAUAUUAAGACUUUCACGGUUCAUAAUUUUUGGUUUCUUACACUUUCUUUAGCAAGUAAACAAAAAUGUGAAUUAUUGAAUGUUUUGUUAGUUUUUAAAAUAAGAAAUAUAAUACUCAAUUUUAUACAUGUUUUCAGGCAUGUUUGGUAUGUAAGUUAUGAUAGGAUAGAGUAUCUAUAUUCUAUAAUAUCAAAUAUGCAUUAAAUGAAAAAUGCAUAUUUUAAACUAUAAUUUCAAUGAGAUAUGAUAUAUUUUUUAUAUUAAAUCCAAUAUGAUAUUGUAAGAUGACAUAUCCAAUGCAUUUCCUAAAAUAAAUGAUUUCCAUAUAUUUUUUAAGAUUAUUAAAUCCAAUGGAUAUAAUAUUCUAAGGUAACAUAUCUAAUGAGAUAGGUAAUGUAACAUUAUGCUUAUAUUUAAUUUGUAAAAUGAAUAAAAAAUAAAAUGGAUUAUAUAUUAUUUUAUAACAUAUCUUCUAUUUUAACCAUAAAUUUAACUUUGCAAUAAAAAAAAAUAUUUUACUAAAUAAGUGAUAAAAAAUAAAAAAAUAAUAAAAGAAAAAUAAAUUUAUGAUACAUAGAAUAAUAUAUCUCACUACUUAUCCGAUGUAGAAGGAAUAUAAAAAAGAUAUAGAUAAUAUAUAUCACUACUUAUUCUACCAUAUGUUCCAUCCACCCAACCAAACCAUGACCUUACGAUAUAAAAAAAUUAAAGUUUAAUAGCAUCCACAUUAAUAAAAACAAACAAUUUACGAAUAUAAACCAAACAAUCAAACACUCAAAUGAUAUUUCGCUCUAUUUAGACUAAUGAAAAAUAAACAAUUUAAAUAUUAAAAAACAUUCCACUUUAUUAAGCUUUAAGGUUAGAAUCUUAAAAAAAAGUUGCUUUAAGAAUAUUUUUUAGAGUUAUUUCAAAGGAAUGGAAUUAUUUGUUUUUUUUUUUUUUUCAUUUAUGUCGUAAAGCAAAUUAUUUUAAAAUUUAAAAUCAAAAUAUAAAAAUUUUAUUUUUUAUAUUAAGAUAAAAUUGUCUUAUAAAAAGUAACAAGUUAAAAAACAAAUAAUUUUUAUAAUGACUUAAGUCUUAACACUAUUAAGCAUUAUUUAGAUAUAAGGUUUAUUUAAUUUUUUUUUUUAUAAAAAAAUACCAUCUUUCACAUAAGAUUUAAGUAGGUUUAACCUAUUCGAAAUUGCUUGAAAUCUAAGAGGUUAUUUGUUUUUUAAACUUAAAUCUUAAAGCUAGUUGCUUUAAAAUUUAAGAUAAAACUAAAUAAAAUAAAAUAAAAUAAAAACUUUUGUUAUUAAGACAAAAUUUUCUUUUAAAAAUGAUAAACUAAAAAGAUAAUUUGAAAAAUGACUUCCAUCUUAAAGCAACUCUUUUUAUUAGGAUUCCAUGUCUAUCCUAAUUAAAAUUAAUAAUCAACUUGAUUUUGAGUAAGUUUAUAUUAUUGUUAACCGACAUUAUUUUUCAAUAAAAGCAUUUGCGAAAACAUAAACACAUUUAUGCUUCAAUAAAUGGAAUACAUUUUUUAGUAAUAUAACCAUACUUUAUUUAAAAAAAAAAACAUAUUAGUCUAAUAAUCGAUAUUCAUAAUUGAUAAUAUCAUAUAUUAAAAAUUAUGAACGGUGAAUAACUAAUAUAUAUGGAUUAUUAAAGUAACGAUGAGCAUACAACCUAUGUAACUUGGUGAAAACUUUUUUGUCCAUCUGUUUUUGCUUUGCUUAUUAAAAAAUAAAUUAUUAAAGCAAUAAUGAGCAUAAAAAUUAAUUAAAACAAUAACUAUCACUCAAAUGAAGUAUUAUAGGCUCUAUUGAUAAUUGUUUUUAAAAACAAUUUUUAUUCUCCAGAAUAAAAAAACAAUGAAACAAGUUUGAUAAUAGAAAACAAAAAACAUUUUAUUGUUUUUUUUUAUAAAAAAAAGACAUUGUUUUUUCAAUCCUUUAAUUGUUUUCACUUUUUUUAAGGAUUACUAAAAAAAAUUAACCAAAUGAUUAAAAAUAAAACACUACAUGUAAAAAUUAUUUUAAACCAUAUUUAAAAAUAUAGAAAAUAGGUUAAAAAUAUUUUAGAUUUUUAAAUAGACUUUUGUUUUAUAAAAAAUCAAAUAACAAUUUUCAAAAAUUAUUUUUAAAAAUUGUUUUCAAAAAAACAUUUUUCAUAUAGAACCCUAUCCUACCAACUAUAUAUAUAUAUAUAUAUAUAUAUAUUCACACAAUGCUAAUGCUAUGAAAAGGUAAUGAUAAUAGAGAGUAGAGAAGAACUUACUAAAUUGAAGAUCGAACAAGUCUUAGAAAAACAUUGUCAGUAAGACAUGGGAUGAGAACGAUUUCAUAUAGCUACUGAGAUUGUCCUCAAAGUUACAGCUAGUAAAAUUGUCCUCAAAGUUGUUCUUCAAAAACAAAAAUACUAUAAAUGGUUGGAUCCAACCUUUCAAGGAAACCAAAGCCUUUUUUUUUGAUAAAGAGAUUUUUUUUUUCCCUUCUAAAAUGAACAUUCUAUAUAUAGAAUCUGAAGGUAUUAAACUGUGCCUCCAAGUAGUUUGACUGUAAAGUAAAAUUCAAUCCUAUGUGUUGAUUGUUCUUGUGGUUUGCUAAUUGGUCAGGCAAUCGAUCUUUCCUCAAGUGGUUUCCAUAUUAUCAUUUUUCAUCUUUUUCCUCAUCAUUUUUAUCCUUUUCCAUAAGUAAAAAAAUAUUUAAAUAAAUUAUUUCAUUAGCAAUUUGUUGAAUACUUGAAAAUAAAUUAAAUAAGAGAAGUAUUCACAUAUUUUUUACUUAAUUAGUCAUGAUGACAUUAAUAAUGAGAGUAAGGUAUAACCAAAUAAGACUAAGAUAGGAAAAAAAUGAGACCAAAAAAUUUGUCUCUAAAAGGUAUGAAAAAUUGAGAAUCAAAUAUGAAUUCAGGAGAUAUAGGUAUAAAUUUAACAAUAAAAAUGUUAAUUAUGCUUAAAUGUAUGAAUUUAAGAAAAUCUUAAAUUUUGCUCAUAAUUAUUCAUGAUCACGUCAAAUUUAUAUAUAGGAAUGGUUGANNNNNNNNNNNNNNNNNNNNNNNNNNNNNNNNNNNNNNNNNNNNNNNNNNNNNNNNNNNNNNNNNNNNNNNNNNNNNNNNNNNNNNNNNNNNNNNNNNNNAGCAAUGCAUAACCAAAUGGUACUAAGAUAGGAAAUAAUGAGACCAAAGAACUUGUCUUUAAAAGGUAUGAAAAAAUAAGAUUCAAAUACCAAUUAACUAGAUAUAGGUAUAAAUUUAAUAGGAGAAAUAUUAAAUACGCUUAAGGUUAUGUUUGGUUCCAGGAAACUAUUAAGAAAAGAAAAAAAAAUAUAAAGGAAAAUUAUUUUCUGUUUGAUUGUUUUAUGAAAAAUAUAAAAGAAAAUCAAAUAUAAUUAAAAUAAACAGAAUGAGUUUAAAGUUAUAAAUAAAAAUAAUUUAUCGACUUUUAAUUCUUUCGUAUUUUCCCACAAAUUUUCAUGGAACCAAACAUAGCAUAAAUGUAUGAAUUUAGGAAAAUAAAAAAUUUUGGCCAUAAUUUUUCAUCAUUUCAUCAAAUAUAUAUAGGAAUGGUUGAAAAUAAUGAGAGCAAUGUAUAACCAAAUGAUAUUAAGAAAAUAAUGAAAUCAAAUAAUUUGUCACUAAAAGGUACUGAAAAUGAGAGUCAAAUAUGAAUUUAUGAAAUACAAGUAUAAAUUUAAUAAGAGAAAUCCUAGUAAUGCUUAAAUAUGUGAAUUUUAGAAAUUCUAAAAUUUUGACCAUAAUUAUUCUCACAUCAAAUAUAUAUAUAUAUAGGAAUUGUUGAAAAUAAUGAAACCAAAAAAUUUGUCUCUAAAAAGUACCAAGAAAUGAGAAUCAAAUAUGAAUUAAUCAAAUAUAAGUAAAUUUAGUUAGAGAAAUAUUAACAAUGCUUAAAGAUAUGAAUUUAAGAAAAUCUAAAAUUUUAACCAUAAUUAUUCAUGAUUACAUUAAAUAUAUAUAGGAAGGGUCGAAAAUAAUGAGAGCAAUGUAUAAGCAACUGGGACUAAGAAAAUAAUGAAACAAAAAAAUUUGUCUCUAAAAGGUAUGAAAAAAUGAGAGUAAAAUUAUGAAUUAAUGAGAUAUAGGGAUGAAUUUAACAAGAGAAAUAUUAAUAAUGCUUAAAUAUAUGAAUUUAAGAAAAUCUAAAAUUUUGGUCAUAAUUAUUCAUAAUCACAUCAAAUAUAUAUAGUGAUGGGUGAAAAUAAUGAGAUCAAUGUAUAACCAAAUGAGACUAAGAUAGAAAAUAAUAAAACUAAAAAAAUUCUCUAAAAUGUAUGAAAAAAAUGAGGUUAAAUAUGAAUUAACAUAUGUAAAAAUUUAAUUAGAAAAAUAUUGACAAUCUUAAGUAUGUGAAUUUAAGAAAAUCUAAAAUUUUGACCACAAUUAUUCAUGAUCACAUCAAAUAUAUAUAGGAACGGUUGAAAAUAAUGAAAGGUAUAAUCAAAUGAGACUAAGAUAGAAAAUAAUGAAACCAAAGAAUUUGUCUUUAAAAGUUACAAAAAUAAAAAAAAAUGAGAGUCAAAUGUGAAUUAAUGAGAUGUUGGUAUAAAUUUAAUCAGAGAAAUAUUAAUAAUGCUUAAGCAUAUGAAUUUAAGAAAAUCUAAAAUUUUGGUCAUAAUUAUUCAUUAUCACAUCAAAAUAGGACGCUUGAAAAUAAUGAGAGCAAGGUAUAAUCAUACGAGACUAUGAUUAUCAAACUACUUCAAAAUCAAAAUCCUUAAUAGAAUCAAAUCAUCAAGAUGAUGUUAGUCUUUUUCAAAACAUUGAAGAAAAUCUAAGCCAAAGUUCCAAUGACCAAGAAAUAUGCAUAAAAGAUAGUUGCCGACCAAAGACCUUAAAAGUAAUCACUAAGGAAUAAGAAUUGAUUUUAGAAUUACUUAUUAAGGUUAAAGAUUCUUCAAUAAGAACAUAAUUAUGUGAAAUUUGUAAGAAAUCGAUUUCUAAACUAGAAAUGAAAAAAAAACUAUAAAACCUUAUAACUUCGAUGAAAUAUUGACAAGAUUUAACUAUAAUUCCCUAAAAAAGUGAUUAUUAAAGAUCUUCAAUAGGAAAUAAGAUGAUGUUAGAAGUUAGAGAAUUAAGACAAUGCACCAACAUAUGUUUAACAAACCUUCAAGAACAAAUUAAUUAGAUAGUAAGUAACAAGAAUUAAUUUAUCCUAAAAUCCUUAUAAGUUAAUGAAGAUUUAUCACACUUAUAUCUCAAUGUUAUAAAUAGGGUCAUCUUUAAAAAAAUGCAAUGUUUCCCUAACAAUUGUGAUUAACAAUGAGUUCAUCGCUAAGAUUAAUUGUUGUCUUAAUAGAUUCAAGAGUAGCUUCUUUAUGACAUGCUAUUAGGUCAAACUUAAGAUUAGCUACAAAUUGUCUAAGGCUCAUAUCAAUAAUCAAGGGAUAUGCACACAACAUUUAAUUUGGUAUAAGAUUUAAGAGAGAAAUAUCCUUGGAAUACCCUUUUUAAUUGUCUACCCUAUCACUAGAGUAGAUGGUAAAGGUAUAAGACUAAACUCUUAAAUCAAGAGACUCUUUUUGAAUUUGCAUAUCCUCUAAAAAGAAACCUAAAUAAAUUAAGAUCCUUGAUUAUUUCUAAAAAAAUAUAGGCUAAGGAUAAUCAUAUCAAUUUUUUAGUUCAAGAAGUUAGAUAUAAGAGAAUUGAAGAACAAUUGGAAGUUAAAAAGACUCAAGAUGCUAUCCAAUAAUUCAAAGAAAAGUUGGUUAGAGAAGUCCAUCCUAAAUUCCCUAAUGUAUUUUGGCAUAGGAAUGAACAUGUAAUAGAACUACCUUACAACCUAGAAUUUAGGGAAAAUGAUAUUCCCACUAAGGCAAGACCAAUUCAAAUGAUUCAAAAACCAUUGAGAUAUUAUGAAAAGGAAAUUUAAGAACUCUUUGAUAAAAAAUUAAUAAAGAAUCCAAAUCUCCUUGAAGUUGUGUAUGCGCAAAUUUCGUGAAGUCUUGCAAAACAACCAAAAACUAUAGGAAAAAUCUAUGUGAUCAAAACUUUAUAUUGAAAUUAAUUGAUUGUGCGGUAUAGACUCAAAUAUAAUAUUCUUUACAAAAAAAUAUUUUCCCUUUGAUUCAUUCACUUUGAUUACAAUCCCAAAGAUGAUGACAAGAGUCUUUUCUUGAUUAUUUUAGAAAAUCAAUCCAAGGCUUAGAGUGGUUUUUUCUUGAAUGAACUUGUUAAAUGGUGAAAAACACGUUUAUGCAUUUUCUCAUACUUGCAGGGAGAUUUUAUAAUAAUAAUAAAAAAAUUCUUUGUAAAGCUUUUUUUCCUAUGUGAAGUCCUUUUGCCAAUCUCUCUUUUCCUUGAAAGAAGUCACCUUUAUUUAUAGGUGAAGAUAGGAAAUUAAAUUUUGAAUUUCAAGAUUUGAUUACUUCAUUCAAGGAAUUUGGUUCCUUGAUUAUUUUCAUAACUUUUCUCCUUCCUCACUAAAGUUUUGUCAACAAGAUAAUAUCUAUUAUUUGGUUGGAGAUUUUUGUUCCCCUUUUUUUAGGAAACUUGUUAAAAAGAGAAUAUCUAUUUCUACUUCUCUUCGAUUAGAAGACUUAAUUUCAUAGUCUUCCAAAUUUUACUACGUGUUACCUUCAAAGUUGCAUGCCACAUGUCUAAUGACUUGUCAAGCCUAAAUUUUGUUGAAAUAUGAAGUUACAAUUUUGAAGUCCGAUUUAAUGGUAAUUUAAUCCACUAAAAAUUUGGAUAGCUACAAAUUUCUCUAUUGUUUAUGUUAAAAAACAAACAAAAUUUGAAAGAGGAACACCUAGGCUUGUGAAUAAUUACAAACCCCUUAAUGAAGCCUUAAGAUGGAUUAGGUAUCAUAUUCCAAAUAAGAGAGACCUUCUUCAAAGAUUAGUUAAUUAGUCUAGGAUAUUCUUUAAGUUUGACGUGAAAUCAAGCUUUUUUGGCAAAUCCAGAUCAUAGAAAAAAAACAUGUAUAAAACAACUUUUACAAUACCAUUUGGACAUUAUGAAUGGAAUUUAGUAUCAUUUGGUAUUAAAAAUGUCCUCUCAUAAUUUCAAAACAUUAUGAGGCAACUGUCCUAAUGAUGAACUCAUUGUUAAUUACAAUUGUUAGGAAAAUAUUUCAUUUUUGAAAGAUGAUCCUAUUUAUAACAUUGAGAUACGAGUCUGAUAAACCUUCAUUGACUUUUGAGGAUUCUAAGAUAUCUUGAUUUUUAUUACUUAAGAUCUUAUUAAUUUGUUCUUGAAGGUCACUUAAACUUAUAUUGGUGUAUUGUCUUAAUUCUUGAACCUCUAUGUGUGCGUGCGUGCGUGUUCUCAUAACAAUUGCAGCAGCUCUUGCAUCUAGCCCUGAAGUUGGCUCAUCCAUGAAUAUUAUUGAGGGAUUUGCCACAAGCUCAACUGCAAUGGUCAGCCUCUUGCGCUGCUCAGUUGAGAGACCAUUUACACCUGGCAACCCAACUAGUGUGUCCCUCAAUGGGGUCAGUUCAACGAGCUCCAUGACUUCCUCAAUGAACAUCUGUAACCAUUAGCAAGGAUUAGAAAUUGUUUGAACCGGCACUUUUCCCCAGAGUGAAGCUCAACCAAUUUUGGGAUGAUGCACACUAAGCAAGGCUUCCAAAAUUCUGAACAAUCAAAGCAAGUGAUUCUACAAUUCAAAGCAUAACUGCUUCAUUUGGAUAUGAUCAUCAGGAUACCACUGUAUGAGCACCAAACUUUCUUUCAUUGAAUGAGUUGAAUACUAGGAAAACUGAACUACUUCUCUUCAUGGGUCCAACAUAUCAGUAGAAAUGGGAUCUGAAAGCGCAGACAUGGAACCGCUGGAAAUAACUCUGAACCUUCUGAAGAAGGCCACAACUUCCCUUUUUGAUAACUCAAGUCUAAAUUUAAGAGCAUUGCAAACCCUGCCCCUGGUACACACUUUGUUGGCUUUGAAACCAAACUAUUUUCAUGUUGAUACCGUGUCUUUAUGAUUUCGGCUACUUAAAGCAGCUACCAAAAGUGGAGCACCAUACUGGUAAGUUGGUAAUCAAGAUGAAAGGAUUGCAUAAGGCUAUAUUAUUGUCUUGAAUUUCAAAUUUUAAAUUACAAAAAAAAUUAGGAGAAAACAAAAUACAAUAAAAUUGGGAGAAAACAAAAUACAAGAAUUUAACAAGAUAAAUACUACCCGCUAUGACACUCUCUAACAGCCUAGACAUAGACCAAAACUUUUAUUCAUCUGUGAAGAACUUGUGCUGUUAUCGCCUUUGGAAGUUAAAUGCCUUAAUGGCAAAGGCAAAUAUAAAUAAGAAAAGCACCGUAAACCCAACAAUCACAACUGCAACCACUCCAAGGAAAUCAUGUUUGAAUCCAAGGUAGUCAUCCAAGUAUUGUUUCACUGUUACAUUUGAGUCAAGUAGUGUGUCCUCGAUAUCUCCAAACUGUGAUGUAACCAAUCCAUACAAACUCCAUGCAACUGGACAGGCCCAAUAGUACCAUCUCCACCACACAGGAAUCCUCUGUAUUCAUCAUGUAAGAAAUGCAACAAAAUGAGAUCGUUUCUGUAUCCAUGUGCUAAAGAAAGUGGCAAUUUAAAGAAUUAUGGGUUGAGAGCACUUACAUUUCGUGGGACUAUAAAACCUGAGAAGAGGUUCCAUAAUGUAUAAAAUGCUAAGGCAACGAUGGCAGCAAUAUGUUGAUUUGGUGUGGCAGCCACAGCCAUCAUGCCAUAAAAGGUGAAGUACAGUAAGGUGAAGAACAUGAAGAACAGAUACCAGAAGAACUUAGCAGCUGUCCAUUCAAAUCCAAUCAUUGCAUAAACUAUAACACCAUACGCCACAGCUUGUGAAAAGACAUAAGGUAUCUCAACUAAAGCCUGAAAGAAGAGAUGAAAUUUGAUUAAUAAAACCCAUAAAGUAUUAGAGAUAUACGAAGUCUAUAGCAUAAGAAAACUAAUUACCUGUGCAAAGGCAUAUGGCAUGGCUGAAUACAUUCCUGCAGCUCUUUCUCUGUAAAAGACUGUCCGUUCAACUGCCACGACUGGUUGCACCGAUUGGCCAUUCUGAAACCCAAGGAAGAGAACAGCGGCAUACAUAGAGCCCAUUGCAUUAGAUAUAUCUUGUUGUCUUGUCCUGCAUUUGCCAAUGUGAAGUAAAAAUUAAAGUUGAUAUGGAGAAGCAUACUGAGUUCUCAAAAUUCUGAACUGACUUCAAACUACCUUUUGGUGCCGAGAUCCCAGAACAUUGUCCCAAACAUCAAGGCUACGAAAGUUGUGAAGAAAAAUCUCACUGCCGUGUAUGGUGGAUUUCGCCAGUAUGACAAACGUUGUUUCCAUAAGCAUGCCAUACACUGGGUGAAGAAGGACUGGGAGUAUUGAGUAGGGAAAUAGAGGUCCUUAGAACCAGGGGUAGGUUGGCUCAAUUCUUUAAUUAAAUCUUUGUUUCUCCUGAAACAUAUGCCACAUCUUAGAAAAGGCUUCAACAACAAAUUCAAGCUUGCAUGAUGAACUUUGAAAUGGCUGUAUAUGACAUUUCAAUAUCAUAAAGCAUUCAGAUAUCCUAUAGUUGAAUCACCUGUAUAUGUCUGACUUUUCGUAUAUUUCGGUGAAAUCCACCCCCAAAAUUAAUUCUUGUGCAGAAGCGGUAACUUCCAACAUCCAAGUUGCAGGGUUAUAACCAUCUUUGAUUUUACUUACUCCUUCAAUUCCCUUAAUGAAAGCAAGUCACAUGUAUUAGUAAGCACUUUAUAUGAAUUAACUUAAACUAAAGUAUUUGCUGCUUAUAGCUUUUAAUUUAUCAUGGAAGUUUACCUCAAAAUACUUUAUCAGAUGGGAAGAAUGUCUACCCAGUGGUCCCAUAUAUAUCUCUUGCCCUCCACGCUUCAACAGGAGCAACUGCAAACCCAUUUUGAAUAUGUCAGUACUUAUAUGCAGGAGAGCAUAGAAGAGAAUAAAUCCUUUCUAUCCAUUAACAUUUCCCACCUCAUCAAAGGCAUCAAAGAUGUCAAUACUUGGCUGAUGGAUGGUGCACACAACUGUUCUUCCUGUGUCCACUGUGUUCCUGACUGUUCUCAUAACAAUUGCAGCAGCUCUUGCAUCUAGCCCUGAAGUUGGCUCAUCCAUGAAUAUUAUUGAGGGAUUUGCCACAAGCUCAACUGCAAUGGUCAGCCUCUUGCGCUGCUCGAUUGAGAGACCAUUUACACCUGGCAACCCAACUAGUGCACCCCUCAAUGGGGUCAGUUCCACGAGGUCCAUGACUUCCUCAAUGAACAUCUAUAACCAUUACCAAAGAUUAGAAAUUGUUUGAACCAGCACUUUUCCUCAAGAGUAUAGGUCAAGCCAAACUUGAACCUGACCAUAGCUCAACCAAGUUUGAAAAAUCAAUUCUAGGGCUUUGCUUGUUCAGAGCACUAAAUUCAAUAAGAAAAAUGUGGAAACAACACAGAAAACUCUCACCUUUCUUGUUUCAGCAUCCACAUUAGGAGGCAAUCGCAGCCAAGCUGAGUAGAGCAAGGACUCAUGGACAGUAACAUGAGGAGAGUGGAUGUCAUUCUGCUCACAGUAUCCAGAAAUGCGAGCAAAAGUCUCUUGCUUCUUUGGGUAGCCAGAAAUGCUGAUGCUACCCUCAAUAUAUCCACCAGUUUUCCGACCAGCCAAUACAUCCAUGAGAGUGCUUUUACCAGCACCACUAACACCCAUCAAAGCUGUAAGAACACCAGGCCUGAAAGCACCACUCACCCCCUUCAGAAGCUCCAAUCUGUCUUCAGGGACACCCUGACUUUUCAUUUCCUGCAAAUUCAAUUCAAACAACUUAGUUCUCAUUUUUGGUUUAUUAGUGCUGAUAAAACAUGUACAUUAUUUGCAUUAAUAUGAAGUUACCUCUGGCAUGUCAACUGAGUAUCUAAUAUCAUCAAAGGUGAUAGAAAGUGGUUGGAAUGGAAGAACCAUUCCUUUUUUGUUGUUACGUCUCGCCUCAGCAAUGGCUUCUGCCCUCACAGAAGAGGAUACGGAUGAGAUACUUCGCCCAAUUUCCUCUCCACUCUCUGCAUGUUAAGUUUAAAUUUAGAGAGCAAUAUAGAACAUGGGGUUAAAUGACAAGAACACAGGCACACAAAGGCAUGCAAGCACCAUGUAUGAGUUUCAUCACCUGUGGAUGCGGUUUGGUCAAUCGAGCCUUUUCUAUGGGACGAUAACUCAAUCUUUCCUUCAGUUUUGGCAUUGUCGGACUCUACUGUUAUAACAGCUCGAGGCUUCUCAAAUGCUGCACAAUUUGCAAAAAUCUUAAUACACUAACCUCCAAUAAUUUAGGAGUUUCAAUGCAGAGACGGUAAAGAUACUCACGAUUUAGGUAAGUCAGAGCCACAGUGUAACAGAAGUUGAAGACAAAUAUGAAUCCAAGCAGUGCCCCAGCUCCUAUCCAGUACCAGUGUGCCUCCGUGAAGAACCCACGAGCCUUCAAUACUGCUACUCCAAGGGAUUCUGUUGAAUUGGUAGAAGCAUUCUGAAAAAUGGAAAUACAUUCAAUCAUCAGUGACUGACACACAUAAAUAAACACAAAUACUCACAUGCAAAAUCCAAGAACUUACUUUGCUCCAACUCUUCCCAAGGAAUUCAUUUACCACUAUUGCGUUCUGUGCAUACAUCAUAGGGGAAGACCAGUAACCCCAAAUCCACCAUUUCUUGACACUUUCUGCAGCAUUGACCAAAUACAAAAAGAAAACAAAAAUCCAUUAUUAGUGUUUAUCAACAAGAAGGUUCUACAUUUCCUGAAAAUUUCUUUCCUCCUUAUACCUCGUGACAGGACAAAACCACCCAAUGCAAAGGGCAGAACUAAUGCAAAUGACCCAAAUGUGUUUGCAACAAUCAUGCUUCUACAAGCUGCUGCUAUAAAUCGAAAUAAUGAAGAUGCCGUCUGAUUAAGAAGCAAGAGGAGAAGAUACUGUCUAAACAAUCUGCAAUAAGAAGAUUUGUUUAUUGAGCAUAGAUCAUUUUGGAACAGAGAAAACAGGUGAAACAAAUCUGGACAAGUUUCUGCAACUUCAUAAGUUUUUAACUUUUACCUUCCCACAUUUGGAUCAAAUCCAAUGACAUAAUAAGUGAUGAAUACCCAAAGACCAACUUCAACAAAUGUGAUGGGGAUCUUGAGGAACCAUGAGGGAAGAGCAUAUGCCCAUGCAGGAUAGAAGAGCAGGCCUCUUUGCUUGUAAAAGACAGGAAGUUUUAGAAUGGUCAUGGCAAGUUCUGACAUUCCAUUAAACAUGACCUUCAUGACAGUGAAGAACAAAGCACCAGUGUAAAUGAUUCCAUCUUCUGUUGUGUUUUUGGGCAUCUCAGUUCUUAGGAAGAUUGUCAUUGCAAUCAUUGCGACUAUUGUGAGCUAAAAGCAGAAAUAAAAAUAAUAAAUUACGAUCAAAUGUACAAAAUUAAAAGCCAUUGUUAUAAGUAACAACAAUAAUAAUACUCACUUGGGUGAGCUUGAAAAUAUAGACAAAUGAAUUCCUCUUCAUCAGCAAGUACUCUCUUGAGAUGCAAGCAUCCAACAGUUCCUUCUUUCCAACACCAUAUUUUUCAGUUUUCAAAGCAGCCGGGUGGCUUUUGGUCUUGUCGAAUGGAGUUGCAAGCUCAUCUCCUAGUUUCCGUCCAAAGUGAAAUGACUGGAAUGCCUCAGCNNNNNNNNNNNNNNNNNNNNNNNNNNNNNNNNNNNNNNNNNNNNNNNNNNNNNNNNNNNNNNNNNNNNNNNNNNNNNNNNNNNNNNNNNNNNNNNNNNNNAUCUUUAUGUGCCCAAUACUGCUNNGAUCUUCCUAGAUGUUACUGCAAUCAAUUUUAAAAUUCGUGUUCUAGCUUGGUUUUUUCUAAAGAAGGGAAAAAAUGAGAAGAUGCCAAAAGGUACAAAGCUAUUAGCACUCACUUCUUGUAGGAAGUCUGCCACACCCUUCCUUUCAGGACAUCUGAACCCCAUGGAUUCAAAAAAGUUAAGAACGUCUUCACGAGGACCCUGAUAAAUGAUCCGGCUAUCAGAGAGAAGAAUGAUGUCAUCAAAAAGAUCGUAAGUCUCAGGUGCUGGCUGGAGGAGAGAGAUGAGAGCAGUCCCAUUGAGAAUGUGGACGGUUUGCCUGAGAGAAUUUACGAUUUGAUAAGUUGUUGAGCUAUCCAAGCCAGUAGAGAUCUCAUCCAUGAACAGUGCCUUUGAUGGUCCAACCAGCAUCUCACCUAUCAUUCAUAUAUUUUCAAAUAAUUGAACUAUAUUAGAUUAAUGAACAAAAAAUAUCUUCUUCUUCUUCUUUUUUCCUUUUUCAUGUUAGAACACAAAUUAUCCUACCAGUUGUGACACGCUUCCUUUGUCCUCCAGAGAUACCCCUCACCAUUUCAUCUCCUACCAUGGUGUCUGCACAGAUUUCUAGUCCCAGAAUCUGUAAAUUUAAGUGUAAAUGAAAAUAAACAAAUUAUGAGUUAGAACUGGGUUUUCUCAGAAAUCUGUAUUCCAUCAUUGAAAGUUUUAUGGUUAUGAUACCUUUAGUGUAUAAUCAGUGAUCACAUUCUCCUUCUGGCCUUCAGCUGCCGCUGCCUGAAAUGUUAGAAACCAAUAAUGAAAAUCUCAACAACCAUUAAAGUUAGUUUGGUACAUCAAGAUAUUCCAUGGAUAAGAUCGACAGAACAUCAAGAAAACAAAGUCAAUUUGCAUAUCUAUGUGAGAGAUCAAAAUUUUCAUUCUAGAGAAGACAAGUGUCCAUGUUCUCCACGAAAAACAAAUAGCUGAUCAAUUUCACAAAGUAGCUUCUGUCUCACCUUCAUGAAGACAUCGAUAUCAGGAUCGGGCUUUAUAUUUGCUGCUUUCUCUCUUCUUGAGAGCUCUACUAACAUGUCUGCAGAUAGCCAAAAUAAGAGUCAAUCUCCUGGCCUAGGCAAAUGUCAUACAACUACAUCCACAACCUUCAAAAACAAAGAAAAUAAAAGUGAAGGCAAUGGUUUAGACUAACCAUAUCGAUCUCCAACACCCUGGCAUCUUGCAGAGAAGGCCAAGGUUUCCCGUACAGUCAUUUCUCCUAUAUGGGUAUCAAGUUGGCUUAUGUAGGCGGCAGUUCUCUGGGGUACAAACUCAUUCAUGCCAUGACCGUUGUAUGUCACCCUUCCCGUAACCUAAACAAGAAAUUUCAGUUUUCAAAUUGGAUAUGAGAUUAAAGUGCUAAAAAUUGCAUCAAAGAAGAAAAGCAAUAAGAGUUUUUUUUUUUUUUUUUUCCAUUCAACCUUUAGACUGGAAUCAAGCUUUCCGGACAAAGCCAAUAAGAGAGUGGUCUUUCCAGAACUUGGAGGACCCAAAAGCAACGUCAUUCUGCAGAAAAAAAAUUAUGCACAAAAAAUUGAGUAUUGAUCUUCAGGGCAUUCUAAAUUUGAGAAAGGAAAAAAUCAUUUGAUUUAUCAAUCAAUUUUUUACUAGAAAUAAAUUCAAAUUCUCACCUUCCGGGUUUGAUGAUUCCGCUAACAUCAUGAAGAAUGGUGAAUUUCUUCUUUCUACUUGGAAGAAUUCGAAGAGUGUUCAAGAUAUCCUUUAAAACAGAAAGAAAAAUUAUAAUCUAAAAACAAACUUUCCCAAGAGAGUACUUAUUGAUUAGCUAAUGAUCUGCAUUUUCAUUUUAGUUACCUCAAUUUGAUUAAAAACAGAAUUAAUGAAUGAAGGCAAAGCUCUGCUUCCUACAUGAGCUUCUGCAUCAAUGGUAAGAUGCUCAAAUCUAACUUCAAUUUCGGGAAGAUCAAUCCCAACUCUGAAAAAUGGAAGAGCCACGAAAACUCGUUAUUAAAAAGUCAAAGGAAGAUGUUGUUUGGUUGCAAAGAAAAUAUAGGAAACACUAUCAGGCAUACUUAAGAUGAAUUCUUUCUUUUCCACUGUUUUCAAUGUUCAAAAAGAGGCAAGGAGCGCAAGAAAAGAAGAGAAAUCGCACCUAUCCAUACGAUUCUUGAGCUUCAACAAGAACUUCUCAUUGUCCUCUUCAGCGAUUUUCACCAACCGCUCGACUAAAUUCUUCCUUUCCUGAGGCCCAAGGUUGUGUAUAUCAACUUCACUGGCCUCACCCUCUGAUCCGAUCAGCAAACCUUUCCUCAGCCGAUUGUAGGUGGGAAGUUUCUCGAGGGCAGCCCAUUUCAAAGCUUCCUCAUCAUCCUCAUCCCUUGAAGAACGGGAGAAAACCUCCGCACCAGAGUUCCUCCAUAUGGAAGAACUGUUCUUCUUGAAACUACCACUGGCUCUACGACCACUGGCUGUAUAAAUUUCAGCUGUUUCCAUUGCAACACGAAACGAGGAACCCCCCUGCAAAACUAACCAGAACCCACCAAAACCCAGAAAUUUUUCCAAAAAAUCAGGAGAAGCCCAAGUUUUGAUCUCUGGAGCUGAAAAAAACUCAGAGAUGGGUGUCCUCCCCUCUUUUCUCUAUGCACUUUGUAGUGCUAAAACCUUGUUCUAUGUUAGAAAACCAUGAGGAAUGGAAGGUUUAUAUACUGGUUCGAAGGACAGAAUCAGAGGCGGCCUAAAAGUUUCAAAUUCUUAUUUUAACAUUUUCACAAUUCUCCACUAUCUUGUUUGUCAAGUAAAUGGAAAAGUGAAUUAUUAAAUGUUGUCCUAACCGCAAACUAACUAACUUUCCCGGGCCAAACUAACUAAAUUCCAAAUGUAAAACAUUUAUGGCAUCUUGUUUAUACUCUUGUUUAAUGAUAUGAUACUUUCGGUUUAGUUUGCCUGAAUUAAAAAUGUAAGUUAAUUUUUAACAUUUCAUUUAUAACCUAAUUUAAUGUUGAUAUAUUGAAUUUGGAUUACUUCUUUUAAUCUCAGAAUUUAUUAAGAUUAGAUCGGAGUUGAGUUAAUAGGCCUCGAGUUAAUUUAAAUUAUAUUCAAGGAAAGAGUUAAGUAAACUUUAAUAAGUGAAUGAUGAAAUUUUUUAUUUCUAAAUUAUAUGUAAUAUAAUCAAAUAUAUGUCUCGUUAUUACGAGUUUACAAGUAACCCAAUAGGCAUAAGAAUUAUUGAAGGUUGGCCCAACAGCCCCUUUUGACCCUUCAAAUGACUGCCCUUGUCAUUUUCAGCUUUACUCACCCUUGUCAACCAGCAAGCAACUCACUAGGAAUAGGAAUUAUCAAAUUAAGUAACUUUGCCACAAGCAGCCCCAACCCCACCCCCAAACCCCCAAACCCCCACCCCCCACCCCCCACCCACCACCCAACAUAUUUUUUUGGCAAUUUUUGUUAAAUCUAAUUUAAUAUUUUGAUAUUUGGAUUACCUAAAUUAGAAAUGUAAGUUAAUUUUUAGAAAUUUGUUUGUAGUCUAAUUUAAUGUUGAUUAAACUCGAGUAAGUUUAAAUUAGGAUUAAAUCUAUUUAAGGAUGGUGUUAAACAAAUGAGGAAACCUAAACCUUAAUUAAGUGGGUUAUUAGAAAAAAUAUUAUGGUAUUAAUUAUUUCAUGAAUUUGUAUAUCUUAAAAUUAGUUAAUAAUACCCCUCAUUAUUAUUCAAUAAAAGUGGCCAAUUCUAUGGUAAAGAAUAAAAAUAUUAAAAACAUUAGUAAAAGAUGUUUUAGACUUUACUAAAAAAAUAAGUUAAAAGACUUUUUCAAAAGAAUUUUAAAAAGUAUUUAAACUCCCCGCUAAGAUAUUUUAAUAAAUCAUUUUUUUUUUUACCAAGUCAAUGGAAAUUUGAAUUAUUAAAUGUUAUCUAACUACUAGAUAAAUUAAUAAGUUGUUUGACAAUUAUUUUUUGAGAACUAUUUUUUUAUUUUAUCUUUAAGUUGUUUUCACUUAUUUUUUAAAAUUUGUUUUAAAAAAUAACUAUACAGAAAAAUGAUUAAAAAUAAAGUACUAAAUAUAAAAAAAAUCAUUUUUAAAAAAUAUUAAAAACCAUUUAAAAUAUUUUAAAUUCUCAAAUAAACUUUUGUUUUAUAAAACAUUAAAAAAUAAUUUUUAAAAACUGUUCUUAAAAACUAUUUUUCAAAAUUAUUUUUUAAAACAAUUACAAAAUGGAUCCUAACUUUAUUUGCCUGAGUGCAAAUCUACCUAAAUUGUAAAUGUAAAAUACUUUUUUGGCAAUUUAUUUAUAAUUUAAUUUUAAGAUUCCAUACUUUGGGUUUUGAAUUACCACUUUUAAUCUCCCAACUUUUUAGAGUAGGAUUGGAUUAGCUGAAUUUGACUCUGCUUAGAGUUAGGUCCCGGGUGGUUUUCGACUGGCUCAUACUCUCCUAAAUUAUAAAUGUAAGUACAUUUUUUGGUACAUUUCCUUUUCUUUUUUUUUUUUUUAAAAACAAAAUAUCUUAUAUGAAAAAAAAAAAAAGGAAUUCUUGUAUAAAAGCUAGUUAUAUACCUUGUAUAAAAAUUUAAGUAAUUUUACUUCCACAAAUUUUCUAGGUUUUGAAAAGAAUUUUUAGAAAUACAAGGUAAAUUUUACCUUUUUAUAUAAAAGUUCUUAUAUUUUAUAUAGAAAUUCUUAUUUUUAAAAAUAAAAAAUGUACCUAAUCACCACCUAAAUUAUUUUUCACCAUUUUUUUAUACUAUAAUCUAAUGUUUAUGAUCGAAAUCUAGUGUUUGUAGUUAAGUUUGUAUUGAAGUUUAGUCAACAUAUUCAUGGAUGAAGCUAAACUAAUGACAGAAACUUUAUUUAAGUGAGCAAUUAGAACAAUUAUGAGGGUAAUAAAUAAUUGAUAAAUUUUCAAAAUUUAAAAUUUGUUAACAAUUCCCCUCAUUAUUAUAAAAAAUAUAUAUACAAUUAUAGAGGUUAAUUAUAAAAAAGAAAGAAAAUAUAUGAUAUAUCAAACUGAAUAAAAAUAAUAUCAAACAUAUUGGUAAAAAUAUUUUUGUUUUUCAAAAAAAAAACAUCCAAAAAAUUAAAAGGUUUUUUUUCAAAAGAAUUAAAAAAUAGUUAAAAUUUUCAAUAAGAAAUUUCUAAUAAUUUUGUUUUAACAAAAAUAGAAAAUCAACAAUUCCACUUAUAAAUUUCUUCUAUUUUUCAAAUAGCUAAAGAUAAAUUGAGUGAGGAAACUAUUUUUUUUAUGAAGUAUAUAUAAUAUAGUAAAAAUAUCAUAUUAAGUUAUAUAAUUUUUAUAAUUAAAGUUAAAUUCAAAUUCUCAUAAUAUAGUCAUUAUAUGAGAUUUGAUAUGAUGAUAUUUAUAAAAUCGAUGAGAUUGAUAUUCAAAUAUUUCUUUUUAAAACAUACUGAUUUAACUCUACAAGUGGUACCACCACCCAUAUAAAUUAAUAUUAAUUACAAACUUCCAUAAUACAAAUCAUUGCAUAGGAUUAGAUUUAUUAAAAAUUAAAUAACAUAUAAAUUUAUAUAGCUUUGUAGUAAAUUCUAAAUUAGUGAUUAUUUCAUUAAAUCUAAAAAAUAAAAGUAAAAUGACCAAAUCAAUCUGCAAAAAAUUCACCACUCAAAAUAAUUUAAUAAAAUGUCAAAUACUAAUAGAAUUUUUUGAGGGAUGAGGUUUAGAAAAAUCAAAUUUAGCUUUUUCUAUUUGAAAAAACCUCAUUUUCAAGGGAAGACAUUAUUAAAUCCUCCUUGAUGAUGGUAAAGUUAGGGAAAGAAAAAGAAACAACAAAUCUUAAUAUGAUGUUUCAGGGAACCCUAUCUUCAAUGAAUCAAACUAGUUUUAUGGGGCCUAAUUGACUGGAAGUUCUUAUUUUCAUUUGUCCAAAUAAAGAAAUAUUCAGAAACUGAAAAUCUUCUUUCCUAUCACAGUUCUGAACAAUCAAAGCAACUAUUAAUAAAAAAAAAACACUCAGAAUAUGACAGAUUUUGAACUAAAUAUCAUCUCGAUUCACCUACUCAAGAAAUUUGAUGAGUUUUUGAGCUUGGAAGAGUCAGGUCAAAUCCACAUGUCUGCAAAUUUGGAAGGCAGUGAUUCUACAAUUCAAAGCAUAACUGCUUCAUUUGGAUAUGAUCAUCAGGAUACCACUGUAUGAGCACCAAACUAUUUACAUUGAAUGAGUUGAAUACUAGGAAAACUGAACUACUUCUCUUCAUGGGUCAAGCAUAUCAGUAGAAAUGGGAUCUGAAAGCGCAGGCAUGGAACUACCUCUGAACUUUCUGAAGAAGGCCAAAACUUUUCUUUUUGUUAGCUCAAGUCUAAAUUUAAGAGCAUUUUAAACCCUGCCCCGUCAUACACACUUGUUGGUUUUGAAACCAUACCAUUUUCAUGCUGAUACCUGUCUUUAUGGUUUCAGCUGCUUAAAGCAGAGACUGAAAGUGGAGCACCAUACCGGUAAGUCGGUCAUCAAGAUCAAAGGAUUGCUGGUCACACUAGACAGGCGAAGCAGGUUGAGAAAUGCAUAGUUGUCGAAGGACAAAUUGCAUCCAGGUAAUUUCAGCGACAGUAAUAGGAAGACCAUGAUAUUCGGACUCAGCACUACUUCGUGAGAUAACUCUUUGUUUGGUAGACGACCAUGACACCAGAUUGGAGCCAAGGAAGAUGUAAUAGCUGCUAGCGCUUCCACGAUCGUUUGGGAAUUAUGCCCAAUCCGCAUCUGUGUGGGAUUGGAUGUCCAGAGAGGACGAGGGAUGCAGUAUCAGUCCGUGGGGGGUGGUGCCUUUAAGGUACCUGAGGAUCCUUUUUACACCAAGCCAGUGCAUGGUGGUGGGACGAGCCAUGAACUGACAUGCUUUAUUGGCUGCAAAUAAGAGAUGAGGCCUGGUGUUGGAAAUGUAUUGGAGGGCUCCCACUAUGCUGCGGUACAAUAAGACAUUCGAAAUGGUUCUCCAUCAGACUCAGAUAGGGUUGUGCCAGUGGCUCCAGGUGUGGUAGUAGGCUUGGAAUCCAACAUAGUCGUUCAAGUGAGAAGAUCACAGAUGUACUUAUGCUGAUUGAGAUGUUGUAAUGCAUUGGCAUGAGUGACCUCUACACCCAGAAAGUAGUUAAUAUGACCAAGGUCUCUAAGGGCAAAUGUUGUUUUGAGAUAUUGCAAAAAUGAGAACACCUGAGGAGGAUUGCUGCCUGUAAUUAAUAUACCGUCAACAUAGAUUAAAAGGAGUAUGGUAGCAAUUGAUGUAUGAAGGAAGAACAGAGAAUUAUCAGCCUAUGAACAAGUGAAGCCCCAGCUGAGAAGUGCUGUUCGAAGUCUGAGAAACAAGGCAUGAGGGGCCUGCUUGAGGCCAUAUAAAGCUUUGUUCAAGCGACAAACAUGAGAUGGAUAUUGCGGAUCUACAAAAUCUGGAGGCUGCUGCAUGAACACUUGCUCACGGAGGUCGCCAUUGAGGAAGGCAUUUUAAUUUGGACAUCCAGUUGUCUAAUUGGCCAACCAGAGGAGAGAGCUAUGGUGAGGACUAUGCGAAUGGUGGAUGCCUUGACUAUUGGACUGAAUGUUUCGAAGUAAUCUAGCCCAUGUGUUUUGCAACACGGCGAGCUUUGUAGCGAUCAAUGGUCCCAUCUGGUUUAUAUUUGGGUUUAUAGACCCAUUUGCAACCAAUGAUAUGUCCAUGUUGAGGAGCUGGAGCAAGAGUCCAGGUGUUGUUGCGGAUGAGGGCAUUGUAUUCAGAUGUCAUAGCUUCUUUCCGGUUGGAAUUUUUGAGUGCUUGGUGAUACGUUCGAGGUUCAAUGAUUUUCGGUGCAAAGAACAAUAUGGGUUUGAGGUUACCAAUUUUUUAUCGAGUGAGCAUGAGGUGGGUGUUAGCUGGUUUGGUGAAGAGAGUCUUGGACUGUAAUGCUAAAAGUGAAGAGUUAGUAAAUGGUGCCUGAAUAAUGGAGGGAAUAAAGUGGUUAAAGAAGGAAGGACUGGUUAUAGCUAGUUGGGGAAUGGGUCGUUCACGGGACUGGGUGGUGGUGGAUGAGAAAAGGGUUGGGAAAUGAUGAAGAGGGCUGGAAUAAGGAAUAGCUGAGUGAGGGCUUGAGGACAGGAUGGGAGAGGGCUCGAAGAGUGGUUAUAUUUGAAAUGAGAAGAUGGUUUCAUUGAAAACUACAUGACGGGUGAUGUAGAGGCGACUGGAUAAGAGGUCCAUGCAUAUGUAGCCUUUCUAAAAUGAGCUAUAACCCAGAAAUACACAUUGGACUAAUCGAUAUUGGAGCUUAUGGUUAUUGUAUGGUCGAAUGUAUAGGUAGCAAAGACACCCCAAAUACUUUAGACAUUGUAUAAUCUGGAGGAUGGCCAAAUAGAACUUGGAAAGGGGAGUUAAGAUUUAGGAUUUUGGUAGGUAGUCUGUUAAUAAUAAAUGUUGCAGUUUGGAAGGCAUACAACCAGAACUUCAAGGGUAAAGAGGCUGUGGCUAAGAGGGUUAGCCCGUUUCAACAAUGUGGUGUAUUUUACAUGCAGACCUGCCAUUUUACUCCGGAGUGUGGGGACAUAAACAUCGGUUUAUAAUUCCUUGUUGAGUAAGGAAGGGAGCGAAGGCCCUAAACUCUCCUCCAUUGUCCUAUUGGAGGCAUUUGAUUGUGGAACCAAACUGUUUCUCUACUAGAAUUUUAAACUUCAUGAAUGUAGGUAAGCUUGAUCCUUAGUGUGUAAGGGAUACGGCCUGGAAAAUCUUGAACAAUCAUCAACAAAUAACAAGAAAUAUCGAGCACCAAUAGAGGCUGGAAUGGGUGACGGUCCCCAAAGAUUAGUGUGUAUAAGAUCAAGGAUAUUAGAAGCUUUAAUUGGACUCAGAAAGUGAAAAUGGUAAUUUGUGGCUUUUUCCAUAUUGACAAGCAGUACAUAUAGUAGAAUUAUUGGUUUCAAGAGUUUGAGAAUGUUUGCAACAGGAUGUCCCAGCCUAGCAUGCCAGAGAGUAAACUGCUCAGUUCUUGUGGUAGACGCAGGAGUGUGAGACGCAGUUGUGAGGAAGGUUGAGGAUGACCUUGGUGUUAUGAAGUUCAUACGGAACUUAUAGAUACCAUUUUCAAGAUUGUCGUGGAGUAGAGUUUUCUUCAUGAGGUGGUUCUUCACAAGAAAGGGACGAGGAUAAAAGUCAAAGAAAGAAUUAUUGUCAUGGCAGAAUUUUGAGACGCUCAUAAGAUUUUGGCAAGUUUGGGAACAUGAAAUACUUUGUUUAACUGAAAAGUCUUAAAUGAAGUAGGUAGGAAUUUAGAACCAAUAAGAAGAUAGGAAGCCUCUUACCAUUGCCAAUGAUGACUAUAACUAGAAAUGGGAUCUGUAAGUGCAGGCAUAGAACCUCUGAACAUUCUGAAGAAGGCCAAAACUUUUCUUUUUGUUAGCUCAAGUCUAAAUUUAAUGACAUUUCUCUCAUACACACUUGCUGGUUUUGAAACCAUACUAUUUUCAUGCUGAUACCUGUCUUUAUGAUUUCAGCUGCUUAAAGCAGAGACUGAAAGUGGAGCACCAUACCGGUAAGUUGGUCAUCAAGAUGAAAGGAUCGCAUAAGGUUAUAUUAUUCUCUUGAAUUUAAAAUUUCAAAUCACAUACAAAUGGGAGAAAACAAAAUACAAGAAUUUGACAACAUAAAUAUUACCUCCUCAUAGCAGGGCUAUCGAUACUCUCUAACAGCCUAUACAUAGAACAAAACCAUUUUUUCAUCUUUGAAGAACUUGAGCUUUUAUCGCCUUUGGAAGUUAAAUGCCUUAAUGGAAAAGGCGAAGAUAAAUAAGAAAAGCACCGCAAACCCAACAAUCACAGCUGCAACCACUCCCAGGAAAUCAUGUUCGAACCCAAAAUAGUCAUCCAAGUAUUGUUUCACUGUUACAUUUGUGCCAAGUAGUCUGUCUUCGAUAUCUCCAAACUGUGCUGUAAUCAAUCCAUACAAAGUCCAUGCAACUGGACAUGCCCAAUAAUACCAUCUCCACCACACAGGAAUCCUCUGCAUUCAUCAUGGAAGAAAUGCAACAAAAUGAGACAGUUUCAUAUCCAUGUGCUAAACAAAGUUCCAAUUUAAAGAAUUAUGGGUUUAGAGCACUAACAGUUCCUGGGACGAUAAAACCGGAGAAGAGGUUCCAUAAUGCAUAAAAUGCUACAGCAAUGAUGGCAGCAAUAUGCUGAUUUGGUGUGGCAGCCACAGCCAUCAUGCCAAACAAGGUGAAGUAUAAUAGGCUGAAGAACGUAAAAAAAAAAUAUACCAGAAGAACUUAGCAGUUGUCCAUUCAAAUCCAAUCAUUGCAUAAACUAUAGCACCAUAAACCACAGCUUGCGAAAAGACAUAUGGUAUCUCAACUAAAGCCUGAAACAAGAGAUGAAUUUUGAUUAAUAAAACGCAUAAAGCAUUAGAUAUAUACAAAGUCUAUAGCAUAAGAAAACUUGUUACCUGCGCAAAGGCAUAUGGCAUGGCUGAAUACAUUCCUGCAGCUCUUUCUCUGUAAAAGACUGUCCGUUCAACUACCACGACUGGCUGCACCGAUUGGCCUAUCUGUAACCCAAGGAAGAUAACAGCAGCAUACAUAGAGCCCAUUGCAUUAGAUAGAUCUUGUUGCCUUGUCCUGCAUUUUCCCAUGUGAAGUAAAAAUUGAAGUUGAUAUGGAGAAGCAUACUGAGUUGUCAAAAUUCUUAACUUAAAUCAAAUUACCUUUGGGUGCCGAGAUCCCAGAACAUUGUCCCAAACAUCAAGGCUAUGAAAGUUGUGAAGAAAAAUCUCACUGCCGUGUAUGGUGGAUUGCGCCAGUAUGACCAACGUUGUUUCCAUAAGCAUGCCAUACAUUGGGUGAAGGACUGGGAGUAUUGAGUAGGGAAAUAGAGGUCCUUAGAACCAGGGGUAGGUUGGCUCAAUUCUUUAAUUAAAUCUUUGUUUCUCCUGAAACAUAUGCCACAUCUUAGAAAAAGCCUCAACAACAAAUUCAAGCUUGCAUGAUGAACAUUGAGAUGGCUGUAUAUGACAUUUCAAUAUCAUAAAGCAUUCAGAUAUCCUAUAUUUGAAUCACCUGUAUAUGUCUGAGUUUUUGUAUAUUUCAGUGAAAUCCACUCCCAAAAUUAAUUCUUGUGUAGAAGUGGUAACUUCCAACAUCCAGGUUGCAGGGUUAUAACCAUCUUUGAUUUUACUUACUCCUUCAAUUCCCUAAAUGAAACCAAAUUAAUCCUUCAUAAUGUACCAAAUUUUAUAAAGGAAGUACUAAAUUUUGUCAAGGACGUACCAAAUUUUUUAAAGGAUGUACCAAUGUUGCCAAAGUCCGUUAUGAGGUGGGGAACGACCUUCAAUAACUUCCUGAAGGUCUCCAAAUGAAGAAAUGGACUAUGGAAAUGGAGAUAAGUGUUCCAUUAGCUCAAGGAUUGGAUGUAUUAAAUUUUCUCAAUGAUGUACCUAGGGUUCCAAAGUCCAUUUCGGAGUAGGGAACGAUUUCCAAUCACUUCCCAAAGAUCCCUAAAGGAAUAAACAGACCAUGAGUAAUAAGAUAGAGAUUUCAAUAGCUCAAGUAUGUACCAAAUAUUUUUAAGAAUAUACAAAAUUUUAUAAAGGAUGUACCAAGAGUGCCAAAAUUUGUUUCGAUGUGGGGAAUGACCUUCAAUCACUACCUAAGGGUCCUCAAAGGAUAAUAUGGACCAUGGGAAGAUAGAUAAGGGCUUGAUAGCCUGAGGAUUGGAUGUACCAAAAUUUCUUAACGAUGUACCAAAUUUCCUUAAGGAUGUACCUAGGGUUCCAAAGUUCGUUUCUAAGCAGGGAACGACCUCUAAUUACUUCCUAAAGAUCCCUAAAGAAAUAAACAAACCAUGGGUAAUAAUAUAGAGGUCCUGGUAGCUCAUGGAUUGGAUGUACAAAAUUGUUUUAAGGAUGUGCCAAAUUUUAUAAAAUAUGUACCAAAUUUUAUAAAUGAUGUACCAAAUUGUCUUUAGGAUGUACCUUGGGUUCCAAUAUCAGUUUUAGAGUGGGGAAUAACCUCUAAUUCCUUCUCAAGGGUCCCCAAAUGAAUAUAUGAACCAUGAAAAUGAAAAUAGCGGUUUUAGUUCCUCUAAGAAUUGAUAUACCUAGGAUCCCAAAGUUCUUUUUGGGGUGGGCAAAAACCUCCAAUUACUUAUCAAGGGUCUUAAAAGAAUAUAUACACCUUGAUAAGUAUGAUAGUGUUUUCGGUUUUCCUAAGCAUUAAUUUACCUAUAUUUUUUAAGGAUGUACCUAUUUUUAUUAAAUUAAUAUAAAAGGCUAAAUUCAAUUUUUUAUGAAAAAUAUAUUUUCUUUUAUAUUUUAUUUUAAUUAAAAAUUAAAGAUUUUAACCAAAAAAAAAAAAUUAGAUCCAUAAUCAAUUUAAAAUCAUAAGAAAAAUGAUAUAAGCACCGUCACUUAUUGUGAUUUUGAUAUGAUAAAUUUAAAAUGAAAAUUAAAAGAAAAAUAAUGUAAAUAAUAAAAUAGUAUUACAAUGAUAUUUUUACUUUUACAUGUGAUAGAAUUUACAAAAUAAAUAAAUCUUUUGUUUAGUUUUAAUAUAAAAAAUCUUAUAUCUAAAUAAUAAAAUGGAAUUUUUAAAUUUAAACCUUAAUUUAUAAAAUGUAUUAUUAUAAUUAAUAUUUAAAAUCAUUGUUAUUUGUGGGAUAAUAUUUUCAUUUUUGUACAUUAUAUAUUUUGUUUUUAUUUAAUUUUUUAUAUUAAUUAUUUAUUAUACAUUAUCAUUUUAAGUUUAAUAUGUCAAAAAAAUAAUUAAAAUCAAUAAAUAUAGACAAAUUAGAGAGUAAAAAUAAAUUUAAAUUAAAUUAAAAAAUGCACGAGCAUAUUAAAAAGAAUAUAAAGGAAAAAAAGAAAAAUAAUAAUAAAAACUAUAAUAGGUGAUAAUGGAUUAUGGUGGCAGGAGAGGAAAAAAAAAAGUGGAAAUGUGACGAGUGGUAAGGGAGAUAUAUUGAUGUGAGAAAAAUAAUAAAAAUAAAUUACACAUGUACUUGUUAACAAGUUGUAUUAAAUUGAUGUAUACUUUGUCCUUUACUUUUAAGGGUAAUUAUGGAACAAAUUUGAAAGCACUAUUGGAGUGCAUGAAUAAACAAUAUUUUUUCUCAUUUUACACCAAAAUUAAAAAGAAAAAAAGUAAAGCUCCAAAAUCUCAUAUUUUUUGUAAUUGGUAUAUGGUUAGAUGAUUUUCCCUUUUUUUUAAGCUUGGGAUCAAAUGUGGAACCGAAGGUUGGACCCAUACACAUUAAGCAACCAUCUUUGAAAAACUUGUCCUCUGCACAUCUUAUCAUGUUUGGAAGUUAAAUGCAUUAACGGAAAAAGCAUAGUUCAAAGUCGCAAUAUCGGUUAUUGACUCGGAAAGUCAUGAGGCAUAUCAGUAUCGAUGUCUCGCUUCGAUAUCAGGUGAUACGUAAAAUAAGAUAAUUAAAAUUUUCAAAAAAUUAUAAAAUUAUUAUAUAAAUUAAAAAAUAAUAUAUAUAUCUAUAUAUAUAUAUAUAUAUAUAUAUAUAUAUAUAUAAUUAAUUAAAUAAACUAAAAAUUUUAAUAAAACAAAUUUUUUUCACAUUUAGCUCAAAGUUAUUUGUGAUAAUAUUAAAAUUUGAGGAUUUAAUUCUCACUUUGCCAUAUAAACACUUUAAUUUAUCAUUAAAUCUCAUAUAUACCUUUCAUAUCAUUUUACUUUAGCAAAUCGGGUACUCAAUUCUCUUAAUAUGUUAUUAUUAAAUCAUAUUAAAGUGUUUAUAUGAAAGGUAUUUUCCAUGUAAAUUGGGACUCAAUUCUCCAUGUAAAUCCGUAUAAAAGAUAGUUUUUUACUUUACUAAUUUGAGCUCCCAAUCUCCCACUCUCGCCACCGUUGCUGUCAAGACCCAUAACAGACCUCCCAAUCUCCCACCCUCACACGCCACCAUGCCGUCAAGACCCACAAUAAACGAUACCACCUGCAAUUGUAAAUUUGCAACCAUGUAAGACCUAACAUGGGAAGGGGAGCAAUCUGAUUGUGAGGGGGUUGUCUUGUCGACGUCGCCGAUGAAAGAUUCAGUCCACUUAACGAGUCACCACCGUCGACACCAAAGCUCCACCCUCUGGUGAUGCUCGAUUUUGAGGAAAAUCAGGUAAGUAAAUCCUAAAUCAUGUCCUCAUCCUUCGGUGGUUUCUCCACUUAUUUCCGAACAAAUCACGGUUUGGGUUUUUUUCUUCGUCUUCUUUGAUCUUCUCAUUAAUGGUUUAAAAUUUCAGAAUAGGUGUUUUCUUUUGAAAGGGCAAUGUUUGAUUAUUAUUUUUUUUAAUUUUAUGAAAAUUUUGAAAAUUCUUUGUAACCUCACCGAGUCAACCAAGUUAACUUGGAAACUCAGACAAGUCAAUCGAGUCUAACCGAUUCCCAGCCGAGUUCAUGCAUUAUACUGUAUCUGGUAUCAGUCUCGUCGCGGCAAGUAUCGAGGCAGAUACGACUUGGCUGAGUCAUACCGGACUCAGCUGAUACUUUGAACCCUGGGCAAAAGUGAAGACAACGAAGAAGAGCAAGGUAAAGCUAGUUAACAACCACAACUGCAAUCACUCCCUGGAAAUCAUGCUUAAAUCCAUAAAAAUAAUCCAAGUAUUGUACCACGGUUACAUUUCUAUCUGUUAGCAUCUCCUCUACAUCACCAAACUGUGAUGUAAUCAUUCCAUACAAGGUCCAUGCAACUGGAAAUAUCCAAUAGUACCAUCUCCACCACACAGGAAUCCUCUGGAAUCUAUCAGGGAAGAAAUGCAACACAAUGAAUCAUUUCUAUAUCCUUAUGAUAAUGUAAUUUGGAUUUGAGAAACAAUUAUAUAUGGGUUGAGAGUGCUUACGGUUCGUGGGACUGUAAAGCCUGAAAAGAGUUUCCACAAUCCAUAAAAUGCAGCACCAGUGACGGUAGCAACGUGUUGAUUCGGUGUAGCAUCCACAGCCAUCAUGCCAUAGAAGGUGAAGUACAACAAGGUGAAGAACAUGAAGAAGAGAUGUCAGAGGAACUUAGUGGCCAUCCAUUCAUAUCCGAUCAUUAAAUAAACUAUAAGACCAUAUACAACAGUUGUACAAAGAUAUAUGGGAUCUCAACAUAAGUCUGCAACAAGAGAUGAAAUUUUAGUAGGAAAUGACAUAAAAGUAAUACAGAUCUGCAAUGUCUAUAGCAUAAGAAGACUAGUUACCUGUGCGAAGGCAUAUGCCAUGGCUGAAUACAUUCCUGCAUCUCUUUCUCUAUAAAAGACUGUUCUUUCAACUACGACUGGCUUCACGGAAUGCGGAAUUUUGAAUCCCAAGGAAGAUAACAGCAGAAAACAUAGCACCUAUUGCAUUAUCCAAAUCUAUUGACCUUUUUCUGCAUUUUACAAUGAAGGUAUAAGUUAAAGUUGAUUUAGAGAAACGUAUGAAUUGGACUGACUUCCACUUACCUUCUAGUGCCGAGAUCCCAGAACAUUGUCCCAAGCAUCAAGGCUAUGCCAACUGUGAAAAGAAAUCUCACUGCAGUGUAUGGUGUGUUGCGCCAGUAUGACAACCGUUGUUUCCAUAAGUUUGCCAUGCGUUGGGUGAAGAAGGGUUGGCAGUAUUGAGUAGGGAAAUAGUGCUCCUUUGAACCGGGGGCAGGUUGGCUCAGUUUUUCAAUUAAAUCUUUGUUUCUCCUGAAACAUAUGCCACAUGUAAGAAAUGGCUUAAACAACAAAUUUAAGCUUUCAUGAGAAACCUAUAGUUGAAUCACCUGAAUAGGUCGGAAUUUUUGUAUAUUUCCUUGAAAUCAACCCCCAAAAAUACUUCUUGUGCUGUAGUGGUAACUUCCAACAUCCAAGUUGCAGGGUUAUAACUUUCUUUGAUUUUUACUGACUCCUUCAAUUCCCUUCACAAAAGGAAGUCAUAUGCAUCAGUAAGCACUUGAUAUGAAUUAACUCAAACUAAAGCAUCACUGCCAAUUAUUUUUGCUAUAUGCCAUGGCAACUUAACUCAAAAUACUUUAUCAAUUGGGAAGAAUGUCUACCCAGUGGUCCCACUUAUAUCUCUUGUCCUCCGUGCUUCAUCAGGAGCAACUGCACACCCAUUUUAAAUAAUUCAGUACUUAUCUGCCAAGGAUUAACAAGAGAAACCAUAAAUUAUUUCUGUCCACGAAAAAUUCCUACCUCAUCGAAGGCUUCAAAUAUGUCAAUACUUAGUUGAUGGAUGGUGCACACAACUGUUUUUCCUGUGUCCACUGUGUUCCUAACUGUUCUCAUAAUAAUUGCAGCAGCUCUUGCGUCUAGCCCUGAAGUUGCCUCAUCCAUGAAUAUUAUUGAAGGAUUUGCCACAACUCAACAGCAAUAGUUAGCCUCUUAUGCUGCUCAGUUGAGAGACCAUUCACACCUGGCAACCCAACCAGUGCUCCCUUCAAUGGGGUCAGUUCCAUGAGCUCCAUGACUUCGUCAAUGAACAUCUGUGACCACUAGCAAGGAUUAGAAAUUGUUUAAAAAACAAUGCAAAAUAAAAAAAAUAAAAAAGAAAAAAGAAAAAAUUCACACUGCUUGUGAUUCUUUUCUAAUAGCAGGUUGUGAACUUUGUCUUGUCUUGUUAAACCAAUCAGUUAAUUGAUGGAAAUGGCUCUUUUAUGCUUAAUAACACUUGCUUGCAUGAACUUCACCCAAUUGGAUUCUAGGACAAUGAAAUUUCGACCAACAUUUUUCCUUAGGUGAAGGUCAAGCCAAACUUGAACCUGAUCUUAGCCCAACCAAGUCAAGUUUGAAAAAUCAAUUCUAAAUAGGCUUAGCUUGUUGAGAGCGAUAAAUUGAAUAAGAAAAAUGUGGAAACAAGGAAACUCACCUUUCUGGCAGCAGAAUCCACAUCAGAAGGUAACCGCAGCCAAGCUGAGUAGACCAAGGACUCAUAGACAGUAACAUGAGGAGAGUGGAUAUCAUUCUGCGCACAGUAUCUAGAAAUUCGAGCAAAAGUUUCUUUCUUCUUUAGGUAGCCAGAAAUGGUGAUGUUACCCUCAAUAUAUCCACCAGUUUUCCGACCAGCCAGUACAUCCAUGAGAGUGAUUUUACCAGCACCGCUAACACCCAUCAGAGCUGUAAGAACACCAGGCCUGAAAGCACCACUCACCCCCUUCAAAAGCUCCAAUCUGUCUUCAAGGACACCCUAAUUCUUCAUUUCCUGCAAGUUCAAUUCAAACCACUUAGUACUCAUCUGCAGUUAAAACGUGUAUAUUGUUUGCAUAAAUUUGACAUUACCUGUGGCAUGUCAACUGAGUAUCUAAUAUUAUCAAAGGUGAUUGAAUGUGGUUGGAAUGGAAGAAGCGUUCCUUUUUUCUUGUUCUGGUUAGCCUCAACAACAGCUCUAGACCUCACAGCUGCAGAUGAGAUAACUUGCCCUCUUUCCUCUAGUCUCUCUGCAUGUUGAGCUCAAAUCUAAUUAGCCAUACAAGUUAAAAUGACAACAUAGGCACACAAAGGCAUGCAUACACCAUGUAUGAGUUUCCACCUAUGGAUGCAGUUUGGUCAAUAGAGUCAGUCUUGUCAUUAAUUCUCUUACUCUUCUAUUAUAAAAGCUUGAGGCUUAUCAUAUGUUGCAAGAUUUGUACAAAUUUUAAUAAACUAGAUCCAAUUCUUAUGAGUUCAAAGCAGAGAAGAUAAAGAUGCUCACGAUCUAGGUAAGUGAGAGCCAUAGUAUAACAGAUGUUGAAGUCAAUCAGGAAUCCAAUCUGUGCCCCAACUCCUAGCUAGUACCAGUAUGACUCUGUGAAGAAACCGUGAGACUUUAAUAUUGCGACUCAUAGGGAUACUUUUGAAUUUGUAGAUACAUUCUGAAAAAAAAAAAAAUUGUUCAAUCAUCAGCCAACUUUUGCAGACUGACAUAAGUAAACACAAAUAUUCACAUGGAAAAUUCAAGAACUUACAUGUCUCCAACUCUUCGCGAGGAAUUCAUUUACCAUUAUUGAGGUCUGUGCAUACAUCAGAGGGGAAGACCAGACACCCCAUUUCCACCAUUUCUUGAUAUUUUCUGCAGUACUCACCAAACACAAAAAGGAAACAAAAAAAUCAUUGUUAGGGUUUAUGCAGAAGAAGGUUCGACUUUUCCCAAAAAAAAAAAAAAAAAACUUGCCUCAUUAUACCUCGAGAUAGGACAAAACCACCCAAUGCGAAAAGUAGAAGUGUUGCAAAUGACCCGAAUGUGUUUGCAACAAUCAUGUUUCGACCGGUUGAUGCUAUAAGUCGGAAUAAUGCAGAUGCCAUCUGAUUAACAAUCAAAAGAAGAAGAAGAUACUGUCUAAACAACCUGCAAUGAGAAGAUUUGUUUUAUAGAGAAAACAUGUGAAACAAAUUUCGACAAGUUUCUACAAAUUCCUAACUUGUAACUUUUACCUUUCCACACAUGGAUCCAAUCCGAAGACAUAAUAAGCAGAGAACACCCAAACACUAACUUCACAAAAUGUGAUUAGGAUCUUGAGAAUGAUUGUGGGAAGAGCAUAUGUCCAUGAAGGAAAGAAGAAUAGGUCUCUUUGCUUGUAAAAGACAGGAAGUCUAACAAUGGUCAUGGCAAUUUCUGAUAUUCCAUUAAACAAGAUCAUGAUCACAGUGAAAAACAAAUAACCAAUGUAUAUGAUUCUGUUGAAUGACAUGUCCUAGGAGUCGUUGACAUGGAGCUGAGUAGAUUGAAGUGGAAGUAGUCAAAUAAGUUAGUCAUGUGGAAGAUUUACCUAUUCCUUAGGAAGUAUUUGUUGGUUUGUUUCUAUUUUUUAGGAAGUAUCUAUAAGUAGCAAGUUUGUUGCUAUUUUUUAUGUUUUUCUUUUUUAAGCUAGCUGUAUAAAUAAGUGUUUUAAAGCUUAAUAAAAAAUUACUUCAGAUUCCUCAACGUUCUAUUGCUUCCUGAGAGUUUCUACACUUUGUUUCUAUCAAAACCCACAAAUUGUAUCAGAGCCAGGUUCUUGAGUAACCUGUGAGCCGAUGCACCACCAUCUACCCUAUUUACAGAAAGUAUCCAGAAUGACCUCAGAAGCUUCAUUGAAUGCACUAGCACCUCUAGUGUUUGAUGGAAUAAAUUAUCAAGUGUGGGUUGUUCGUAUGGAAGCCUACCUUGAUGCUAGUGAUCUGUGGGAAGCUGUUAGUGAGGAAUAUGAAGUUCCUCCCCUAUCCGACAAUCCAACUAUGGCUCAAAUAAAACUACACAAUGAGAGGAGGCAAAGGAAAUCAAAGGCAAAAGCUAGUCUAUUUACAGUUGUCUCAUCUACAAUUUUCACCAGAAUCAUGACACUGAAGACAACAAAUGAAAUAUGGAACUUCCUGAAUAAGGAAUAUGAAGGAAAUGAACGAGUCAAAGGUAUGCAAGUGCUGAACUUGAUUAGAGAAUUUGAGAUGCAAAUGAUGAAAGAAUCAGAAACAAUCAUGGAUUACUCAGACAGACUUCUUAGUAUUGUUAACAAAGUAAGACUUCUUGGUACUAACUUUUCUGAUUUUAGAAUAGUUUAGAAAAUUUUUAUAACAGUUCCUGAAAAGUUUGAGACUACAAUAUCAUCUCUAGAAAACUCAAAAAAUGUGUCAAGUAUCACCUUGGCAUAGCUGUUGAAUGCAUUACAGACUCAAGAACAAAGGAGGUUAAUUAUGAGACAAGAAGGAUCUGUGGAGGGUGCAUUUCAGGCCAUAUCUCAGUACAAGAAAGAGAUGCAAAGCAACAAUAACAGAAGCAACAACACUCAAAAGUUUCCACCAUGUCCUUACUGUAAAAAAUCCAAUCAUCCACAAAAAAGGUGUUGGUGGAGGCCGGAUGUAAAAUGUCACAAGUGUGGUCAGCUAGGGCAUGUGGAAAGGAUAUGCAAAUCUCAACAGCAGCAAGGAAAAGUUAAGGCUGUUGUGGAAGAACUUCAAGAUGAGCAACUGUUUGUGGUAUCAUGCUUUGCCACUAGCAGCUCCCUAGAAACUUGGCUUAUAGACAGUGGUUGUACAAACCAUAUGACUUGUGAUCAAGGGCUCUUUAAGGAACUUGACAAGACUGUUACUUCCAAAGUUAGAAUUGGAAAUGGAGUAUAUUUUGCAGUAAAAGGAAAAGGAACAGUGGCAAUUGAAGGCCACACAAGUUUGAAAUUAAUCUCUAAUGUCUUAUAUGUUCCUGAGAUUAAUCAAAAUCUGUUGAGUGUUGGUCAACUACUGGAAAAAAACUAUAAGGUAUUUUUUGAGGACGGUCAUUGCAUGAUUGCUGAUGCACAAGGCAAAGAGGUAUUUAUAGUCCAAAUGAAAGACAAAAACUUUUUCUUGGAUUUGAUGCAAGAAGAACAGGUUGCAAUUCACAAAGAAGAAAACAAUACAAUGCUUUAGUAUAGGCUUUUGGGGCACUUUCAUCAUACCGCCCUUCUCUUUAUGAAGAAGAACGAUCUUGGAGAAGGCUUGCCUGAAUUAGAGGUGAAGCCUCCUACUUGUGUGGCCUGUUGGUAUGGGAAACAAACAAGACUUCCUUUCCCACAAAACAAGGCCUGGAGUGCUACUCAGAAGUUGUAAUUAGUACACACUGAUGUGGGAGGACCUCAGAGAACACCAUCACUGAAUGGUAGUAAGUUCUAUAUUGCUUUCAUUGAUGAUCACACAAGAAUGUGCUAGAUUUAUUUCAUGAAAUUUAAAUCUGAAGUUGCUAACAUCUUUUGGAAGUUUAAAGCUUAGGCUGAAAAUCAAAGUAAAUGUAAAAUGCAAGUGAUCAGGUCUGAUAAUGGAACUGAAUACACCUCGGAGAAAUUUAACAAAUUUUGUGAGGAUGCAGGCAUUGAGCACCAGCUUACAACACCUUAUACCCCUCAACAAAAUGGAGUUGUUGAGAGGAAAAAUAUAACACUUAUGGAAAUGACAAGGCGUUUGCUACAUGACAAAGGGCUACCAAAAAAAUUCUAGGCUGAGGUUACACAUACAUUAGUCUUUCUGCUGAAUAGACUGCCAACAAAAGACUCCAUUUGAAGCAUGGUAUGGCUAUAAACCAAGGCUGCAAAAUUUAAAACAUUUGGUUGUCUUUGUUUCUCUUUUAUUCCACAUGUUAAGAGAGACAAAUUGGAUAAGAAAGCAAAAGCUGGGAUCUUUAUAGGCUAUAGCUCAAUAUCAAAGUCCUAUAGAAUCUACCUUCCAGAAAACAACAAAGUAAUAGUUAGCAGAGAUGUCAAAUUCUUCAAAUCAGAAAGUUGGAGUUGGGAGAAUGAUAAGAAGCUUGUGUUUAAAGAGAAUCUUGAGUUCUAAAAUGACCUUAAGUUUCAAGAGAAGAAUGAAAAUAUUGAUGAUGAACCUAUCAAGGGAACCAGAUCACUCUCUAACAUCUAUCAUGGGUGCAAUGUUGCUAUAAUGGAGCCUACAAGGUAUGAAGAAGCUGCAGUUGAUAAAAAAUGGAUGGAUGCAAUGAAGGAUGAGCUUAUAAUGAUUGAAAAAAACCAAACUUGGGAGCUAGUGGACAAACCAACACACAAAAUGGCAAUUGGAGUCAAGUGAGUUUAUAGAACCAAACUCAAUUCUGAUGGUUCUAUAAACAAACACAAGGCAAGACUAGUUGUCAAAGGAUAUGCUCAGAUGUUUGGGGUGGAUUUCUCUAAGACUUUUACCCCAGUUGCUAGAUUGGACACUAUAAGAAUGUUGUUGGCUCUUGCUGCUCAAAAGGGUUGGAAUAUACAUCAGAUGGAUGUCAAAUUAGCCUUCUUGAAUGGAUACUUGGAGGAAGAAAUUUUUGUGGAGCAGCCUGAAGGUUUUAUUGUUCAAAGAAUGGAGGAGAAAGUAUAUUUGUUGAAAAAGGCCUUGUAUGGUUUAAAACAGGCACCAAGGGCCUGGUACAGCAGGAUUGAUUCACCUUUGUUAGGCUUAGGCUUUACAAAAAGCCUAAGUGAAUUUACUCUAUACUUCAGGAAGGUUUGUGAUGAAACACUUGUGGUAUCUUUAUACGUUGAUGAUCUACUUAUGACAGGAAGCAGUAUGGAGCAAACUGACAAUUUCAAAAAGAAAAUGAAGGAUGUUUUUGAGAUGACUGAUCUUGGGAGGAUGACAUUCUUUCUUGGCAUGGAGAUACAACAAAAGCAGAAUGAGAUGUUCAUAUGUCAACAGAAAUAUGCCAAAGAAAUCCUGAAAAAGUUCAAGAUGGAAUAGUGCAAUCCAAGUGCAACUCCAAUGAAUCAAAAUGAGAAGUUUUGCAAAGAAGAUGGAGCUGCAAAAGUUGAUGAAAGGCUUUACAGGACCAUUAUCGGGUACUUGAUGUACCUAAAGACAACUAGACCAGAUAUUAUGAAUGCUGUAAGUUUACGCUCAAGGUACAUGCAUUGUGAUAGUGAAAUUCACUUCCAAACAGCAAAAAUAAUUGUUAGAUAUGUCAAGGGUACAAUUGACUAUGGUCUGAGGUUUUGUCAAGUUAAAAACUUUACUCUCCAUGGUUAUUCAGAUAGUGAUUAGGCAGGUUGUGUUGAUGACAUGAGAAGUACUUUAGGUUAUUGUUUCAGCAUUGGUUCUACUAUUUUUUUCAUGGUGUUCCAAAAAGCAAGAAGUCAUAGCUCAAUCCACAGUAGAAGCAAAAUAUGUAGUUGUUGCUAUUGUUGUGAAUCAAGCUCUCUAGAUCAGGAAAUUGAUGGCUGACUUGUUUAUGGAGCAAAAGAAAAACACACAAAUACUCGUAGACAACCAAGCUGCAAUUUCAAUUGCAAAUAAUCCGGUGUUCCAUGGCAAAACAAAACAUUUCAAGCUGAAACUUUAUUUCCUAAGAGAGGUACAGAAGGAGGGAGAAAUACAGUUGGUCUACUGCAAAACAGAGAGUCAAAAUGCUGAUAUCUUAACCAAGCCACUUCCCAAAGCUAGAUAUGAGUUCUUGAGGCAAAGGCUUGGAGUCUACAGUUCCAGAGACAAGGAGGAGUGUUGAAUGACAUGUCCUAGGAGCUACUGACAUGGAGCUGAGUACAUGGAAGUGGAAGUAGUCAAAUAAGUUAGUCAUGUGGAAUAUUUACCUAUUCCUUAGGAAGUAUUUGUUGGUUUGUUUCUAUUCUUUAGGAAGUAUCUAUAGGUAGCAGGUUUGUUGCUAUUUUUUUUAUGUUUUUUUGUUUUAAGCUAGCUGUAUAAAUAAGUGUUUUGAAGCUUAAUAAAAAAUUACUUCAGAUUCCUCAAUGUUUUGUUGCUUCCUGAGAGUUUCUACACUUUGUUUCUAUCAAAACCCAUAGAUUCCAUCUUCCAUUGAACAUUUGUGCAUAUGAGUUCUUAGGAAAAGUGUCAUUGCAAUGAGUGCCAUUAUUAUGAGCUAAAAACAUAAAAGAAUAAAUAAAUUAGGAUCGCAUAUUCAAAAUUAUAAGCCAUCAUCGUAAGUAACAAUAAUAAUAACACUCACUUGGAUGAGCUUUAAAAUAUAGACAAAUGAGUUCCUCUUCAUCAGCAAGUGCUCUCUUGAGAGGUAAGCAACCAACAAUUCUUUCUUGCUAAUUCCAUACUUUUUGGUUGUCAAAGCAGUUGGAUGGCUUUUGGCCUUGUUAAUUGGAGUUGCAAGCUCUUUUGCUAGUUGCUCUCCAACAUGAAAUGACUGGAAUGCCUCAACAAAUUCCUUCGCUAUGGCAAACCUGUAAGGCUCAUUUUUUAGUGUCCAAUACUGCUCAUGAUCUUUCCUAGAUGUUACCUGCAAUGAAUUCAGUUUUCAAAAAGACUAAUUGUGCAUCUUAAUAUGUAAAUCUUAUCUUCUAGCUUGAUUUUAUCUAAAAGAAGAAAAUACCAAAAACUACAAAGCUAGAUUUGCACUCACUUCUUGGAGGAAGUCUGUCACGCCCUUUCUUUGAGGACAUUUGAAGCCCAUUGACUAAAAAAAUUCAAGCACAUUUUCACGAGGUCCUUGAUAAACAAUAUGACUAUCAAAGAGGAGAAUGAUGUCAUAAAAAAAAUCACAAGUCUCAAGUGGUGGUUGGAAGAGAGAAAUGACAGCAAUCCCAUUAAGAAUGUGGAUGGUUUGCCUGAGAGAAUUCACAAUUUGACAAGUUGUUGAGUUGUCCAAGCCAGUAGAGAUCUCGUCCAUGAAUAGCGCCUUUGAUGGACCGACCAGCAUCUCACCUAUCAUUCAAACAUUUCUCAUAAUUAAAUUAAAUUAAAUCAAUGAACCAUACAUAUAAAUACAUAUGUAGUUUUUUUCUUAUUCUUUCGGUUAAAAACCAAAUUAUUCAACCUGUUGUCACACGCUUCCUUUGUCCUCCAAAGAUACCUCUUAUCAUUUCAUCUCCUACCAUGAUAUCAGCACAGAUAUCUAAUCCCAGAAUCUGUGGAUAGAAGCAGGCAUAAAGACAAAUAAACAAAGUAUGAGCUAGUAUUGGCUUUUCUCAUAAAUCCGUAUGUCAUCAUUGAAAGUCAUAUGGUUAUAGUACCUUCAUUAUAUGAUCAGUGACCACACUUUUCUUUUGGCCUUCAGUUGCUACUGCCUGAAAUAUUAGAAACUAGUAAUGACAAUAUUAGAAACCAAUUCUGUUCAGUACAUUAAGAAAUUCCGUGGAUAAAAGAUUUUGCAAUAGAGCAAAAUUCAGGAAUAAGAUCGACUCAAGCCAUUCAAAAGAGUACAAAAAGAAGGGAACAAACUCCAGAAUAGACACAACAUCAAGAAUACAAAGCUAAUUUGCCUAUUUAUGUCAAGAGAUCAAAAUUUUCAUUCUAGGGAAUACAAACAUCCAUGUUCUCCACUAAAAGCAAAUAGAUCAAAUUUAGAAGAACUGGUACAAAUUUUAUUGAAAGUAGCUUCUGUCUCACCUUCAUGAAGACAUUGAUAUCAGGAUCAAGCUUAAUGUUUGAUGUUUUCUCUCUUCUUGCGAGCUCUGCUAACAUUUUUGCAGAUAGCCAAAAUAAGAGUCAAUCUCCUAGCCUAUACAAAUGAGAUAUAACUGCAUUGGCAAUCUUCAAAAAUAGAGAAAAUAAAAGGCAAAGGCAAUGGCUUCGACUAACUAAAUCGAUCUCUAACACCCUGGCAUCUUGUAGAGAAGGCCAAGGUUUCUUGUACAGUCAUUUCUCCAAGAUGGGUAUCAUGUUGACUGAUAUACGCAGCAGUUCUCUAUUGUACAAACUCAUUCAUGCCAUGACCAUUGUAUGUCACUCUUCUAGUAACCUAAAGAAGAAAUUCCAGUUUUCAAAUUAGACAUAAGAUAAAACAGCUAAAAUUUGAAUAGUCAUGAUUAUUUUUUUCAUUCAACCUUCAGAUUGGGAUCAACAGUUUGGCGACCCGACCCAAAUAAUAUUGCAUGAUUUUUUAAUGGAAGAUUUACUGAGGCUUGUUGGGCCCGUUUAGCCCAUUGUGGAACCACAUUUUGUAAUUAGAGUUUUUUAGUGUGGUGUGGUUGUCGUGUUAUAUAUAGAGAGAAAAUAUUGUAGCUGCAGUAGUUGUACUCUGUAUUUUUCCCUGAUAAUAGUGAUAUCCCUGCAACUCCGUGGACGUAAGCAAAUUGUCGAACCACGUAAAUACUGUCCUAUGCAUGUGAUUGUUUUUUUUUCUUUGGCGUGUGUUUUUUCUAUUUUUUGUUUCUCACGGGUUAGGAAUUCGCCUUAAUUCCCUACAACUGGUAUCAGAGCCUAGGGUUAGGUUUGAGUGGGAGCAAUGACAGAGGAAGCAGGAAAGGCAUUUGGAAUAGAAAAGUUUGAUGGCAUAGACUUUGCGUAUUGGAGGAUGCAGAUUGAAGAUUAACUCUAUGGGAAGAAAUUGCAUUUGCCUAUUUUGGGGACAAAACCUGAGAGUAUGAAGGUUAGGGAAUGGGUGCUUCUUAACAGAUAGAUUCUAGGAGUUAUUAGGUUAACUCUGUCUAGGUCUAUUGCACACAAUGUUGUAAAGGAAAAUACCACAGCAGAUCUGAUGAAGACUUUGUCUGGUAUGUAUGAAAAGUCAUCCGCAAACAAUAAGGUGUAUCUGAUGAAGAAAUUGUUCAAUUUGAAGAUGGCAGAGAAUGCAUCAGUAGCAUAACAUCUGAAUGAAUUUAAUACAGUCACAAAUCAAUUGUUGUCUGUAGAAAUUGAUUUUGAUGAUGAGAUUCGUGCUCUGAUCGUCUUGACUUUUUUUCCAAACAGUUGGGAAGCAAUGAGGAUGGCAGUAAGCAAUUCUACAGGAAAGGAAAAGCUCAAGUACAAUGAUAUACAAGAUUUAAUUCUGGCUAAGGAGAUUCGCCGAAGAGAUGCAGGCGAAACCUCAGGAUCUAGUUCUGCCCUAAACCUUGAGACAAGAGGCAAAGGUAAUGACAGAAAUUCAAAUCGGGGUAGAUCAAAAUCCAUAAUUCUAAUCGGAACAGAAGCAAAUCUAGAUCAAGCGAACAAGUAUAAUGCUGGAACUGUGGGAAAAUAGGUCACUUUAGAAGGCAAUGCAAAAGUCCUAAGAAGAAGAAUGAAGAUGAUUCUGCUAAUGCUAUAACAGAAGAGGUACAGGAUGCAUUACUUCUUGCAGUAGACAGUCCACUUGAUGAUUGCGUUUUGGAUUCAGGAAUUUCGUUUCAUACCACUCCACACCGAGAAAUCAUACAGAAUUAUGUUGCAGGUGAUUUUAGUAAGGUGUAUUUGGCUAAUGGUUCAGCCUUGGAUGUUGUGGGUCUGGGAGACAUCCAAAUAUCAUUGCCCAAUGGGUCUGUUUGGUUAUUGGAGAAGGUUCGACAUAUUCCUGACCUGGGGAAGAAUCUGAUUUCUGUUGGACAACUUGAUGAUGAAGGACAUGCAAUACUAUUUGUUGGUGGUACUUGGAAGAUUACAAAGGAAGCUAGGGUAUUAGCUCGUGGAAAGAAGACUGGUACUCUAUAUAUGACCUCAUGUCCAAGAGACACAAUUGCAGUUGCUAAUGCAAGUAUUGAUACAAGUCUAUAGCACCGUAGACUUGGUCACAUAAGUGAGAAAGGGAUGAAGAUGCUAUUGUCAAAAGGAAAACUACCAGAAUUGAAGUCCAUCGAUUUUGACAUGUGUGGAAGUUGCAUCUUAGGAAAGCAAAAAAAUGUGAGCUUCUUGAAAACUGGCAGGACAGUGAAGGCUGAAAAAUUGGAACUAGUACACACUGAUUUGUGGGGGCCUUCUCCGGUUGCAUCCCUUGGAAGUUCAUAUUUAAAAGUUUUUUGUUGUGUUUCUUAUGUUCAUAUUGAUUCUGAUGCUCGUAGUAAACUUAAUGCAAAGUCAAAAAUAUGUUUUUUCAUUAGCUAUGGUGAUGUGGUUAUAGGUUUUGGGAUGAACAAAACAGGAAAAUCAUCAGAAGUAGAAAUGUGAUAUUUAAUGAACAGGUUAUGUAUAAGGACAGGUCAACUAUAGUGUCAGAUAUUACAGAGAUAGAUCAAAAGAAAUCUGAGUUUGUCAACUUAGAUGAAUUGACUGAAAGUACUGUCCAAAAAGGGGGUGAAGAAAAUAAGGAGAAUGUAAAUUCACAGGUAGAUCUGAGUACACCGGCCUAUAACUGAAGUUCGUAGAUCUUCUAGGAACAUUAGACUUCCAGAGCGUUAUUCACAUGUUUUAAAUUAUCUCAUGUUGACUAAUGGUGGUGAGUCAAAGUGUUAUGAUGAAGCCUUGCAAGAUGAGAAUUCAAGCAAGUGGAAGUUAGCCAUGAAAGAUAAGAUGGAUUCCUUGUUGGGGAAUCAGACAUGGGAACUGAUUGAAUUGCCAGUAGGAAAUAAGGUUUUGCACAACAAGUGGGUAUAUAGAAUAAAGAAUGAGCAUGAUGGUAGCAAACGUUAUAAGGCUAGAUUAGUUGUUAAAGGGUUCUAACAGAAGGAAGACAUUGACUACACAGAGAUAUUUUCUCUAGUUGUGAAGAUGUCAACAAUCAGACUUGUACUGGGAAUGGUGGCUGAAGAAAACUUGAGCAAUUAGAUGUGAGGACAACAUUCCUUCAUGGUGACUUGGAGGAAGACCUUUACAUGAUUCAGUCAGAAAGAUUCAUUGUUCAGGGACAAGAGAAUCUAGUCUACAAACUAAGAAAGAGCUUGUAUGGCCUUAAACAAGCUCUUAGACAAUGGUAUAAGAAGUUUGACAGUUUUAUGCAUAGAAUUGGGUUCAAGAGAUGUGAAGCUAAUCACUGUUGCUAUGUUAAGUUUUUUGACAAUUCUUACCUCAUAUUACUGUUGUAUGUGGAUGAUAUGCUUAUUGUAGGGUCUAGCAUUGAGGAUAUUAAUAAUCUGAAGAAGCAAUUGUCCAAACAGUUUGCAAUGAAGGAUUUGGGAGCUGCAAAGCAAAUCCUUGGUAUGAGAAUCAUUAGAGACAAGACUAAUGGUAUAUUGAAGCUUUCACAGUCAGAGUAUGUGAAGAAAGUUCUCAGCAGGUUCAACAUGAAUGAAGCUAAACCAGUGAGCACACCCUUGGGAAGUCAUUUCAAACUAAGCAAAGAACAAUCACCGAAGACAGAAAAAUAAAUGGACCAUAUGAGCAAGGUGCCCUAUGCCUCAGCUAUUGGCAACUGAUGUAUGCUAUGGUGUGUACAAGGUCAGACAUUGCACAUGCAAUGGGAGUUGUGAGCAGAUUCAUGAGUAGGCCUGAAAAGUAGCAUUGGGAGGCAGUCAAGUGGAUUCUAAGAUAUUUGAAGGGUUCAUUAGAUACAUGUCUUUGCUUCACAGGUGCAAGUUUGAAACUAUAGGGUUAUGUAGAUGCUGAUUUUGCUGGUGAUAUUGAUAGUAGAAAGAGUACUACUGGGUUUGUUUUUACUCUAGGUGGUAUAGUUAUAUCAUGGGUUUCAAAUCUACAGAAGAUUGUUACUUUGUCUACUACAGAAGUUGAGUAUGUUGCAACAACUAAAGCUGGAAAUGAGAUGAUUUGGCUACAUGGUUUCUUAAAUGAAUUGGGUAAGAAGCAGAAAAUGGGCAUUCUACACAGUGACAGUCAGAGUGCAAUUUUUCUUGCCAAAAAUUUGGCUUUUCAUUUAAAGUCGAAGCAUAUACAAACAAAAUAUCACUUUAUCCGUUACCUUGUUGAAGAUAAUCUGGUAACUCUUGAGAAGAUUUGUAGAUCUAAGAACCCGACAGACAUGUUGACUAAGGGUAUCACUAUUGAGAAGUUGAAGCUGUGCGCAGCUUCAAUUGGUCUUCUAGCUUGAGGACAUGAGGAUGAGUUGUAGGGAUGAAGGAUUAUUUCUUGGAGGAUAGCGGUUUGAUGUUGGUGAUUGAACUAGUCUCCAAGUGGGAGAUUUGUCGGGUUUUGUGGAGUCUAGUUUUGUUUGAUCCGGUUUGGUGACCCGACCUAAAUAAUAUUGUAUGGCUUUUUAAUGGGAGAUUUACUGAGGCUUGUUGGGCCCGUUUAGCCUAUUAUGGAACCACCUUUUGUAAUUAUGGUUUUUUAGUGUGGUGUGGUUGCCGUGUUAUUGAUUACUACCAAAAAGUGCUAUUUUGUAGACCUAAUUAUAAUGGUUUUAAGCACCUUUGAGUAGUAAUCAUAUUCAUUUAACCCAAUUAAUUCAUUAAGGUCCUUAGUAAUUGGUUUUAACCAUUUUGUGGGCAAGUUUACAUAUUUUUAUCAGCUUAUGAAUCAAUUCAAGCAUGCCAAAUGAUGGAGGAGCUACUUGGACAAGUUAUGGCAGUUAUAUAUAGAGAGAAAAUAUUGUAGCUGUCGUGGUUGUAUACUAUAUUCUUCCCUGAUAAUAAUGAUAUCCCUGCAACUCUAUGGACGUAGGCAAAUUGUCGAACCACGUAAAUACUGUCUUGUGCGUGUGAUUUUUUUUUUCUUUGGCAUGUGUUUUCUCUAUUUUUUGUUUCUCACAAGUUGGGAAUUCGGCUUAAUUCCCUACAAAGCUUUCCGGACAACGCCAAUUCAGAACUUGGAGGACCCAAAAGUAACGUCAAUCUGUAGAAAAAAAAAAUGCACAACAAUUGAAUAUAGAUCUUUGAGUAUAUUCUAAAUUCAAAGGAACUAUUCGUUUGUUUUAUUAAGUAAUCCAUUUUUACACUCGAAACGAAUUCAUACUCUCACCUACUAGGUUUGAUGAUUCCGCUAACAUCUCAAAGAAUAGUGAAUUUUCUCUUUCUAGUUCAAAGAAUCUGAAGACUAUGCAAGAUAUUCUUUAAAACAGAAGGAAAAUUAUAAUCUAUAAGUAUACAUAUCGAAAAGAGUAUUUAUUGCAUAGAUAAUGAUCUACAUUUGCAUUGUAGUUACCUCAACUUGAUUAAAAAUGAAAUUAAAGAAUGAAGGCAAAGCUCUGCUUCCUACAUAAGCUUCUCCAUCAAUAGUAAGAUGCUCAUAUCUAACUUCAUUUUGGGAAGUUCAAUCCCAACUCUGAAAAAAUGGAAGAGACAUGAAAACUCAUCAUUAAAAAGUUAAAGAAAGUUGUUUGGUUGGGGAGAAAAUGUAGGAAACAACUAUCAGGCAAACUCACCUAUCCAUACGAUUCUUGAGCUUCAACAAGAACUUCUCAUUGUACUCUUCAGCAAUUUUUAUCAACUGUUCCACUAAAUUCUUCUUGUCCUGAAGCCCAAGGUUGUGUAUAUCAACUUCAAUGGCCUCACCCUCUGAUCCCAGCAACAAACCUUUCCUCAACCGAUUGUAGGUGGGGGGUUUCUCAAGUGCGGCCCAUUUCAAAGCUUCCUCGUCAUCCUCACCCCUCGUAGAUUGGGAGAAAAUCUCGACGUCAGGGGUCCUCCAUCUCAUAGAACCAGCUCUACGAGUUUCAGGAGUCGACAUUGCAAACAAAAAGGAAGAACUCUCCUGCAAAACCAACAAGAACCCGCCAAAACCCGAACUGUUGAAAUUAUAAUCCAAGCUAAAGUCAAACUAAAAGAAUUUUAGGAAUUUGAUCAAUAUUAAAAAUUAUUAUUUAUUUAGAUUUAUAUGUUAAUUAAGACUUUUGGUAUAAUAGCAAUUGGAGUCUAGAAUAUAAACUCAUUUUUCUCUCUCUUAGUACAAUGUUAUGUCUUGUUGUAUUGCUGCUACUGCAUUGUAAAAAUCAUAUAGAAUGGAAGGUUUAUAUAGUGAUUGGUAGGACAGAAAAUGAAGCGUCAAAAGAUUUGAAACUGGUUUAUUUUCUUGUGAUUCUUUAAGUUAUGUUUGGUUUCUAAAAAAGUACUAAGAAAAGAAAAAAAAAUGAUUUUCUCAUGUUUAGUUUCAUAAUGAAAAAUACAAAAGAAAAUAAAAUAUAAUUAAAAUUUGUUAAAAUUUUAUAUAUUUUUAAAUUAUUUAAUCUUUAUAUAAUAGACGAAAAUAAGUAAAAUAACUUUGAAGAAAUAUAUUAAGGUUAUGUUUGGUUCCCGGAAAGUACCAAGGAAAGAAAAAAAAAUGUAAAGGAAAAUGGUUUUCUCAUGUUUGAUUUCAAUAUAAUUUUUUUUUAAAAAAAAUUAAAUAUAAUUAAAAUUAGUUAGAAAUUUAUACAUUUUAAAAUUAUUUAAUUUUUAUAUAAUGGAUGAAAUGAAGUGAAAUGAGUUUGAUGAAACAUAUAUAAAUAAUUUAUUAAUUUUAAAUUUAUUUUUUAUUUUCCUUUAUUUUUUCUUUCCUUCCACUUUUCCUUUUUAUUUUCUUUCCCUCACAUUUUCUCUUUAAUUUUCCGAGAACCAAACAUAGUCUAAAGUAAUUUAUUAAAUUUAAAUCUAUAUUAAUUUUUUUAUAUUUUUCUUUCUUUCUACUUUUCCUCUUUAUUUUCUUUCCUUCAUAUUUUUUCUCAUAUUUUUCGGGAACCAAACAUAGCCUAGAAAAUUGGUGAGGGAAAUCGACUAUAAAAGAGUCUGCACAACGACUUCAUAAUAAUGUACACAUGCCACCAUCUUUUUUUUUCCCUUCAACUUCCUAUAUUAAGACUUUCACAGUUGAUAAUUUUUGGUUUCUUACACUUUCUUUAGCAAGUAAAUAGAAAUGUGAAUUAUUGAAUGUUUUGUUAGUUUUUAAAAUAAGAAGAAAUAUAAUACUUAAUUUUAUACAUGUUUUCAAGCAUGUUUGGUAUGUGAGAUAUGAUAGGAUAGAGUAUUUAUAUUCUAUAAUAUCAAAUUCCAUUAAAUGAAAAAUGCAUAUUUUAAAAUAUAAUUUUUCAAUUAAAUAUGUUAUUUUUUUAUAUUAAAUCCAAUCGAUAUGAUAUUGUGAGAUGACAUAUCCAAUGCAUUUCCUAAAAUAAAUUAUUUCCAUAUAUUUUUAAGAUUAUCAAGUCUAAUGGAUAUAAUAUUCCAAGGUAACAUAUUUAAUGAGAUAGGUAAUGUAACGUUAUGCUUAUAUUUAAUUUGUAAAAUUAAUAAGAAAUAAAAUAGAAUAUAUAUUUUUUUAUAAUAUAUUUUGUAAAUUUUUUUUGGUUCUUCUAUUUUAACCAUAAAUUUAACUUCACAAUAAAAAAAUUAUUUUACUAAAUAAGUGAUAAAAAAUAAAAAAUAAUAAAAGAAAAAUAAAUUUAUAAUACAUAGGAUAAUAUAUCUCACUACUUAUCCUAUAAGGAAUAUAAAAAAGAUAUAGAUAAUAUAUCUCACUACUUAUUCUACCAUGUAUUACAUCCACCCAACCAAACCAUGACCUUACGGAUAUAAAAAAAAUUAAUGUUUAAUAACAUCCACAUUAAUGAAAACAAACAAUUUACUUAUAUAAACUAAACAAUCAAACACUCAAAUGAUAUUUCGCUCUAUUUAGACUAAUGAAAAAUAAACAAUUUAAAUAUUUAAUAACAUUCCACUUUAUUAAGCUUUAAGCUUAGAAUCUUAAAAAAUAAAAAUAAAAAUAAAAAAAAAAUAAAAAUUUACUUUAAGAAUUUUUUUUAGAGUUGUUUCAAAGUAAUGGGAUUAUUUGUUUUUUCUUUUUCAUUUAUGUCAUAAAGCAAAUUAUUUUAAAAUUUAAAAUCAAAAUAUAAAAAUUUAUUUUUUAUAUUAAGAUAAAAUUGUCUUAUAAAAAGUAACAAGUUAAAAAACAAAUAAUUUUAAAAAUGACUUAAGUCUUAACACUAUUAAGUAUUAUUUAGAUGCAAGGUUUAUUUAAUUUUAUUUUUUUUCAAAAAAAGCACCACCUUUCAAAUAAGAUUUAAGCAGGUUUAACCUCUUUGAAAUUGCUUGAAAUCUAGGAGGUUAUUUGUUUUUUAAACUUAAAUCUUAAAGCUAGUUGCUUUAAAAUUUAAGAUAAAAGUAAAUAAAAUAAAAUGAAAACUUUUGUUAUUAAGACAAAAUUUUCUUUUAAAAAUGAUAAACUAAAAAAAUAAUUUGAAAAAUGACUUCCAUCUUAAAGCAACUCUUUUUAUUAGGAUUGCCUCUCUAUCCUAAUUAAAAUUAAUAAUCAACUUGAUUUUGAGUAAGAGAAUAUCAAUGUUAACCAACAUUAUUUUCUAAUAAAAGUAUUUGUGAAAACGUAAACAUAUUUAUGCUUCAAUAAAUGGAAUACAUUUUUUAGUAAUAUAACCGUAUUUUAAUUUUGAAUAAAAAAAACAUAUUAGUCUAAUAAUCGAUAUUCAUAAUUGAUAAUAUCAUACAUUAAAAAUUAUUAAUGGCGAAUAACUAAUAUAUAUGGAUUAUUAAAGCAACUAUGAGCAUACAACCUAUGGAACUUGGUGUAAACUUUUUUGUGGAUCUGUUUUUUCUUUGCUAAUUAAAAAAUAAAUUAGUAAAGCAAUAACGAGCAUAGAAAUUAAUUAAAACAAUAACUAUCACUCAAAUGAAGUAUUAGGUUCUAUUGAUAAUUGUUUUUAAAAACAAUUUUUAGUCUCCAGAAUAAAAAUAAAAAAAACAAAAAAAAAACAAGAAAACAAGUUUGAUAAUAGAAAACAAAAAGCAUUUUAUUGUUUUGUUUUUUUUUUUAAGAAAAACAUUGUAUUUUCAAUCCUUUAAUUGUUUUCGCUUUUUUUUAAAGGAUUACUUUUUAAAAAUAAUCAUACAAAUAUGAAGAAUGAUUAAAAAUAAAACACUACAUAUAAAAAUUAUUUUUAAAACAUAUUUAAAAAUAUAAAAAACAUGUUAAUAAUAUUUUAGGUUUUUAAAUAGACUUUUGUUUUAUAAAAAAUCAAACAACAAUUUUCAAAAAUUAUUUUUAAAAAUUAUUUUCAAAAAAACACUUUUCAAAUACCCUAUCCUACCAACUAUAUAUAUAGACACACACAAUGCUAAUGAUUUUUAAAAGAAAAACAGUCACAUGAAAAAGGUAAUGAUAUUAGAGAGUAUAGAAGAACUUACUAAAUUGAAGAUCGAACAAGUCUUAGAAAAACAUUGUCAAUAAUACAUGGGAUGAUCAGAACGAUUUCAUAUAGCUACUGAGAUUGUCCUCAAAGUUGUUCUUAAAAAACAAAAAUACUAUAAAUGGUUGGAUCCAACCUUUCAAGGAAACCAAAGCCCUUUUCUUUUUUCUUUUUUUGAUAAAGAGAUUUUCAUUUUUUUCCUUCUAAAAGGAACAUUCUAUAUAUAGAAUCUAAAGGUAUCAAACUGUGCCUCCAAGUAGUUUGACUGUAAAGUACAAUUCAAUCCUACGUGUUGAUUGUUCUUUUGGUUUGCUAAUUGGUCAGGCAAUCGAUCUUUCCUCACGUGGUUUCCAUAUUAUCAUUUUUUCAUCUUUUUCCUCAUCAUUUUUAUCCUUUUCCAUAAAUAUAUAUAUAUAUAUAUAUAUAUAUAUAUAUAUAUAUAUAUAUAUAUAUUUAAAUUAUUUCAUUAGCAAUUUGUUGAAGACUUGAAAAUAAAUUAAAUAAGAGAAAUAUUCACAAAUUUUUUACUUAAUUAUUCAUGAUGACAUUAAUUAUGAGAGUAAGGUAUAACCAAAUAAGACUAAGAUGGUGUUUGUUUUUUUACUUAAUUCUAAAUAGAGUCUUAAUACUUAAUAGUGUUAAAUAUUAGGUUGUUUGUUUUUGUAGUAUUUUAUUUCUAUUAAGUAUUAAAAAGUAAAAAAAAUCAAUAUAUUAUUUUCUCUAUUUAGAAAAAGUUACAUAUUUUGGUUUUUUCUAUUUAGUAAAAAGUUUAUAAUAAGUCAUGAAAAAGUAGAAAAACAAACAACCUAAAUUUUAAAACUAAAUUGUUUUCAGCAAAAAGCUAAAAAAACAAACACCACCUAAGAUAGGAAAAAAUGAGACCAAAGAAUUUGUCUCUAAAAGGUAUGAAAAAAUGAGAAUCAAAUAUGAAUGAAGGAGAUAUAGGUAUAAACUUAAUAAGAAAAAUGUUAAUUAUGCUUAAAUCUAUGAAUUUAAGAAAAUCUAAAAUUUCGAUCAUAAUUAUUCAUGAUCACAUCAAAUUUAUAUAUAGGAAUGGUUGAAAAUAAUGAGAGCAAUGCAUAACCAAAUGGUACUAAGAUGGGAAAUAAUGAGACCAAAGAAUUUGUCUUUAAAAGGUAUGAAAAAAUGAGAUUCAAAUACCGAUUAACUAGAUAUAGGUAUAAAUUUAAUAGGAGAAAUAUUAAAUACGCUUAAGGUUAUGUUUGGUUCCAAGAAAAUAUUAAAAAAAUAAAAAAAAAAUAUAAAGGAAAAUGAUUUUCUCAUAUUUGAUUGUCUUAUGAAAAAUAUAAAAGAAAGUCAAGUAUAAUUAAAACUAAUUAGAAACUUACGUAUCUUUUAAUUAUUUAAUCUUUAUAUCGAUUAAUUAAAAUAAACAAAAUGAGUUUGAAGUAAUAAAUAAAAAUAAUUUAUCGAUUUUUAAUCUAUUUUUUAUUUUCCUUUCAUUUUCCCACAAAUUUUUGUGGAACCAAACAUUUGAAGUAAUAAAUGUAUGAAUUUAGGAAAAUCUAAAAUUUGGCCAUAAUUUUUCAUGAUUACAUCAAAUAUAUAUAGGAAUGGUUGAAAAUAAUGAGAGCAAUGUAUAACCAAAUGAUGUUAAGAAAAUAAUGAAAUCAAAUAAUUUGUCUCUAAAAGGUAUGGAAAAUGAGAGUCAAAUAUGAAUUAAUGAGAUACAAGUAUAAAUUUAAUAAGAGAAAUACUAAUAAUGCUUAAAUAUGUGAAUUUAAGAAAUUCUAAAAUUUUGACCAUAAUUUUUCUCAAAUCAAAUAUAUAUAUAGGAAUGUGUGGACCCCGCAUUUCGGCUCAUGCGUUUCCCACUCGAUGGCGAGCUCGAUUUUAAUUUGAAAUUUUGAUUUUAUUUAUUGUUUGAAAAUGACUUGGAGUCGCCACUUAUUUUUGUUUUAUUUUAAAGGGUAAACAAAAUAAGAAAGAAAAACCCUAAGUGUGACUCCUUGUUUUGGAAAAUGUGGUCUAUGAAAAACCGGAUCGAGUUCGGGGGUCAGGUUACUUAUCGAGAAGGUACGGUAGAGACCGUAGCACCCCUCUAAGUCCCUAAAAACAGGUCUCUACUAAUAAAAUAAAGCAAUCAUGGCAAUUGAUGAGUAAAUCAAUAAAUACCUAGGAUGGCCAUGCUCAUGUGAAAAUCAAAACACUCAAUAAGAACGAUCGAAGUGGGAGUGGAGCAUACCUUGGCACCAAACGAUCAGCGUCCAUCAAGAAAGGGGGUUAGCGCACAGUUAAGAAAUAAUAUCAUGCAUGUCAUAGAGCAGAAUAACUCAAUCAUGUACUACCAUCAAAUCAACUAAUUAAACAAUCAAUCAUAAAAACGUGUAUGUGGGGCCCCCACCAAAGCCCGAUUUAUAUUGCAUGAAUUAAUCCCAUAAAUUCCAUUAUUCGGAAUUACGGAAAAUUCAUUCUUGCUUAUUAAAGUCCAUAGGAGCAGAAGAUUGUUUGAAAGCCAUAGCGAAAUUAAAACUAUUCGGGAGAAAAUUAGAUUUUUGAAAUUUAAUUGAAAAAUUGGAAUCUCGAAGAUCACUAGAAAAUUGGAGUUUUAGAGUUUAUUUGGAGAUUAGACUUUUAGAGAUUGAAUGUGAGAAUGAGAAUUUUUAGAAACUGAAUUUGAAAGAGGUUGGAAUUUUGAAAACGAUUUGAAGGUUCGGGAUUUUAAAGAAAAAUUAAGUUGCGAAAAUUGAGACUUUGGGAGUUGAAUUUUGAAAGAUAUCAGAAUCGUAAGUUAUUUGAGAAAUAGAAAUUAUGAAAGUUGAUGAGUAAAAAUUGGAAAUCUUAGAAAUCAUUCGAAGGCGGAAUUUAUAGAAAUAAUGAAUAAGAUGAUAAUGAUAAUGAUAAUGAUAAUAAUAAGUAGUGGGAUAAAUACGGGAAUUGGAGCAUGGAAAACUGAAAAUUAAGUUCGGAGAUUGGACAAUUGGAGUUUCAAAUAGCUAAAUUUAGAAAUUGGAAUUUUGAAGAAUUGAAUUUUAAUGAUUGAGAUUUUUAAGAGAAAUAAAUAGGUAAAUAUGGAAUAAUGUUAUUAAUUAAUCAAAACGAUAUUUGGACAGAUGAAUAGUGAAUAGUGGGAUUUUUAAAUUUAAGUUUGAAAGUCGGAUCUCUGAAUAAUUGGACUCUAAUUAUUGGAAUUUUUAGAAGAAAGAAAUAAGUAAACGUGGAAUUUAUAACAAUGAUAACAAAGAUGAUAUUUGAAUGAAUAAAAGUGAAUGGUGGAAUUUUUGAGUCUCAAGGUUAAAUUUGGAAGUCCGGUUUUUGAAGAAUUGAAUUUUAAUGAUUGAAAUAAAUAAGUAAAUAAGUAUGGAGUAAUGAUACUAAUUAGCAAAAAUAAUGUUUAAACGAGUAAAAAAAUAAUAGUAGAAUUUUUCUAAUCAAGAAUUUGAAUUAGGGCGUUGGAUUUUUAAAGGAUAUGACUUUGAAUAAAUAGGUAGGAUUAUAAUACUAAUUAAUGAGAAUAAUAUUUAGGCGAAUAAAGAUGGAUAGUAGAAUUUUUUUUUUAGAUUGGAGUUUUAAUUAAGGCAUGGGGUUUUCGGAAGAUUGGACUUUAAAUAGACAUGAAAUAAAUGAUUCUAAUUGAUGAAGAUAAAAUUUAGACGAAUUGUAGAAUUUUUAGGAUUGAAAGAUUGAAUUAAGACAAGAGAUUUUUUGAAGAACUAGGUUUUAAAUAAAUAGAUGAAUAUGGGAUAAUAAUCCUGUUUGAUGAAAAUAAGAUUUAAACGAUAGGAUAAUAAUUCCAAUUGAUGAACAUGAGAGACAGAUAUUUGAAGAAUUAAAUUAAGGCAUGGGAUUUUCUUAAAAGAUUCAGAUUUUAAAUAGCUAGAUAAAUAUGAGAUAAAUAAUUCUAAUGGAUGAAAAUGAGAUUUGAACUAAUUAUUGAAUUUUUAGGAUUGAAAAAUUAAAUUUAAAUAUGGAAUGUUUGAAGGAUUAGACUUUAAGUAACUAGGUAAGUAUGGGAUUAUAAUUCCGAUUGAUGGAAACAAGGUCUAAACGAGCUUUUGAAAAAUUAAAUUGAGACAUGGGGUUUUUGAAGGAUUAGAAUUUUGACUUUAAUAAACGAGAUUUAUAAAAUAUGAUAAAUAGAUAUACACAAAAAAAUAAUAAUAAUAAUAAAUAGUUAUAAUGUUUAAGCUAGCCAAAUUGAAUAAUAUAAGCUUCAAGAUAAAACUAUAAUUAACAAUAAUAAUUUGACUUUCAAUUUUCUUUAAGAUGAGUUAACCAAAUGUAUAAAAAUAAGAUGACAAAUAAAAGGGGAUGAUUUGAUUAAUCAAUUAUGGAUAUUAGAGGUUUUGUUUUGUUUUCUUUUUAAAAUGAUUAUUUAGGAAUUGGGCAACCUGAUGGGCUAACUUGAAGUGGGCAUGGGCCACUUUAAUAAGGGGAAUUGGCAUGAGGCCUUCAUCAAUGUAAAUGGGCCUGGGCUCCAACUUAAGCCCAAGUCCAAUGCUAGCAUGGGCGGCUUCAGAGACUCAUCUCCCUCACCAACUUGUCCCGCCUGGCUGCAACCCCUUCAACAUCUCCCCGCGGCGGCGGCGGCUGACUCCAUCACGCCUGGAUGAAGCUGGCAGUCGGCGCGCGCCGCUUUCUCGGCGCGUCCACGUGCUCUACCGGCUGAGAUCGAGCUUCCUUUCUUCACGGUGGUCAUGUGCAUGUCGCCGACGCAAGCAGACGACAGCUGGUUGAGCUCUCUCUGGAUCGCUCUCCCUCCGGCAGCGACGUCGCCCGAGUCAGGUACGACGCAGGCGAGAUCGAAGGCGCGUCCUGCGCGCGCCUCGUGCCUUCUCGUGUCUACAUCGAGCAGCUCUCCAUGCUACCCCGUCGGAUUCGGGCUGCCUUGACCGCCGUGGGAGCAGUGGCUGCGGCGACGAUGCUUGGGAUUAGCACCGAUCCAGAGCUCCUCUUUAGGGGCUCAUCGGUUAUGAAAGGUGGCAGCCAUGCAUGGCUAUGCAUAGCCAUGCGAGGGGAGAGGAAUGGGUGCAGGGACGUGGAUGGGAACUAGGAUAGCUGUGGUGGGUAUUGGUAUGGGUUCAACGCAGCCAUGCAAGGGUGGAGAGAAACUGGAAGUUCUCAAUGCCAUUGAUCAAACAUCAAACCCAAGUGAGGAUCCAAUCUCUUGCAAGGGAAAAAUCAACAAAAUUGCAGGAAGCAAAAAAAAAAAAAACAGAGCAAGCAUUUUCAGGGUCUUGGAUACCCACAGCAAAUCACAAAAUAACCUUCAUAGAUUAACAGAAGACCUUACCUGAAUAUUCCACCACGUCACCUUCCUCUCUCUCGUCUGAAUCCCCCUGCGCCCCCUCUUCUUUUCUCCAAGCUUCAAAAUGUCCCCCCCCAUCACCCCCCGGAACCCCCCUUUUCUUUUUCUUCUCUUUUUCCUCUGUUUGUGUCUUCCUCAGCAAGUCAUCCUGCCUGCUGCUACCCAUCCCAUCUGGUGGCUACCCCUCAUCCCCUCUAGCUGCCCCAGAGCAGCCCGCUUGAGAGGCGGUCAGAAAAACAAUAAUAAUAAUAAUAAUAAUAAUAAGCUAAAGCUCCUGGGGGGGUGGUUUUCUACAGAAUGGUUGAAAAUAAUGAAAUCAAUGUGUAACCAAAUGGGACUAAGAAAAAUAAUGAAACCAAAAAAUUUGUCUCUAAACAGUACCAAGAAAUGAGAAUCAAAUAUGAAUUAAUCAAAUAUAGGUAAAUUUAGUUAGAGAAAUAUUAACAAUGCUUAAAGAUAUGAAUUUAAAAAAAUCUAAAAUUUUAACCAUAAUUAUCCAUGAUUACAAUAAAUAUAUAUAGGAAGGGUUGAAAAUAAUGAGAGCAAUGUAUAAGCAAACAAGACUAAGAAAAUAAUGAAACCAAAAAAUUUGUCUCUAAAAGGUAUGAAAAAAUCACAGUAAAAUAUGAAUUAAUGAGAUAUAGGGAUAAAUUUAACAACAGAAAUAUUAAUAAUGCUUAAAUAUAUGAAUUUAAGAAAAUCUAAAAUUUUGGUCAUAAUUAUUCAUAAUCACAUCAAAUAUAUAUAGUGAUGGGUGAAAAUAAUGAGAUCAAUGUAUAACUAAACUAGACUAAGAUAGAAAAUAAUAAAACUAAAAAAAUUCUCUAAAAUGUAUGAAAAAAUGAGAGUUAAAUAUGAAUUAACAUAUAUAUAUAUAUAUAUAUAUAUAUAUAUAUUUAAUUAGAAAAAUAUUGACAAUCUUAAGUAUAUGAAUUUAAGAAAAUCUAAAAUUUUGGCCAUAAUUAUUCAUGAUCACAUCAAAAAUAUAUAGGAACAAUUGAAAAUAAUGAAAGGUAUAAUCAAAUGAGACUAAAAUAGAAAAUAAUGAAACCAAAGAAUUUGUCUUUAAAAGUUACAAAAAAAUAAAAAUAAAAAAUGAGAGUAAAAUGUGAAUGAAUGAGAUGUUGGUAUAAAUUUAAUCAGAGAAAUAUUAAUAAUGCUUAAGCAUAUGAAUUUAAGAAAAUCUAAAAUUUUGGUCAUAAUUAUUCAUUAUCACAUCAAAAUAGGACGCUUGAAAAUAAUGAGAGCAAGGUAUAAUCAUACGAGACUAUGAUUAUCAAACUACUUCAAAAUCAAAAUCCUUAAUAGAAUCAAAUCAUCAAGAUGAUGUUAGUCUUUUUCAAAACAUUGAAGAAAAUCUAAGCCAAAGUUCCAAUCACCAAGAAAUAUGCAUAAAAGAUAUUUGCCGGCCAAAGACCUUAAAUGUAAUCACUAUGGAAUAAGAAUUAAUUUUAGAAUUAUUUAUUAAGGUUAAAGAUUCUUCAAUAAAAACAUAAUUAUGUGAAAUUUGUAAGAAAUCGAUUUCUAAACUAGAAAUGAAAAAAAAAAAACUAUAAAACCUUAUAACUUCUAUGAAAUCUUGACAAGAUUUAACUAUAAUUCCCUAAGAAAGUGAUUAUUAAAGAUCUUCAAUAGGAAACAAGAUGAUGUUAGAAGUUAGAGAAUUAAGACAAUACACCAACAUAUGUUUAACAAACCUUCAAGAACAAAUUAAUUAGAUAGUAAGUAAUAAGAAUCGAUCUUUAAAAAAUGCAAUGUUUCCCUAAUAAUUGUGAUUAACAAUGAGUUCAUCGCUAAGAUUAAUUGUUGUCUUAAUAGAUUCAAGAGUAGCUUCUUUAUGGCAUGCUAAUAGGUCAAACUUAAGAUUAGGUACAAUUUGUCUAAGGCUUAUAUCAAUAAUCAAGGGAUAUGCACACAACAUUUAAUUUGGUAUAAGAUUUAAGAGAAGAAAUAUUCUUGAAAUACCCUUUUUAAUUGUCUGGCCUAUCACUAGAGUAGAUGGUCAAGGUAUAAGACUAAAUUCUUAAAUCAAGAGACUCUUUUUGAAUUUGCAUAUCCUUGAAAAAGAAACCUAAAUAAAUUAAGAUCCUUGAUUAUUUCUAAAAAAAUACAGGCUAAGGAUAAUCAUAUCAAUUUUUUAGUUCAAGAAGUUAGAUCUAAGAGAAUUGAAGAACAAUUAGAAGUUAAAAAGACUCAAGAUGUUAUCCAAUAAUUCAAAGAAAAGUUGGUUAGAGAAGCCUGUCCUAAAUUCCCUAAUGUAUUUUGGCAUAGGAAUGAACAUGUUAUGGAACUACCUUACAACCUAGAAUUUAGGGAAAAUGAUAUUCCCACUAAGGCAAGACCAAUUCAAAUGAUUCAAAAACCAUUGAGAUAUUAUGAAAAGGAAAUUUAAGAACUCUUUAAAAAAUUAAUAAAAAAUCCAAAUCUCCUUUAAGUUGUGUAUGCACAAAUUUCUUGAAGUCUUGCAAAACAACCAAAAACUAUAGGAAAAAUAUAUGUGAUCAAAACUUUAUAUUAAAAUUAAUUGAUUGUGCGGUAUAGACUCAAAUAUAAUAUUCUUUACAAAAGAAAAUUUUCCCUUUAUUCAUUCACUUUGAUUACAAUCCCAAAGAUGAUGACAAGAGUCUUUUCUUGAAUUUUGAAAAUCAAUCCAAUGCCUAGAGUGAUUUUCUCAAAUGAACUUGUUAAAUGAUGAAAAACACGUAUAUACUUUUAUUGUAUAAAAGUAUAAAACACUUUCACAUUUAUUUUUAUAAUAAUUAUAUAAUGUAAUUAAAAAUAAUAAUGCAAAUUAAUUAAUAUAAUAAUUUCAAAAUAAUAAAAUACAAAAGACAUGCAAAUAAAAUUAAAUAUUAUAAUUUUUUUUUCAUUUUAUAUAUAUCCUUAUAUUUAAAUAUUAUAAAUGGUCUAUUUAAUAAAAUUUAAAAUAUUAAUAUAUUUAUAUUUCUCUUCAUCAUUUAAUUUGAUAUGUCAAAUAUAAAAAUGAAAUUAUUAAAAUUUUUAAUUAUAUAUAAUUUUAAUUUCUUAUAAUUAUUUAAAAUUUUAUAAUAUAUAAAUUAUUAUUUAUGAUGUCGAUCGAGGUCCGACCAAUGAACCAUGAACAAGUAACUUUUCUAGUUCAAUCACCAAUCCAAUUAAACAUUGAUCAUAUGACUUGUAAUACAAAAAUUCAUGGCCCCACAAUUGAUUUUUUAUUUAUUAUUUUAACCAUGAAAUGUGGGCCCCCAUGUUGUUCUUAAAUCUUAAAUAUCAAAUAAAAUGAUGAAAUAUUUUUAAAAUUUUAAUUAUUUAUAUAUAUUUUUUCACUUAUUAUAAUAAUUUUUAAUUUUCAAACCGGUUCAAUCGAGUCAACAACCAAUCCAAUUUUGAAAGCAUUGGUAAAUAUAGGCAUAAAACUAUUGGAAAUAACUCCCGCCUUUCCAAGGAAGGCCUAAACUUCCCUUCUUGCUUGCUGAAUUCUAAAUUUAAUAGCAUUGCAAACGCUGCAGAUUAAAAACACAGGUCUAGUUUUUUAUAGUUUCUAUAUUUUCAUCCUAUUAUUUAUGUCUUUGGUACUUAGAGCAGAGAUUGAAAGUGGAGGCCCAUACUGUUAAGUUGGUAACCAAGGAUGAAAGAAUAGCUCAAGGUUCUAUUACUGUCUGGAAUUUCAAAUUACAUAAAAUUGGGACGACAAAGAAAUUAAAGAAUUUAAUAUCCUAACAUCCUACGUACACAAAGAACAAAACCUUUUUUUUCAUCUUACAAUCAAAUGUUGAACUGAAAGGUUACAUACAUAAAAUAACCAACCAUCCUUGAAGAACUUGUGCUCCGAAUGACUUCUUAUCGCCUUUGGAAGUUAAAUGCCUUAAUGGCGUAGGCAAAGAUGAAUAAGAACAGCACCACAAACCCAACAACCACAGCUGCAACCACUCCCAGGAAAUCAUGUUUGAACCCAAAAUAAUCAUCCAAGAAUUGUUUCACCGUUUGAUUUUUGUCAAGUAGUGUGUCCUGUAUAUCUCCAAACUGUGAUGUAACCAAUCCAUACAAAGUCCAUGCAACUGGACAUAUCCAAUAGUACCAUCUCCACCACACCGGAAUUCUCUGUAUUCAUCAAGGAAGAAAUGCAACAAUAUGAGUCAUUUCUAUAUCCAUGUGGUAAGGAAAGUUGCAAUUUAAAGAAUCACAGGUUGAGAGCACUUACGUUUCGUGGGACUAUAAAACCUGAAAAGAGGUUCCAUAAUGUAUAAAAUGUUGCGGCAACAAUGGAAGCAAUAUUUUGAUUUGGUGUGGCAGCCACAGCCAUCAUGCCAUAGAAGGUGAAGUACAAUAACGUGAAGAACAUGAAGAACAGAUACCAGAAGAACUUAGCGGCAGUCCAUUCAAAUCCAAUCAUUGCAUAAACUAUAACACCAUACACAACAGCUUGUGCAAAUACAUAUGGAAUCUCAACUAGAGCCUGCAACAAGAGAAGAAAUUUGAUUAAAAUGCAAAACAUAUUAUACAUAUACAAAGUCUAUAGUGUAAGAAAACUAGUUACUUGUCCAAAGGCAUAUGGCAGGGCUGAAUACAUUCCUGCAGCUCUUUCUCUGUAAAAGACUGUUCGUUCAACUACAACGACUGGCUGGACCGAUUGGGCGUUCUGAACCCCAAGGAAGAGAACAGCAGCAUACAUAGAACCCAUUGCGUUUAACAGAUCUUGUUGCCUUGUCCUGCAAUUUACCACGUCAAGUAUAAAUUAAAGUUGAUAUAGAGAAACAUACUGAGUUCUCAAAUUUUUGAACCGACAUCAAAUUACCUUUCGGUGCCCAGAUCCCAGAACAUUGUCCCAAACAUCAAGGCUAUGAAAGUUGUGAAGAGAAAUCUCACUGCCGUGUAUGGUGGGUUGCGCCAGUAUGACCAACGUUGUUUCCAUAAGCAUGCCAAAAAUUGGGUGAAGAAGGGUUGGGAGUAUUGAGUAGCGAAAUAGAGGUCUUUUGUACCAGGGGCAGGUUGGCUCAGUUCUUUAAUUAAAUCUUUGUUUCUCCUGAAACAUAUGCCACUUGUUAGAACAGGUUUCAACUACAAAUUUAAGCUUUUCAUGAGAAACAUUAGGAUGGAUGUAUAUGACUUUUCAAUCUUAUUAUGCAAUUAGAUAACAUAUGGUUGAAUCACCUGUAUAGGUCUGAAUUCUUGUAUAUUUCAGUGAAAUCUACCCCCAAAGUUCCUUCUUGUGCUCCGGUGGUAACUUCCAGCAUCCAGGUUGCAGGGUUAUAACCAUCUUUGAUUUUACUGACUCCUUCAAUUCCCUUUAUGAAAGCAAGUGAUAUGUAUUAGUAAGUGCUUGAUAUGAAUUAACUCAAACUGAAGUAUUCACUUCUUAUAGCUUCUACUUUAUCAUGGCAGCUUACCUCAAAAUAAUUUAUCAGAUGGGAAGAAUGUCUACCCAGUGUUCCCACAUAUAUCUCUUGCCCUCCACGCUUCAUCAGGAGCAACUGCAAAUCCAUCUUAAAUAUUUCAGUGCCUAUAUGCAAAGAGAACAGAAGAGAAACUAUAAUUCUAUCCCUUAACAUUUCCUACCUCAUCGAAGGCCUCAAAUAUGUCAAUACUUGGCUGAUGGAUGGUGCACACAACUGUUCUUCCUGUGUCCACUGUGUUUCUGACUGUUCUCAUAACAAUUGCAGCAGCUCUUGCAUCUAGCCCUGAAGUUGGCUCAUCCAUGAAUAUUAUUGAGGGAUUUGCCACAAGCUCAACUGCAAUAGUCAGCCUCUUGCGCUGCUCGGUUGAGAGACCAUUUACACCUGGCAACCCAACCAGUGCAUCCCUCAAUGGGGUCAGUUCCACAAGCUCCAUGACUUCCUCAAUGAACAUCUGUAACCAUUAGCAAUGAUUAUGAAUUGUUUAAAAAACGUUGCAAACCAUAGUAGAGAUGGUAAAAAAUUUGACACUGCUUGUGACUCUUCUGUUAGCAGGUUGUGAAGAGGUUUCCCUAGUCUUACUAAAUGGAUCGGUUAGUAGAUGCAAAUGCUCAAUAACACUCAUUAGCUUGCAUGAACUUCACCCAAUUGGAUUAAAAGUCAGUGAAACUUGAACCAGCACUUUUUCCCAGGUGAAGGUCAAUCCAAACUUGAACCUGACCUUACCUCAACCAAGUAUAAAAAGUCAAUUCUAGGGCUUUGCUUGUUUAGAGCACUAAAUUGAACAAGAAAAAUAUGGAAACAAUUAAGAAGACUCCUACCUUUCUGGUUUCAGAAUUCACAUCAGAAGGCAACCGCAGCCAAGCUGAGUAGAGCAAGGACUCAUGGACAGUAACAUGAGGAGAGUGGAUGUCAUUCUGCUCACAGUAUCCAGAAAUUCGAGCAAAAGUCUCUUGCUUCUUUGGGUAGCCAGAAAUAGUGAUGUUACCCUCAAUAUAUCCACCGGUUUUCCGACCAGCCAGUACAUCCAUGAGAGUGGUUUUACCAGCACCGCUAACACCCAUCAGAGCUGUAAGAACACCAGGCCUGAAAGCACCACUCACCCCUUUCAGAAGCUCCAGUCUGUCUUCAAGGGCACCUUGACUUUUCAUUUCCUGCAAGUUCAUUUCAAACAACUCAGUUCUCAUUUCUGGUUUAUAGUACAUUAUGAAAAAACUUCAGUGCUGCUAAAACAUAUGUCAUCAUUUGAAUAAAUAUGACUUUACCUCUGGCAUGUCAACUGAGUAUCUAAUAUCAUCAAAAGUGAUUGAAUGUGGUUGGAAUGGAAGAACCAUUCCUUUCUUCUUAUUAUGAUUAGCCUCAGCAAUGGCUUCUACCAUUUGCUCUCCCCGCUCUGCAUGUCAAGUUUAAAUUCAGUGAGCCAUAUAAAACAUGUAGUUAAAUGACAAGAAUUGAGUCAUACAAAGGCAUGCAUGCAUGCACCAUGUAUGAGUUUCAUCACCUGUGGUUGCAGUUUUGGCAUUGUCAGACUCUUCUAUUAUAACAGCUUGAGGCUUCUCAAAUGCUGCACAAUUUGCACAAUGUUAGUACACUAAGCUCAUAUUUUUAGGAGUUUCAAUGCAGAGAAGGUACAGAUACCCACGAUUUAGGUAAUUAAGGCAGAGGGUGUAAAAGAUGUUGAAAACAAAUAUGAAUCCAAGCAGUGCCCCAGCUCCUAUCCAGUACCAGUGUGCGUCUGUGAAGAACCCACGAGACUUCAAUACUGUGACUCCAAGGGAUUCUGUUGAAUCGGUGACAUUCUGAAAUAUGGAAAUAAGUACAAUCAUCAGUUACUGACACACAUAAAUAAACACAAAUAUUCACAUGGAACAUUCGAGAACUUACUUUGCUCCAACUCUUCCCAAGGAAUUCAUUUACCACUAUUGCAUUCUGUGCAUACAUCAGAGGGGAAGACCAGUAACCCCAAAUCCACCAUUUCUUGACAUUAUCUGCACCAUUGACCAAAUAAAAAAGGAAACAAAAAUUCAUUAUCAGGGGUUAUGCACAAGAAGGUUCUAUGUUUCCUAAAAAAAUAUUUCCUCAUCAUACCAUAUGACAGGAUAAAACCACCCAAUGCCAAGAGCAUAAGUAAAGCAAAUGCCCCAAAUGUGUUUGCAACAAUCAUGUUUCUACCGGCUGCUGCUAUAAAUCGAAAUAAUCCAGAUGCCAUCUGAUUAACAAGCAAGAGGAGAAGAUACUGUCUAAACAACCUGCAAUAAGGAGAUUUGUUUAUUCAGCAUUAAUCAUUUUGGAACAGAGAAAACAUGUAAAAGAAAUCUGGAUAAGUUUCUGCAACUUCAUAACUUUUUAACUUUUACCUUUCCACAUUUGGAUCAAAUCCAAUGACGUAGUAAGUGAUGAACACCCAAACACCAACUUCAACAAAUGUGAUGGGGAUCUUGAGCACCCAUGUGGGAAGAGCAUAUGCCCAUGCAGGAUAGAAGAGAAGGUCUCUUUGCUUGUAAAAGACAGGAAGUUUUGCAAUUGCCAUGGCAAGUUCUGCCAUUCCAUUAAACAUGAUCAUGACAACAGUGAAGAACAAAGCACCCGUGUAAAUGUUUCCAUCAUCUGUUGAAUUUUUGUGCAUCUCAGUUCUUAGGAAGAGUGUCAUUGCAAUCACUGCCAUUACUGCAAGCUAAAAAUAGAAAUAAAAAUAAUAAAUUACAAUCACAUAUACAAAAUUAAAAGCCAUAGUUAUAAGUAGCAAUAAUAAUNNNNNNNNNNNNNNNNNNNNNNNNNNNNNNNNNNNNNNNNNNNNNNNNNNNNNNNNNNNNNNNNNNNNNNNNNNNNNNNNNNNNNNNNNNNNNNNNNNNNCAGAUAGGAGAAUGAUGUCAUCAAAAAGAUUGUAAGUCUCAGGUGCUGGCUGGAGGAGAGAGAUGACAGCAGUCCCAUUGAGAAUAUGGAUGGUUUGCUUGAGAGAAUUGAUGAUUUGAUAAGUUGUUGAGCUGUCCAAGCCAGUAGAGAUCUCAUCCAUGAACAGUGCCUUUGAUGGUCCGACCAGCAUCUCACCUAUUAUUCAUACAUUUCACAUAAUUGAAUUAAAUUAAAUUAAUGAACAAAAAAUCUAAUUUGAUUUGUUCUUUCAUUUAGUUAGAAACCAAAUUAUUCCACCUGUUGUGACACGCUUCCUUUGUCCUCCAGAGAUACCCCUUAUCAUCUCAUCUCCUACCAUGGUAUCUGCACAGAUGUCUAGUCCCAGAAUCUGUAGAUUUAAAAGUAAAGAAAAACAAACAAAUCAUGAAUUAGAAUUGGGUUUUCUCAGAAAUCUAUAUGCCAUCAUUGAAAGUUUUAUGGUUCUAAUACCUUCAAUGUAUAAUCAGUGACAACAUUUUCCUUCUGACCUUCUGUUGCUGCUGCCUGAAAUAUUGGAAUCCAAUGAUGAAAAUGUCAACCACCAUGGAAGCAACUUCAGUACAUUAAGAAAUUUCAUAGAUAAAAGAUUCCGACGUAGCAUAAAAUUCACAAAUUAGAUUGACUCAAGCCAUUCAUUUGAGUACAAAAAGAAAGAAACAAACUCCAGAACAGACAGAACACCGACAAUACAAAGCCAUUUUGCCCAUCUAUGUCAGAAUUCAAAAUUUAAUUUCUGGAAAAGAGCAGUAUCCAUGUUCACUAAAAGCAAAUAGCUCAAUUUCUGCAGAGCUGAUUAAAAUUUCACAAAAAGUAGAUUCUGUCUCACCUUCAUGAAGACAUCAAGAUCAGGAUCAGGCUUAAUAUUUGCUGCUUUCUCUCUUCUUGACAGCUCUGCUAACAUGUCUGCAGAUGGCAAAAAUAAGAGUCAAUCUUCUAGGCUACGGAAAUGUCAUAAAAUUGCAUUCACAACCUGCAAAAAGCAGAGAAAAUAAAAGCAAAGGCAAUGGUUUAGACUAACCAUAUCGAUCUCCAACACCCUGGCAUCUUGCAGAGAAUGCCAAGGUUUCCCUUACAGUCAUUUCUCCUAUAUGGGUAUCAUGUUGGCUGAUAUAGGCUGCAGUUCUCUGGGGUACAAACUCAUUCAUGCCAUGGCCGUUGUAUGUCACCCUUCCCAUAACCUAAAGAAGGAAUUUCAGUUUUGAAAUUGGAUAUGAGAUUAAAGAAAUAAAAAAUCAAACAUUCCAUAAAGAAUGGAGGAGUAAUAAUCAUUUUCUUUCAACCUUUAGAUUGGGAUCAAGCUUUCCAGCCAAUGCCAAUAAGAGGGUGGUCUUUCCAGAACUUGGAGGACCUAAAAGCAAAGUCAAUCUGCAGAAGAAAAAUAUGCACAAAAAUCUUGAGUAUGGAUCCUCGGGACAUUCUAAAUUUGAAGAACGAAAAAAUCAUUUGAGUUAUCAAUCCAUUUUUUACUAGAAACAAAUUCAUUCUCACCUGCGUGGUUUGAUGAUUCCACUAACAUCAUUGAGAAUAGUGAAUUUCCUCUUUUUACUUGGAAGAAUGCGCACAGCGUUCAGGAUACCCUUUGGAAAAGAAGGGAAAAUUAGAUCUAAAAACAAACUUACUUAAAAGAAUACUGAGUACAGAAGUAAUGAUCAGCAUUUGCAUGAAGUUACCUCAAGUUUACUAAAAAUGAAAUUAUGGAAUGAAGGCAAAGCUCUGCUUCCUACAAAAGCUUCUGCAUCGAUGGUAAGAUGCUCAAAUCUAACUUCAAUUUCGGGAACAUCAAUUCCAACUCUGAAAAAAUGGAAGAAUCAUGAAAACCCAUUAUCAAAAAAUUCAAAGGAAGAUGUUGCUUGGCUGUGGAGAAAAUGUGGGAAACACUCAUGAGGCAUAUUUCAGGUCAAGUUUUCAUUUUUUUUUCCUCUUUAUGUUCUUCUGUUUUCAAUGUUCAAAAACAAAUGGCAAGGAAUGCAAGAAAGGAGGAGAAAUCUCACCUAUCGAUACGAUUCUUGAGCUUCAACAAGAACUUCUCAUUGUCCUCUUCAGCGACUUUUACCAACCGCUCCACUAAAUUCUUCUUGUCCUGAAACCCAAGGUUAUGGAUAUCAAUUUCACUGGCCUCACCCUCGGAUCCCAUCAGCAAACCUCUCCUCAACCGAUUGUAGGUGGGAAGUUUCUCGAGUGCGGCCCAUUUCAAAGCUUCCUCAUCAUCCUCAUCCCUCGAAGAUCGGGAGAAAACAUCCGCACCGGAGCUCCUCCAUAUCGAAGAACCGUUCCUCCUUAAACUACCACUGGCUCUAUAAAUGUCAGCAGUGGCCAUUACAACCUGAAACGAAGAACCCUCCUGCAAGACCAAUCAAAACCCACAAAAACCCAGAAAUCUUUCCUCAAAAGUCUGAGAAAGAAGCUCGGAGUUUUGAACCCUGGAGCCCAAAGAAGCUAAAAAUCAGAUACGCGUCCCCUUCCUCCCUUUUCUCUGCAUAAAAGUCUCUACCUUUGAACUGCUAAUACUUGAUGCCUUCAGAAUGCAGGGUUUAUAUAGGUGAUGGGUUGAACAGACCCUCAAGUUUUCUAACUUCUUGGUUUCCUAUGACUUUUCCUUAAAAAAAAAUUAGCGGGGAAAUUGAAUAUAUAAGCGGCUGGGUAACGACUCCACCGAGUUUGACCCGUCAAAUUCUUAAAUAAAACACUUCUAGAGUUUCCCAACGGGAACGCGAUCUGUUUAAAGCUUCCCACCUGCCAAAUGAACAAACUUUUUCCUUCCAACUGUUGGGUCCAGGAAGGUUCCUGGUGGACCCAAAUCCUCCAAAACUAUAAAUAUAUUUGGCAUUUUUUUUAACGGAUUAAAUACAUUUUUCCCGGCUUUUGCACAUAUGUCUUCUGACGACUUUACCGAAAAUCCUUGGAGGAUUGUCCUUCUAGACGUUCUAAAACGGAAAUGUUUUGGUCAAACGGAAAGUCAACCAUGGAAAAUAAAGGUUUAACAGAUAGAUAACAAUGAUGUUUUUUUUGUGCGCACACUCUCUGACCUCACGGACACGCACGUUUCUCUAGAUUUCCUUGACCUCCUGAACACGCACGUUUCAAUCUAGACUCCCUCGACCUCGCGUAUACGCACGGCUGUGUCCUUUUGAUUUUUAUAUAUAUAAAAAAAAUAGCAAAAAAAAAUGAUAAUAAUCAUAAUAUAAAAACAACAACAAAAACGAAAACCAUGUCUACUUUUCUUCUUAUUUUAUUUUAAAAAAAAAUAAAAGUUUCAUUUUCUUUAUUUUUUCCUUUCUAAUUUUUUUAAAAAUAAAAAUAAAAAUCCCCAAUUUUUUUAGUCUUCUUCCUAUCUUCUCUUUCUUUUCUUACUGACUUUAAUUUCCAAACUUCGAAUCUUACCUGUUCUUUUUUUCAUUUUUUUCUACAACCAUAAUUCCAUAUUUAGUGGUAAUGAUAGUGAAAAAUAAAAUUAUACUAAUCUAUCCAUUUUUAUUAAUAUGAUACUAAAAUUUUGAUAAUAUUAAAUAAAAUUAUCAUAAAAUUAAUUUUCAUACUAAUUUUUUAAAAUUAUCUUAUAAAUAAAUAUAGUAAUGAAUACGAGUAUAGAUUACUUUAAGUGGAAAAAAUUUCUAAAUGCUCAAAAGUUUGAUAAUAAUUUUAUAUUUCACAUUGGAUAAAUCAAACUUCCCUUUUAAAACACUCAUCUUCUUAUCUCUUUCAAAAAAAAAUUGAGUUGAUAUCAACAAUCAAAAAUAAAUUUAAAAUUUUUUAAAUUAAAAAUAUAAUUAAGUUUUAAAAUAUAUAAAAAAAAUAUUGACCCAAACUACAUUUUCAACGCUUUCUCAAUAUAUAUUUGUAAACCUCAAAAUUUGUCUCAAUUUCAUUUUUUACAUUAAUUUUGAGUUCAAUUUUAUUAAUAAAUUUUAAAUCCCGAUCACAUAUGUUUUUUGGUCCAUUCACCCUUUAAUCUUAAUUUUUAUUAUUUUAUAUUUUAUUAUUAUUAUUAUUAUUAUUAUUAUUAUUAUUAUUAUUAUUAUGUUUUUUUUCUUUCUUUUUUUCUUUUUCUUUUUUGUUUUUCUUUUUUCUCUUUCUUUUCUCUCUCCUCUCUCCUCUCUCUUUCUACUCUCCAAUUACCCCACCCACUCCCUCUCUCUUGUUGGGCUUUGUGGAGCCUAGUUUUGUUUGAUCCGGUUUGACGACCCGACCCGAAUAAUAUUGCAUGGCUUUUUUAAUGGGAGAUUUAUUGAGGCCUGUUGGGCCCGUUUAGCCCAUUGUGGAAUCACCUUUUUAAUUAGGGUUUUUUAGUAUGGUAGGGUUGUCGUGCUAUAUAUAUAUAGAGAAUAUUGUAGUCGCUACGUUGUACUCUGUAUUCUUCCCUGAUAAUAGUGAUAUCCCUACAACUCCGUGGACGUAGGCAAAUUGCCAAACCACGUAAAUAUUGUCUUGUGUGUGUGAUUGUUUUUUCUUUGGCGUGUGUUUUCUCUAAUUUUUGUUUCUCACGGGUUGGGAAUUCGGUUUAAUUCCCUACAACUGGUAUUAGAGCCUAGGGUUAGGUUUGAGUGGGAGCAAUGGCAGAGGAAGCAGGAAAGGCGUCUAGAAUAGAAAAGUUUGAUGGCACAGACUUUGCGUAUUGGAGGAUGCAGAUUGAAGAUUAUCUCUAUAGGAGGAAAUUGCAUAUGCCUCUUUUGGGGACAAAACCUAAGAGUAUGAAGGCUGAGGAAUGGGCGCUUCUUGACAGACAGGUUCUAGGAGUUAUUAGGUUAACUCUGUCUAGGUCUGUUGCACACAAUGUUGUAAAGAAGAAGACCACAGCAUAUCUGAUGAAGGUUUUGUCCGGUAUGUAUGAAAAGCCGUCCGCAAACAAUAAGGUGCAUCUGAUGAAGAAAUUGUUCAAUUUCAAGAUGGCAGAGAAUGCAUCAGUAGCACAACAUCUGAAUGAAUUUAAUACAAUCACAAAUCAAUUGUCGUCUGUAGAAAUUGAUUUUGAUGAUGAGAUUCGUGCUCUGAUCGUUUUGGCUUCUUUGCCAAACAGUUGGGAGACAAUGAGGAUGGCAGUAAGCAAUUCUACAAGAAAGGAAAAGCUCAAGUACAAUGAUAUAUGAGAUUUAAUUCUGGCUGAGGAGAUUCGCCGAAGAGAUGCAGGUGAAACCUCAGGAUCUGGUUCUACCCUAAACCUUGAGACAAAAGGUAGAGGUAAUAACAGAAAUUCAAAUCAGGGUAGAUCAAAUUCCAGAAAUUCUAAUCGGAACAUAAGCAAAUCUAGAUUAGGCCAACAAGUACAAUGCUGGAAUUGUGGGAAAACAGGUCAAUUAAAAGGCAACACAAAAGCCCUAAGAAGAAGAAUGAAGAUGAUUCUGCUAAUGCUGUAAUAGAAGAGGUACAGGAUGCAUUACUUCUUGCAGUAGACAGUCCACUUGAUGAUUGGGUUUUGGAUUCAGGAGCUUCGUUUCAUACCACUCCAUACCGAGAAAUCAUACAGAAUUAUGUUGCAGGUGAUUUUGGUAAGGUGUAUUUGGCUGAUGGUUCAGCCUUGGAUGUUGUGGGUCUGGGAGAUGUCCGGAUAUCUUUGCCCAAUGGGUCUGUUUGGUUACUGGAGAAGGUUCGACAUAUUCCUGACCUGAGGAGGAAUCUGAUUUCUGUUGGACAACUUGAUGAUGAAGGACAUGCAAUACUAUUUGUUGGUGGUACUUGGAAGGUUACAAAGGGAGCUAGGGUAUUGGCUCGUGGAAAGAAGACUGACACUCUGUAUAUGACCUCAUGUCCAAGAGACACAAUUGCAGUUGCUGAUGCAAGUACUAAUACAAGCCUAUGGCACCGCAGACUUGGUCACAUGAGUGAGAAAGGGAUGAAGAUGUUGCUGUCAAAAGGAAAACUACCAGAAUUGAAGUCCAUUGAUUUUGACAUGUGUGAAAGUUACAUCUUAGGAAAGCAAAAAAAGGUGAGCUUCUUGAAAACUGGCAGGACACCGAAGGCUGAAAAAUUGGAACUAGUACACACUGAUUUGUGGGGGCCUUCUCCGGUUGCAUCCCUAAGAGGUUCAAGGUACUACAUCACCUUUAUUGAUGACUCAAGUUAAAAGGUAUGGGUUUAUUUUCUGAAAAAUAAAUCUGAUGUAUUUGCAACUUUUAAGAAGUGGAAGGCCAUGGUUGAGACAGAAAUAGGUUUGAAAGUAAAAUGUUUGAGGUCAGAUAAUGGAGGAGAAUACAUAGAUGGAGGAUUCAGUGAGUAUUGUGCUGCACAGGGAAUUAGGAUGGAGAAGACCAUUCCUAGGACACCACAGCAGAAUGGUGUGGCUGAGCGCAUGAACAGAACUCUCAAUGAGUGUGCUAGAAGUAUGAGGUUGCAUGCUGGACUACCAAAAACUUUUUGGGCUGAUGCUGUUAGCACUGCAGCUUACCUGAUAAACCGAGGACCAUCAGUUCCCAUGGAGUUCAGACUUCCUGAGAGGUUUGGAGUGGUAAAGAGUGAAGUUUUCACAUUUAAAGUUUUGGUUGUAUUUCUAUGUUCAUAUUGAUCUGAUGCUCGUAGUAAACUUGAUGCAAGUCAAAAANNNNNNNNNNNNNNNNNNNNNNNNNNNNNNNNNNNNNNNNNNNNNNNNNNNNNNNNNNNNNNNNNNNNNNNNNNNNNNNNNNNNNNNNNNNNNNNNNNNNAAAACUUUUGGGCUGAUGCUGUAGCACUGCAGCUUACUGAUAAACCGAGGACCAUCAGUCCCAUGGAGUCAGACUUCUGAGGAGGUUUGGAGUGGUAAAGAGGUGAAGUUUUCACAUUUAAAAGUUUUUGGUUGUAUUUCUUAUGUUCAUAUUGAUUCUGAUGCUCGUAGUAAACUUGAUGCAAAGUCAAAAAUAUGUUUUUUCAUUGGCUAUGGUGAUGAGAAAUUUGGCUAUAGGUUUUGGGAUGAACAAAACAGGAAAAUCAUCAGAAGUAGAAAUGUGAUAUUUAAUGAACAGGUUAUGUACAAAGACAGGUCAUCUGUAGUGUCAGAUGUUACAGAGAUAGAUCAAAAGAAAUUUGAGUUUGUCAACUUAGAUGAAUUGACUGAAAGUACUGUCCAAAAAGGGGGUGAAGAAGAUAAAGAGAAUGUAAAUUCACAAGUAGAUCUGAGUACACCUGUAGUUGAAGUUCGCAGAUCUUCUAGGAACAUUAGACCUCCGCAGUGUUAUUCACCUGUUUUAAACUAUCUCCUGUUGACUGAUGGUGGUGAGGCAGAGUGUUAUGAUGAAGCCUUGCAAGAUGAGAAUUCAAGUAAGUGGGAGUUAGCCAUGAAGGAUGAGAUGGAUUCCCUGUUGGGGAAUCAGACAUGGGAACUGACUGAAUUGCCAGUAGGAAAGAAGGCUUUGCACAACAAAUGGGUAUACAGAAUAAAGAAUGAGCAUGAUGGUAGCAAACGUUACAAGGCCAGAUUAGUUGUUAAAGGGUUCCAGCAGAAGGAGGGCAUUGACUACACAGAGAUAUUUUCUCUAGUUGUGAAGAUGUCAACAAUGAGACUUGUACUUGGAAUGGUGGCUGAAGAAAACUUACAUCUUGAGCAAUUAGAUGUGAAGACAGCAUUCCUUCAUGGUGACUUGGAGGAAGACCUUUACAUGAUUCAACCAGAAGGGUUCAUUGUUCAGGGACAAGAGAAUCUAGUCUGCAAACUGAGAAAGAGCUUGUAUGGCCUUAAACAAGCUCCUAGACAGUGGUACAAGAAGUUUGACAAUUUUAUGCAUAGAAUUGGGUUCAAGAGAUGUGAAGCUGAUCACUGUUGCUAUUUUAAGUCCUUUGACAAUUCUUAUAUCAUAUUACUAUUGUAUGUGGAUGAUAUGCUUAUUGCAGGGUCUGACACUGAGAAGAUUAAUAAUCUGAAGAAGCGAUUAUCCAAACAGUUUGCAAUGAAGGAUUUGGGAGCUGCAAAGCAAAUCUUGGUAUGAGAAUCAUUAGAGACAAGGCUAAUGGUACAUUGAAGCUUUCACAGUCAGAGUAUGUGAAGAAAGUUCUCAGCAGGUUCAACAUGAAUGAAGCUAAACCAGUGAGCACACCCUUGGGUAGUCAUUUCAAACUAAGCAAAGAACAGUCACCAAAGACAAAAGAAGAAAGGGACCAUAUGAGCAAGGUGCCCUAUGCCUCAACUAUUGGCAACUUGAUGUAUGCUAUGGUGUGUACAAGGCCAGACAUUGCACAUGCAAUGGGAGUUGUGAGCAGAUUCAUGAGUAGGCCUGGAAAGCAGCAUUGGGAGGCAGUCAAGUGGAUUUUAAGAUAUCUGAAGGGUUCAUUAGAUACAUGUAUUUGCUUCACAGGUGCAAGUUUGAAACUGCAGGGUUAUGUAGAUGCUGAUUUUGCUGGUGAUAUUGAUAGUAGAAAGAGUACUACUAGGUUUGUUUUUACUCUAGGUGGUACAGCUAUAUCAUGGACUUCAAAUCUACAGAAGAUUGUUACUUUGUCUACUACAGAAGCUGAGUAUGUUGUAGCAACUGAAGCUGGAAAGGAGAUGAUUUGGCUACAUGGUUUCUUAGAUGAAUUGGGUAAGAAGCAGGAGAUGGGCAUUCUACACAGUGACAGUCAGAGUGCAAUUUUUCUUGCCAAAAAUUCAGCUUUUCAUUCAAAGUCGAAACAUAUACAAACAAAAUACCACUUUAUCCGUUAUCUUGUUGAGGAUAAACUGGUAAUACUUGAGAAGAUUUGUGGAUCUAAGAACCCUGUAGACAUGUUGACUAAGGGUGUCACUAUUAAGAAGUUGAAGCUGUGUGCAGCUUCAAUUGGUCUUCUAGCUUGAGGACAGGAGGAUGAGUUGUAGGGAUGAGGGAUCGUUUCUUGGAGGAUAGCGGUUUGAUGUUGGUGAUUGGACUAGUCUCCAAGUGGGAGAUUUGUUGGGCUUUGUGGAGCCUAGUUUUGUUUGAUCCGGUUUGACGACCCGACCCGAAUAAUAUUGCAUGGCUUUUUUAAUGGGAGAUUUAUUGAGUCCUGUUGGACCCGUUUAGCCCAUUGUGGAACCACCUUUUUAAUUAGGGUUUUUUAGUAUGGUAGGGUUGCCAUGCUAUAUAUAUAUAUAGAGAAUAUUGUAGUCGCUACGUUGUACUCUGUAUUCUUCCCUGAUAAUAGUGAUAUCCCUACAACUCCGUAGACGUAGGCAAAUUGUCGAACCACGUAAAUAUUGUCUUGUGUGUGAUUGUUUUUUCUUUGGCGUGUGUUUUCUCUAAUUUUUGUUUCUCACGGGUUGGGAAUUCGGUUUAAUUCCCUACAUCUCUCUCUCCUCCCAUACCUCUCAUGCCAUUAUCAUUCCCUAUUCCCUUAUUGUUUUUUUAUUUUAUUUUUUUCCCCUUCAUUCUCAUCGGUCCCCCAUUCCCCUUUCUUUUUUUUUUCUUUUUUUUUUCUGCUUCUCUCCCUGGGACACACACGUGCCCAUUUUUUGCCUUAUUCUCACUAGAUUUUUUCCGCUUCUCCGCAGACUCCCACAGUGGCCGACGGUCCCAUCUCCCCCACUCCGUUUCUCAGCUUUUUCCUCAUUCACUCCAAAGACGACCACAAUCGACUCACCCAGUUUUCUUGAUCUUUUUUAUUUUUAUUUUUAUUUAUUUUAUUUUGGCUACCCAAACACCACAUCCCGGGACUCUGGAUUCUCUUCUUCCUAUUUUUCCUCCCCCAUUUUCUCCAUUUUUUUCUCUUCUCUUUCCUCUUACUCACUCCCACAUGACUAGAGGCCCCCCAUUUUCUUCUUUCCUAUUUUUCAUUUUUGUUCUCUAUCCAAACACCCACUUGUAGAGACGACCGACCCAUUUCUUCUCUUCCAUUUUUUUUAUUUAUUAUCUUCCUUAUUAUUAUUAGUAUUAGUAUUAUUUUUGUCUUUCAAAAACACCAUCAACCCUCAUUGUCGUAGGCGAGCUCCUAUCAGUCGCCGUCGGCGAGCCACUGUCGAUCGGCGAACCCCUCUUAUUUCCUCUCAUUCCCUCAUUUUCCCAUCCCACUCACUUUCCAUUAUUAUUAUUAUUAAUAUUAUUAUUAUUAUUAUUAUUGUUGUUAUUGUUAUUGUUAUUGUUAUUGUUAUUCUUGAUUUGAUUUUAAUAGUAAUUGUUGUUUAUGAAAUUUGGAUUAUUGAAUGAAUAUGAAAUUUGAGCUUUAUUAAUUAGUAUAAAAUUUGGGCCAAUUUAUUAUUGGUGGAUUAAUUUGAAAUUUGUUAAUUUGGGUUUGUGGUUAUAUUGCAUUUGAUUAUUAAUUUGGGAUAUUUAGAUUAUAUAAAUUGCAUAUUGUUUAUUUGGAUUUGGGCCUAUUGUUAAUUGGUUAUUUGUUUGGGCUAAUUGGAUUGAGCUUGAGAUAUUAUUUUCUUUGGUCAUGUACAUUAUUAAUUUGUUUGUUAAUUGAAAUGAAUUUUGAGCCCACAAUGUGGGUGGGAUUUGUUGGGUGACUUGAAUAUUUGAUAUGAGCUUGGAUAAUUUGAAUUGUUUAAUUUGGACAUGAAACAAUCGUGGUGUAUAUUAGGCUUGAAUUAUGAGAUAUUAAAUUUAGGCUUAGUAGAAUUUAUUUUAAUUUAUCCAAUUUUAAGUUUGGUUAAUCGUACUUGUAUUUUUGGUUAUUAAUUUGGAUGUUUUGGGCUAAGACCUAUAAUAAUUUAGACUCAUUUUAAUUGUGAAAUUUAUAAAACUAAUUUGAAUUUUGAAUUUGGGUUUAAAUAUUUGUUUGGGAUUUUGUACAUCUCUAGAUAUUUACAUUGGGUAUUUUUUGUUUUUGCAUGGGUCCAUUCCCCAAUUCUAUUGGCUAAAUACGAAUUUAUGAUGCAUGUAGCAUGGAAUUUCAUAGAAAAAUUUGUUGUGAGUUUAUUUUGGUACAUAUUUUAUUUCUCACUUUUAUUUGAUUUUAUUUUUAUUAGUUCUUGUAAAUAUUCGUUUGUAUAUACCUAUUAAGUGUGUAUAGAAUUGAAUAUCGAACAAACUAGAAAUUUCGUUUAAAUGAGAGGAAGAAUUCAAUAAAUAUGUUUUAAUAAAACAAUAAUUUUAAAAUAUUUUUUUUAAUAAUAUUUUUUAGUUAUAAAAAAUCAUAAAAAUGCAUUUAGAAAAAUCCAAAAGAAUUGUUUUUCGUAGGAUUUGAAAAAUUGUUUUUAAUAAAAAUUGUCCAAAAAUUUCUUUGUUUAAUAAAAAUUAUCCAAAUUUUUUUUUGUAAAUAAAAUUGUCCCAAAAAUUAAUUCUUAAUAAAAUUGUCCAAAAAAAAUGUUUCUUUUAAAUGAAUUCUUUUUUUUUCUUAAUUAGAUUAGAAAUAGAGGAUUUAAAUUUUUUUUUCUUUUUAAUUAAAAUUUCUUUUGCAAAUAAAUUUAUGUCUUUUUAAAUAAUUUGUAUAAAUCACUUUUUUUUUUAAAUGAAAAUGAAUCAAAAUACUUUUGUAAAUAAAAUUAUAAAAAUUCAUUAUUUUCUAGUAAAAGUAAGUAAAAAUAAUUUUUGUGCCCAAAUUGAAAUUUUUGUCAUAAAUUCUUUUGAUAUAAUAUAUGUAAAUAACCUUUUUUUUAAAUAAAUAAAUUGAAAUCAUUAAUUCAAAAUCAUUUUUAAUAAAAUUCUUUGAAGUUUCUUGAAAACUAAUUUUUUUAAUAUCUUUUUUAUUUUAUUUUAUUUAGUUCAAUAAAUCAUUUUGCAUAAUCCUCUUAUAAUUUAUUUUGUGUAUUCUUAUAAUUAGAUUUUCAUCAUUAUUUUUGCAUAUAUUGAUUUUCAUCAUGACUUAUACAUUGAUUAUUUUUCUUGGUAUCCAUAAUUAAUUAAUUAAUUGUCAUAAUUCCUUUAAUUCGUUUAAUAGAGGUCGUGCAUGUACGGGCUUAGAAGGGUGCUACAGCUCACCACCGUACCUUCCCAAUAAGUAACCUGAUCCCCCGACCCAAACUCGGUUUUCCACAGACCUGUUUCAGGAGUCACACUAAGAGUUUUUCUUUCUUAUUUUGUUUUUUUCUUAAAAAAAAAUUAAAAUAAGUAGUCAUUCCAAGUCUUUUUCUAAAAAUCAAAUUUUCACCAAAUAAAUAAAUAAAAACAAGUUUCAUCAUCGAGUGGGAAAGCAUCGUGCAAAAAUGUAGGGUCCACAAUAUCUUUUGUUUAUUUAUUUAUUAUCAUUAUUAUAUACUAAAAUUCCUGCAAAACAAAAUUGAAUAUAAAUAAACAUAAAUAAUAAUAAUAAUAAUAAUAACAAUAAUAAUAAUUUUCAUUAUUAUUGUAUAUAAUAGUAGUAAUAACAAUAAUGAUAAAUAAUAAAUAAACAAAAGAUAGAUAUUGAGAAAGAGUUGAAAAUGCAUUAAGAGUUAAUAUAUAUGUCAUUUUUAUAUUUUUAGGAUUAAAGUUUUUUUUUUUACUUUUUAUUGUAUUUUUUAUUUUUAAAAUCUUUUAUUUUAUUAUUUAGGCCAACCAACAAAAUUUUUAUUCAAUUUUUUUAAAAGAGAUAAAAAGAUGGGAUGUUUUAAUCAAGAAUGUUUGAUUUAUAUAAUGCAAAAUAUAAAAUUAUUAUGUGAGGAUUUUUCCAUAGUGACUUGCACUCAAUAUUAUAUAAUUAAUAAAUUAAUAAAUAUAUUUAUUAGUAAGAUAAUUUUAAUAAAUUUAUAAAUAUAUUUAUUAGCAAUAUAAUUUUAAUAAAUUAAUAUGAGAAAUCAAUUUUAUGAUAAUUUUAUUUAUUAUUGUCAAAUUUUUAGGAGAGAUCAUUAAGAGGAUCUAGUUUUGCAUGAUUUUAAUAUUUGAUCCCUAGUUUUAUUACUAAAUAUGAGAUUAUGGUUCUAGGAAAAAAAAAUUUGCUAAUGUUAGAAAUUUGAAAAUAUAUAUAUAUAUAUAUAUAUAUAUAUAUAUAUAUUUAAUCAGUUACUAGUCAUUAUGCAUUUAAUGCAUUGACAGAUGAUCACUUAGGCUUACAUCCUUAAUUAGUUGAGCAAUCAAUUUGACGGAUACUCGACUAGUCAAAGCUUUAACUACUAGAAAAAAGAAAAAUAACAAAUGUCUCUUAAUUUAUCAACUCUAAUCUAUUCAACCGAUUCCUCAACUCCUCAAUUGUAAAUGACAUGGUUUAAGGUUUGAAACCUCCAAUAAUUUACGUUAACCUCUUAAAACUUUUCAGAAUAAAUUUAGAAGUAAUUUAGCUCAAGGUUUUAAUGGAAAAUAAAAAAUCCUCCACUUCUUUGAUAUAUAUAUGAUCUUAAUUUUACACAACAUUUUAGGUUAAUUUAAGUUUUCAAGGAUCCUAAGUCUUCCAUAUUACUUGAGCUUUCUUUGGAUUUUCAAUAGCAAACUUAAAAAACUUAAUUUGAUUUAAACUAUUAGUAAUUUUAACUUUAUUUUGUAAUUAUAAAAAAACCUAUUAGGAGAAUCCUUGGGCUAAUAGUCAAAUAAUUUACAUUUUUUUUAUUUCAUAACAAUACUAUUAUUACAUAAUAGAACAUUGUAGACCCCCUCCCAGGGAGGAGGAGUUUUUGGCCAUUUUUAUUUUGCUAUCAUGAUUACUUUUCUAACCACCCGGGAAACGAGCUGUUUUGGGCGGCCAUGGGAUGGGAUGAGGCGAGUUGCUGGUGGCGGCGAGAGACAGCUUGGAGGAGAAGCUGCCAGCAGAAAAAAAAUAUAUAUGUAUUUCUUUGGGGAGCAGCAGCGGGGAGAGAAAAAAUCAGGAACAGCUGGGGCUGGGUGAAAGAGAGGAAAACGGGUAGCAGUUGGGAGGAUUCUUGGAAGAGAAAAAAAUCUGGAGAGCAGAACAGAGGAACGGGAAGAGAGAGAGAGAGGAGCUGGGAAAGAGGGUUUGAAAAAGGAUUUUCAGCAAAAGGGAUUUUCGAGAUUUUCCAGGUGCGAAUCAGAUAGCAUAUUUAACUAAUUCGUGAGUUGCAUUAACUGAGUUAUAGUUCAUUUCGUUUUCUUCAUUUUGGUGUUGGAAUUAUUUUUGUCUCUGUUUUAUUUGAGUUUGAUGCCCGAAAUCAUGCUUUUCGCUUCUGUUAAUUCCAUCCACCUUGGCCACGGAUGUCGCCUGAAAAUGGGUCUCUCCAUCCAUAACCAGUCAUGCCCAGAAAUUUGAGCGCUAUUUCAAAAAAACCAGAAAAUGGGUUUCUCUACUGUGAAGGUCUCUAGCAAAGGCUGAAGCAAAAACAAAUAAAUAAAUAAAUUAAAAAAACAAAAGUCAACAAAGUAGUACACAACCCAUUAUAAAAUAUUGAAGCCUGCAGACAAUGGACCCAUUUUCUUUUUUUAUUAGGGAGAAUUGUGUUUUGGGCCCAGUUGGGCCCAAAAAUUAACAUUUGGUCCUCCAAUCACCCAUAUUUAAGUCCAAGGAUAUGAGAUAGUAAUUGACAAAAAUACCCACUUGACUCAUUUUUAUCUUUAUUCUACUACUUGUCACUCUUCUUUCUUAUUUAACCAUUUUUGGAUUUUUCAUUUUUUUUAAAACUCUUUUAUAAAUAAUUGAAAAUUUACAUUAUUUUUUAUUUUUAAAUUAUAAAUAAAAAAAAUUAUAUUAAUGAUUCAAAGACUAUUUUAGAAAAUACUUUUUAAAAAAAUAUUAAUUUAAAUAAAUAAAAAUUAUCUUUUUGUAUUUAUUUUUAUCGUUUACAUUUUAGAAGUAAAUAAUUUAAUGAUUAAAAUACCAUUUAAAAUAAAUAUAUUCACUAUUUUAUUUUUUUAUAAUAAAAAGUAUUUUAAGGUUUUUUUUUACUAUUAUGAAAUAAAAAGUUCAAUUUUUUUUGUUUAAUCUUCUUCCUUCCUUAUUUUAACAACUUUUUGAACAUGACUUUUAGUAAUAAGUUAUAUGAAAUGCUACAAAUUUGUUUAUUAAGGAUUUUUUUUAAUGAUUUGAAUUAAUUGAAAUUUUAUUAAAAUAAGAAAAAUAAAAAUAAAGAAAGGGGAUGGAUUGAGAGUUUUUAUUUUAAGUACUCGAUUAAAAUGAGGAUGGAUGGAGAGUUUUUAUUUUUAGUACUCAAUUAAAAUGUUUUCAUAUGACCUAAUUUUAUAAGUGGAUUAUAUCAAUACAUAGUAGAGAUUGAUUUUUUUAUAUAUAUAAAAGGGUUGAAAGGUAUAUUUACUUGUUUUAGAUGAAAACAAGUAACUAAAAAUUAUAUAGAUUAUAUUUGAGUUUGGUUUUAAAAUAUUUUUCCAGUUUUUAUUUUCUAUAUUGCCUCUUUUUGAAAAUACGUUUAAGUUAUGACAAAUAUGAAAUUUAUGUCAUUGUACAAGGGUAUUAUACUAAUUGUACAAGGGAAAUGUGCUAAGUGUACAAGAGUGUACGAGGCUCCUAAUAGGUUUUGUACGAUUUUUAAACAACUUGAAUUUGAUAUUAAGACGAUUAUUGAUAGUUUUUUUUUUCUUUUUUUUAUCAAACUAUUUCAUUAAGACAUUCUCUACAAAAAUUAACACAUAAGAAAUAAAAUUUUGAGUUAUUGAGUUAUUGUACAAGGUAUUACACUAAUUGUACAAGACAAAUUUACUGAUUGUACAAGGGUGUACAAGACUACUUUUUGUUAAGGAUUUCAAGUGAUUUUGAAAAAAUUUCCUAUUUUUUUCCACUCAAAGAUUUUUCCCCCACUCAAAUUCUCUCACUCAAGAAUUGUUUCGAAUUUUAUUUUUAAAUUUCAUCAUCAAAAAUUUGUAAUUGCAUAUUUUGUUUUUGUAGUUUUAGCAAUGUUAUUUCUUUUCACUAUAUAUAUUUUUUUUUGUGAAAUUUUAUCCAAAUGAAUCUAUAUUUAAAAUUAUAAUCAUAUUUAUCAAAAAAUUUACUAAGAUUAUCUUUAAUUCUUUUAAUAUAUUUAUACUCAUUUAUUUAAAAAAUGAAAAACUAAUUUUUUUUUUUUUUUUUUUUUUUUUGUAAACAUGUUCUAUUACCUUUCAAGUAAAAAAUUAGAUAAGUUUCAAAGUCAAUAAAUAAAAAAAUUAAAUACCACUUUCAAUAAUUUUUAGAUAAAAUUUUAUAUAAUAUAUUUUAUUUGAAACUUAAUUUUUAAAGUUUAACUAAAAAAUUGUAUUGACAAUUUUCUUGUUGUGGGUCAAAAUACUUUGCAUUAGUCUAUCUAGAUAAGAAAAAUUUUAAAAUAAAAACAUUAAAAAUUAAAAAGCUAAAAAGAUAUAUAUAUAUAUAUAUAUAUAUAUAUAUAAUAAAGUGAAGUGAUAGUUAAUUUUAAAAUUUUUUAAAAUAUGGUUAAUGUAGAAAAUAUAAAAAAAUAAUUAAAAAUAAGAUAAAAAUAUAGAUGAAAGGGUACUAUAAAUUUAAAAUAAAAAAUUAAAAUUAAACGAAAAGAUAAAUAUAAAAGGAUAAAAAAUAUUUGGAUGAAAAAUCCCAAAAUUUUUAUCAUUGCUUUUAAUAAGAGCAAAAAGAUUCAAUAUCUUUAAAAAUGAAAAAUAAAAAAAUAUUAUUAUUUUUUAUUUGACAUAAAAUAGAAAUAUAUAUUGGAAUAAAAAGGAAAAAAAAAGUUAGAAAUGAGUAAUAUUUAAUAGGGAAUAGAAAAGGAAAAAAAAUUAAAAAUUAAAAUUAAAAUUCACACUCACUUGUAAGCAUAUAAGGGAUUAGGGUAUUUUAGGAAUUAAUGAAAGACAAUAUCCUUCAUUUUAAUUUUCAUACUUUGUUUGGAUCUUGGGCUUAAAUAUGGGUGGUUGGAGAACCAAAUGUUAAUUUUUGGGCCCAGCUGGGCCCAAAACACAAUUCUCCCUUUUUAUUAAAUGCUCUCAUCUCUUUCUUAAUUUCCACUUCACGUUUUCAAAUAAAAUUUUUAAAACUUAGGUUUUUAAAUCUAAUUUCCAAAAUCUCAAUUCUCAACUAAUUUUUCAAAAAUCCCAAAUUGUUUUUAAAUAAGUUUUAAAACUCCGAUUUCCAAAUUUAAUUUCCGAAACUUUAAUUCUCAAAAUCUAAUUUUCAAAAAUCCAAUUUUUCGGAAUUCCAAUUUUCACAUUAUUUAAUUAAUCAUUAUUACUUUCAUUAUUAUUAUAUCCAUUUAUUUGUUGAUUCAUUCAUUUUUAAAAGAAUUCCAUUUUUAAAUAAUCCCUCAAAAUUCCAUUUUUCACAUUUCUUUAUCUAAUCAUUAUUAUUUUCGCUAUUGUUAUUAUUUUAUUCAUCUUAAUUAUUUAUUUUUGAAAAUUCCAACUUUAAAUAAAUUCCAAUUUUUAAAUAAAUCCAAUUUGUGAACUUAAAUUCUAAAAUUCCAAUUCUUAAAUUUAAUUCCUAAUACUCCAAUUUUCAAACAAAUUUCAAAAAUCUAGUCUUCACUCGAAUAGUUUUAAUUCCAUUCCGGUUUUCAAAUAAUCUCAUGUUUCUCAACUUUAAUAAGCAAGAAUGAAUUUUCCGUAAUUCCGAAUAAUGGAAUUUAUGAUAUUAAUUCAUGCAAUAUAAAUCGGGCUUUGGUGGGGGCCCCACAUACACAUUUUUAUGAUUGAUUGAUUAAUUAGUUGAUUUGAUGGUAGUACAUGAUUGAGUUAUUCUGCUCUAUGACAUGCAUGAUAUUAUUUCUUAACUGUGCGCUAACCCCCUUUCUUGAUGGCGCGUUGAUCGUUUGGUGCCAAGGUAUGCUCCGCUCCCACUUCAAUCGUUCUUAUUGAGUGUUUUGAUUUUCACAUGAGCAUGGUCAUCUUAGGUAUUCAUGGAUUUACUCAUCAAUUGCCAUGAUUGCUUCAUUUUAUUAGUAGAGACCCGUUUUUAGGGACUUAGAGGGAUGCUACAGUCUCUACCGUACCUUCCCGAUAAGUAACCUGACCCCCGAACCCGAUCCGGUUUUUCACAGACCGCCUUUUUUUAAAACAAGGAGUCACACUUAGGGUUUUUCUUUCUUAUUUUGUUUACACUUUUAAAAAAUAAAACAAAAAUAAGUGGCGACUCCAAGUCAGUUUUUUUAAUGAAUUAAAUCAUUUUUCAAAUAUAAAAAGCGAGUUUCGCCAUCGAGUGGGAAACGCAUGAGCCGAAAUACAGGGUCCACAAACAUUUAAAUUUAAAUAAAUCUACAUUCUAGUAUUUAAUUUUAUGUAUCCUUAAUUUUUAUUAUUAUUUAUAUAAAUAAAAUAUUAUAGUAUAAAUAUUAAGUGUCAACAAAUAUAUAUUACAUUAUUUCAUAGUAUAAAUCAUCUACUUAUUUAUUAAUAUUCUUUAUUAAUAUCACAAUUUAAUAACGUUAUUUGGUGACAAAAUUACUCAAUUUGUCAGGAAAUAAUAUAAUUACCAACGAAACCAUUUUGUAAGCAAAAAUAGAUAAAAAGUUGUAACUUUUAGUAAGGAAAUUAUUUUCAUCACAAAAAAUUAUAAUUAGUGAUAAAUAUUUUCAUAGGAAAAUAGUUUAUUUUCGUCACAAAAGUGUUUGCGCCCAAAUUUUCCCGCCACAUCUUUAAACUACAAUAAUUUCAAAUUCAUUAGGAAAAGUUUGUAGAAAAUUGGCAUUAUUGACAACAUUUAAAAUUUCAUCGAUAAAAGUUACUUUUAGUGACAAAAGUAGACUUCGCCCCUAAAUUUUUGUCACGAAAAAUACAUUUUCUUAUAGUGAAUGCAUGAAAAAAUGAGAGUUAAAUAUGAAUUAACAUACAUAUAAAUUUAUUAGAAAAAUAUUGACAAUCUUAAGUAUAUAAAUUUAAGAAAAUCUAAAAUUUUGGUCAUAAUUAUUCAUGAUCACAUCAAAUAUAUAUAGGAACGGUUGAAAAUAAUGAAAGGUAUAAUCAAAUGAGACUACGAUAGAAAAUAAUGAAACCAAAGAAUUUGUCUUUAAAAGUUACAAAAAAAAAAAAAAAUGAGAGUCAAAUGUUAAUUAAUGAGAUGUUGGUAUAAAUUUAAUAAGAGAAAUAUUAAUAAUGCUUAAGCAUAUGAAUUUAAGAAAAUCUAAAAUUUUGGUCAUAAUUAUUCAUUAUCACAUCAAAAUAGGAUGCUUGAAAAUAAUGAGAGCAAGGUAUAAUCAUACAAGACUAUGAUUAUCAAACUACUUCAAAAUCAAAAUCCUUAAUAGAAUCAAAUCAUCAAGAUGAUGUUAGACUUUUUCAAAACAUUGAAGAAAAUCUAAGCCAAAGUUCCAAUCACCAAGAAAUAUGCAUAAAAGAUAGUUGCCGGCCAAAGACCUUAAAUGUAAUCACUAAGGAAUAAGAAUUGAUUUUAGAAUUAUUUAUUAAGGUUAAAGAUUCUUCAAUAAAAACAUAAUUAUGUGAAAUUUGUAAGAAAUCUAUUUCUAAACUAGAAAUGAAAAAAAAAACUAUAAAACCUUACAACAUCGAUGAAAUCUUGACAAGAUUUAACUAUAAUUCCCUAAAAAAGUGAUUAUUAAAGAUCUUCAAUAGGAAAUAUGAUGAUGUUAGAAGUUAGAGAAUUAAGACAAUAAACCAACAUAUGUUUAACAAACCUUCAAGAACAAAUUAAUUAGAUAGUAAGUAAUAAGAAUUAAUAUAUCCUAAAAUCCUUAUAAGUUAAUGAAGAUUUAUCACACUUAUAUCUCAAUGUUAUAAAUAAGGUCAUCUUUAAAAAAUGCAAUGUUUCCCUAACAAUUGUGAUUAACAAUGAGUUCAUCGCUAAGAUUACUUGCUGUCUUAAUAGAUUCAGGAGUAGCUUCUUUAUGGCAUGCUAAUAGGUCAAACUUAAGAUUAGCUACAAAUUGUCUAAGGCUCAUAUCAAUAAUCAAGGGGUGCACACAACAUCUAAUUUGGUAUAAGAUUUAAGAGAAGAAAUAUUCUUGGAAUGCCCUUUUUAAUUGUCUACCCUAUCACUAGAGUAGAUGGUCAAGGUAUAAGACUAAACUCUUAAAUCAAGAGACUCUUAUUGAAUUUGCAUAUCCUCUAAAAAGAAACCUAAAUAAAUUAAGAUCCUUGAUUAUUUCUAACAAAAAUACAGGCUAAGGAUAAUCAUAUCAUUUUUUUAGUUCAAGAAGUUAGAUCUAAGAGAAUUGAAGAACAAUUGGAAGUUAAAAAGACUCAAGAUGCUAUCCAAUAAUUCAAAGAAAAGUUGGUUAGAGAAGCCCAUCCUAAAUUCCCUAAUGUAUUUUGGCAUAGGGAUGAACAUGUUAUAGAACUACCUUACAACCUAGAAUUUAGGGAAAAUGAUAUUCCCACUAAGGCAAGACCAAUUCAAAUGAUUCAAAAACCAUUGAGAUAUUAUGAAAAGGAAAUUUAAGAACUCUUUGAUAAAAAAUUAAUAAAGAAUCUAAAUCUCCUUGAAGUUGUGUAUGCGCAAAUUUCGUGAAGUCUUGCAAAACAACCAAAAACUAUAGGAAAAAUAUAUGUGAUAAAAACUUUAUAUUAAAAUUAAUUGAUUGUGCGGUACUAACUCAAAUAUAAUAUUCUUUACAAAAGAAUAUUUUCCCUUUGAUUCAUUCACUUUUAUUACAAUCCUAAAGAUGAUGACAAGAGUCUUUUCUUGAUUUUUGAAAAUCAAUCCAAGGCCUAGAGUGGUUUUUUCUCGAAUGAACUUGUUAAAUGGUGAAAAACACAUAUGCAGUACUUUUGCAUUUUCUCAUACUUGCAGGGAGAUUUUAUAAAAUCUUUUUUUUUCUCUGUAAAGCUUUUUUUCCUAUGUGAAGUCCUUUUGCCAAUCUCUCUUUUCCUUGAAAGAAGUCACCUUUAUUUAUAUGUGAAAAUAGGAAAUUAAAUUUUGAAUUUCAAGAUUUGAUUACUUCAUUCAAGGAAUUUGGUUCCUUGAUUGUUCUCAUAACUUUUCUCCUUCCUCGCUAAAGUUUUGUCAACAAGAUAAUAUCUAUUAUUUGGUUGGAGAUUUUUGCUCCCUUUUUUUAGGAAAUUUGUUAAAAAGAGAAUAUCUAUUUCAACUUCUCUUCGAUUAGAAGACUUAAUUUCAUAGUCUUCCAAAUUUUACUACGUGUUACCUUCUGAGUUGCAUGCCACAUGUCUCAUGACUUGUCAAGCCUAAAUUUUGUUGAAAUAUGAAGUUACAAUUUUGAAGUCCUAUUUAAUGGUAAUUUAAUCCACUAAAAAUUUGGAUAGCUACAAAUUUCUCUAUUGUUUAUGUUAAAAAAACAAACAAAAUUUGAAAGAGGAACACCUAGGCUUGUGAUUAGUUACAAACCCCUUAAUGAAGCCUUAAGAUGGAUUAGGUAUCAUAUUCCAAAUAAGAUAGACCUUCUUCAGAGAUUAGCUAAGUGUAGGAUAUUCUCUAAGUUUGACGUGAAAUCAAGCUUUUUUGGCAAAUCCAGAUCAUAGAAAAAAAAACCAUGUAUAAACCAACUUUUACAAUACCAUUUGGACAUUAUGAAUGGAAUUUAGUAUCGUUUGGUCUUUAAAAUGUCCUCUCAUAAUUUCAAAACAUUAUGAGGCAACUGUCCUAAUGAUGAACUCAUUGUUAAUUACAAUUGUUAGGAAAAUAUUUCAUUUUUGAAAGAUAACCCUAUUUAUAACAUUGAGAUACGAGUCUGAUGAACCUUCAUUGACUUUUGAGGAUUCUAAGAUAUCUUGAUUUUUAUUACUUAAGAUCUUAUGAAUUUUUUCUUGAAGGUCACUUAAACUUGUGUUGGUGUAUUGUCUUAAUUCUUGAACCUCUAUGCGUGCGUGCAUGCGUCGGUGGGUGCGUGCGUGUUCUCAUAACAAUUGCAGCAGCUCUUGCAUCUAGCCCUGAAGUUGGCUCAUCCAUGAAUAUUAUUGAGGGAUUUGCGACAAGCUCAACUGCAAUGGUCAGCCUCUUGCGCUGCUCGGUUGAGAGACUAUUUACACCUGGCAACCCAACUAGUGCAUCCCUCAAUGGGGUCAGUUCCACGAGCUCCAUGACUUCCUCAAUGAACAUCUGUAACCAUUAGCAAGGAUUAGAAAUUGUUUGAACCAGCACUUUUCCCCAGAGUGAAGCUCAACCAAUUUUGAAAAAUCUGGAAACAACUCAGGAAAGUCUCACCAUUUUGGUUUUAGCAUCCACAUCAGGAGACAACCGCAACCAACCUGAGUAGAGCAAGGACUCAUGGAUAGUAACAUAAGGAGAGUGGAUGUCAUUCUGCUCACAGUAUCCAGAAAUUUGAGCAAAAGUCUCUUGCUUCUUUGGGUAGCCAGAAAUGCUGAUGUUUCCCUCAAUAUAUCCACCAGUUUUCCGACCAGCCAAUACAUCCAUGAGAGUGGUUUUACCAGCGCCACUAACACUCAUCAGAGCUGUUAGAACACCAGGCCUGGAAGCACCACUCACCCCCUUUAGAAGCUCCAAUUUGUCUUCAAGGACACCUUGACUUUUCAUUUCCUACAAAUUCAAUUCAAACAACUUGGUUCUCAUUUUUGGUUUAUUAGUUCAGUAACAAAACUUCAGUGGAGCUAGUGUUAGAAAUUUACAUGCUAUAUUCGAUUCCAAUAUGCUUGCAACAUGAAUCAAAACCGAAAAGACUAAGAAUAGUCUACUUACCUCCAGCCAUUGUAGUUGGUUUCAAAAACCCAGAUUUCCAAACUCUAAUCUCUCCUUUUUUUAGAUGGUGUUUUUCUGAAGAUAAUAGCAGAGUGAGUUCGGGACCAUUUUCUGAAAAAAUUUAUAACAGUGGCUUCCAUCAAACCACGUUGCCUCUUGCCACCAUGUUGAGCAGUUGGUGGAACGUGUUCCUUAAUCGUAGCGGAAGUGAGAUGGUGGAAGACUUGGUCAAAGUGUUGGACCAUAUCAUGAAGUGAGAACGUGUGAACUCACACGUGUAUUCAACUUACAUUCUCCCACUUGGUCCACACCUUUAACCUAAUGUCCUAAUUUAGUCCAUCAAUUGUCCCAUUAAGUAACAAAUACAUGAAUCAUGGUGAUAAGUCCUCUAUUUAACGAGUGUUACCUUCCAUGUAUUACAAUGUACUCAUUUCUUAACAUUAUACUUUAUGUGGCAAUAUUACUUAAUGAAUAAACCCUAUGUUCAUUCUUGGUCCAAUGAAGUUGAAUUUUCUCAAAAUUAAAUAAAAAGUGCGCAUCAAUAUGAGAAAACAUCAUAAUAAGAGUUUGUACAAUAGAAACUACAUAAGGGAACUAAGUCCCAUGUUCACUACAUGAUCCUUGAAUUUCAAUGGUGGCAUGCCCUUAGUCAAAGGAUCAGCGAUCAUCAAUUCAGUGCUAAUGUGCUCAAUAACCACUUUCUUUUCUUUAACACAUUCUCUUAUGGCUAGAUACUUAAUGUCGAUAUGUUUGCUUCGACUUCCACUUUUAUUGUUCUUCGCCAUAAAGACUGCAGCUGAAUUGUCGCAAUAUAUACUCAAUGGCCUAGAUAUUGAAUCCAUAACUCUAAGCCCGGAAAUGAAACUCUUAAGCCAUACACCAUGUGAAGUAGCCUCAAAACAAGAUAUGAACUCAGCUUCCAUAGUAGAAGUAGCAGUCAUGGUCUGCUUAACGCUCCUCCAAGAUAUAGCUCCACCGGCCAAUAUAAAAAUGUAUCCAGAUGUUGAUUUACGUGAAUCAACACAGCCAGCAAAGUCUGAAUCUGAGUAGCCAACUACCUCUAAAUUGCUUGUUCGUCUGUACAUAAGCUUGUAAUCUUUGGUUCCUUGAAGAUAUCUCAUCACUUUCUUUGCAGCUUUCCAGUGGUCUAUACCUGGGUUACUCUGAUAUCGUCCUAACAUUCCAACAGCAAAUGCAAUGUCAGGCCUUGUGCAGACCUGAGCAUACAUCAAACUUCCGACUGCAGGUGCAUAUGGAAUGUUCUUCAUUUGUUCCCUCUCAAGAUCGUUUUUCGGGCAUUGGUCCAGAUUGAACCUAUCACCCUUCACUAUAGGAGAAAUACUAGGUGAACAAUUCUUCAUCCGAAAUCUCUCUAAAACUUUAUUGAUAUAGGUUUCUUGAGACACACCUAAGAUACCUUUAAAUCUGUCUCUAUGGAUCUUAAUGCCAAUGACAUAAGAUGCCUCGCCCAUAUCCUUCAUGUCGAAAUUUUUAGAGAGGAAUUGUUUUACCUCAUGAAGUAAACCCUUAUCAUUGGUUGCAAGUAAGAUGUCAUCCACGUAUAAAACAAGAAAACAAACUUUACUCCCACUGACCUUAAGGUAUAUGCAUUGAUCCAUAACAUUUUCAACAAAACCGAAUGAAGAAAUUAUGUUAUGGAAUUUUAAAUACCAUUGGCGGGAUGCUUGCUUCAAACCGUAUAUGGAUUUCUUAAGCUUACAAACCAAUUGCUCACCAUCACUAGAGGGGAAUCCUUCAGGUUGUUUCAUGUAAACCUCCUCCUCUAGCUCCCCAUUAAGAAAUGCUGUUUUCACAUCCAUUUGUUGCAAUUCUAAAUCAAAGUGGGCUACUAAUGCCAAUAUAAUGCGCAAGGAAUCUUUCUUAGAUACAGGAGAAAAGGUUUCCGUGUAAUCGAUUCCUUCUUUCUGAGUGAACCCCUUUGCAACAAGUCUGGCCUUGUAUCUCUCAAUGUUGCCUAAUGAGUCUUUCUUUGUCUUAAAAACCCAUUUACAACCAAUGGUUUUUGCACCAUUAGGCAACUCAACAAGGUCCCAAACAUCGUUGCACUUCAUGGAACUCAUCUCAUCCUUCAUGGCAUUGUACCACAAUUCUGAUUCUUUACAACUCAUGGCUUGUGAAAAAGAUUCGGGAUCAUUUUCGGCUCCUAUAUUGUAGUCACAUUCCUGUAGAUACACUACAUAAUCAUUAGGAAUUGCUGACCUCUUAGUUCGAGUAGACCUUCUUAAGGUUGCACCAAUAUCUUCUAAGGAAGUAUGAGGUUCAACUUGUUGUCCAGAAGUAUCAGGAAUCUCCUGAUCAACUUGAUCUACUGGAAUGUUGUCAACAGCUUGUGGAACUUCAACAACUGGUUGAACUUCAGUGAUUGUUCGUUCUACACCCGAUUGUACUUGAGGGGUGUUAUGAACAAUAAACAAUCUAUCACUUGAAGUGGAAGGUUGAGACUCUGUAUGAUCAAUAUCAGAAACUAUGUUUCUAAAUUGAUCGCUCCCACUGACCAAGUCAUAUUCAAGAAAUUUAGCAUUUCUCGAUUCCACAAUCCUAGUGCUGUGAGAUGGACAGUAAAAUCUGUACCCCUUAGACUUUUCAGCAUAUCCAAUGAAAUACCCACUAAUAGUCCUUGGGUCCAGUUUCUUCUCUUGUGGAUUAUAAAUUCUCACUUCAGACGAGCAUCCCCAAACGCGCAUAUGUCGCAAACUCGGUUUCCAACCUUUCAAUAACUCAAAUGGCGUCUUUGGGACAGCCUUGGUUGGAACUCGGUUUAAUAUAUACACAGCUNNNNNNNNNNNNNNNNNNNNNNNNNNNNNNNNNNNNNNNNNNNNNNNNNNNNNNNNNNNNNNNNNNNNNNNNNNNNNNNNNNNNNNNNNNNNNNNNNNNNNNNNNNNNNNNNNNNNNNNNNNNNNNNNNNNNNNNNNNNNNNNNNNNNNNNNNNNNNNNNNNNNNNNNNNNNNNNNNNNNNNNNNNNNNNNNNNNNNNNNNNNNNNNNNNNNNNNNNNNNNNNNNNNNNNNNNNNNNNNNNNNNNNNNNNNNNNNNNNNNNNNNNNNNNNNNNNNNNNNNNNNNNNNNNNNNNNNNNNNNNNNNNNNNNNNNNNNNNNNNNNNNNNNNNNNNNNNNNNNNNNNNNNNNNNNNNNNNNNNNNNNNNNNNNNNNNNNNNNNNNNNNNNNNNNNNNNNNNNNNNNNNNNNNNNNNNNNNNNNNNNNNNNNNNNNNNNNNNNNNNNNNNNNNNNNNNNNNNNNNNNNNNNNNNNNNNNNNNNNNNNNNNNNNNNNNNNNNNNNNNNNNNNNNNNNNNNNNNNNNNNNNNNNNNNNNNNNNNNNNNNNNNNNNNNNNNNNNNNNNNNNNNNNNNNNNNNNNNNNNNNNNNNNNNNNNNNNNNNNNNNNNNNNNNNNNNNNNNNNNNNNNNNNNNNNNNNNNNNNNNNNNNNNNNNNNNNNNNNNNNNNNNNNNNNNNNNNNNNNNNNNNNNNNNNNNNNNNNNNNNNNNNNNNNNNNNNNNNNNNNNNNNNNNNNNNNNNNNNNNNNNNNNNNNNNNNNNNNNNNNNNNNNNNNNNNNNNNNNNNNNNNNNNNNNNNNNNNNNNNNNNNNNNNNNNNNNNNNNNNNNNNNNNNNNNNNNNNNNNNNNNNNNNNNNNNNNNNNNNNNNNNNNNNNNNNNNNNNNNNNNNNNNNNNNNNNNNNNNNNNNNNNNNNNNNNNNNNNNNNNNNNNNNNNNNNNNNNNNNNNNNNNNNNNNNNNNNNNNNNNNNNNNNNNNNNNNNNNNNNNNNNNNNNNNNNNNNNNNNNNNNNNNNNNNNNNNNNNNNNNNNNNNNNNNNNNNNNNNNNNNNNNNNNNNNNNNNNNNNNNNNNNNNNNNNNNNNNNNNNNNNNNNNNNNNNNNNNNNNNNNNNNNNNNNNNNNNNNNNNNNNNNNNNNNNNNNNNNNNNNNNNNNNNNNNNNNNNNNNNNNNNNNNNNNNNNNNNNNNNNNNNNNNNNNNNNNNNNNNNNNNNNNNNNNNNNNNNNNNNNNNNNNNNNNNNNNNNNNNNNNNNNNNNNNNNNNNNNNNNNNNNNNNNNNNNNNNNNNNNNNNNNNNNNNNNNNNNNNNNNNNNNNNNNNNNNNNNNNNNNNNNNNNNNNNNNNNNNNNNNNNNNNNNNNNNNNNNNNNNNNNNNNNNNNNNNNNNNNNNNNNNNNNNNNNNNNNNNNNNNNNNNNNNNNNNNNNNNNNNNNNNNNNNNNNNNNNNNNNNNNNNNNNNNNNNNNNNNNNNNNNNNNNNNNNNNNNNNNNNNNNNNNNNNNNNNNNNNNNNNNNNNNNNNNNNNNNNNNNNNNNNNNNNNNNNNNNNNNNNNNNNNNNNNNNNNNNNNNNNNNNNNNNNNNNNNNNNNNNNNNNNNNNNNNNNNNNNNNNNNNNNNNNNNNNNNNNNNNNNNNNNNNNNNNNNNNNNNNNNNNNNNNNNNNNNNNNNNNNNNNNNNNNNNNNNNNNNNNNNNNNNNNNNNNNNNNNNNNNNNNNNNNNNNNNNNNNNNNNNNNNNNNNNNNNNNNNNNNNNNNNNNNNNNNNNNNNNNNNNNNNNNNNNNNNNNNNNNNNNNNNNNNNNNNNNNNNNNNNNNNNNNNNNNNNNNNNNNNNNNNNNNNNNNNNNNNNNNNNNNNNNNNNNNNNNNNNNNNNNNNNNNNNNNNNNNNNNNNNNNNNNNNNNNNNNNNNNNNNNNNNNNNNNNNNNNNNNNNNNNNNNNNNNNNNNNNNNNNNNNNNNNNNNNNNNNNNNNNNNNNNNNNNNNNNNNNNNNNNNNNNNNNNNNNNNNNNNNNNNNNNNNNNNNNNNNNNNNNNNNNNNNNNNNNNNNNNNNNNNNNNNNNNNNNNNNNNNNNNNNNNNNNNNNNNNNNNNNNNNNNNNNNNNNNNNNNNNNNNNNNNNNNNNNNNNNNNNNNNNNNNNNNNNNNNNNNNNNNNNNNNNNNNNNNNNNNNNNNNNNNNNNNNNNNNNNNNNNNNNNNNNNNNNNNNNNNNNNNNNNNNNNNNNNNNNNNNNNNNNNNNNNNNNNNNNNNNNNNNNNNNNNNNNNNNNNNNNNNNNNNNNNNNNNNNNNNNNNNNNNNNNNNNNNNNNNNNNNNNNNNNNNNNNNNNNNNNNNNNNNNNNNNNNNNNNNNNNNNNNNNNNNNNNNNNNNNNNNNNNNNNNNNNNNNNNNNNNNNNNNNNNNNNNNNNNNNNNNNNNNNNNNNNNNNNNNNNNNNNNNNNNNNNNNNNNNNNNNNNNNNNNNNNNNNNNNNNNNNNNNNNNNNNNNNNNNNNNNNNNNNNNNNNNNNNNNNNNNNNNNNNNNNNNNNNNNNNNNNNNNNNNNNNNNNNNNNNNNNNNNNNNNNNNNNNNNNNNNNNNNNNNNNNNNNNNNNNNNNNNNNNNNNNNNNNNNNNNNNNNNNNNNNNNNNNNNNNNNNNNNNNNNNNNNNNNNNNNNNNNNNNNNNNNNNNNNNNNNNNNNNNNNNNNNNNNNNNNNNNNNNNNNNNNNNNNNNNNNNNNNNNNNNNNNNNNNNNNNNNNNNNNNNNNNNNNNNNNNNNNNNNNNNNNNNNNNNNNNNNNNNNNNNNNNNNNNNNNNNNNNNNNNNNNNNNNNNNNNNNNNNNNNNNNNNNNNNNNNNNNNNNNNNNNNNNNNNNNNNNNNNNNNNNNNNNNNNNNNNNNNNNNNNNNNNNNNNNNNNNNNNNNNNNNNNNNNNNNNNNNNNNNNNNNNNNNNNNNNNNNNNNNNNNNNNNNNNNNNNNNNNNNNNNNNNNNNNNNNNNNNNNNNNNNNNNNNNNNNNNNNNNNNNNNNNNNNNNNNNNNNNNNNNNNNNNNNNNNNNNNNNNNNNNNNNNNNNNNNNNNNNNNNNNNNNNNNNNNNNNNNNNNNNNNNNNNNNNNNNNNNNNNNNNNNNNNNNNNNNNNNNNNNNNNNNNNNNNNNNNNNNNNNNNNNNNNNNNNNNNNNNNNNNNNNNNNNNNNNNNNNNNNNNNNNNNNNNNNNNNNNNNNNNNNNNNNNNNNNNNNNNNNNNNNNNNNNNNNNNNNNNNNNNNNNNNNNNNNNNNNNNNNNNNNNNNNNNNNNNNNNNNNNNNNNNNNNNNNNNNNNNNNNNNNNNNNNNNNNNNNNNNNNNNNNNNNNNNNNNNNNNNNNNNNNNNNNNNNNNNNNNNNNNNNNNNNNNNNNNNNNNNNNNNNNNNNNNNNNNNNNNNNNNNNNNNNNNNNNNNNNNNNNNNNNNNNNNNNNNNNNNNNNNNNNNNNNNNNNNNNNNNNNNNNNNNNNNNNNNNNNNNNNNNNNNNNNNNNNNNNNNNNNNNNNNNNNNNNNNNNNNNNNNNNNNNNNNNNNNNNNNNNNNNNNNNNNNNNNNNNNNNNNNNNNNNNNNNNNNNNNNNNNNNNNNNNNNNNNNNNNNNNNNNNNNNNNNNNNNNNNNNNNNNNNNNNNNNNNNNNNNNNNNNNNNNNNNNNNNNNNNNNNNNNNNNNNNNNNNNNNNNNNNNNNNNNNNNNNNNNNNNNNNNNNNNNNNNNNNNNNNNNNNNNNNNNNNNNNNNNNNNNNNNNNNNNNNNNNNNNNNNNNNNNNNNNNNNNNNNNNNNNNNNNNNNNNNNNNNNNNNNNNNNNNNNNNNNNNNNNNNNNNNNNNNNNNNNNNNNNNNNNNNNNNNNNNNNNNNNNNNNNNNNNNNNNNNNNNNNNNNNNNNNNNNNNNNNNNNNNNNNNNNNNNNNNNNNNNNNNNNNNNNNNNNNNNNNNNNNNNNNNNNNNNNNNNNNNNNNNNNNNNNNNNNNNNNNNNNNNNNNNNNNNNNNNNNNNNNNNNNNNNNNNNNNNNNNNNNNNNNNNNNNNNNNNNNNNNNNNNNNNNNNNNNNNNNNNNNNNNNNNNNNNNNNNNNNNNNNNNNNNNNNNNNNNNNNNNNNNNNNNNNNNNNNNNNNNNNNNNNNNNNNNNNNNNNNNNNNNNNNNNNNNNNNNNNNNNNNNNNNNNNNNNNNNNNNNNNNNNNNNNNNNNNNNNNNNNNNNNNNNNNNNNNNNNNNNNNNNNNNNNNNNNNNNNNNNNNNNNNNNNNNNNNNNNNNNNNNNNNNNNNNNNNNNNNNNNNNNNNNNNNNNNNNNNNNNNNNNNNNNNNNNNNNNNNNNNNNNNNNNNNNNNNNNNNNNNNNNNNNNNNNNNNNNNNNNNNNNNNNNNNNNNNNNNNNNNNNNNNNNNNNNNNNNNNNNNNNNNNNNNNNNNNNNNNNNNNNNNNNNNNNNNNNNNNNNNNNNNNNNNNNNNNNNNNNNNNNNNNNNNNNNNNNNNNNNNNNNNNNNNNNNNNNNNNNNNNNNNNNNNNNNNNNNNNNNNNNNNNNNNNNNNNNNNNNNNNNNNNNNNNNNNNNNNNNNNNNNNNNNNNNNNNNNNNNNNNNNNNNNNNNNNNNNNNNNNNNNNNNNNNNNNNNNNNNNNNNNNNNNNNNNNNNNNNNNNNNNNNNNNNNNNNNNNNNNNNNNNNNNNNNNNNNNNNNNNNNNNNNNNNNNNNNNNNNNNNNNNNNNNNNNNNNNNNNNNNNNNNNNNNNNNNNNNNNNNNNNNNNNNNNNNNNNNNNNNNNNNNNNNNNNNNNNNNNNNNNNNNNNNNNNNNNNNNNNNNNNNNNNNNNNNNNNNNNNNNNNNNNNNNNNNNNNNNNNNNNNNNNNNNNNNNNNNNNNNNNNNNNNNNNNNNNNNNNNNNNNNNNNNNNNNNNNNNNNNNNNNNNNNNNNNNNNNNNNNNNNNNNNNNNNNNNNNNNNNNNNNNNNNNNNNNNNNNNNNNNNNNNNNNNNNNNNNNNNNNNNNNNNNNNNNNNNNNNNNNNNNNNNNNNNNNNNNNNNNNNNNNNNNNNNNNNNNNNNNNNNNNNNNNNNNNNNNNNNNNNNNNNNNNNNNNNNNNNNNNNNNNNNNNNNNNNNNNNNNNNNNNNNNNNNNNNNNNNNNNNNNNNNNNNNNNNNNNNNNNNNNNNNNNNNNNNNNNNNNNNNNNNNNNNNNNNNNNNNNNNNNNNNNNNNNNNNNNNNNNNNNNNNNNNNNNNNNNNNNNNNNNNNNNNNNNNNNNNNNNNNNNNNNNNNNNNNNNNNNNNNNNNNNNNNNNNNNNNNNNNNNNNNNNNNNNNNNNNNNNNNNNNNNNNNNNNNNNNNNNNNNNNNNNNNNNNNNNNNNNNNNNNNNNNNNNNNNNNNNNNNNNNNNNNNNNNNNNNNNNNNNNNNNNNNNNNNNNNNNNNNNNNNNNNNNNNNNNNNNNNNNNNNNNNNNNNNNNNNNNNNNNNNNNNNNNNNNNNNNNNNNNNNNNNNNNNNNNNNNNNNNNNNNNNNNNNNNNNNNNNNNNNNNNNNNNNNNNNNNNNNNNNNNNNNNNNNNNNNNNNNNNNNNNNNNNNNNNNNNNNNNNNNNNNNNNNNNNNNNNNNNNNNNNNNNNNNNNNNNNNNNNNNNNNNNNNNNNNNNNNNNNNNNNNNNNNNNNNNNNNNNNNNNNNNNNNNNNNNNNNNNNNNNNNNNNNNNNNNNNNNNNNNNNNNNNNNNNNNNNNNNNNNNNNNNNNNNNNNNNNNNNNNNNNNNNNNNNNNNNNNNNNNNNNNNNNNNNNNNNNNNNNNNNNNNNNNNNNNNNNNNNNNNNNNNNNNNNNNNNNNNNNNNNNNNNNNNNNNNNNNNNNNNNNNNNNNNNNNNNNNNNNNNNNNNNNNNNNNNNNNNNNNNNNNNNNNNNNNNNNNNNNNNNNNNNNNNNNNNNNNNNNNNNNNNNNNNNNNNNNNNNNNNNNNNNNNNNNNNNNNNNNNNNNNNNNNNNNNNNNNNNNNNNNNNNNNNNNNNNNNNNNNNNNNNNNNNNNNNNNNNNNNNNNNNNNNNNNNNNNNNNNNNNNNNNNNNNNNNNNNNNNNNNNNNNNNNNNNNNNNNNNNNNNNNNNNNNNNNNNNNNNNNNNNNNNNNNNNNNNNNNNNNNNNNNNNNNNNNNNNNNNNNNNNNNNNNNNNNNNNNNNNNNNNNNNNNNNNNNNNNNNNNNNNNNNNNNNNNNNNNNNNNNNNNNNNNNNNNNNNNNNNNNNNNNNNNNNNNNNNNNNNNNNNNNNNNNNNNNNNNNNNNNNNNNNNNNNNNNNNNNNNNNNNNNNNNNNNNNNNNNNNNNNNNNNNNNNNNNNNNNNNNNNNNNNNNNNNNNNNNNNNNNNNNNNNNNNNNNNNNNNNNNNNNNNNNNNNNNNNNNNNNNNNNNNNNNNNNNNNNNNNNNNNNNNNNNNNNNNNNNNNNNNNNNNNNNNNNNNNNNNNNNNNNNNNNNNNNNNNNNNNNNNNNNNNNNNNNNNNNNNNNNNNNNNNNNNNNNNNNNNNNNNNNNNNNNNNNNNNNNNNNNNNNNNNNNNNNNNNNNNNNNNNNNNNNNNNNNNNNNNNNNNNNNNNNNNNNNNNNNNNNNNNNNNNNNNNNNNNNNNNNNNNNNNNNNNNNNNNNNNNNNNNNNNNNNNNNNNNNNNNNNNNNNNNNNNNNNNNNNNNNNNNNNNNNNNNNNNNNNNNNNNNNNNNNNNNNNNNNNNNNNNNNNNNNNNNNNNNNNNNNNNNNNNNNNNNNNNNNNNNNNNNNNNNNNNNNNNNNNNNNNNNNNNNNNNNNNNNNNNNNNNNNNNNNNNNNNNNNNNNNNNNNNNNNNNNNNNNNNNNNNNNNNNNNNNNNNNNNNNNNNNNNNNNNNNNNNNNNNNNNNNNNNNNNNNNNNNNNNNNNNNNNNNNNNNNNNNNNNNNNNNNNNNNNNNNNNNNNNNNNNNNNNNNNNNNNNNNNNNNNNNNNNNNNNNNNNNNNNNNNNNNNNNNNNNNNNNNNNNNNNNNNNNNNNNNNNNNNNNNNNNNNNNNNNNNNNNNNNNNNNNNNNNNNNNNNNNNNNNNNNNNNNNNNNNNNNNNNNNNNNNNNNNNNNNNNNNNNNNNNNNNNNNNNNNNNNNNNNNNNNNNNNNNNNNNNNNNNNNNNNNNNNNNNNNNNNNNNNNNNNNNNNNNNNNNNNNNNNNNNNNNNNNNNNNNNNNNNNNNNNNNNNNNNNNNNNNNNNNNNNNNNNNNNNNNNNNNNNNNNNNNNNNNNNNNNNNNNNNNNNNNNNNNNNNNNNNNNNNNNNNNNNNNNNNNNNNNNNNNNNNNNNNNNNNNNNNNNNNNNNNNNNNNNNNNNNNNNNNAGGUCCAUACUGAAGUGGAAGAGUGUUAAGGAUAAAGUGCACCAAGAAAGAUUCAGACAUUUCUACCUCGAGUUUCUUCAAUUGAGCCACAAUGUCCCUCAUCUCCAUGAUAUGUUCACGCACACCUCUUAUACCGGUGAGCUUCAGGGAUGUGAACUUCAUAAUUAGGGUGCUUGCCAAGGCUUUAUCUGAAGUGACGAAUUGCUCGUCAAUAGCCUUUAACAAUUCACGGACAUUCUCAUGUUGCUCGAUUGAACCACGUAUACCAGCACUGAUUUUUGUCUUAAUGUACAUCACGCUAAGGCGAUUAGAUUUCUCCCAGCGUUCGUACAAUAAAAUUUGUUCAGGUGUGCUGGUAUCAGUGAUCUUAUGCGGUUCAUCUUUCCUUAUAGCAUAAUCUAUGUCCAUGCACCCUAAUUGAAGAAGACUUCUCUCCUUCCAUAUCUUAAAAUUAUCUCCUCUAAGUUCGGGAACCUCACAACGAAUAUCAGAUAUGCUAGGUAAAACUGCACAAAAGGAUUACAAGCUUAUUAAAAAUUUGAGGCUUUAAUAUAAAUUCAUGCUUUACCAAUGUAGAACAUGCUUAAAAUUGAAUCUAAUUUUAUUAAAAAUUGCCUGUGGGCUAAAUCUUUAAUUCAAUAAGAUUCAUUAUCUUUAUAAUAGACUUUAUCAAACUAUUUUAUUAAAUCAUGAAAUUUAUUCUAAAUAUAGUUUGAUAUUUUCUGUCUAUAAUCUUUAUGAUAAACUUAUUAAAUUAAUUCUUCCUAACUCCUGUGGGUAAAUUAGAAAAAAUUAAUUUUAAUAUUUUAUCCUAAUUAAUUAUAUAAAUAUAAUGAAAACCCUGUGGGGUAAAACAUCAUAUUUAUAUAGUUAAUUACAAUUAAUAUCCAUAAUGCGAUCCUUAUUAAUAUAUAAUUUUUUUAUAUAAUUAAGGAUGCUGUGGCUAUUCCUUAAUUAUUUAAAAAAUCAUAUGGAUUCACUAGACAUUAAAAUCAUAUGAUAUAAUUUUAAUAUAUCUAACUAAAUUUUAGGCAACAAUUGCAUGCAUACUAUAUGAUAUAAUCUUAAUAUAUCUAACUAAAUUUAGUCAACAAUGUCAACAAUUGCAUGCAUACUAUAUGAUAUAAUCUUAAUAUAUCUAACUAAAUUUUAGGCAACAUUUUUACAUAUACAAACAUAUAAAGCAGUAUAUAAUUAUUUAUUUUGCAUGUAUAAAAUUUACAUGAUAAUUUUAAAGGUAUGAAUGAGUGCCUAAAUACAAAUAAAACACAAUUAAUUCCAUGCCCAAUAUAGUUAAAAUAAAAAAUUCAAAUCGGGCCAAAAAGAGCAUAAACUGGCCCAAUUUUUACAUUUAUACAUGGCCUAACAUUUAAUGUCUUUUAUCUUUGCAAAAUGGGCCACUGUCCAUGCUUUGAAUCCAAUGGGCCCAAUAGCCAGUUAUUUAAAAGCCCAUAACCUUAGUGGAGCCCCAUCUUAUUUUAUGAUUUCUCACUAUUUUAAUAUCACCUGCAACCCAAAACCCAAGAUCCUAUUUUUCUGCCACUUAGUGGACUGCUUCAAUACCGGCAGCGACGUUCUCGCCGCCACCCACGUGGACUGCACCCUUGCUGGAUGCAGUCCAAGCCAUGAAGCCGUCUGCAGUGCUUCAACACGGCAUGUGAACGACGACUUGCAGCCCAAAAAAAUGGCGUUUCCAAUGGCGCCUGAACGGCGCUGAGAUGGUGGCUAAGGUGCGCCUUAAAUGGAGCCUGAACGACGCCUAGUAACAGCGCUUGAACGGCGCUGGUUGUAGCCCCAAAAAAUGGCACUUCAACGCGCCUGAAUGGCGCCUGAAAAUUGGUGCUACAAUGGCGCAUGUUGCAGUCCAGAAAAUUGCAUUUCAACGCGCCUGAAAAUUGGCGCUGGUAUGGCGCUGCAAUGGGGCUGGUUGCAGCCCCAAAAAUGGCAGCUGAACAGCGCCAGGUAUGGGGCCUAAAGCGCAUCUAAAAUGGCACCUGAAACGGAGUCACUGGUGCGCCUGAAAAUGACGCCUUAAUAGCGCUGCUGGAGCGCCAGAAAAUGGCAUCUUUUGAACGCCUGUAAUGGCCUUUUUUAUAAAUGAAUGAUGCCAACUAUAUAUAUAUGGAUCUCCAACAACAAUAGUUUAAAUAAUUAUCAAGAGAUCAUAAAACAAGAAUUUUUUCACUCAGAAAUCAUACAAAGCAGAGGCAAGAUUUAUGGCUCUGAUACCAAAUGUUAGAAAUUUACAUGCUAUAUUCGAUUCCACUAUGCUUGCAACAUGAAUCAAAACCGAAAAGACUAAGAAUAGUCUACUUACCUCCAGCCAUUGUAGUUGGUUUCAAAAACCCAGAUUUCCAAACUCUGAUCUCUCCUUUUUUUAGAUGGUGUUUUUCUGAAGAUAAUAGCAGAGUGAGUUCGGGACAAUUUUCUGAAAAAAUUUAUAACAGUGGCUUCCAUCAAACCACGUUGCCUCUUGCCACCAUGUUGAGCAGUUGGUGGAACGUGCUCCUUAAUCGUAGCGGAAGUGAGAUGGUGGAAGACUUGGUCAAAGUAUUGGACCAUAUCAUGAAGUGAGAACGUGUGAACUCACACGUGUAUUCAACUUACAGCUAGAACAUGCAAAUUAUUUGCACAAAUAUGAAGUUACCUCUGGCAUGUCAACUGAGUAUCUAAUAUCAUCAAAGGUGAUAGAAUGUGAUUGGAAUGGAAGAACCAUCCAUCCCUUUUUUUCUUGUUAUGGUUAACCUCAACAAUCGCUUUUGCCAUCACAGAUGAGGAUGCGGACGAGAUACUUCUCCCAAUUUCCUCUCCACUCUCUGCAAGUUAAGUUUAAAUUUAGAGAGCCAUAUAAUACAUGCAGUUAACUGACAACAAUGCGUAUGUGUGCGUGCAUGCGUAUGUGCGUGUGUGUACUUUAAUUUGGCAUCUAUCGGUGAAUCAAAUGUCAAAUUUUCAUCCAUUUAUUGAAAACUGAUUUUGUUUUGAGGUUAGUAGGGUGCAUAACACCUUCCCACUAGACCACUAGUCACAUGCUAUUUUCUUUCUUAUUUUGUUUCUAAACUAAGUGAUAAAUCCAAACUAAAAUAAAAACGAGUUUUUAAAAAUCAAACAUUCAUUUUUCCAUGGAGUCAGAGUCUCUCCAAGGGAUGUAUCAUCACCUCUUUUUUGAGAACUGCAGGCCCACACGGGUCGUGUUUACCAUCCCUCACUAGUAUUCCCUAUCCCCCCGGUAACAUCAGUUAUCCCUUUCUGGAGCUAAGUAUCCCCCAGCGCAAUGUGGUAUCUACAACAACUGUCAUUAUAUCCCUUAAUUUCUGUGAAAGGCAUUGAUGAAAAUAUCGGUAAUCACGAAUAUAUUGGUAUUUCAAUUUUACAGAUAUAUCGGAAAUAUAUAGACAGAUAUUUUGGGAAAAAAAUUUAGGUAGUCUAAAGUUGAUCAAAACUUAUGAAAAUAUUGAGAAAAAUUCUAAAAAUGAUAUAAUAAACCAUAAUAUACAUUUUAAAGUUAUUUAAAAAUAAAUAAAUAAUAUAUGCAUAUAACAUAAUUAAUUAUAUUUGAUAAUAAUAUUGUAUGCAUCCAUAAAAAAAAAUAUGAAUUUUAUAAAUUUAUUAAAUUACAUCAAAUGUUAUUUGACAAUAAUAUUAUGAUAUUUGAUUAUAAUAUAUCUCACUUUAAAAUUAUAAUUUAUUUAAUUUCAAUUAUAUUAAAUAAUAUAAAAUAAAUGAUGAUAUAUGUAUAAUUAUUUUUAAUAUUUAUAUUUUUAUAUUUAAUUAAUAUAUAAAUUAUAUAAAAAAAGGAUUAAGAAAAUUAUAAUGAUAGACUUCAUAUUUUUAGUGAUUAAUUAAAUGAAAUUUUAAAAUAAAAUAAUUAGAACUAAUUUGUUUAUGGAAAUAAUUUUUUAUAGUUUUAUUAUAUAUUUGUCUGGUGCAUAGUAUUUAACAAAUGGGUAGUUAGCCCGGUGGUCAUGCAAGGAAAGACUUGGUUUGUUUUUGGGUUAGGCGGUUGAGUCCGCGCCCACAUGCACAAUUGCACAAUUUUGAAGCUUUGACAGCACAUUGACCAGACCGAAAAAUCGCUUCACUGGAUUUUCGCUUGCUUAUUUCGUGUCGCCAGUUGCCGACAGAAGAAAUUUUGGGGAAAUUUCGACGAAAUUUUUCGAAAUUUUCAUCAAUGGUGAAGAGGCAGUUGGGCAUAUUGCCCAACAUAGCCAUGGUAAGGCUUAUUAUGAGCAUUUUGCAGUUUGGUUUCUGUGUACAAACAGCUCUUCUAAUGCAGAGAAGACCGUGUUCCGAAGCUAGAAGGAACUUUGUAAUUAUAAACUUGUAUGAAAGAACUGCACUCUUCAUGUGCAAGUACAAACCCUUCCUCUUUUAGCCCUCAACUAGCAACUUUGGGAGCUCCUAGAGAAGAACACACUACUAUAAUUCAUUUUACUUAUAUAGAGUUCAGAGUGUGCACUUAAUUCAUAACAAGACAAUUAAAGGAAAGAUAUGGAAAGUAAUGACUAAUGAUAAAUAGACAUGUACAUAAUUCUCAUCACUGUAUCUUACUGCCUAUGGAGGUUUAUGGAAAGGAAUAUUGAUUUUGAUUUGAAUGUCAUUUUUUGUACAUUUAAAAAAAAAAAAAAUUGAAGUCGGAGUCACUAGAGUCUAGUGAUGGAAAAUAUGAUACAGAUUAGUGAUUGCAGUGGACAUGAUGCCAAAAUGAUAGCAGUCACCUUCUCAAUUUAGUAUUUCUAUUUUGUAGCAUUUGCAGUCUUUUCCAUUGGAAUUUCUUUUUCCUUUACUUUUAUCAGGAUACUAUAAAACUCUACCUCUGACUUGGUCCCCGUGUUUGGCAUUGUACUAUUAAAACACACACUGCAUUCAAAUCCAUUCAAAUUGCAGGCUUUGUAUGAAGAGACUUGGCUUUGUUCAUGGAGAUUACUUGAGUUCAAUGCUGAGUUUGAGCAGCAAACCUGGCUCCCUUGAGUCCUAGAGUUCUCAAUGUGACUUUUACAGAGUCAGAUGAUCCCCUGCAUGUCUUUCACCCUUGUUUAGAUGACGAGAAAAUUAGAAGAAAAGGUUUUACAAACUCACCACUAAGCAAGGAUUCGUGCAGAAUUUGUUAUGGGAUGAUGCACACUAAGCAAGGCUUCCAAAAUUCUGAACAAUCAAAGCAAGUGAAAAACAUUCAGAAUAUGACAGAUUUUGAAAUUAUUAUCGCCUAGAUUCAACUACUCAAGAAAUUUGAUGAGUUUUUGAGCUUGGAAGAGUCGUAAAUUUGGAAGGCAGUGAUUCUACAAUUCAAAGUAUAACUGCUUCAUCUGGAUAUGAUCAUCAGGACACCACUGUAUGAGCACCAAACAUUCUUUCAUUGAAUGAGUUGAAUACUAGGAAAACUGAACUACUUCUCUUCAUGGGUCAAGCAUAUAACUAGAAAUGGGAUCUGUAAGUGCAGUCAUGGAACUGCUGGAGAUACCUCUGAACUUUCUGAAGAAGGCCAAAACUUUUCUUUUUGCUAGCUCAAGUCUAAAUUUAAUAGUAUUUCAAACCCUGCCCCACAUACACACUUGUUGGUCUUGAAACCAUACUAUUUUCAUGCUGAUACCUGUCUUUAUGAUUUCAGCAGCUUAAAGCAGAGACUGAAACUGGAGCACCAUACCGGUAAGUUGGUCAUCAACAUGAAAGGAUUGCAUAAGGUUAUAUUAUUGUCUUGAAUUUCAAAUUUCAAAAUACAAAAAAAUAGGAGAAAACAAAAUACAAUAAAAUUGGGAGAAAACAAAAUACAAGAAUUUAACAAGAUAAAUACUACCCUCUAUGAUGCUCUCUAACAGCAUAUAGACAUAGACCAAAACUUUUUUUCAUCUGUGAAGAACUUGUGCUGUUAUCGCCUUUGGAAGUUAAAUGCCUUAAUGGCAAAGGCAAAGAUAAAUAAGAAAAGCACCGUAAACCCAACAAUCACAACUGCAACCACUCCGAGGAAAUCAUGUUUGAAUCCAAAAUAGUCAUCCAAGUAUUGUUUCACUGUUACAUUUGAGUCAAGUAGUGUGUCCUCGAUAUCUCCAAACUGUGAUGUAACCAAUCCAUACAAACUCCAUGCAACUGGACAUGCCCAAUAGUACCAUCUCCACCACACAGGAAUCCUCUGUAUUCAUCAUGGAAGAAAUGCAACAAAAUGAGACCGUUUCUGUAUCCAUGUGCUAAAGAAAGUUGCAAUUUAAAGAAUUAUGGGUUGAGAGCACUUACAUUUCGUGGGACUAUAAAACCUGAGAAGAGGUUCCAUAAUGUAUAAAAUGAUGAGGCAACGAUGGCAGCAAUAUGUUGAUUUGGUGUGGCAGCCACAGCCAUCAUGCCAUAAAAGGUGAAGUAUAAUAAGCUGAAGAACAUGAAGAACAGAUACCAGAAGAACUUAGCAGCUGUCCAUUCAAAUCCAAUCAUUGCAUAAACUAUAACACCAUACACCACAGCUUGUGAAAAGACAUAAGGUAUCUCAACUAAAGCCUGAAAGAAGAGAUGAAAUUUGAUUAAUAAAACCCAUAAAGUAUUAGAGAUAUACGAAGUCUAUAGCAUAAGAAAACUAAUUACCUGUGCAAAGGCAUAUGGCAUGGCUGAAUACAUUCCUGCAGCUCUUUCUCUGUAAAAGACUGUCCGUUCAACUGCCACGACUGGUUGCACCGAUUGGCCAUUCUGAAACCCAAGGAAGAGAACAGCGGCAUACAUAGAGCCCAUUGCAUUAGAUAUAUCUUGUUGUCUUGUCCUGCAUUUGCCAAUGUGAAGUAAAAAAUUAAAGUUGAUAUGGAGAAGCAUACUGAGUUCUCAAAAUUCUGAACUGACUUCAAACUACCUUUUGGUGCCGAGAUCCCAGAACAUUGUCCCAAACAUCAAGGCUACGAAAGUUGUGAAGAAAAAUCUCACUGCCGUGUAUGGUGGAUUUCGCCAGUAUGACAAACGUUGUUUCCAUAAGCAUGCCAUACACUGGGUGAAGAAGGACUGGGAGUAUUGAGUAGGGAAAUAGAGGUCCUUAGAACCAGGGGUAGGUUGGCUCAAUUCUUUAAUUAAAUCUUUGUUUCUCCUGAAACAUAUGCCACAUCUUAGAAAAGGCUUCAACAACAAAUUCAAGCUUGCAUGAUGAACUUUGAGAUGGCUGUAUAUGACAUUUCAAUAUCAUAAAGCAUUCAGAUAUCCUAUAGUUGAAUCACCUGUAUAGGUCUGACUUUUCGUAUAUUUCGGUGAAAUCCACCCCCAAAAUUAAUUCUUGUGCAGAAGCGGUAACUUCCAACAUCCAAGUUGCAGGGUUAUAACCAUCUUUGAUUUUACUUACUCCUUCAAUUCCCUUAAUGAAAGCAAGUCACAUGUAUUAGUAAGCACUUUAUAUGAAUUAACUUAAACUAAAGUAUUUGCUGCUUAUAGCUUUUAAUUUAUCAUGGAAGUUUACCUCAAAAUACUUUAUCAGAUGGGAAGAAUGUCUACCCAGUGGUCCCAUAUAUAUCUCUUGCCCUCCACGCUUCAACAGGAGCAACUGCAAACCCAUUUUGAAUAUGUCAGUACUUAUAUGCAGGAGAGCAUAGAAGAGAAUAAAUCCUUUCUAUCCAUUAACAUUUCCAACCUCAUCAAAGGCAUCAAAGAUGUCAAUACUUGGCUGAUGGAUGGUGCACACAACUGUUCUUCCUGUGUCCACUGUGUUCCUGACUGUUCUCAUAACAAUUGCAGCAGCUCUUGCAUCUAGCCCUGAAGUUGGCUCAUCCAUGAAUAUUAUUGAGGGAUUUGCCACAAGCUCAACUGCAAUGGUCAGCCUCUUGCGCUGCUCGGUUGAGAGACCAUUUACACCUGGCAACCCAACUAGUGCACCCCUCAAUGGGGUCAGUUCCACGAGCUCCAUGACUUCCUCAAUGAACAUCUAUAACCAUUACCAAAGAUUAGAAAUUGUUUGAACCAGCACUUUUCCUCAGAGUAUAGGUCAAGCCAAACUUGAACCUGACCAUAGCUCAACCAAGUUUGAAAAAUCAAUUCUAGGGCUUUGCUUGUUCAGAGCACUAAAUUCAAUCAGAAAAAUGUGGAAACAACACAGAAAACUCUCACCUUCCUUGUUUCAGCAUCCACAUUAGGAGGCAAUCGCAGCCAAGCUGAGUAGAGCAAGGACUCAUGGACAGUAACAUGAGGAGAGUGGAUGUCAUUCUGCUCACAGUAUCCAGAAAUGCGAGCAAAAGUCUCUUGCUUCUUUGGGUAGCCAGAAAUGCUGAUGCUACCCUCAAUAUAUCCACCAGUUUUCCGACCAGCCAAUACAUCCAUGAGAGUGGUUUUACCAGCACCACUAACACCCAUCAAAGCUGUAAGAACACCAGGCCUGAAAGCACCACUCACCCCCUUCAGAAGCUCCAAUCUGUCUUCAGGGACACCUUGACUUUUCAUUUCCUGCAAAUUCAAUUCAAACAACUUACUUCUCAUUUUUGGUUUAUUAGUGCUGCUAAAACAUGUACAUUAUUUGCAAAAAUAUGAAGUUACCUCUGGCAUGUCAACUGAGUAUCUAAUAUCAUCAAAGGUGAUAGAAAGUGGUUGGAAUGGAAGAACCAUUCCUUUUUUGUUGUUACGUCUCGCCUCAGCAAUGGCUUCUGCCCUCACAGAAGAGGAUACGGAUGAGAUACUUCGCCCAAUUUCCUCUCCACUCUCUGCAUGUUAAGUUUAAAUUUAGAGAGCAAUAUAGAACAUGGGUUAAAUGACAAGAACACAGGCACACAAAGGCAUGCAAGCACCAUGUAUGAGUUUCAUCACCUGUGGAUGCGGUUUGGUCAAUCGAGCCUUUUCUAUGGGACGAUAACUCAAUCUUUCCUUCAGUUUUGGCAUUGUCGGACUCUACUGUUAUAACAGCUUGAGGCUUCUCAAAUGCUGCACAAUUUGCAAAAAUCUUAAUACACUAACCUCCAAUCAUUUAGGAGUUUCAAUGCAGAGACGGUAAAGAUACUCACGAUUUAGGUAAGUCAGAGCCACAGUGUAACAGAAGUUGAAGACAAAUAUGAAUCCAAGCAGUGCCCCAGCUCCUAUCCAGUACCAGUGUGCCUCCGUGAAGAACCCACGAGCCUUCAAUACUGCUACUCCAAGGGAUUCUGUUGAAUUGGUAGAAGCAUUCUGAAAAAUGGAAAUACAUUCAAUCAUCAGUGACUGACACACAUAAAUAAACACAAAUACUCACAUGCAAAAUUCAAGAACUUACUUUGCUCCAACUCUUCCCAAGGAAUUCAUUUACCAGUAUGGCGUUCUGUGCAUACAUCAUAGGGGAAGACCAGUAACCCCAAAUCCACCAUUUCUUGACAUUUUCUGCAGCAUUGACCAAAUACAAAAAGAAAACAAAAAUCCAUUAUUAGUGUUUAUCAACAAGAAGGUUCUACAUUUCCUGAAAAUUUCUUUCCUCCUUAUACCUCGUGACAGGACAAUACCACCCAAUGCAAAGGGCAGAACUAAUGCAAAUGACCCAAAUGUGUUUGCAACAAUCAUGCUUCUACAAGCUGCUGCUAUAAAUCGAAAUAAUGAAGAUGCCGUCUGAUUAAGAAGCAAGAGGAGUAGAUACUGUCUAAACAAUCUGCAAUAAGAAGAUUUGUUUAUUGAGCAUAGAUCAUUUUGGAACAGAGAAAACAUGUGAAACAAAUCUGGACAAGUUUCUGCAACUUCACAAGUUUUUAACUUUUACCUUCCCACAUUUGGAUCAAAUCCAAUGACAUAAUAAGUGAUGAAUACCCAAACACCAACUUCAACAAAUGUGAUGGGGAUCUUGAGGAACCAUGAGGGAAGAGCAUAUGCCCAUGCAGGAUAGAAGAGCAGGCCUCUUUGCUUGUAAAAGACAGGAAGUUUUAGAAUGGUCAUGGCAAGUUCUGACAUUCCAUUAAACAUGACCAUCAUGACAGUGAAGAACAAAGCACCAGUGUAAAUGUUUCCAUCUUCUGUUGUGUUUUUGUGCAUCUCAGUUCUUAGGAAGAUUGUCAUUGCAAUCAUUGCGACUAUUGUGAGCUAAAAGCAGAAAUAAAAAUAAUAAAUUACGAUCAAAUGUACAAAAUUAAAAGCCAUUGUUAUAAGUAACAACAAUAAUAAUACUCACUUGGGUGAGCUUGAAAAUAUAGACAAAUGAAUUCCUCUUCAUCAGCAAGUACUCUCUUGAGAUGCAAGCAUCCAACAGUUCCUUCUUUCUAACACCAUAUUUUUCAGUUUUCAAAGCAGCCGGGUGGCUUUUGGUCUUGUCGAAUGGAGUUGCAAGCUCAUCUCCUAGUUUCCGUCCAAAGUGAAAUGACUGGAAUGCCUCAGCAAAUUCCUUGGCUGUGACAAAACUGUAAGGCUCAUCUUUAUGUGCCCAAUACUGCUCCUGAUCUUUCCUAGAUGUUACCUGCAAUCAAUUUUAAAAUUCGUGUUCUAGCUUGGUUUUUUCUAAAGAAGGGAAAAAAUGAGAAGAUGCCAAAAGGUACAAAGCUAUUAGCACUCACUUCUUGUAGGAAGUCUGCCACACCCUUCCUUUCAGGACAUCUGAACCCCAUGGAUUCAAAAAAGUUAAGAACGUCUUCACGAGGACCCUGAUAAAUGAUCCGGCUAUCAGAGAGAAGAAUGAUGUCAUCAAAAAGAUCGUAAGUCUCAGGUGCUGGCUGGAGGAGAGAGAUGAGAGCAGUCCCAUUGAGAAUGUGGACGGUUUGCCUGAGAGAAUUUACGAUUUGAUAAGUUGUUGAGCUAUCCAAGCCAGUAGAGAUCUCAUCCAUGAACAGUGCCUUUGAUGGUCCAACCAGCAUCUCACCUAUCAUUCAUAUAUUUUCAAAUAAUUGAACUAUAUUAGAUUAAUGAACAAAAAAUAUCUUCUUCUUUUUCUUUUUCCUUUUUCAUGUUAGAACACAAAUUAUCCUACCAGUUGUGACACGCUUCCUUUGUCCUCCAGAGAUACCCCUCACCAUUUCAUCUCCUACCAUGGUGUCUGCACAGAUUUCUAGUCCCAGAAUCUGUAAAUUUAAGUUUAAAUGAAAAUAAACAAAUUAUGAGUUAGAACUGGAUUUUCUCAGAAAUCUGUAUUCCAUCAUUGAAAGUUUUAUGGUUAUGAUACCUUUAGUGUAUAAUCAGUGAUCACAUUCUCCUUCUGGCCUUCAGCUGCCGCUGCCUGAAAUGUUAGAAACCAAUAAUGAAAAUCUCAACAACCAUUAAAGUUAGUUUGGUACAUGAAGAUAUUCCAUGGAUAAGAUCGACAGAACAUCAAGAAAACAAAGUCAAUUUGCAUAUCUAUGUGAGAGAUCAAAAUUUUCAUUCUAGAGAAGACAAGUGUCCAUGUUCUCCACGAAAAACAAAUAGCUGAUCAAUUUCAUUAAGUAGCUUCUGUCUCACCUUCAUGAAGACAUCGAUAUCAGGAUCGGGCUUUAUAUUUGCUGCUUUUUCUCUUCUUGAGAGCUCUACUAACAUGUCUGCAGAUAGCCAAAAUAAGAGUCAAUCUCCUGGCCUAGGCAAAUGUCAUACAACUACAUCCACAACCUUCAAAAACAAAGAAAAUAAAAGUGAAGGCAAUGGUUUAGACUAACCAUAUCGAUCUCCAACACCCUGGCAUCUUGCAGAGAAGGCCAAGGUUUCCCGUACAGUCAUUUCUCCUAUAUGGGUAUCAAGUUGGCUUAUGUAGGCGGCAGUUCUCUGGGGUACAAACUCAUUCAUGCCAUGACCGUUGUAUGUCACUCUUCCCGUAACCUAAACAAGAAAUUUCAGUUUUCAAAUUGGAUAAGAGAUUAAAGAGCUAAAAAUUGAAUACGCAUCAAAGAAGAAAAGCAAUAAGAGUUUUUUUUUUUUUUUUUUUUUUUUGUCCGUUCAACCUUUAGACUGGAAUCAAGCUUUCCGGACAGAGCCAAUAAGAGAGUGGUCUUUCCAGAACUUGGAGGACCCAAAAGCAACGUCAUUCUGCAGAAAAAAAAUAUGCACAAAAAAUUGAGUAUUGAUCUUCAGGGCAUUCUAAAUUUGAGAAAGGAAAAAAUCAUUUGAUUUAUCAAUCAAUUUUUUACUAGAAAUAAAUUCAAAUUCUCACCUUCCGGGUUUGAUGAUUCCGCUAACAUCAUGAAGAAUGGUGAAUUUCUUCUUUCUACUUGGAAGAAUCCGAAGAGUGUUCAAGAUAUCCUUUAAAACAGAAAGAAAAAUUAUAAUCUAAAAACAAACUUUCCCAAGAGAGUACUUAUUGAUUAGCUAAUGAUCUGCAUUUGCAUUUUAGUUACCUCAAUUUGAUUAAAAACAGAAUUAAUGAAUGAAGGCAAAGCUCUGCUUCCUACAUGAGCUUCUGCAUCAAUGGUAAGAUGCUCAAAUCUAACUUCAAUUUCGGGAAGAUCAAUCCCAACUCUGAAAAAUGGAAGAGCCACGAAAACUCGUUAUUAAAAAGUCGAAGGAAGAUGUUGUUUGGUUGCAAAGAAAAUAUAGGAAACACUAUCAGGCAUACUUAAGAUGAAUUCUUUCUUUUCCACUGUUUUCAAUGUUCAAAAAGAGGCGAGGAGCGCAAGAAAAGAAGAGAAAUCGCACCUAUCCAUACGAUUCUUGAGCUUCAACAAGAACUUCUCAUUGUCCUCUUCAGCGAUUUUCACCAACCGCUCGACUAAAUUCUUCCUUUCCUGAGGCCCAAGGUUGUGUAUAUCAACUUCACUGGCCUCACCCUCUGAUCCGAUCAGCAAACCUUUCCUCAGCCGAUUGUAGGUGGGAAGUUUCUCGAGGGCAGCCCAUUUCAAAGCUUCCUCAUCAUCCUCAUCCCUUGAAGAACGGGAGAAAACCUCCGCACCAGAGUUCCUCCAUAUGGAAGAACUGUUCUUCCUGAAACUACCACUGGCUCUACGACCACUGGCUGUAUAAAUUUCAGCUGUUUCCAUUGCAACACGAAACGAGGAACCCCCCUGCAAAACUAACCAGAACCCACCAAAACCCAGAAAUUUUUCCAAAAAAUCAGGAGAAGCCCAAGUUUUGAUCUCUGGAGCUGAAAAAAACUCAGUCAGAGAUGGGUGUCCUCCCCUCUUUUCUCUAUGCACUUUGUAGUGCUAAAACCUUGUUCUAUGUUAGAAAACCAUGAGGAAUGGAAGGUUUAUAUACUGAUUCGAAGGACAGAAUCAGAGGCGGCCUAAAUGUUUCAAAUUCUUACUUUAACAUUUUCACAAUUCUCCGCUAUCUUGUUUGUCAAGUAAAUGGAAAAGUGAAUUAUUAAAUGUUGUCCUAACCGCCAAACUAACUAACUUUCCCGGGCGAAACUAACGAACCCUCCUGAAUUCCAAAUGUAAAACAUUUAUGGCAUCUUGUCUAUACUCUUGUUUAAUGAUAUGAUACUUUGGGUUUAGUUUGCCUAAAUUAAUAAUGUAAGUUAAUUUUUAACAUUUCAUUUAUAGUCUAAUUUGAUGUUGAUAUAUUGAAUUUGGAUUACUUCUUUUAAUCUCGGAAUUUAUUAGGAUUAGAUUGGAGUUGAGUUAAGAGGCCUCGAGUUGAUUUAAAUUAUAUUCAAGGAAAGAGUUAAGUAAACUUUAAUAAGUGAACGAUGAAAUCUUUUAUUUCUAAAUUAUAUGUAAUAUGAUAAAAUAUAUGUCUCAUUAUUACGAGUUAAUAAGUUACACGAUGAAUUCAUCAACUAAUUUUUAUGUAAAAGUAGAAUAUCUUAUACAAAAUGUAUGGAUUUACCUUAUAUCUUUAAAAUUUAUUUUUAAAAAUUCUCGUGACAUCAUUACAUAUGUAAGCUUGAUUAAUUUUAAUGAAUAGUAAAUUUAUCAAAAAUUAAAUAAAUGUAUAGUCAAUUCUAAGUUAGUCAUUAUUUUAUUAAAGCUAAAAAUAUUUUAAAAUUUUCAAAAUCAAGGCUUCAAUAACUCACAACUUUAAAUAAAUAUAUAUAUAUUUAAUAAAAUAUCAAUUACAAAGUUAUAAAAAAGUUCAUUUUAUUAUGUUUUUAUUAUAUAUAGUAGAAUUUAAAUAAAAUUAAUUACAAAUUAAAAAAUAAUAAUUUUUUAUUAAAGCUUUUUUGGGGGGCUAAUUUUCUUUACUCUUUUUUUUUUUUUUAAUUCCUAAGAUGUGGGAUGAGAAGGACCCAAAAUUAAUUAGAUCAUUAUCCAAAUUAUUUUUAUUUUUAAAGAAUAAAAACAUUAUAAAUGGUUAGAAUCCAACCUUCUAGAAAGAAAUGAAAGACUAGCAAAUAAAUCAUACUAAAUCCAACAACUAAUUAAAGUCUCUUCUCAAUUUAUUUUUGGAUUUAUUUUCAUUUAAAAAUAGUAACCACAUAAAACAUAGGCCAAAUAUAUUCUAAAAAUAGGUUGAUUUCUCACACGUGUAGAAGAAAGGGUACGGGUGGCCAUGAUCAUGGGAUAGACAUGAUUGACUUUCAAAAGCUUAAAAAGAAAAUGACUUUCAAAAGCUGCUAAUGACUCCAUGAUACAUGGGAUAUGAAUUGUUAAAGAUUGUCACAACUGCCCCUUUUGACCCUUCAAAUUACUUCCACAGUCCAUCACUUUGCAGCUUUCUUGACCCUUGUUUACCAAGUAACCCAAUAGGCAUAAGAAUUAUUGGAGGUUGGCCCAACAGCCCCUUUUGACCCUUCAAAUGGCUGACACAGUCAACAUUUUCAGCUUUACUCACCCUUCUCAACCAAGCAAGCAACUCACUAGGAAUAGGAAUUAUCAAAUUAAGUAACUUUGCCACAAGCAGCCCCAACCCCACCCCCAACCCCCCACCCAACAUAUUUUUUUGGCAAUUUUUGUUAAAUCUAAUUUAAUAUUUUGAUAUUUGGAUUACCUAAAUUAGAAAUGUAAGUUAAUUUUUAGAAUUUUGUUUGUAGUCUAAUUUAAUGUUGAUUAAACUCGAGUAAGUUCAAAUUAGGAUUAAAUCUAUUUAAGGAUGGUGUUAAACAAAUGAGGAAACCUAAACCUUAAUUAAGUGGGUUAUUAGAAAAAAUAUUAUGGUAUUAAUUAUUGCAUGAAUUUGUAUGGCUUAAAAUUAGUUAAUAAUACCCCCUCAUUAUUAUUCAAUAAAAGUGGCCAAUUCUAUGGUAAAGAAUAAAAAUAUUAAAAACAUUAGAUACCCCUCAUUAUUAUUCAAUAAAAGUGGCCAAUUCUAUGAUAAAGAAUAAAAAUAUUAAAAACAUUAGUAAAAGAUGUUUUAGACUUUACUAAAAAAAAUUAAGUUAAAAGACUUUUUCAAAAGAAUUUUAAAAAGUAUUUAAACUCCCCACUAAGAUAUUUUUAAUAAAUCAUUUGUUUUUUGUUUACCAAAUGGAAAUUUGAAUUAUUAAAUGUUAUCUAACUGCUAGACAAAUUAAUAACUUGUUUGACAAUUAUUUUUUGAGAAGUGUUUUUUGUUUUUAUCUUUAGAUUGUUUUCACUUAUUUUUUUAAAUUUGUUUAAAAAAAUAAUUAUACAGAAGAAUGAUUAAAAAUAAAGUAUUAAAUAUAAAAAAAAAUCAUUUUUAAAAAACAUUAAAAACUAUUUUAAAAUAUUUUAAAUUCUCAAACAAACUUUUAUUUUACAAAAAAAUAAAAAAUAAUUUUCAAAAAUUGUUCUUAAAAACUAUUUUUAAAAAUUAUUUUUUAACACAAUUACAAAACAGAUCAUAACUUUCUUUGCCUAAGUGCAAAUCUACCUAAAUUGUAAAUGUAAAAUACUUUUUGGCAAUUUAUUUAUAAUUUAAUUUUAAGAUUCCACACUUUGGGUUUUGGAUUACCACUUUUAAUCUCCCAACUUUUUAGAGUAGGAUUGGAUUAGCUAAAUUUGACUCAAUGCUUAGAGUUAGGUCCCGGGUGGUUUUUGACUGGCUCAUACUCUCCUAAAUUAUAAAUGUAAGUACAUCUUUGGGUUCAUUUCCUUCUUUUUUUUUUUUUUUUUCAAAAACAAAAUAUCUUAUAUGAAAAAAAAAAAAAAAGAAUUCUUGUAUAAAAGCUAGUUAUAUACCUUGUAUAAAAAUUUAAGUAAUUUUACUCCCACAAAUUUUCUAGGUUUUGAAAAGAAUUUUUAGAAAUACAAGGUAAAUUUUAACUUUUUAUAUAAAAGUUCUUAUAUUUUAUAUAGAAAUUUUUAUUUUUAAAUAUAAAAAAUAAAAAAUAAAAAAUGUAUCUAAUCACCACCUAAAUUAUUUUUCACCAUUUUUUUUAUACUAUAAUCUAAUGUUUAUGAUCCAAAUCUAGUGUUUGUAGUUGAGUUUGUAUUAAAGUUUAGUCAACGUAUUCAUGGAUGAAGCUAAACUAAUGGCAGAAACUUUAUUUAAGUGAGCAAUUAGAACAAUUAUGAGGGUAAUAAAUAAUUGAUAAAUUUUCAAAAUUUAAAAUUUGUUAACAAUUCCCCUCAUUAUUAUCAAAAAUAUAUAUACAAUUAUAGAGGUUAAUUAUAAAAAAGAAAGAAAAUAUAUGAUAUAUCAAAUUGAAUAAAAAUAAUAUCAAACAUAUUGGUUAAGAUAUUUUAGUUUUUCUAAAAAACAUCCAAAAAAUUAAAAGGUUUUUUUCAAAAGAAUUAAAAAAUAGUUGAAAUUUUCAAUAAGAAAUUUCUAAUAAUUUUGUUUUAACAAAAAAAAAAUCCUAAAAAUAUUUUUUUUUUAAAAAAUUCAACAAUUCCACUUAUAAAUUUCUUCUAUUUUUCAAAUAGCUAAAGAUAAAUUGACUGAGAAAACUAUUUUUUUUUAUGAAGUAUAUAUAAUAUAGUAAAAAUAUCAUAUUAAGUUAUAUAAUUUUUAUAAUUAAAGUUAAAUUCAAAUUCUCAUGAUAUGAGUCAUUAUGUAGGAUUAAAUGAGAUUUGAUAUGAUGAUACUUAUAAAAUCGAUGAUUGAUAUUCAAAUGUUUCUUUUUAAAACAAAUUGAUUUAACUCUAUAAAUGAUACCACCACCCAUAUAAAUUAAUAUUAAUUACAAACUUCCAUAAUACAAAUCAUUGCAUAGGAUUAGAUUUAUUAAAAAUUAAAUAACAUAUAAAUUUAUAUAGCUUUGUAGUAAAUUCUAAAUUAGUGAUUAUUUGAUUAAAUCUAAAAAAUAAAAAUAAAAUGACCAAAUCAAUCUGCAAAAAAUUCACCACUCAAAAUAAUUUAAUAAAAUUUCAAAUACUAAUAGAAUUUUUUGAGGGAUGACGUUUAGAAAAAUCAAAUUUAGCUUUUUCUAUUUGAAAAAACCUCAUUUUCAAGGGAAGACAUUAUUAAAUCCUCCUUGAUGAUGGUAAAGCUAGGGAAAGAAAAAGAAACAACAAAUCUUAAUAUGAUGUUUCAAGGAACCCUUUCUUCAAUGAAGCAAACUAGUUUUAUGGGGCCUAAUUGACUGGAAGUUCUUAUUUUCAUUUGUCCAAAUAAAGAAAUAUUCAGAAACUGAAAAUCUUCUUUCCUCUCACAAUUCUGAACAAUCAAAGCAACUAUUAAUAAAAAACACUGAGAAUAUGACAGAUUUUGAACUUAAUAUCAUCUCGAUUCACCUACUCAAGAAAUUUGAUGAGUUUUUGAGCUUGGAAGAGUCAGGUCAAAUCCACAUGUCUGAAAAUUUGGAAGGCAGUGAUUCUACAAUUCAAAGUAUAACUGCUUCAUUUGGAUAUGAUCAUCAGGAUACCACUGUAUGAGCACCAAACUUUCUUACAUUGAAUGAGUUGAAUACUAGGAAAACUGAACUAACUCUUUUCAUGGGUCAAUCAUAUAACUAGAAAUGGGAUCUGUAAGUGCAGUCAUGGAACUGCUGGAAGCCUUGAAAUACCUCUGAACUUUCUGAAGAAGGUCAAAACUUUUCUUUUUGCUAGCUCAAGUCUAAAUUUAAUAGCAUUUCAAACCCUGCCCCGUCAUACAUUUGUGUCAAGUAGUCUGUCUUUGAUAUCUCCAAACUCUGCUGUAACCAAUCCAUACAAAGUUCAUGCAACCGGACAUGCCCAAUAAUACCAUCUCCACCACACAGGAAUCCUCUGCAUUCAUCAUGGAAGAAAUGCAACAAAAUGAGACAGUUUCGUAUCCAUGUGCUAAACAAAGUUCCAAUUUAAAGAAUUAUGGGUUGAGAGCACUAACAGUCCGUGGGACGAUAAAACCUGAGAAGAGGUUCCAUAAUGCAUAAAAUGCUACAGCAAUGAUGGCAGCAAUAUGUUGAUUUGUUGUGGCAGCCACAGCCAUCAUGCCAAAAAAGGUAAAGUAUAAUUGGCUGAAGAACGUAAAAAACAAAUACCAGAAGAACUUAGCAGCUGUCCAUUCAAAUCCAAUCAUUGCAUAAACUAUAGCACCAUACACCACAGCUUGUGAAAAGACACAUGGUAUCUCAACUAAAGCCUGAAACAAGAGAUGAAUUUUGAUUAAUAAAACCCAUAAAGCAUUAGAGACAUACAAAGUCUAAAGCAUAAGAAAACUUGUUACCUGUGCAAAGGCUUAUGGCACGGAUGAAUACAUUCCUGCAGCUCUUUCUCUGUAAAAGACUGUCUAUUUCAACUGCCACGACUGGUUGCACCAAUUGGCCAUUCUGAAACCCAAGGAAGAUAACAGCAGCUACAUAGAGCCCAUUGCAUUAGAAAGAUCUCGUUGCCUUGUUCUGCAUUUUCCCAUGUGAAGUAAAAAUUGAAGUUGAUUUGGAGAAGCAUACUGAGUUCUCAAAAUUCUUAACUUACUUCAAGUUACCUUUGGGUGCCGAGAUCCCAGAACAUGGUUCCAAACAUCAAGGCUAUGAAAGUUGUGAAGAAAAAUCUCACUGCCGUGUAUGGUGGAUUGCGCCAGUAUGACCAACAUUGUUUCCAUAAGCAUGCCAUACAUUGGGUGAAGAAGGGCUGGGAGUAUUGAUUAGGGAAAUAGAGGUCCUUAGAACUAGGGGUAGGUUGGCUCAAUUCUUUAAUUAAAUCUUUGUUUCUCCUGAAACAUAUGCCACAUCUUAGAAAAGGCUUCAACAACAAAUUCAAGCCUGCAUGAUGAACAUUGAGAUGGCUGUAUAUGACAUUUCAAUAUCAUAAAGCAUUCGGAUAUCCUAUAGUUAAAUCACCUGUAUAUGUCUGAGUUUUUGUAUAUUUCAGUGAAAUUCACCCCCAAGAUUAAUUCUUGUGCAGAAAUGGUAACUUCCAACAUCUUUGAUUUUUCCUACUCCUCCAAUUCCCUAAAUGAAAGCGAGUCACAUGUAUUAGUAAGCACUUGAUAUGAAUUAACUCAAACUAAAGUAUUUUGCUUAUAGCUUUUACUUUAUCAUGGCAGCAUACCUCAAAAUACUUUAUCAGAUGAGAAGAAUGUCUACCCAGUGGUCCCACAUAUAUUUCUUGUCCUCCACUAAAAGCAAACAGCUCAAAUUCUGCAAAACUGGUGAAAAUUUCACACAGUAGCUUCUGUCUCACCUUCAUGAAGGCAUCGAUAUCAGGAUCAGGCAUAAUAUUUGCUGCUUUCUCUCUUCUUGAGAGCUCUGCUAACAUGUCUGCAGAUAGCCAAAAAAAAGUGUCAAUCUCCUGGCCCAUGCAAAUGUCAUACAACUACAUUCACAACCUUCAAAAACAAAGAAAAUAAAAGUGAAGGCAAUGGUUUAGACUAACCAUAUCGAUCUCCAACACCCUGGCAUCUUGCAGAGAAGGUCAAGGUUUCCCGUACAGUCAUUUCUCCUAUAUGGGUAUCAAGUUGGCUUAUGUAGGCGGCAGUUCUCUGGGGUACAAACUCAUUCAUGCCGUGACCCUUGUAUGUCACCCUUCCCGCAACCUAAACAAGAAAUUUCAGCUUUCAAAUUGGAUAUGAGAUUAAAGAGCUAAAAAGUGAAUAUUCAUCAAAGAACAAAAGCAAUAGAACUUUCUUUUUUUUUUUUUUUUUUUUUUUCAAUUCAACCUUUAGACUAGAAUCAAGGAUUCCGUACAAAUCCAAUAAGAGAGUGGUCUUUUCAGAACUUGGAGGACCCAAAAGCAACGUCAUUCUGCAGAGAGAAAAAAUGCACAAAAAAUUGAAUACGGAUCUUCAGGGCAUUCUAAAUUUGAGAAAAUAAAAAUUCAUUUGUUUUAUCAAUCAAUUUUUUACUAGAAAUAAAUUCUUAUUCUCACCUUCGGGGUCUGAUGAUUCCGCUAACAUCAUGAAGAAUAGUGAAUUUCUUCUUUCUACUUGGAAGAAUCCGAAGGGUGUUCAAGAUAUCCUUUAAAACAGAAAGAAAAAUUAUAAUCUAAAGACAAACUUACCUAAGAGAAUAUUUGUUGCUUAGUUAGUGAUCUGUCUUUGCAUUUUAGUUACCUCAAUUUUAUUAAAAGCAGAAUUAAUGAAUGAAGGCAAAGCUCUGCUUCCUACAUAAGCUUCUGCAUCAAUGGUAAGAUGCUCAAAUCUAACUUCAAUUUCGGGAAGAUCAAUUNNNNNNNNNNNNNNNNNNNNNNNNNNNNNNNNNNNNNNNNNNNNNNNNNNNNNNNNNNNNNNNNNNNNNNNNNNNNNNNNNNNNNNNNNNNNNNNNNNNNUUCAAUUUNCGGGAAGAUCAAUUCCAACUCUGAAAAAUGGAAGGGACAUGAAAACCCAUUAUUAAGAAGUCAAAGGAAGAUGCUGUUUGGUUGAGAAGAAAAUGUAGGAAACACUGUCAGGCAUAUUUAAGUUGAAUUCUUUCUUAUCCACUAUUUUCACUUUUCAAUGUUCAAAAAGCGGCAAGGAACGCAAGAAAAGAGGAGAAACCGCACCUAUCAAUACGAUUCUUGAGCUUCAACAAGAACUUCUCAUUGUCCUCAUCGGCGAUUUUCACCAACCGCUCCACUAAACUCUUCUUUUCCUGAAGCCCAAGGUUUUGUAUAUCAACUUCACUGACCUCACCCUCUGAUCCCAGCAGCAAACCUUUCCUUAACCGAUUGUAGGUGGGGAGUUUCUCGAGUGCGGCCCAUUUCAAAGCUUCCUUGUCAUCCUCACCCCUCGAAGAUUGGGUGAAAAUCUCAACAUCAGGGGUCCUCCAUCUCAUAGAACCGGCUCUACGAGUUUCAGGAGUCGACAUUGCAACCAGAAAGGAAGAACUCUCCUGUAAAACCAAAAAGAACCCACCAAAACCCAGAAACCUUUCCGAAGAAUAUAAGCUCCUUUCUUCUCUCUUAGUACGAUGCUUUGUCUUGUUCCAUUGCUGCUACUUUGCUCUGCACUGGAAUAAACAUAUAGAAUGGAAGGUUUAUAUGGUGAUUGGUAGGACAGAAAAUGAAGCGGCUCAAAAGAUUCGAAACUGGUUUAUUUUCCUGUGAUUCUUAGAAAAUUGGCGGGGGAAAAUUGACCAUAGAGGAGUCUGCACAAUGACUCCGUAAUAAUGUGCACAUGCCACCAUCUUUACCUUUCACAGUUCAUAAUUACUUCCUAUAUUAAGACUUUCACGGUUCAUCUCACACUCCCUAUUUAACAAAAAAUUUAUAUUUUUCUAAAUAAAUGAUAAAAAUAAAAAAUAAAAAAUAAAAAAUAAAAGAAAAAUAAAUUUAUAAUCUAAACACUCAAAUGAUAUUUUAGACUAAUGAAAAAUAAAGAACCUAAAUAUUCAAUAACAUUCUCCUCUAUUAAGCCAUAAGCUUAGAAUCUUAAAACAAAUUACUCUAAGGCUAUGUUUGGUUAUCAUAAAAUUUGAAGGAAAAUGCAAGGGAAAGAAAAUGCAAAAGAAAAAUAGAAUGAAAGAAAAUAAAAAAUAGAUUAAAAGUUGAUAAUUUUUUUUAUUACUUUAAACUUAUUUUAUUUAUUUUAACUCAUCAAUACAAAGAUUGAAUAAUUUAAAAAUACAUAAGUUUUUAAUUAGUUUUAAUUGUAUUUGAUUUUCUUUUAUAUUUUUUAUAGGACAAUCAAACAUGAAAAAAUCAUUUUCCUAUGCAUUUUUUUUCUUUCCUUAGUAUUUUCCAGAAACCAAACAUAACCUAAAAAUAUUUUUUAGAGUUGUGUAUUUCAAAAAGAAUGGGAUUGCUUCUUUUUUUUUUUCAUUUUAAGUCUUAAAUUACUUUAAAAUUUAAAAUCAAAAUAUAAAAAAUUUUAUUUUUUACAUUAAGAUAAAUUUAUCUUAUACAAAGUAACAAGUUAAUAAACAAAUAGUUUUAAAACGACUUAAGUCUUAACACAAUUAAGUAUUAUUUUAAAAUUAAACAAUAAAAAAACCAUCACCUUACAAAUAAGAUUUAAGUGGGUUUUACCAUUCAAAAUUGCUUGAAAUCUAAGAGGUUAUUUGUUUUUUAAACUUAAAUCUUAAAGCUAAUUGCUUUAAAAUUUAUUAUAAAAAUAAAAAUAAAAUAAAAUAAAAACUUUUGUUGUUAAGACAAAAUUUUAUUUUAAAAAUGAUAAACUAAAAAAUAAUUUCAAAAAUGACUUCGAUCUUAAAGCAACCCUUUCUAUUAGGAUUCCAUGUCUAUCCUAAUUAAAAUUAAUAAUUAACUUGAUUUUCAGUAAGAUUAUAUCGAUAUUAACCGAUAUUAUUUUCUAAUAAAAGUAUUUAUGAAAGCACAAACACAUUUAUGCUUCAAAAAAUGGAAAACAUUUUUUAGUAUUUACAACUAUAUUUACAAAAUAGUUGGAUUCCUCACAUCCUUUCAAACACACUGCAGGUACAAAUUUAGAAUCCUCACAUGCUUUCAAACAAACUAUAGGUGCAAAUUUAGAAUCCUCACAUGCUUUCAAACAAACUCUAGGUGCAAAUUUAGAAGUUGUUGCCAUAAGAGAUUUUCAAAUUUAAUUUUUUUCCUUUUUCAUAAGGAAAAAACCUAGGUACUAAAUUUGUAGAUACCAACUUUGUCUAUCCACAUAAAAAUAUUCCAAAUAUAUUUAAAAAAAAAUUGGAGUCCUCACAUAAAGUCAUCUUGAACAAAGGGUACUGCAACUUUUUGGGCUGUCUUAAUUAUCUUGAGUUAAAUGGUAUAGUGUUUAAGAAUGUGGACCCGAGACACGAAUAAUUAGAGUAAGAUAUAACCAAAUAAGACUAAGAUACGAAAUAAUGAGACCAAAGAAUUUGUCUCUAAAAGAUAUGAAAAAAUGAGAGUUAAAUAUAAAUUAACCCGAUAUAGGUAUAAAUUUAACAAGAGAAAUAUUAGCUAUGCUUAAAUGUGUGAAUUUAGGAAAAUCUAAAAUUUCGAUCAUAAUUUUUCAUGAUUAAAUCAACUAUAUAUAGGAAUGGUUGAAAAUAAUGAAAGCAAUGUAUAACCAAAUGGGACUAAGAAAAAUAAUGAAACCAAAAAAUUUGUCUCUAAAAGGUAGCAAUAAAUGAGAACCAAGUAUGAAUCAACUAAAUAUAGGUAUAAAUUUAAAUAAAGAAAUAUUAGCUAUGCUUAAAUGUGUGAAUUUAGGAAAAUCUAAAUUUGGUCAUAAUUUUUCAUCAUUACAUCAACUAUAUAUAGGAAUGGUUGAAAGAGUAGUAAAUUUGGAAGGCUGUGAUUUUACAAUUCAAAGUAUAGCUGCUUCAUUUGGAUAUGAUCAUCAGGAUACCACUGUAUGAGCACCAAACUUUCUUACAUUGAAUGAGUUGAAUAGGAAAACAGAACUAAUUCUCUUCAUGGGUCAAGCAUAUAACAAGAAAUGGGAUCUGUAAGUGCAGUCAUGGAACUGCUGAAAAUACCUCUGAACUUUCUGAUGAAGGCCAAAACUUUUCUUUUUGCUAGCUCAAGUCUAAAUUUAAUACUAUUGUUUCACUGUUACAUUUGUGUCAAGUAGUCUGUCUUCGAUAUCUCCAAACUGUGGUGUAACCAAUCCAUACAAAGUCCAUGCAACUGGACAUGCCCAAUAAUACCAUCUCCACCACACAGGAAUCCUCUGCAUUCAUUAAGGAAGAAAUGCAACAAAAUGAGACAGUUUUGUAUCCAUGUGCUAAACAAAGUUCCAAUUUAAAGAAUUAUGAAUCAUUGUAAAAGAGUAAAUUUAUGGACAUACAAAUUAAUAUAAUUGUAGGAAAAAAUAGGAUUUGACUCACUAAUACGAAAAUAUAUAGAAAAAAUAGCCUCAAAUUGUUAUUCCCUAAAAUAUCCUUUUUACUUAUCAUGUUAUCAACACCAAUUGAUAACUAGAUUCCUUCAAGUAAAUUUAUUAUUAUUAUUAUAGGAAAAAGUAGGUUUUGACUCACUAAUAUGAAAAUAUAUAGAAAAAAUAACUUCAAAUUAUUAUUCCCUAAAAUGUCUUUUUUACUUAUUAUGUUAUCAACACCAAUUGACAACUAAAUUCCUUCACGUAAAUUUAUUUGUUAUUAUUAUUAUUAUUAUUAUUAUUAUUAUUAUUAUUAUUCCUUCACGUAAAUUUAUUGUUAUUAUUAUUAUUAUUAUUAUUAUUAAAAAUGCCCUAAACAAUCAAAGUCCUUAAAAUUAACCUCAACUUACCUUAAUGAAAAAAAAUCAUACGAAGACCUUGGAAAAAACCAUAAACCUUAUUUUCAGCAAACUCAAAUUAGCUAAGGUUUUACCUACUAGUUAUAUUCACACUCUUUCAAAUUACCUCACUUUUGCUAUGAGAUGUUUGUUUAUAGAAAAAAAAAUCAACUUUUCCUAAAGGGUCUUUGUUUUUGGAGAAAAAAAAUCUAAAAUGAUAAUAAUAAUAAUAAAUAUCUAAAAGGAAGAUAAUUAAUUACGUGGAGUUUAGUUGUCAAUUAAUGUUGAUGACAUGACAAGUAAAAAUGGCAUUUUAAAAAAUAAUUAGAUGACUCAUUAAAAAUUGCAUGUAUUUCAAAUUAUUUUAAAAUAAAUAAAUAUAAUAUCCAUAUACAAAAUUUAGAGUUCUUUUUUUUUCAUAUAUUUUCAUAUUAGUGAAUCAAAACCCAUUUUCCCCCCAUAAUUAUAUACUCAAUUUAUAUAUUAGCCAUUAUUUGAUAAAAUUUAAAAUUAUUUUUAAAAUAUCAAAAUCAAGCCCUAGAUAACUCACCAUUAAAAAAAUAUUUAAGAAGUUAUAAAAAGCUCCUUUUAUUAUAUUUUUAUGGUAUAUAGUAGAAUUUAAAUAAAAUUAAUUCUAAAAUUUUUAAAAAUUAAAACAAAAAAAAAUCAUUUAUAAAAGUUAUUAACCAUUAAUAAUUGAUAGUGGUUGUAUUAUAAAAAAAAAAAAAAGAAGGUUGUAUUAGUCUUGUCAUUGAUAUUCAUAAUUGAUAAUAUCAUAUAUUAAAAUUAUUAACCAUUACUAAUAAAUCAACACUAAUUAUUAAUUAUUUAGACCUAUUUUACAAAAAAAGAAUGAAAAUUUUAAAUUAAUAUACCAAAAUUAGUUUUAGAAGCAUAUAGAGAAGAUUGAGAAUAAAAUUUGAGUUUUGUGGUGUUGUUUUAGUGUUUUAAGUUUUGAAACUUGAGUUAAGUGAUUGUUCUUUGCUCUGUUUGGUUGUUGAGAAAAAUAGAAGAAGAUUAAGAAUUCAACUUAAGUUUCGUGGUUAUUGCUUUGGUGUUUGAAGUUUUGAAACUCGAGCCAAAUGGUUGUGCUAAUAUAUGUAUCUUUUUUUGUAUGGAUUCUAACCAAAUCAUGGUGAACACACUUGUGCACACAUCCAAGAACAUAUAUAUCAAAUUUGAACAACCGUAUAAUGCAGUUGUAUUGACCAUACAAAGAUAAUGAACAAACUAUGUAAAGGGUAUACAAGACAAAUCAUGGAUUUUGAACAGCUAUACAAGACCGUUACAUUGACUAUAUAGGAGCAAUGAACCAACUAUACAAAAUUAAUGAACUAACUACAUAAAAAGUGUACAAAAUAGGACAUGAAUUUUGAACAACCAUACAAUACAGUUGCAUUCACUUUAUAAGGCCAAUGAACUAAUUAUACAACCAAUGUAUGAAUUUGAAUGUUUGUUUACAACUUAUUUCUAUCCCUCGCCAAAACACCUCAAAGGUUUAUGACAAUAAAAAGAAAAAAAAAAGUAUUAAUUUUUUUUUCAAAUUUUAAAAAAUCCAAUAAAUAUAAAAAUAGAUUUUUAUUUUUUAAAGAUAAAAUUAAAAAUUGAAAAAAAUAUGAUAAAUUUAAUUUUUUUUAUCUUUAACUUAAUUUGUAAAUAUUUUAAAAAUAAAUAGGAAAAUUAAAAUAUUGCAAUUGAUUUUUAAGAUAAAAUUUGAAAACAAAAAAUAACAAUAACUUUCAUAUAAAAUAUAAAAACUUUUAGAUACUUAGGUGGUGUUUAUUUUUUUUACUUAAUUCAAAAUAGAACCUUAAUGUUUAAUAGUGUUAAAUAUUAGGUUGUUUGUUUUUAUAGUAUUUUAUUUCUAUUAAGUAUUAAAAAGUAAAAAAAAUAAAUAUGUUAUUUUUUCUAUUUAGAAAAAGCUACAUAUUUUGGCUUUUUCUAUUUAAUAAAAAGUUUAUAAUAAGUCAUGAAAAAAGUAGAAAAACAAAUAACCUAAAUUCUAAAACUAAAUUGCUUUCAGCAAAAAGCCAAAAAAAAAAACACCACCUUAAACUAAAGAGGUAAUGGUAAUAAAAAAAAGUAAAAAAAAAAAAAAAAAAAAAAAAAAAAAAAAAAAAAAAACUCUACCCCUGACUUGGUCCCCAUGUUCGAUAUUGUACUAUUAAACACACUUCAUUCAAAUCCAUUCAAAUUGCAGUCUUUGUAUGAAGAGACUUAGCUCUGUUCAUGGGGCAUUACCUUGUUCAAUGCUGAGUUUGAGCAGCAAACAUAGCUCCCUUGAGUCCUAGAGACCUCAAUGUGACUUUUACAGAGUCAGAUGAUCCCUUGCAUGUCUUUUACCCUUGUUUAGAUGGCGAGAAAAUUAGAAGAAAAGGUUUUAGAAACUCACCACUAAGCAAGGAUUCAUGCAGAAUUUGUUAUGGGAUGAUGCACAGAAUAUUUGCCUUCUUUCUCCUCUGUUCUACAAGCUAAAUGCACAUACUAAAGUGUAGUAUAUAACUUUGUAUUAACUCAAUGAGAUAGUGACACUUCUCAGACUAAUAGAAUGGUUUGAUCAAAUUCUGCAAGUAUAAACAGUAAAGAUCUCAGCUGAGCAAACAACUUUGUAUUACUUUUUCAUGUUGGCCACAAUCACUAGAUCCUCUAUCCCCUGUUGAACUUUUUUGCUGUUAAUGAACUCAAAAAUCAAAUUUAGCUUUUUCUAUUUGAAAAAACCUCAUUUUCAAGGGAAGACAUUAUUAAAUCCUCCUUGAUGGUGGUAAAGCUAGGGAAAGAAAAAGAAACAACAAAUCUUAAUAUGAUGUUUCUAGGAACCCUAUCUUCAAUGAAGCAAACUAGUUUUAUGGGGCCUAAUUGACUGGAAGUUCUUAUUUUCAUUUGUCCAAAUAAAGAAAUAUUCAAAAACUGAAAAUCUGUUUUCCUCUCACAAUUCUGAACAAUCAAAGCAAGUAUUAAUAAAAAACACUCAGAAUAUGACAGAUUUUGAACUUAAUCUCAUCUAGAUUCACCUACUCAAGAAAUUUGAUGAGUUUUUGAGACUGGAAGAGUCAGGUCAAAUCCACAUCUCUAUAAAUUUGGAAGGCAGUGAUUCUACAAUUCAAAGUAUAACUGCUUCAUUUGGAUAUGAUCAUCAGGAUACCACUGUGUGAGCACCAAACUUUCUUACAUUGAAUGAGAUGAAUACUAGGAAAACUGAACUAAUUCUCUUCAUGUGUCAAGCAUAUAACUAGAAAUGGGAUCUGUAAGUGCAGUCAUGGAACUACUGGAAAUACCUGUGAACUUUCUGAAGGCCAAACUUUUCUUUUUGCUAGCUCAAGUCUAAAUUUAAUACUAUUCCAAACCCUGCCCCUCAUACACAUUUCAUGGUUUUGAAACCAUACUAUUUUCAUGCUGAUACCUGUCUUUAUGAUUUCAGCUGCUUAAAGCAGAGACUGAAAGUGGAGCACCAUACCAGUAAGUUGGUCAUCAAGAUGAAAGGAUUGCAUAAGGUUAUAUUAUUCUCUUGAAUUUCAAAUUUCAAAUUACAUACAACUGGGAGAAAACAAAAUACAAGAAUUUAACAAGAUAAAUAUUACCUCCUCAUAGCAGGGCUAUCAAUACUAUCUAACAGCCUAUACAUAGAACGAAACCAUUUUUUCAUCUUUGAAGAACUUGAGCUUUUAUCGCCUUUGGAAGUUAAAUGCCUUAAUGGAAAAGGCAAAGAUAAAUAAGAAAAGCACCGUAAACCCAACAAUCACAGCUGCAACCACUCCCAGGAAAUCAUGUUCAAACCCAAAAUAGUCAUCCAAGUAUUGUUUCACUGUUACAUUUGUGUCAAGUAGUCUGUCUUCGAUAUCUCCAUACUGUGAUGUAACCAAUCCAUACAAAGUCCAUGCAACUGGACAUGCCCAAUAAUACCAUCUCCACCACACAGGAAUCCUCUGCAUUCAUCAUGGAAGAAAUGCAACAAAAUGAGACGGUUUCAUAUCCAUGUGCUAAAUAAAGUUCCAAUUUAAAGAAUUAUGGGUUGAGAGCACUAACAGUCCGUGGGAUGAUAAAACCUGAGAAGAGGUUCCAUAAUGCAUAAAAUGCUGCAGCAAUGAUGGCAGCAAUAUGUUGAUUUGGUGUGGCAGCCACAGCCAUCAUGCCAAAAAAGGUGAAGUAUAAUAGGCUGAAGAACGUAAAAAAAAUAUACCAGAAGAACUUAGCAGUUGUCCAUUCAAAUCCAAUCAUUGCAUAAACUAUAGCACCAUACACUACAGCUUGUGAAAAGACAUAUGGUAUCUCAACUAAAGCCUGAAACAAGAGAUGAAUUUUGAUCAAUAAAACGCAUAAAGCAUUCGAGAUAUACAAAGUCUAUAGGAUAAGAAAACUUGUUACCUGUGCAAAGGCAUAUGGCAUGGCUGAAUACAUUCCUGCAGCUCUUUCUCUGUAAAAGACUGUCCGUUCGACUACCACGACUGGCUGCACCGAUUGGCCAUUCUGAAACCCAAGGAAGAUAACAGCAGCAUACAUAGAGCCCAUUGCAUUAGACAGAUCUUGUUGCCUUGUUCUGCAUUUUCCCAUGUGAAGUAAAAAUUGAAGUUGAUAUGGAGAAGCAUACUGAGUUCUCAAAAUUCUUAACUUACUUCAAAUUACCUUUGGGUGCCGAGAUCCCAGAACAUUGUCCCAAACAUCAAGGCUAUGAAAGUUGUGAAGAAAAAUCUCACUGCCGUGUAUGGUGGAUUGCGCCAGUAUGACCAACGUUGUUUCCAUAAGCAUGCCAUACAUUGGGUGAAGAAGGACUGGGAGUAUUGAGUAGGGAAAUAGAGGUCCUUAGAACCAGGGGUAGGUUGGCUCAAUUCUUUAAGUAAAUCUUUGUUAUUCCUGAAACAUAUGCCACAUUUUAGAAAAGGCUUCAACAACAAAUUCAAGCUUGCAUGAUGAACUUUGAGAUGGCUGUAUAUGACAUUUUAAUAUCAUAAAGCAUUCAGAUAUCCUAUAUUUGAAUCACCUGUAUAGAUCUGAGUUUUUGUAAAUUUCAGUGAAAUCCACCCCCAAAAUUAAUUCUUGUGCAGAAGUGGUAACUUCCAACAUCCAAGUUGCAGGGUUAUAACCAUCUUUGAUUUUACUCACUCCUUCAAUUCCCUAAAUGAAAGCCAGUCACAUGUAUUAGUAAGCACUUUAUAUGAAUUAACUCAAAAUAAAGUAUUUUGCUUAUAGCUUUUACUUUAUCAUGGGAGCAUACCUCAAAAUACUUUAUCAGAUGGGAAGAAUGUCUACCCAGUGGUCCCACAUAUAUCUCUUGCCCUCCACGCUUCAACAGGAGCAACUUCAAAUGCAUUUUGAAUAUGUCAGUACUUACAUUCAGGAGAGCAUAGAAGAGAAUAAAUCCUUUCUAUCCAUUAACAUUUCCCACCUCAUCAAAGGCUUCAAAGAUGUCAAUACUUGGCUGAUGGAUGGUGCACACAACUGUUCUUCCUGUGUCCACUGUGUUCCUGACUGUUCUCAUAACAAUUGCAGCAGCUCUUGCAUCUAGCCCUGAAGUUGGCUCAUCCAUGAAUAUUAUUGAGGGAUUUGCCACAAGCUCAACUGCAAUGGUCAGCCUCUUGCGCUGCUCGGUUGAGAGACCAUUUACACCUGGCAACCCAACUAGUGCAUCCCUUAAUGGGGUCAGUUCCACGAGCUCCAUGACUUCCUCAAUGAACAUCUGUAACCAUUAGCAAGGAUUACAAAUUGUUUGAACCAGCACUUUUCCCCACAGUGAAGCUCAACCAAGUUUGAAAAAUAUGGAAACAACUCAAGAAAGUCUCACCAUUCUGGUUUCAGCAUCCACAUCAGGAGACAACCGCAGCCAAGCUGAGUAGAGCAAGGACUCGUGGAUAGUAACAUGAGGAGAGUGGAUGUCAUUCUGCUCACAGUAUCCACAAAUUCGAGCAAAAGUCUCUUGCUUCUUUGGGUAGCCAGAAAUGCUGAUGUUUCCCUCAAUAUAUCCACCAGUUUUCCGACCAGCCAAUACAUCCAUGAGAGUGGUUUUACCAGCACCACUAACACCCAUCAGAGCUGUAAGAACACCUGGCCUGAAAGCACCACUCACCCCCUUCAGAAGCUCCAAUUUGUCUUCAAGGACACCCUGACUUUUCAUUUCCUGGAAAUUCAAUUCAAACAACUUAGUUCUCAUUUUUGGUUUAUUAGUACAGUAACAACACUCCUAUGCAGCUAAAAUGUACAUUAUUUGCAAAAAUAUGAAGUUACCUCUGGCAUGUCAACUGAGUAUCUAAUAUCAUCAAAGGUGAUAGAAUGUGGUUGGAAUGGGAGAACCAUCCCUUUUUUCUUGUUAUGGUUAGCCUCAGCAAUGGCUUCUUCUGUCACAUAUGAGAAUGUAGAUGAGAUACUUCUCCCAAUUUCCCCUCCCCUCUCUGCAAGUUAAGUUUAAAUUUAGUGAGCCAUAUAACACAUGCAGUUAAAUGACAACAUGUAAGAGUUUCAUCACUUGUGGAUGCAGUUUGGUCAAUUGAGCCUUUUCUAUGGGAUGAUAACUCGAUCUUUCCUCCAGUUUUGGCAUUGUCAGACUCUUCUGUUAUCACAGCUUGAGGCUUCUCAAAUGCUGCACAAUUUGCACAAAUCUUAAUGCACCAACAUCCAAUAUUUUAGGAGUUUCAAUGCAGAGAUGGUAAAGAUACCCACGAUUUAGGUAAGUGAGAGCCACAGUGUAAAAGAAGUUGAAGACAAAUAUGAAUCCAAGCAGUGCCCCGGCUCCUAUCCAGCACCAGUGUGCCUCUGUGAAGAACCCACGAGACUUCAAUACUGUGACUCCAAGGGAUUCUGUUGAAGUGGUAGAAGCAUUCUGAAAAUUGGAAAUACAUUUAAUCAUCAGUUACUGACACAAAUAAACACAAAUAUUUACAUGGACGAUUCAAGUAACUUACUUUGCUCCAACUUUUCCCAAGGAAUUCAUUUACCACUAUUGCGUUCUGUGCAUACAUCAGAGGGGAAGACCAGUAAACCCAAAUCCACCAUUUCUUGAUAUUUUCUGCAGCAUUGACCAAAUACAAAAAGAAAACAAAAAUCCAUUAUUAGGGUUUAUGCACAAGAAGGUUCUACAAUUCCUAAAAAAAUCUUUCAUCCUUAUACCUCGUGAUAGGACAAAACCACCCAAUGCAAAGAGUAAAAGUAAUGCAAAUGUCCCAAAUGUGUUUGCAAUAAUCAUGUUUCUACUAGCUGCUGCUAUAAAUCGAAAUAAUGAAGAUGCCACCUGAUUAAGAAGCAAGAGGAGAAGAUACUGUCUAAACAACCUGCAAUAAAAGAUCUGUUCAUUGAGCAUUGAUCAUUUUGGAACAGAGAAAACAUGUGAAACAAAUCUGGACAAGUUUCAACAUCAUAACUUUUUAACUUUUACCUUCCCACAUUUGGAUCAAAUCCAAUGACAUAAUAAGUGAUGAAUACCCAAACACCAACUUCAACAAAUGUGAUGGGGAUCUUGAGGAACCAUGAGGGAAGAGCAUAUGCCCAUGCAGGAUAGAAAAGUAGGCCUCUUUGCUUGUAAAAGACAGGAAGUUUUACAAUGGUCAUGGCAAGUUCUGACAUUCCAUUAAACAUGACAGUGAUGACAAUGAAGAACAAAGCGCCAGUGUAAAUGUUUCCAUCUUCUGUUGUGUUUUUGUGCAUUUCAGUUCUUAGGAAGAUUGUCAUGCCAAUCACUGCCAUUAUUGUGAGCUAAAAGCAGAAAUAGACUUAAUAAAUUAGGAUCACAUAUAGAAAAUUAAAAACCAUCAUUGUAAGUAACAACAGUAAUAAUACUCACUUGGGUGAGCUUGAAAAUAUAGACAAAUGAGUUCCUCUUCAUCAGCAAGUACUCCCUUGCAAUGCAAGCAUCCAACAGUUCCUUCUUUCUAACACCAUACUUUUCGGUUUUCAUAGCAGCUGGGUGGCUUUUGGUUUUGUCAAAUGGAGUUGCAAGCUCAUCUCCUAGUUUCCGUCCAAUGUGAAAUGACUGGAAUGCCUCAGCAAAUUCCUUGACUGUGACAAAACUGUAAGGCUCAUCUUUACAUAUCCAAUACUGCUCCUGAUCUUUCCUAGAUGUUACCUGUAAUCAAUUUUAAAAUUCAUGUUCUAGCUUGGGUUUUUCUAAAGAAGGGGAAAAAAAUGAGAAUAUGCCAAAAGCUACAAAGCUAUUAGCACUCACUUCUUGUAGGAAGUCUGCCACACCCUUCCUUUCAGGACAUCUGAACCCCAUGGAUUCAAAAAAGUCAAGAACGUCUUCACGAGGACCCUGAUAAACAAUCUGGCUAUCAGAGAGGAGAAUGAUGUCAUCAAAAAGAUUGUAAGUCUCAGGUGCUGGCUGGAGGAGAGAGAUGAGAGCUGUCCCUUUGAAAAUGUGGAUGUUUUGUCUGAGAGAAUUCACGAUUUGAUAAGUCGUUGAGCUAUCCAAGCCAGUAGAGAUCUCAUCCAUGAACAGUGCCUUUGAUGGUCCAACCAGCAUCUCACCUAUCAUUCAUAUAUUUUCAAUUAGUUGAACUAUAUUAGAUUAAUGAAGGAAAAAAUAUCUUCUUCUUUUUUCUUUUUUUUCUUUUUUUUCCUGUUAGGACACAAAUUAUCCUACCAGUUGUGACACGCUUCCUUUGUCCUCCAGAGAUACCCCUCACCAUUUCAUCUCCUACCAUGGUGUCUGCACAAACUUCUAGUCCCAGAAUCUGUAAAUUUAAGUGUAAAUGAAAAUAAACAAAUUAUGAGUUAGAAUUGGAUUUUCUUAGAAAUCUGUAUUCUAUCAUUGAAAGUUUUAUGGUUCUGAUACCUUUAAUGUAUAAUCAGUGAUCACAUUCUCCUUUUGCCCUUCAGCUGCCACUGCCUGAAAUGUUAGAAACCAAUAAUGAAAAUCUCAACCACCAUUAAAGCUAGUUUGGUUCAUCAAGAAAUUCCGUGGAUAAGACCACAGAACAUGAAGAAAACAAAGUCAAUUUGCCUAUCCAUGUGAGAGAUCAAAAUUUUCAUUCUAGAGAAGACAAGAGUCCAUGUUCUCCACUAAAAACAAAUAGCUCAAAUUCUGCAGAACUGGUGAAAAUUUCACAAAGUAGCUUCUGUCUCACCUUCAUGAAGACAUCAAUAUCAGGAUCAGGCUUAAUAUUUGCUGAUUUCUCUCUUCUUGAGAGCUCUGCUAACAUGUCUGCAGAUAACCACAAAAAGAGUCAAUAUCCUGGCCUAUGCAAAUGUCAUACAACUACAUUCACAACCUUCAAAAACAAAGAAAAUAAAAAUGAAAGGCAAUGGUUUAGACAAACCAUAUCGAUCUCCAACACCCUGGCAUCUUGCAGAGAAGGCCAAGGUUUCCCGUACAGUCAUUUCUCCUAUAUGGGUAUCGAGUUGACUUAUGUAGGCAGCAGUUCUCUGGGGUACAAACUCAUUCAUGCCAUGACCAUUGUAUGUCACGCUUCCCAUAACCUAAACAAGAAAUUUCAGUGUCCAAAUUGGAUAUGAGAUUAAAGAGCUAAAGAUUGAAUAUUCAUCAAAGAAAAAGCAAUGAUUUUUUUUUUCCAUUCAACCUUUAGACUGGAAUCAAGCUUUCCCGACAAAGCCAAUAAGAGAGUGGUCUUUCCAGAACUUGGAGGACCCAAAAGCAAUGUCAUUCUGCCGAAAAAAUAAAAUAAAAUAAAUAAAUAAAAAUAAAAAUAAAUAAAUAAAGCUAAAAAAAUGGAGUAAGGAUCUUCAGGAGAUUCUAAAUUUGAGAAAGGAAAAAUUCAUUUGUUUUCCAAACAAUUUUUUAGAAAUAAAUUCAUAUUCUCACCUUCGAGGUUUGAUGAUUCCGCUAACAUCAUGAAGAAUAGUGAAUUUCUUCUUUCUACUUGGAAGAAUCCGAAGGGCGUUCAAGAUAUCCUUUAAAACAGAAAGAAAAAUUAUAAUCUAAAAACAAACUUACCCAAGAGAAUAUUUAUUGCUUGGCUAGUGAUCUGUAUUUGCAUUUUAGCUACCUCAAUUUGAUUAAAAGCAGAAUUAAUGAAUGAAGGCAAAGCUCUGCUUCCUACAUAAGCUUCUGCAUCAAUGGUAAGAUGCUCAAAUCUAACUUCAAUUUCGGGAAGAUCAAUUCCAACUCUGAAAAAUGGAAGAGAAAUGAAAAUCCAUUAUUAAGAAGUCAAAGGAUGAUGCUGUUUGGUUGGGAUGAAAAUAUAGGAAACAUGAAAAUCCAUUAUUAAAAAGUCAAAGCAAGAUGCUGUUUGGUUGCAAAGAAAAUGUAGGAAACACUAUCAGGCAUAUUUAAGGUGAAUUCUUUCUUAUCCACUGUUUUCACUUUUCAAUGUUCAAAAAGAGGCAAGGAACGCAAGAAAAGAGAAAUCGCACCUAUCAAUACGAUUCUUGAGCUUCAACAAGAACUUCUCAUUGUCCUCAUCGGCGAUUUUCACCAAACGCUCCACCAAAUUUUUCCUUUCCUGAAGCCCAAGGUUGUGUAUAUCAACUUCAUUGGCCUCACCCUCUGAUCCCAUCAGCAAACCUUUCCUCAUCCGAUUGUAGGUGGGAAGUUUCUCGAGGGCGGCCCAUUUCAAAGCUUCCUCAUCAUCUUCAUCCCCUGAAGUUCGGGAGAAAACCUCCGCACCAGAGUUCCUCCAUAUGGAAGAACUGUCCUUCCUUAAACUACCACUGGCUCUAUAAAUUUCAGCCGUUGCCAUUGCAACACGAAACGAGGAACCCUCCCUGCAAAACUAACCAAACCCACUAGAACCCAGAAACCUUUCCUACAAAUCAGAGGGAAAAAAAACCCAAAUUUCGAGCUCUGGAGCUGAAAAAGCUCAAAAUCAGAGAUGGGUCGCCUCCACCCUUUCCUCUAUGCAUGCAAUUCCGUCUCUUUGCAUUGUUAAAACUUUGUUCCAUGUUGGAAAAAUGUGAAGAAUGGAAGGUUUAUAUAUUGAUUGGAAGGACAGAAAAUGAGGCUGCUCAGAAGUUUGAAAACCGCUUAUUUUCCACUGACUUCAUCUAGAAAAAUUGGCGGGGAAAAUCGAAUCUAGAAGAGGCUAUGAAAUUACGAAUGUCUCCAUUUUUGACUCUUCAAAUUCUUAUUUUUACAUUUUCACAUUUCAUAAUUUUCAGCCUUCGAGUACAUUGUUUGUCAAGUGACUGUAAAGAAAUGUAAAUUGUUAAAUAUUGUCUAACCGCCGCACUAAGGGCUUGUGUAGACUUUCCCCCUGUUUCAAGAAUGGGUUUUUGUUACUGAAAACAAAAAAUACAAAAAACUUAUUUGAGGAAGGGGAUGUGUUUUUAUUUUUGUGUUUUCCGUGUUCUCAAAAACCACUUUUUUUCAGAACAAUAAAAAAAAUGUUUUCAUUAUUUUUUCAAUAGAAUAAAUUAUUUUUUGUGUUUUCUUUUUCUUCUUUUUGUGUUUUUCUAGCUCCUUUUUGUGUUUUCACAAAGGUGAGCUCCACCCUCACCCUCACCUACAAACCCUUUCUUUUUCCUUAAAUUAUUGAAAUUAAUAUAUUUACACAUUAACUUUCAAACAUGUUUUUUGUUUUACUUAUUCUAAAAAACUUUUUUAUUAACUCAAUAAAACAUUUUUUUUUUAGAACAAAAACUGUUUUUCAAAACAAUUUUCAAAAAUAGCAACCAAACAGACCUUAACUUUUCGGUUUAGCUCAAUUCCCCCUAAAUUGCAAAUGUAAUUUUUUGUGGUUAAAAAGAUGAGGGAAAAGUAGGAUUGAUUUACUAAUAUGAAAAUACAUGGAAAAACAAACCUCAAAUUUUUUAAAUAAUUAUUAUCUUCGUUUAUUUAAAAAUAAUUUCAAAUAGAUACAUUUUUUAAUGAGUCAUCUAAUUAUUCCCUAAAAUAUUUAUUGUCAUAUCAUUAAUAUUAAUUGAUAGAUAGAUUCUUUCACGUAAAUGUUUAUCUUCCUUUUAGAUUUAUUAUUAUUAUUAUUUUAUUUGGGAUUUUUUUUUCACUGCUUUUAUCAUUCAUACUCUUCAAACUAUCUCACUUUUAUGAGAUGUUUAUGAAAAAAAAAAUGUCUUAACUUUUCCUAAGGUGUUUGUUUUUGGGAAAGAAAAAAAUCUCAAAUAAUAAUAAUUGUGGGAUGCUCACAACCGUCUAGCAUGAUCCUUAUGUGUCGUCGAGAGUGAUGCCUAUUUUGUGCAAUCGUCAUGUAUCUGUCUACCUUAAAAUGCAAACAGACAUAAAUCAUUGGGGCACUAUACAUUCCCACCAAUCAAGUAUUAAAUACGACAGAUAUUAAGUGCAUUAAUUGACAUAACCAUUACUAAGCAUAAAACGUCAUACUUCCAAGGCUCAAAAACUAGUAAUCAUUAACAUUAAAGACGAUAAAAGUGCAAUCAAAUGUAUAAUAAACGCAUUGAGAAGACAUUACCUUUGAGCUUGAAUAAACAGUCAUUAUUCAUAAAAAAGAAGUGACUUAAGCUUCCAAAGGAUGUAUCCGAAAAACUCAUUCAAACAUUCUUUUGUGCAAGUGCAAUCGUCGUCUACAUCACAUGAAGGCUAGCCGAAUACUUCAUUAUUGGUCAUGCACCAACAAUAAUGAUAAUAAAUCUAUAAAAAAAAGAAAAAGAAAAACCAUUUAUGUGGACAAGUCUAGUUGUCAAUUAAGGUUGAUGACAUGACAAAAAACAAUAACAUUUUAAAGGAUAAUUAAAUGACUAAUUAAAAGCGCAUGUAUUUCAAUUUUUUUUAAAUAAAUAAAGAUAAUAUUGAUUUAAAAAAUUUAGGUUUCUUUUUUUCCAUAUAUUUUCAUAUUAGUAAGUUAAAACUCACUUUUCCCUUAAAAUUAAAUUCAAAUUCUUAUUAUUCAAAGCAUUACAUUAGUUUGGAUUUAUCAAAUAUUAAAUAACAUAUAAAUUAAUAUUAAUCAUAAAUUCCCAUAAUAUGAAUCAUUGUAAAAGAGUAAAUUUAUGAACAUACAAAUUAAUAUAAUUGUAGGAAAAAGUGAGUAUUGACUCACUAAUAUGAAAAUAUAUAGAAAAAAUAACCUCAAAUUUUUUAAAUCCAUAUUAUCUUCAUCUAUUAAAAAGUAAUUUAAAAUAUAUGUACUUUUUAUUGAGUCAUAUAAUUAUUCCCUAAAAAGUAAUUUGAAAUACACACACUUUUUAUUAUCUUCAUCUAUGAAAAAGAAACUUUUUUUUUCUUUUCAUUUCUUUUAUUUUUUCACACUCAAUUGUUUUUCAUAUUAUUCUUAUAUUUUAAAACAAAAUAAUUUCUUUAAAUAAUAAAUUAUAAAAUGAUUUUAUUAUAUUCAAUGCUUUUUUAAAUUUGCAAAAAUAGACCAUCACCCUAUUCACCUCCCUCUAGGGUGAUUACCAUAGGUUGGAUUAACCUAAUAUUUCUAAUAAUUUUUAAAAUAUCAAAAUCAAGCCCUAGAUAACUCACCAUUAAAAAAAAAAUAUUUAAGAAGUUAUAGAAAGUUCCUUUUAAUAUAUUUUUAUGGUAUAUAGUAGAAUUUAAAUAAAAUUAAUUCCAAAAAUUUUUAAAAAUUAAAAAAAAUCAUUUAUAAAAGUUAUUAACCAUUAAUAAUUGAUAGUGGUUGUAUUAUACAAAAAAAAAAAGGUUGUAUUAGUCUUGUCAUUGAUAUUCAUAAUUGAUAAUAUCAUAUAUUAAAAAUUAUUAACCAUUAAUAAUAAAUCAACACUGAUUAUUAAUUAUUUAGACCAUUUUUACGGAAAAAAAAAUAGUGAAACUUUUAAAUUAAUAUACCAAAAAUAGUUUUAGAAGCAUAUAGAGAAGAUUGAGAAUAAAAUUUGAGUUUUGCGGUGUUGUUGUUUUAGUGUUUUAAGUUUUAAAACUUGAGUCAAGUGAUUGUUCUUUGCUCUGUUUGGUUGUUGAGAAAAAUAGAAGAAGAUUGAGAAUGAAACUUGAGUUUUGUGGUUAUACAGUUGCAUUCACUUUGUAAGGCCAAUGAACUAAUUAUAAAAGCAAUGUAUUGUUUACAACUUAUUUUUAUCCCUCACCGAAAUACCUCAAAGGUUUAUGACAAUAAAAAGAAAAAAAAAAGUGUUAAUUUUCCUUUUCAAAUUUUAAAAAAUCAAAUAAAUAUAAAAAUAGAUUUUUAUUUUUUAAAGAUAAAAUUAAAAAUGGAAGAAAAAUAUGAUAAAUUCAAUUUUUUACCUUCAAGUUAAUUUGUAAAUAUUUUUAAAAUAAAUAGGAAAAUUAAAAUAUUGCAAUUGAUUUUUAAGAUAAAAUUUGAAAACAAAAAAUAACAAUAACUUUCAUAUAAAAUAUAAAAACUUUUAGAUACUUAAACAAAAAAGGUAAUGGUAAUGAAAAAAGUAAAAAAAAAAAAAAAAGUGAAGUUUCAAAAAUUUUAUCCCAUCUCAAAUUCAAAAAUUUUUAAAAGUAAUUUUUAAGGAUAUAAAACAAACCUAUAUUUUUUAUAUAAGAAUUUUCCUUUUUUUUAAGUUAUAAAAAUUAUUCUCAAUUUCUCCUUUUAAAAAUAAUGAACAAGAAAUGUAUUUAAAAGAAACCUUAUAUUGAAAAAAUUUUAAAUGCCUAAUAAUUAAAAAAAAAAUUCUAAAUUUAAAAAUAAUAAUUUAAGUUUUAAAAUUAUAAAUCGUAUAUGGAACUUCUUCCCAUUAAAUAAUUGCUUACUUAAUCCCCACAUGUGAUUUUCUAAAAACCCAAUUAAGGGUAUUUUGGGCAUUUUUGGCUCACAAAAUGUUGGUACGUCCUUCAUAGUAAUUUGGAGACGUGCUCGACCCCAUCACAACAAUUAUACAAAUUCAUGGUCUUUAGGGUCAUUAUCACCUUCAUGGCUUCAAUCAGCCCUCGAUCAUAGCCGGCUGUAGGUGCAAUUUGGUCUCUUCUCACUUUAUUAAUCACACAGGACAAAGUCCAAAAUCAAAUAUAUUCUAAAAAAUAGGUGGAUUCUUGGCAUGUGUAUCAGGAAUUUUACUUUUCAUAUGGAAAGUGGUGAUUGCCUAAAUGGAACGCGUGAUUGACUUUAAGUCCUAAAAAUAAUAAUAAAUAAAUAAAUAAAUAAAUAAUGAAAAAUAAGGCAAUUGUGCCUAACUAUUGAAUGAAAAAAAUAAAAUAUUUUGUCACAUCUAUGGAAAGUUGACUUUGACAAUGACAUGAUAGAAUAGGUCAAGCCCACUAGAUUUCAGGAAAGUAGUAAGUAAAAAAUAAAUAUAAAAUGAUAUUCUAGUAUUUUAUUGAGCAUAAAAAAUAGAAAAUAAAUUCAAAUAUAAUUAAAAUUAAAUUUAUGAAUUUUAAGAUUAUUUAAUUUUUAUAUAAAAUAGUUAAAAAAAUUAAAUAAAAUUUUAAAAUAUAUAAAAAAUAAUUUAUUGAGUUUAAAUAAUUUUUCUCAUUAUUUUAUUUCUGGAAUUUCCUCAAAUUUUUCAAAAUCCAAAUGCUCUAUGAAAAUUGACUUUGACAAUUACAUGAUAGAAUAGGCCAAGCCCACUAGAUUUCAGGAAAGUAGCAAGUAAAAAAUAAAUAAAAAAUGAUAUUCUAGUAUUUUAUUGAGCAUAGAAAAUAUAAAAUAAAUUCAAAUAUAAUUAAAAUUAAAUUUAUAUAUUUUAAAUUUAUUUAAUUUUUAUAUAGAACAAUUAAAAAAAUUUAAUUUAAUUUAAAAAUAAUUUAUUGAAUUUAAAUAAUUUUUCCCAUUAUUUUAUUUCCAUAAUUUCCUCAAACUUUUCAAAAUCCAAAUGCUUGGUUAAGCUUUUUGAAAGCGAAUAUUAUAAUAAUAAUAAUAACAACUUAUUGAACUUUCCAUGCAUCAUCUUCCUUAAAAUAUAAAUGCUCCAACUCCCAUUUUCAAAUUUAUCAUUACAAAUUUUGCAAUUUUGGUUUAUUUAAAUUUAAAUACAGAAGAGGCCAAUAAUGGCUCCUAAUACAUGGAAUACGCAUAUCCCACCAUUUUUUACCCUUCAAAUUCUUAUAUUAACACUUUCUCCGUUCUUAAAUUCUAGCUUUUCUAUGUCUUAUAUGGGUAUAUUAGGCUAUGUCGUUUAAGAUCGACAAUUUUGUUCUAUUCAUUUUAGCUUAAAAGUGUCCAAGAAUAUGCUCUAUAUUAAACCUCUCUCAUGUUAGUAGCUUCAACAAGAUAGGAGUUCUUGAUGGAACAUCUAUGGUCCGGGGGACAUGAUAGACAACCCAUAUGACUAGUUCACAUAAUUAUGAAUCUUCUAUUCAAAUAUUUUAAUAUUUGACUCCCUUUUCCACAAUGAUAGCUAUACUUAUGAAUGAAAAAAUCAAGGCCAUCAAAGCCUCCUUGAUGAUGGUUAAAGCAAGAAAAAGAAACAAUGAAUCUUAAUGUGAUGUUUCAAGGAGCCCACUUUUCAACGAGGCGACCUGAAUUUAAGGGGCUUAGUUCACUGGAAGUUCUUACUUUUCUUGAUUCCAGAUAAUGAAAGAUUUGAUAUAUAUCUAGAAAUUCAAAAUCUUCUUGUCUUCACGCUUUCUGAUCAAAGCAAGUAUUAAUAAAGAAAACAAUCAGAACAUGACAGAUGUUGAACUUCAUCUUGUCUAGAUUCACAGAGUCGAUGAGGUUCUGAGCUUGGAAGAGUCAGGUCAAAUCCACAUGUCUGGAAAUUUGGAAGGCAGUGAUUCUACAAUUCAAAGUUGUAUAUCCACAUGUCUGGAUCUGAUCAGCAGGAUACCAAUGAAUGAGCACCAAGUUUAAGUAACUACUUUUCUUCAUGGGUCAAGCAUGGAACUUAGAAAUACCUCUGAACUUUCUGAAGAAGGCCAAAACUUCCCUUUUUGCUAGCUCAAGUCUAAAUUUAAGAGUGUUGCAAACCCUGCUCCUGAUACACGCUUGUUGGUUUUGAAAACAUACUAUUUUCAUGUUGUUACCGUGUCUUAAUGUCUUCAGCCACUUAAAGCAGAGACUGAAAGUGGAGCACCAUACUAGUAAGCAGGCAAUCAAGAUGAAAGAAUUGCUUAAGGUUACAUUAUUGUCAUGAAUUUUAACUUACAUAAAAUUGGGAGAAAACAAAAUACAAGAAUUUAACUAGUAUUAUCUGCUCAUUGCAGAGCUAUGGAUACUCUCUAACAGCCUAUACAUAGAACAAAACCAUUUUGUUCUAUCUUACAACCAAAGGUUGAACUGAGAAUGUUACAUAUACAUUAACCAACCAUCUUUGAAGAACUCGUGCUUUUACCGCCUUUGGAAGUUAAAUGCCUUGAUGGCAAAGGCAAAGAUAAAUAAGAAAAGUACUGUAAACCCAACAAUCACAGCUGCAACCACUCCUAGAAAAUCAUGUUCGAAUCCAAAAUAGUCAUUCAAGUAUUGUUCCACUGUGUCACCUGUGUCCUCAAAUCUGUCCUGUAUAUCUCCAAACUGUGAUGUAACCAAUCCAUACAAAGUCCAUGCAACUGGACAUGCCCAAUAGUACCAUCUCCACCACACAGGAAUCCUCUGUAUUCAUCAUGGAAGAAAUGCAACAAAAUGAGUCAUUUCCAUAUCCAUGUGCUAAAGAUAGUUGCAAUUUAAAGAAUAAUGAGUUGAGAGAACUUACGGUUCGAGGAACUAUAAAACCUGAAAAUAAGUUCCAUAAUCCAUAAAAUGCUGCAGCAACGAUGGCAGCAAUAUGUUGAUUUGGUGUGGCAGCCACAGCCAUCAUGCCAUAAAAGGUGAAGUACAGUAAGGUGAAGAACAUGAAGAACAGAUACCAGAAGAACUUAGCAGCUGUCCAUUCAAAUCCAAUCAUUGCAUAAACUAUAACACCAUACACCACAGCUUGUGCAAAGACAUAUGGUAUCUCAACUAGAGCCUGCAACAAGAGAUGAAAUUUGAUUAAUAAAACCCAUAAAGUGUUAGAGAUAGACAGUCCAUAGCAUAAGAAAACUAGUUACAUGUGCAAAGGCAUAUGGCAUAGCUGAAUAUAUUCCUGCAGCUCUUUCUCUGUAAAAGACAGUCCGUUCAACUGCAACGACUGGCUGCACCGAUGAGGAAUUUUGAACCCCAAGGAAGAGAACAGCAGCAUACAUAGAACCCAUUGCAUUACUCAAAUCUUGUUGUUUUGUCCUGCAUUUUACCAUGUGAAGUAUGAAUUAAAGUUGAUACAGAGAAACAUACUGAGUUCUCAAAAUCCUGUACUGGGUUCAAAUUACCUUUUGGUGCCGAGAUCCCAGAACAUUGUCCCAAAUAUCAAGGCUAUGAAAGUUGUGAAGAAAAAUCUCACUGCCGUGUAUGGUGGAUUGCGCCAAUAUGACCUACGCUGUUUCCAUAAGCAUGCCAUACAUUGGGUGAAGAAGGACUGGGAGUAUUGAGUAGGGAAAUAGAGGUCCUUUGAACCAGGGGCAGGUUGGCUCAAUUCUUUAAUUAAAUCUUUGUUUCUCCUGAAACAUAUGCCACAUCAGAAAAGGCUUCAAUAACCAAUUCAAGCUUGCAUGAUGAACUUUGAGAUGUGUAUACAUGAGAUUUCAAUAUCAUAAUGCUUUCAGAUAACCUAUAGUUGAAUCACCUGUAUAGGUUCGAAUUUUUGUAUAUUUCAGUGAAAUCCACCCCCAACAAGAAUUCUUGUGCCGAAGUGGUAACUUCCAGCAUCCAAGUUGCAGGGUUAUAACCACCUUUGAUUUUACUCACUCCUUCAAUUCCCUUAAUGAUAGCAAGUCACAUGUAUUAGUAAGCACUUGAUAUGAAUUAACUCAAACUAAAGUAUUUGCUGCUUAUAGCUUUUACUUUAUCAUGGCAGCUUACCUCAAAAUACUUUAUCAGACAAGAAGAAUGUCUACCCAGUAGUCCCACAUAUAUCUCUUGUCCUCCUCGCUUCAGCAGGAGCAACUGCAAAUCCAUUUUAAAUAUUUCAGUACUUAUAUGCAAAGCUCAUAGAAGGGAAACUAUAAAUUCUUUCUAUCCAUUAACAUUUCCUACCUCAUCAAAGGCUUCAAAGAUGUCAAUACUUGGCUGAUGGAUGGUGCACACAACUGUUCUUCCUGUGUCCACUGUGUUCCUGACUGUUCUCAUAACAAUUGCAGCAGCUCUUGCAUCUAGCCCUGAAGUUGGCUCAUCCAUGAAUAUUAUUGAGGGAUUUGCCACAAGCUCAACUGCAAUGGUCAGCCUCUUGCGCUGCUCUGUUGAGAGACCAUUUACACCUGGCAACCCAACUAGUGAAUCCUUCAAUGGGGUCAGUUCCACGAGCUCCAUGACUUUCUCAAUGAACAUCUGUAACCAUUAGAUAGGAUUAGAAAUUGUUUAAAAAAAAAAUGCGAAGCCAUAGCAGAGAUGGUAAAAAAAUUGACACUGCUUGUGACUCUUUUCAGUUAGCAGGUUGUGAACAAGUUUCUCUAGUCUUAUUAAACAGAUCAGUUCAUGGUUGCCAAUGCUCAAUAACACCUAUUAGCAUGCAUGAACUUCACCAACUUGGAUUCCAGGUCAACCAAAUUUGAACCAGCACCUUUCCCCAGGGUGAAGUUCAAGCCAAACUUGAACCUGAUCUAAGCCCAACCAAGUUUGAAAAAUCAAUUCUAGGGCUUUACUUGUUCAGAGCCCUCAAUUGAAUAAGACAAAUGUGGAAAGAACUCAGGAAGACCUCACCUUUCUAGUUUUAGAAUCCACAUCAGCAGGCAACCUCAGCCAAGCAGAGUAGAGCAAGGACUCAUGGAUAGUAACAUGAGGAGAGUGGAUGUCAUUCUGCUCACAGUAUCCAGAAAUUCGAGUAAAAGUCUCUUGCUUCUUUGGGUAGCCAGAAAUGUUGAUGUUACCCUCAAUAUAUCCACCAGUUUUCCGACCAGCCAGUACAUCCAUGAGAGUGGUUUUACCAGCACCGCUAACACCCAUCAGAGCUGUAAGAACACCAGGCCUGAAAGCACCACUCACCCCCUUUAGAAGCUUCAAUCUGUCUUCAAGGACACCCUGACUUUUCAUUUCCUACAAAUUCAAUUCAAACAACUUAGUUCUCAUUUUCGGUUUAUUAGUGCUGCUAAAGCAUGUACAUUAUUUGUAUUAAUAUGGAGUUACCUCUGGCAUGUCAACUGAGUAUCUAAUAUCAUCAAAGGUGAUAGAAAGUGGUUGGAAUGGAAGAACCAUUCCUCUUUUGGUGUUACGUCUAGCCUCAGCAAUGGCUUCUGCCCUCACAGAUGAGGAUGUGGAUGAGAUGCUUCUCCCAAUUUCGUCUCUCCUCUCUGCAUGUUAAGUUUAAAAUUAGUGAGCCAUGUAAAACAUGUGGUUAAAUGACAAGAACAAAGGCACACAUGCACCAUGAAUGAGUUUCAUCACCUGUGGAUGCAGUUUGGUCAAUCGAGCCUCGUCUAUGGGAUGAUAACUCGAUCUUUCCUCCAGUUUUGGAAUUCUCAGACUCUUCUGUUAUAACAGCUUGAGGCUUCUCAAAUGCUGCACAAUUUGCACAAAUCUUAGUACACUAAUCUCCAAUAUUUUAGGAUUUUCAACACAGAGAAUGUAAGGAUACCCACCAUUUAGGUAAGUGAGAGCCACAGUGUAACAGAAGUUGAAGACUAAAAUGAAUCCAAGCAGUGCCCCAGCUCCUAUCCAGUACCAGUAUGCCUCUGUGAAGAACCCGCGAGACUUCAAUACUGCUACUCCAAGGGAUUCUGUUGAAUUGGUUGAAGAAUUCUGAAAAAUGGAAAUACAUUCAAUCAUGACACAAAUAAACACAAAUAUUGAUAUGAAACAUUCAUAAACUUACUUUGCUCCAACUCUUCCCAAGGAAUUCAUUUACCACUAUUGCGUUCUGUGCAUACAUCAGAGGGGAAGACCAGUAACCCCAAAUCCACCAUUUCUUGACAUUUUCUACAGCAAUGACCAAAUACAAGAAGGAAACAAAAAUUCAUUAUUAGGGUUUAUGAACAAGAAGGUCCUAGUUUCCUAAAAAAAAUCUUUCCUCCUUAUACCUCGUGACAGGACAAAACCACCCAAUGCAAAGAGCAAAAGUAAUGAAAAUGACCCAAAUGUGUUUGCAACAAUCAUGUUUCUACCAGCUGCUGCAAUAAAUCGAAACAAUGCAGAUGCCAUCUGAUUAACAAGCACGAGGAGAAGAUAUUGUUUAAACAGCCUGCAAUAAGAAGAUUUGUUUAUUGAGCAUUGAUCAUUUUGGAACAAAGAAAACAUUUGAAACAAAUCUGGACAUGUUUCUUUUACCUUCCCACAUUUGGAUCAAAUCCAAUGACAUAAUAAGACAUGAACACCCAAACAGCAACUUCAACAAAUGUGAUGGGGAUCUUGAGGAUCCAUGAGGAGAGAGCAUAUGCCCAUGCAGGGUAGAAUAGUAGGCCUCUUUGCUUGUAAAAGACAGGAAGUUUUGCAAUGGUCAUGGCAAGUUCUGACAUUCCAUUAAACAUGAUCAUGACAACAGUGAAGAACAAAGCACCCAUGUAAAUGCUUCCAUCAUCUGUUGAAUUUUUGUGCAUCUCAGUUCUUAGGAAGAUUGUCAUGGAAAUUGCUGCCAUUAUUAUGAGCUAAAAGAAGAAACAAAAAUAAUGAAUUACGAUCAAAUGUACAAAAUUAAAAGCCACUGUUAUGAGUAACAACAAUAAUAAUACUCACUUGGGUGAGUUGUAAAAUAUAGACAAAUGAAUUCCUCUUCAUCAGCCAGUACUCUCUUGAGAUGCAAGCAUCCAACAGUUCCUUCUUUCUAACACCAUAUUUUUCAGUUUUCAAAGCAGCUGGGUGGCUUUUGGUCUUGUCGAAUGGAGUUGCAAGCUCAUCUCCUACUUUCCGUCCACUGUGAAAUGACUGGAAUGCCUCAGCAAAUUGCUUGACUGUGACAAAACUAUAAGGCUCAUCUUUACGUGCCCAAUACUGCUGCUGAUCUUUCCUAGAUGUUACCUGUAAUCAAUUUUAAAAUUCAUGUUCUAGCUUGAUUUUUUCUAAAGAAGGAAAAAAAAAUAUGAGAAGAUGCCUAAAGGUACAAAACUAUUAGCACUCACUUCUUGUAGGAAGUCUGCCACACCCUUCCUUUCAGGACAUCUGAAGCCCAUGGAUUCAAAAAAGUCAAGAACGUCUUCACGAGGACCCUGAUAAACAAUCUGGCUAUCAGAGAGGAGAAUGAUGUCAUCAAAAAGAUCGUAAGUCUCAGGUGCUGGCUGCAGGAGAGAGAUGAGAGCAGUCCCAUUGAGAAUGUGGAUGGUUUGCCUGAGAGAAUUCACGAUUUGAUAAGUUGUCGAGCUAUCCAAGCCAGUAGAGAUCUCAUCCAUGAACAGUGCCUUCGAUGGUCCAACCAGCAUCUCCCCUAUCAUUUAUAUAUUUCACAGUUGAAUUAACUUAAAUUAAUGAACGAAAAAUUCUAAUUUAUUUUAUUUGGUUGGAAACCAAAUUAUCCUACCAGUUGUGACACGCUUCCUUUGUCCUCCAGAAAUACCCCUUAUCAUUUGAUCCCCUACCAAGGUGUCUGCACAGACUUCUAGUCCCAGAAUCUGUAAAUUUAAGUGUAAAUGAAAAUAAACAAAUUAUGACUUAGAAUUGGGUUUUCUCAGAAAUCUGCAUUCCAUCAUUGAAAGUUCUAUGGUUAUGAUACCUUCAGUGUAUAGUCAGUGAUCACAUUCUCCUUCUGGCCUUCCGUUGCCGCUGCCUGAAAUAUUAAAAACCAAUAAUGUAAAUCUCACUCACCAUCAAACCAAUAAGUACCUUAAGAUAUUCCAAGGACAAAAGAUUUUGCUCUGCAGAACUGGUUAAAAUUUCACUCAAAGUAGCUUCUGUCUCACCUUCAUGAAGACAUCGAUAUCAGGAUCAGGCUUAAUAUUUGCUGCCUUCUCUCUUCUUGAGAGCUCUGCUAACAUGUCUGCGAAUAGCCAAAUAAAAGUCAACCUCCUGGCUUAUGCAAAUUUCAUAUAACUAAAUUCACAAGCUUCAAAAACAAAGAAAAUAAAAGUAAAAGGCAAUGAAUGGUUUAGACCAACCAUAUCGAUCUCCAACACCCUGGCAUCUUGCAGAGAAGGCCAAGGUUUCCCGUACAGUCAUUUCUCCUAUAUGGGUAUCAUGUUGGCUGAUGUAGGUUGCAGUUCUCUGGGGUACAAAUUCAUUCAUGCCAUGACCAUUGUAUGUCACCUUUCCCGUAACCUAAAGAAGGAAUUUCAGUUUCCAAAUUGGAUAUGAGAUUAAACAGCUGAAAAUGGAAUAUUCAUUAAAGAACAAAAGCAAUAAUUUUUUUUUUCAUUCAACCUUUAGACUGGAAUCAAGCUUUCCGGACAAAGCCAAUAACAGAGUGGUCUUUCCAGAACUGGGAGGACCCAAAAGCAGUGUCAUUCUGCAGAAAAAAAAUAUGCACAAAAGAUUGAGUAUGGAUCUUCAGGAUAUUCUAAAUUGGAGAAAGUAAAAAAAUCAAUUUGAUAUAUAUAUAUCAAUUAAUUUUUUUUCAAAAAAAAAAAAAAAAUCAUAUUCUCACCUUCGAGGUUUGAUGAUUCCACUAACAUCGUGAAGAAUAGUGAAUUUCUUCUUUCUACUCGGAAGAAUCCGAAGAGUGUUCAAGAUAUCCUUGAAAACAGAAAGAAAAAUUAUAAUCUAAAAACAAACUUACCCAAGAGAGUAUUUAUUGCUUAGCCAGUGAUCUGUAUUUGCAUUUUAGUUACCUCAAUUUGAUUAAAAGCAGAAUUAAUGAAUGAAGGCAAAGCUCUGCUUCCUACAUGAGCUUCUGCAUCAAUGGUAAGAUGCUCAAAUCUAACUUCAAUUUCGGGAAGAUCAAUCCCAACUCUGAAAAAUGAAAUAGACAUGCAAACCCAUUACUAAAAAGUCAAAGGAAGAUGUUUGGUUGUGAAGAAAAUGCAGGACUAUCAGUCACAUUUAAGGUGAAUUCUUUCUUUUCCACUGUUUUCAAUGUUAAAAAAGAAAAAGAAAAACGGCAAGAAACGCAAGAGAAGAGGAGAAAUCGCACCUAUCUAUACGAUUCCUGAGCUUCAACAAGAACUUCUCAUUGUCCUCUUCGGCAAUUUUCACCAACCGCUCCACUAAGUUCUUCUUUUCCUGAAACCCAAGGUUGUGUAUAUCAACUUCACUGGCCUCACCCGCCGAACCCAUCAGCAAGCCUUUCCUCAUCCGAUUGUAGGUGGGAAGUUUCUCGAGUGCGGCCCAUUUCAAAGCUUCCUCAUCAUCUUCAUCCCUUGAAGAACGGGAGGAAACCUCCUCACCAGAGUUCCUCCAUAUGGAAGAACUGUCCUUCCUUAAACUACCACCGGCUCUAUAAAUUUCACCCGUUGCCAUUGCAACACGAAACGAGGAACCCUCCCUGCAAAACUAACCAAACCCACUAAAACCCAGAAACCUUUCCUACAAAUUAGGAGGAAAAAAACCCAAAUUUCGAGCUCUGGAGCUGAAAAAGCUCAAAAUCAGAGAUGGGUCGCCUCCACCCUUUCCUCUAUGCAUGCAAUGCCGUCUCUUUGCAUUGCUAAAACUUUGUUCCAUGUUGGAAAAAUGUGAAGAAUGGAAGGUUUAUAUAUUGAUUGGAAGGACAGAAAAUGAGGCUGCUCAGAAGUUUGAAAACCGCUUAUUUUCCACUGACUUCAUCUAGACAAGUUGGCGGGGAAAAUCGAAUCUAGAAGAGGCUAUGAAAUUACGAAUGUCUCCAUUUUUUACUCUUCAAAUUCUUAUUUUACAUUUUCACAGUUCAUAAUUUUCAGCCUUCGAGUACAUUGUUUGUCAAGUAACUUUAAAGAAAUGUAAAUUGUUAAAUGUUGUCUACCUGCCGCGGCCUGUUUAGUUCCAGUUUUCAAAAAUGGUUUUUUGUUAUUGAAAAUAAAAAACACAAAAAAACUUAUUUAGGAAAGGGGAUGUGUUUUUGUUUUUGUUUUUUUUUUUGUGUUUUCGGUAUUCUCAAAAACCACUUUUUUUUAGAAUAAUAAAAAAAUAUAUUUUCAUUAUUUUUUCAAUAAAAUAAAUUAUUUUUCGUGUUUUUUUUUUUUCUUCUUUUUGUGUUUUCCUAGGUGCUUUUUAUGUUUCCACGAAGGUGAGUUCCACCUUCACAUCCACUCACAAACCUUUUCUUCUUCCUUAAAUUAUUAAAAUUAAUAUACUUAUACAUUAACUUUCAAACAUGUUUUUUGUUUUACUUAUUCUAAAAAACUUUUUUAUUAAUUCAAUAAAACAUGUUUUUUUUUUUUUGAGAACAAAAAUUAUUUUCCUAAACAAUUUUCAAAAAUAGCAACCAAACAGACCUUAACUUUUCGGUUUAGCUCAAAUCCCCCUAAAUUGCAAAUGUAAUUUUUUGUGGUUAAAAAGAUGAGGGAAAAGUAGGAUUGAUUUACUAAUAUGAAAAUACACGGAAAAACAAACCUCUUCGUUUAUUUAAAAAUAAUUUCAAAUACAUACAUUUUUUAAUGAGUCAUCUAAUUAUUCCCUAAAUUAUUUAUUGUCAUGUCAUUAAUAUUAAUUGAUAAAUGGAUUCUUUCACGUCAAUGUUUAUCUUCCUUUUAAAUUUAUUAUUAUUAUUAUUAGUAUUAUUAUUUUAUUUGGGAUUUUUUUUUCACUGCUUUUAUCAUUCAUACUCUUCAAACUAUCUCACUUUUAUGCAAGGAUUGAAAUAUCGGUAAACACGGAUAUAUCGGUACUUGGAUUUUACGGAUAUAUCGGAAAUAUCGGAGAAAUAUCGGUGGAUAUUUUUCAUCAAAUAUCGGUGAGACAAAAAUUAUCCAAAAUUGAUGGGAAUGUUUAAAAAAAGCCAAAGAAUGAUAAAAUAAGCAAGAAUAUGCAUGUUAAAGUUAUUUUAUAAGUGUAAUUGACAUAAAUAUGGUCAAAGAAAAAAAUAUCGGUAAAUAGUUUACGAUACUUGGAUUUGAAGAAUAAAAAAUAUGAAAUUUGGAAUUGUACACUUAGAAAGUUAGAAUUGAGUUAAGAAAUAUUUGAUUUCAUUAAAUGAAAACAAUUUACACAUAAACAUAAUACAUAUGACAUUGCAAUGGUCCUUAAUACCAAAAUGAAGAUCGAUGUGGUUCCAUCAUAUUGUUAUUGUUAGAUGAAGGGAGCCCAUCUUGUUGAAGACAAUAUUCAUACCAGGACAUGGAGUUUCGAUAGUAUUGAUUGUAUGUACGAACAUGCCAUGCAUAAAUUUCUUGAGUCCUACCAACAACUUGUCCAUGGAUAGGAAAUCCAGGGUNNNNNNNNNNNNNNNNNNNNNNNNNNNNNNNNNNNNNNNNNNNNNNNNNNNNNNNNNNNNNNNNNNNNNNNNNNNNNNNNNNNNNNNNNNNNNNNNNNNNUGAGGCUGCUCAGAAGUUUGAAAACCGCUUAUUUUCCACUGACUUCAUCUAGACAAGUUGGCGGGGAAAAUCGAAUCUAGAAGAGGCUAUGAAAUUACGAAUGUCUCCAUUUUUUACUCUUCAAAUUCUUAUUUUACAUUUUCACAGUUCAUAAUUUUCAGCCUUCGAGUACAUUGUUUGUCAAGUAACUUUAAAGAAAUGUAAAUUGUUAAAUGUUGUCUACCUGCCGCGGCCUGUUUAGUUCCAGUUUUCAAAAAUGGUUUUUUGUUAUUGAAAAUAAAAAACACAAAAAAACUUAUUUAGGAAAGGGGAUGUGUUUUUGUUUUUGUUUUUUUUUUUUGUGUUUUCGGUAUUCUCAAAAACCACUUUUUUUUAGAAUAAUAAAAAAAUAUAUUUUCAUUAUUUUUUCAAUAAAAUAAAUUAUUUUUCGUGUUUUUUUUUUUCUUCUUUUUGUGUUUUCCUAGGUGCUUUUUAUGUUUCCACGAAGGUGAGUUCCACCUUCACAUCCACCCACAAACCUUUUCUUCUUCCUUAAAUUAUUAAAAUUAAUAUACUUAUACAUUAACUUUCAAACAUGUUUUUUGUUUUACUUAUUCUAAAAAAACUUUUUUAUUAAUUCAAUAAAACAUGUUUUUUUUUUUUUGAGAACAAAAAUUAUUUUCCUAAACAAUUUUCAAAAAUAGCAACCAAACAGACCUUAACUUUUCGGUUUAGCUCAAAUCCCCCUAAAUUGCAAAUGUAAUUUUUUGUGGUUAAAAAGAUGAGGGAAAAGUAGGAUUGAUUUACUAAUAUGAAAAUACACGGAAAAACAAACCUCUUCGUUUAUUUAAAAAUAAUUUCAAAUACAUACAUUUUUUAAUGAGUCAUCUAAUUAUUCCCUAAAUUAUUUAUUGUCAUGUCAUUAAUAUUAAUUGAUAAAUAGAUUCUUUCACGUCAAUGUUUAUCUUCCUUUUAAAUUUAUUAUUAUUAUUAUUAGUAUUAUUAUUUUAUUUGGGAUUUUUUUUUCACUGCUUUUAUCAUUCAUACUCUUCAAACUAUCUCACUUUUAUGAGAUGUUUAUGAAAAAAAAAAUGUCUUAACUUUUACUAAGGUGUUUGUUUUUGGGAAAGAAAAAAAUCUCAAAUAAUAAUAAUUGUGGGAUGCUCACAACCGUCUAGCAUGAUCCUUAUGUGUCGUCAAGUGUGAUGCCUAUUUUAUGCAAUCGUCAUGUAUCUGUCUACCUCAAAAUGCAAACAGACAAAUCAUCGAGGCACUAUACAUUCCCACCAGUCAAGUAUUAAAUACAACAUAUAUUAAGUGCAUUAAUUGACAUAACCAUUACUAAGCAUAAAACAUCAUACUUCCAAGACUCAAAAACUAGUAAUCAUUAACAUUAAAGAUGGUAAAAUUGCAAUCAAAUGUAUAAUAAAAGCAUUGAGAAGACAUUACCUUUGAGCCUAAAUAAAUAGUCAUUAUUCAUAAAAAANNNNNNNNNNNNNNNNNNNNNNNNNNNNNNNNNNNNNNNNNNNNNNNNNNNNNNNNNNNNNNNNNNNNNNNNNNNNNNNNNNNNNNNNNNNNNNNNNNNNGAAUUAUGCAUAUAUGAAAUAGAUAAACAUUACAAUAAAAUUUUGAUAAGAAUUAAAUUAAAUUAAAAUAAAUUAAAUUUGCAUAUUCAUGAAAUUGAUAAGAAUCAUUACUAAUAAAAAUUAAAAUUGAAUUAUGCAUAUAUGAAAUAGAUAAACAUUACAAUUACAUUUCCAUAUGAAUUAGAAAAUAUCAAUUAAACUAUAUAUAACAAAUAAAAUUUAAUUAUGCAUAAUAAAAUAAAUUUUAUAAAAGGUAAGACAUACCUUAAUUAGCCUUUGACUUGGAGUUAAUCCCCUUCACCACCAAAUUUUCAAAAUAAAAAAUUUUUGCUAGAUCAUAUAAGAAUUUUGAUGUAUGAAAUGAAAUGGAAUGUGGGUAUUUAUAGGAAUUUUUUUGGUCAAACUAGCCGUUGGAUGGUCAAACUAGCCGUUAGAAAUUAAUUUUAACCGUUGGAUCAAAAUUUGGUUCAAAUUUCACCAUUAGAUCUUCAUAUAACCGUUGGAAACACUCCAUAGCCCUUGGAUAAAGUCAAGAUUGAUUUUCCACCAUUGGAUCACAAAUCUGACCGUUGGAGGCCUUUACAUACACGGGUGAAAUCUGGGCCAUCAGAUCCUCAAAAAUUCAAAAUUGGCCGUCAGAUCAAAAGCAGGGAAUCUUCAAAAAAAUCGCCGAUUUUUUCAAAAAAUCGCCGAUUUAUCGCGAUUUUAUCGGCAAAAAAUCGCCGAUUUUUUCAAAAAAUCGGCGAUAAAUCGCCGAUUUUACCGAUUAAUCGCCGAUUUUUUGCUGUCCUCUGCCGUCUUCGCCGCGCGUGGCUCCACUCGCCGAUGUUUCGCCGAUUUUUCGGUCCUCCACCGAUAUUUCGCCGAUAUAUCGGCGAUUUUGCCGAUUUUUGGCCGAUUUUUCCGUCAAUCGAUAAUCGGUGCCGAUUAUCGUUUCGAUGCCGCCCGAUAACCGAUAUUUCUCCGAAAUAUCGGCGACAUUUUCCGAUUUUUCAAUCCAUGCUUUUAUGAGAUGUUUAUGAAAAAAAAAAUGUCUUAACUUUUACUAAGGUGUUUGUUUUUGGGAAAGAAAAAAAUCUCAAAUAAUAAUAAUUGUGGGAUGCUCACAACCGUCUAGCAUGAUCCUUAUGUGUCGUCAAGUGUGAUGCCUAUUUUAUGCAAUCGUCAUGUAUCUGUCUACCUCAAAAUGCAAACAGACAAAUCAUCGAGGCACUAUACAUUCCCACCAGUCAAGUAUUAAAUACAACAUAUAUUAAGUGCAUUAAUUGACAUAACCAUUACUAAGCAUAAAACAUCAUACUUCCAAGACUCAAAAACUAGUAAUCAUUAACAUUAAAGAUGGUAAAAUUGCAAUCAAAUGUAUAAUAAAAGCAUUGAGAAGACAUUACCUUUGAGCCUAAAUAAAUAGUCAUUAUUCAUAAAAAAGAAGGUAUGUUGCCACUUUUCCAAAAAAUCUCUUGCUCAAGUUUUUUACAUCUGACUUAAGCUUUGAAAGGAUGUAUCCGAAAAACUCAUCCAAACAUUCUUUUGUGCAAGUGCAAUCGGUCGUCUACAUCACGUGGAGGCUAGCCGGAUACUUCAUUAUUGGUCAUGCACCAACAAUAACGAUAAUAAAUCUGAAAAAAAAAAAACAUUUAUGUGGACAAGUCUAGUUGUCAAUUAAGGUUGAUGACAUGACAAGUAACAAUGACAUUUUAAGGGAUAAUUAAAUGACUAAUUAAAAUUGCAUGUAUUUUAAUUUUUUUUAAAUAAAUAAAGAUAAUAUUGAUUUAAAAAUUUAGGUUUCUUUUUUUCCAUAUAUUUUCAUAUUAGUAAGUCAAAACUCACUUUUCCCUUAAAAUUAAAUUCAAAUUCUUAUUAUUCAAGGCAUUACAUUAGUUUGGAUUUAUCAAAUAUUAAAUAACAUAUAAAUUAAUAUUAAUCAUAAAUUCUCAUAAUAUGAAUCAUUGUAAAAGAGUAAAUUUAUGAACAUACAAAUUAAUAUAAUUGUAGGAAAAAGUGAGUAUUGACUCACUAAUAUGAAAAUAUAUAGAAAAAAUAACCUCAAAUUUUUUAAAUCCAUAUUAUCUUCAUCUAUUAAAAAAUAAUUUGAAAUACAUGCACUUUUUAAUGAGUCAUAUAAUUAUUCCCUAAAAUUUCCAUAAAAAAAAAUGUUGGUUACCAAUAAUCACAUCAAGAAUUUUACAUAAAAAAAUAAAAAAAUAAAAACAAAAAUAUAUUACUUUUUUAUAUGUAUCUCUAUCUCCUGAAUUGAAGAUGAAAUAAAAAAACAGAAGAAUGUCCUAAACAAUCAAGGUCCUUGAAAUUAACCUCAACGUACCCUAAUGAAAAAAAUCCUACAAAGACCUUGGAAAAAACCAUAAACCUUAUUCCCUGCAAACUCAAACUCACCUAUAGUCCGCUAAGGUUUUACCUACUUUUAAUUUCCACACUCUUCAAACUACCUCACUUUUGCUACGAGAUAUUUGUUUAUAGAAAAAAAAAAUUCAACUUUUCCUAAAGGGUCUUUGCUUUUAGAACAAAAAAUCUCAAAUAAUAAUAAUAAUAAAUAUCUAAAAGGAACAUAAAUAAUUACGUGGAGAAGUCUAGUUGUCAAUUAAUGUUGAUGACGUGACAAGUAAAAAUCAAAAUUUAAAAAAUAAUUAGAUGACUCAUUAAAAAUUGCAUGUUUUUCAAAUUAUUUAAAAAUAAAUGAAUAUGAUAUCAAUAUACAAAAUUUAGAGUUCUUUUUUUCCAUAUAUUUUCGUAUUAGUGAAUCAAAACCCACUUUUCCCAUAAUUAUAUACUCAAUUUAUAUAUUAGCCAUUGUUUGAUAAAAUCUAAAAUUAUUUUUAUGAAACCAAGGUUUGGUUCAUUGCGAUUUUGAUGAUAACAAAACAAGGUUUAGAACUAAUGAUUUUAUUUCAAGUGUGAUUAGGCAAGAUGAUUUCCAAAGUGGUAAUCACAAAGACAAAUCAAGUCAAGGAGAAAUUACGAAGAAGAAGACCACCUCAAAGAGAAGUGUUUUUCAAGACCUAAGUUUCAUAAGAUCUCUUUAUAAAGUUGUUGGUGUACUAGGAUUUUCAUACAUUACAUUCUUUACUUAUAUUCCAAAAUUAUCCAAGAGUUAUUUUGUUUUAAAUAUUUUAAAAUUGGAUGAUUUCAUGUUUUCAACUCAAACCUUGUGUCAAAAUGUUUUUCAAACUUGUUUAAAAGGUUUUAAAUUGAAAAAGUUGGUUGUUAAGCCAAAAACAGCUCAAUCGGAUGAGAAACCGAUCAACCGCCAGCUCAACCGGUUUAGGAGCAGGUCGACCUCCAGUUCAAUCAGUCAAGGGUGUGAACAGUAAUUGGUCGAUCGCCAGCUCAAUAGGUCGAUGGGUGCAAAAAACUUUAUCUCUCUUCCAAAAUGGUUGUUCAACUGGAUGAGGAACCAGUCGACCCAUACCUCAACCGGUCGAGGACCAAUUGAAGUCCAAUGGUCACCUACCAAGCAUUAAAUGCUAAUAACUAGUCAACCGGUCGACCCCCAACUCGACUGAUCGAACCCCCAAUGGCUAGUUUGAUUUUUUUUCCUCUAUAAAAAGGCUUCAAAUCUUCAUUGUUCAUGAGUUCAACUUUCCCAAACCUUUCUUGAAUAUAUUUGAGUCUUGGAAGAGUGUUUUGAGUGCACCAUUGUUCUAAAACUUGCAUAUCUUUAGUGCACCAUUCAAUCCUAGUUUUCUUAUAUCAUUUGAGCUUAAAGUUUUUGUACUAGGAUUUUGUAAGAUCAAUUAUUUAUAUAUCUUUGAGAGGAAGAUUCUCAAGUGUAGGGUAUCACUUGAGAGGUUGUUUAAGAGUGGGGUAUCUCUUGAGGAUUAUAAAGGGUGCUUAGAACCAAAAGUCCAAAAUAGUGAAUUGAAACCAUAAUCCAAUUGUAUCGCUUAAAGGCUUGGUUUGGAAGCCUUGAAUUAGUGGAACCUCAAGCUUGGGAUUGAAGCUAGAGAAAAAUGGAUGUAGGCUAGGUUGCACCAAACCACGAUAAAAUCUUGUGUUUGCAUUUUCUCUUCCCUACUUUUUUACUUUAUAUGCAAUUAUAUUUAUAUUGUUUUAUUAUAUACUUGCAUAUAUUUGUCUCUUACAUUCUUAAAAAACAUAAAUCUAUUUUUAAAAACUAUUACCAAGCAAGCUCUUAAUUCAUAUUUUCCACAUUUUAGGGUAAUUAAUUCACUUUCAUUCUCAUUUCUAUCAUAUUCAAAUUCUCUCAUUCCACACUCCAGAGCUUUUUCCAUAAAAGAAGAAUGGUCGUGGGUUUCUCAUUUUUUUUUUUGUAUGAAAUGUAAGAUAUUUCACUUUCAUUUCCAUUUCUAUUACAGUCAAAUUCUCCCAUUCGACACUCCAUAGCUUUUUCCAUGAAAGAAGAACCGUUGUGGCAAGGUUUCUCAUUUCCUUGUAUGAAAAGUAAGAUGAUUUCACUUUCAUUCUUAUUUAUAUCAUAUUCAAAUUCUCUCAUUCCAGACUCUAGAGUUUUUUCCAUGAAAGAAUAAUGGUCGUAAUCAGAUAUUAAAAUAUCGUGUUUCAGUGGACCACGCAGUAGCUCAGCCAACCACUGGAGUAAGCUUACCCCUUGUUAUAUAUACUGUAUCAAAUAUAUAUGGACUAAAACUCAUCAUAUAAACACAAUAUUAAAAUAAUAUUUUAAUGAACAAAUUAAUUAUAAUUAUUUUAUAAUUAAAUGAAAAAAAUCAUUUAAUUGAUUGCCAAAAAUAUAAAAUUAUCAUGAUAAUUUUCUUCAUAGUGUUUUUAAUAUCAUUAAUAUAUUAAUUAAAUAUUAAUAUAUAUCAUUUAUUUUACUCAAUUGUUAUUCACAACACUAUUUUUACUAAUGCAACAUUUUACAUUCCUAAAUUACCCUCCCUUAUUCCUUCCCCCUCUCUCUCCUCUCCCCUCUCUCUUCCCCAACCUCGCAUCCCAAUUGCACCCCUUUUUGAAUUUUUUUUCCCAAUCCCCACCCCACAUUUUAGCAUUUUUUUUCUUUUAUUUUUAUCUUCCUUUUCAUCUCUACAAACCCAACCCCCCAACCCACGUAAACUUCUUUUUUUUCUUUUCAUUUCUUUUAUUUUUUCACACUCAAUUAUUUUUCAUAUUCUUCUUAUAUUUUAAAACAAAAUAAUUUCUUUAAAUAAUAAAUUAUAAAAUGAUUUUAUUAUAUUCAAUGUUUUUUUAAAUUUGCAAAAAUAGACCAUCACCUUAUUCGCCCUCUUCUAGGGUGAUUACCAUAGGUUGGAUUAACCUAAUAUUUUUAAUAAUUUUUAAAAUAUCAAAAUCAAGCCCUAGAUAACUCACCAUUAAAAAAAAUAUUUAAUAAGUUAUAGAAAGUUCCUUUUAAUAUAUUUUUAUGGUAUAUGGUAGAAUUUAAAUAAAAUUAAUUCCAAAUUUUAAAAAAAAAAAAAAAAAUCAUUUAUAAAAGUUAUUAACCAUUAAUAAUUGAUAGUGGUUGGAUUAUACCAAAAAAAAAAAGGUUGUAUUUGUCUUGUCAUUGAUAUUCAUAAUUGAUAAUAUCAUAUAUUAAAAAUUAUUAACCAUUAAUAAUAAAUCAACACUGAUUAUUAAUUAUUUAGACCAUUUUUAUGAAAAAAAAAAUAGUGAAACUUUUAAAUUAAUACACCAAAAAUAGUUUUAGAAGCAUAUAGAGAAGAUUGAGAAUAAAAUUUGAGUUUUGUUGUGUUGUUGUUUUAGUGUUUUAAGUUUUAAAACUUGAGUCAAGUGAUUGUUAUUUGCUUUGUUUGGUUGUUGAGAAAAAUAGAAGAUUGAGAAUGAAACUUGAGUUUCAUGGUUAUUGCUUUGGUGUUUGAAGUUUUGAAACUCGAGAGUUGAAUGGCUGUGCUAGUAUAUAUCCUUUUUUGUAUGGAUUAUAACCAAAGCAUGGUGAACACACUUGUGCACACAUCCAAGAAUAUAUAUAUAUAUAUAUAUAUAUAUAUAUAUAUAUAUAUAUAUAUAUAUAUAUAUAUAUAUAUAUCAAAUUUGAACAACUGAAUAAUGAAAUUGUAUUGACCAUACAAAGAUAAUGAACAAACUAUGUAAAGGGUAUACAAGGCAAAUCAUGGAUUUUGAACAACUAUGCAAGACCGUUACAUUGACUAUAUAGGAUCAAUGAACUAACUAUAUAAAAAGUAUACAAAAUAGGACAUGAAUUUUGAACAACCAUACAACACAAUUGCAUUCACUUUAUAAGGCCAAUGAACUAAUUAUAAAAGCAAUGUAUUGUUUACAACUUAUUUUUAUCCCUCCUCGAAAUACCUCAAAGGUUUAUGACAAUAAAAAGAAAAAAAAAGUGUUAUUUUUCUUUUUCAAAUUUUAAAAAAUCAAAUAAAUAUAAAAAUAGAUUUUUAUUUUUUAAAGAUAAAAUUAAAAAGGGAAGAAAAAUAUGAUAAAUUUAAUUUUUUACCUUCCAAUUAAUUUGUAAAUAUUUUUAAAAAAAAAGGGAAAAUUCNNNNNNNNNNNNNNNNNNNNNNNNNNNNNNNNNNNNNNNNNNNNNNNNNNNNNNNNNNNNNNNNNNNNNNNNNNNNNNNNNNNNNNNNNNNNNNNNNNNNCCUCUACUCUCCUCUCCCCUCUCUCUUCCCCAACCUCGCAUCCCAAUUGCACCCCUUUUUGAAUUUUUUUUCCCAAUCCCCACCCCACAUUUAAGCAUUUUUUUUCUUUUAUUUUUAUCUUCCUUUUCAUCUCUACAAACCCAACCCCCCAACCCACGUAAACUUCUUUUUUUUCUUUUCAUUUCUUUUAUUUUUUCACACUCAAUUAUUUUUCAUAUUCUUCUUAUAUUUUAAAACAAAAUAAUUUCUUUAAAUAAUAAAUUAUAAAAUGAUUUUAUUAUAUUCAAUGUUUUUUUAAAUUUGCAAAAAUAGACCAUCACCUUAUUCGCCCUCUUCUAGGGUGAUUACCAUAGGUUGGAUUAACCUAAUAUUUUUAAUAAUUUUUAAAAUAUCAAAAUCAAGCCCUAGAUAACUCACCAUUAAAAAAAAUAUUUAAUAAGUUAUAGAAAGUUCCUUUUAAUAUAUUUUUAUGGUAUAUGGUAGAAUUUAAAUAAAAUUAAUUCCAAAUUUUUUAAAAAUAAAAAAAAAAUCAUUUAUAAAAGUUAUUAACCAUUAAUAAUUGAUAGUGGUUGUAUUAUACCAAAAAAAAAAAGGUUGUAUUUGUCUUGUCAUUGAUAUUCAUAAUUGAUAAUAUCAUAUAUUAAAAAUUAUUAACCAUUAAUAAUAAAUCAACACUGAUUAUUAAUUAUUUAGACCAUUUUUAUGAAAAAAAAAUAGUGAAACUUUUAAAUUAAUACACCAAAAAUAGUUUUAGAAGCAUAUAGAGAAGAUUGAGAAUAAAAUUUGAGUUUUGUUGUGUUGUUGUUUUAGUGUUUUAAGUUUUAAAACUUGAGUCAAGUGAUUGUUAUUUGCUUUGUUUGGUUGUUGAGAAAAAUAGAAGAUUGAGAAUGAAACUUGAGUUUCAUGGUUAUUGCUUUGGUGUUUGAAGUUUUGAAACUCGAGAGUUGAAUGGCUGUGCUAGUAUAUAUCCUUUUUUGUAUGGAUUAUAACCAAAGCAUGGUGAACACACUUGUGCACACAUCCAAGAAUAUAUAUAUAUAUAUAUAUAUAUAUCAAAUUUGAACAACUGAAUAAUGAAAUUGUAUUGACCAUACAAAGAUAAUGAACAAACUAUGUAAAGGGUAUACAAGGCAAAUCAUGGAUUUUGAACAACUAUGCAAGACCGUUACAUUGACUAUAUAGGAUCAAUGAACUAACUAUAUAAAAAGUAUACAAAAUAGGACAUGAAUUUUGAACAACCAUACAACACAAUUGCAUUCACUUUAUAAGGCCAAUGAACUAAUUAUAAAAGCAAUGUAUUGUUUACAACUUAUUUUUAUCCCUCCUCGAAAUACCUCAAAGGUUUAUGACAAUAAAAAGAAAAAAAAAGUGUUAAUUUUCUUUUUCAAAUUUUAAAAAAUCAAAUAAAUAUAAAAAUAGAUUUUUAUUUUUUAAAGAUAAAAUUAAAAAUGGAAGAAAAAUAUGAUAAAUUUAAUUUUUUACCUUCAAAUUAAUUUGUAAAUAUUUUUAAAAUAAAUAGGAAAAUUCAAAUAUUGCAAUUGAUUUUUAAGAUAAAAUUUGAAAACAAAAAAUAACAAUAACUUUCAUAUAACAUAUAAAAACUUUUAGAUACUUAAACCAAAAAGAUAAUGGUAAUAAAAAAAAAGUUAAAAAAAAAGUGAGGUUUUAAAAUUUAAUCCCAUCUCAAAUUCAAAAAUUUUUAAGGAUAUAAAACAAGCCUAUAUUUUUUAUAUGAAAAUUUUCAUUUUUUUAAGUUAUAAAAAUUAUUCUCAAUUUCUCCUUUUAAAAAUAAUGAACAAGAAAUGUAUUUAAAAAAAACCUUAUAUUGAAAACUUUUUAAAUGCCUAAUAAUUAAAAAAAAAAAAUUCUAAAUUUAAAAAUAAUAAUUUAAGUUUUAAAAUUAUAAAUCGUAUAUGGAACUUCUUCCCAUUAAAUAAUUGCUUACUUAAUUAUCCCCACAUGUGAUUUUCUAAAAACCCAAUUAAGGGUAUUUUGGGCAUUUUUGGCUCACAAAAUAUUGGUACGUCCUUCAUAGUAAUUUGGAGACCUGCUCUACCCCAUCACAACAAUUAUACAAAUUCAUGGUCUUUAGGGUCAUUAUCACCUUCAAGGCUUCAAUCACCCUUCGAUCAUAGCCGGCUGUAGGUGCAAUUUGGUCUCUUCUCAAUUUAUUAAUCACACAGGACAAAGUCCAAAAUCAAAUAUAUUCUAAAAAAUAGGUAGAUUCUUGGCAUGUGUAUCAGGAAUUUUACUUUUCAUAUGGAAAAUUGUGAUUUAUGGAAUGCGUGAUGGACUUUAAAUCCUAAAAAUAAUAAUAAAUAAAUAAUGAAAAAUAAGGCAAUUGUCUGCCUAAUUAUUGAAUGAUAAAAAUAAAAUAUUUUGUCACAUCUAUGGAAAGUUGACUUUGACAAUUACACGAUAGAAUAGGUCAAGCCCACUAGAUUUUCAGGAAAGUAGUAAGUAAAAAAUAAAAUAAAAUAAAUGAUAUUUUAGUAUUUUAUUGAGCAUAUAAAAUAUAAAAUAAAUUCAAAUAUAAUUAAAAUUAAAUUUAUGUAUUUUAAAUUUAUUUAAUUUUUAUAUAGAAGAGUUAAAAUAAAUUAAAUAAAAUUUAAAAAUAUAUAAAAAUAAUUUAUUAAGUUUAAAUUAUUUUUAUUUUUCUUUGCUUUCUUUGACUUCUGUUUUUACUCAUUAUUUUAUUACCAUAAUUUCCUCAAAAUUUUCAAAAUCCAAAUGCUUAUUGAAAUUUAUUAGUACAAACUUUGAAAUUUUGGCUUAUUUAAAUUUGAGUGCAGAAGAGGUCAGUAAUGUAGGGACCCCCCAGGACAUGUGGCACGCACCUCUAUUCGGGUCCCCCAAGGGGGGUAUACGACACUCUCAAAUAUCAUAUCCGGGCGAUGCUUUAUCCUAUCUGGACCUAUUGUCCGGAUCAUUGACUGUAACGAGCAAGUCUUGCUGAGUCAUCCCCGACAGUCUGCCACAACCCACGUUCCGUCGCCUGCAGAGCGAAAGAACAAGAGCGAUGACAAGUCACCUCCCACGAUCUUUGAUGAUGACCCUGCCACCACCUUGAAGACAUCAUGACAAGCCAAAAAGUUUUCCCACCAUUAAAGAGGGGAGCAGAGUUUCUGACAUUAUAUAAAAGGGUCUUCACACAAGGAGGAAGGUAAGCCUGAGAUCCUAAAAAAGCCAAUAGUCUGAUCUCUUAAGCCAUGACUAACAAAACCAUCGGAGGGUGUGUCCGGACAUCUUUUGCAGGAUCGACUGAGCCAGAACUCCUUCUUGGUUGAUAGCACGCGUCCACUUGGCAGCAGCAGGGAUCCCUGGGACACGAGGCAUCAACAAGUAAUGGCUCCUAAUACAUGGAAUAUGCAUAUCCCACCAUUUUUUAUCCUUCAAAUUCUUAUAUUAACACUUUCACGGUUCUUAAUUUUUAGCUUUUCUAUGUCUUAUAUGGGUAUAUUAGGCUAUGUAGUUUAAGAUCGACAAUUUUGUUCUAUUCAUUUUAGCUUAAAAGUGUCCAAUAAUAUGCUCUAUAUUAAACCUCUCUCAUGUUAGUAGCUUCAACAACAGUGAGUCAAGUCCGGGGGACAUGAUAGACAAACCCAUAUGACUAGUUCACAUUAUCAGGUCCUCUUGUACUAUAAUUAUGAAUGAAAAAAUAGACGUUUCUAGAAAUUCAUGGGGCUUAGUUCACUGGAAGUUCUUAUUUUUCUUGAGUCCAGAUAAAGAAAGAUUUGAUAUCUAGAAAUUCAAAAUCUUCUUGUCUUCACGCUUUCUGAUCAAAGCAAGUACUAAUAAAGAAAACAAUCAGAGCAUGACAGAUGUUGAACUUAAUAUUGUCUAGAUUCACCGAGUCGAUGAGGUUUUGAGCUUGAAAGAGUGAGUUCAAAUCCACAUGUCUGGAAAUUUGGAAGGCAGUGAUUCUACAAUUCAAAGUCCUAUAUCCACAUGUCUGAAUCUGAUCAGCAGGAUACCAAUGAAUGAGCACCAAGUUUAAGUAACUACUUUUCUUCAUGGGUCAAGCAUGGAACUUAGAAAUACCUCUGAACUUUCUGAAGAAGGCCAAAACUUCCCUUUUUGCUAGCUCAAGUCUAAAUUUAAGAGUGUUGCAAACCCUGCUCCUGAUACACGCUUGUUGGUUUUGAAAACAUACUAUUUUCAUGUUGUUACCGUGUCUUAAUGUCUUCAGCCACUUAAAGCAGAGACUGAAAGUGGAGCACCAUACUAGUAAGCAGGCAAUCAAGAUGAAAGAAUUGCUUAAGGUUACAUUAUUGUCAUGAAUUUAAGUUACAUAAAAUUGGGAGAAAACAAAAUACAAGAAUUUAACUAGUAUUAUCUGCUCAUUGCAGAGCUUUGGAUACUCUCUAACAGCCUAUACAUAGAACAAAACCAUUUUGUUCAUCUUACAACCAAAUGUUGAACUGAGAAUGUUACAUAUACAUUAACCAACCAUCUUUGAAGAACUCGUGCUUUUACCGCCUUUGGAAGUUAAAUGCCUUAAUGGCAAAGGCAAAGAUAAAUAAGAAAAGUACUGUAAACCCAACAAUCACAGCUGCAACCACUCCUAGAAAAUCAUGUUCGAAUCCAAAAUAGUCAUUCAAGUAUUGUUCCACUGUGUCACCUGUGUCCUCAAAUCUGUCCUGUAUAUCUCCAAACUGUGAUGUAACCAAUCCAUACAAAGUCCAUGCAACUGGACAUGCCCAAUAGUACCAUCUCCACCACACAGGAAUCCUCUGUAUUCAUCAUGGAAGAAAUGCAACAAAAUGAGUCAUUUCCAUAUCCAUGUGCUAAAGAUAGUUGCAAUUUAGAGAAUAAUGAGUUGAGAGAACUUACUGUUCGAGGAACUAUAAAACCUGAAAAUAGGUUCCAUAAUCCAUAAAAUGCUGCAGCAACGAUGGCAGCAAUAUGUUGAUUUGGUGUGGCAGCCACAGCCAUCAUGCCAUAAAAGGUGAAGUACAGUAAGGUGAAGAACAUGAAGAACAGAUACCAGAAGAACUUAGCAGCUGUCCAUUCAAAUCCAAUCAUUGCAUAAACUAUAACACCAUACACCACAGCUUGUGCAAAGACAUAUGGUAUCUCAACUAGAGCCUGAAACAAGAGAUGAAAUUUGAUUAAUAAAACCCAUAAAGUGUUAGAGAUAGACAGUCCAUAGCAUAAGAAAACUAGUUACCUGUGCAAAGGCAUAUGGCAUAGCUGAAUACAUUCCUGCAGCUCUUUCUCUGUAAAAGACUGUCCGUUCAACUGCAACGACUGGCUGCACCGAUGAGGAAUUUUGAACCCCAAGGAAGAGAACAGCAGCAUACAUAGAACCCAUUGCAUUACUCAAAUCUUGUUGUUUUUUCCUGAAUUUUACCAUGUGAAGUAUGAAUUAAAGUUGAUACAGAGAAACAUACUGAGUUCUCAAAAUCCUGUACUGGGUUCAAAUUACCUUUUGGUGCCGAGAUCCCAGAACAUUGUCCCAAAUAUCAAGGCUAUGAAAGUUGUGAAGAAAAAUCUCACUGCCGUGUAUGGUGGAUUGCGCCAAUAUGACCUACGCUGUUUCCAUAAGCAUGCCAUACAUUGGGUGAAGAAGGACUGGGAGUAUUGAGUAGGGAAAUAGAGGUCCUUUGAACCAGGGGCAGGUUGGCUCAAUUCUUUAAUUAAAUCUUUGUUUCUCCUGAAACAUAUGCCACAUCAGAAAAGGCUUCAAUAACCAAUUCAAGCUUGCAUGAUGAACAUUGAGAUGUGUAUACAUGACAUUUCAAUAUCAUAAUGCUUUCAGAUAACCUAUAGUUGAAUCACCUGUAUAGGUCCGAAUUUUUGUAUAUUUCAGUGAAAUCCACCCCCAACAAGAAUUCUUGUGCCGAAGAGGUAACUUCCAGCAUCCAAGUUGCAGGGUUAUAACCAUCUUUGAUUUUACUCACUCCUUCAAUUCCCUUAAUGAUAGCAAGUCACAUGUAUUAGUAAGCACUUGAUAUGAAUUAACUCAAACUAAAUUAUUUGCUGCUUAUAGCUUUUACUUUAUCAUGGCAGCUUACCUGAAAAUACUUUAUCAGAUGAGAAGAAUGUCUACCCAGUGGUCCCACAUAUAUCUCUUGUCCUCCUCGCUUCAACAGGAGCAACUGCAAAUCCAUUUUAAAUAUUUCAGUACUUAUAUGCAAAGCUCAUAGAAGGGAAACUAUAAAUUCUUUCUAUCCAUUAACAUUUCCCACCUCAUCAAAGGCUUCAAAGAUGUCAAUACUUGGCUGAUGGAUGGUGCACACAACUGUUCUUCCUGUGUCCACUGUGUUCCUGACUGUUCUCAUAACAAUUGCAGCAGCUCUUGCAUCUAGCCCUGAAGUUGGCUCAUCCAUGAAUAUUAUUGAGGGAUUUGCCACAAGCUCAACUGCAAUGGUCAGCCUCUUGCGCUGCUCUGUUGAGAGACCAUUUACACCUGGCAACCCAACUAGUGAAUCCUUCAAUGGGGUCAGUUCCACGAGCUCCAUGACUUCCUCAAUGAACAUCUGUAACCAUUAGCAAGGAUUAGAAAUUGUUUAAAAAAACAAUGCAAAGCCAUAGCAGAGAUGGUAAAAAAAUUGACACUGCUUGUGACUCUUUUCAGUUAGCAGGUUGUGAACAAGUUUCUCUAGUCUUAUUAAACAGAUCAGUUCAUGGUUGCCAAUGCUCAAUAACACCUAUUAGCAUGCAUGAACUUCACCAACUUGUAUUCCAGGUCAACCAAAUUUGAACCAGCACCUUUCCCCAGGGUGAAGGUCAAGCCAAAUUUGAACCUGAUCUAAGCUCAACCAAGUUUGAAAAAUCAAUUCUAGGGCUUUACUUGUUCAGAGCACUCAAUUGAAUAAGACAAAUGUGGAAAGAACUCAGGAAGCCCUCACCUUUCUAGUUUUAGAAUCCACAUCAGCAGGCAACCUCAGCCAAGCAGAGUAGAGCAAGGACUCAUGGAUAGUAACAUGAGGAGAGUGGAUGUCAUUCUGCUCACAGUAUCCAGAAAUUCGAGCAAAAGUCUCUUGCUUCUUUGGGUAGCCAGAAAUGUUGAUGUUACCCUCAAUAUAUCCACCAGUUUUCCGACCAGCCAGUACAUCCAUGAGAGUGGUUUUACCAGCACCGCUAACACCCAUCAGAGCUGUAAGAACACCAGGCCUGAAAGCACCACUCACCCCCUUUAGAAGCUCCAAUCUGUCUUCAAGGACACCCUGACUUUUCAUUUCCUACAAAUUCAAUUCAAACAACUUAGUUCUCAUUUUUGGUUUAUUAGUGCUGCUAAAGCAUGUACAUUAUUUGCAUUAACAUGGAGUUACCUCUGGCAUGUCAACUGAGUAUCUAAUAUCAUCAAAGGUGAUAGAAAGUGGUUGGAAUGGAAGAACCAUUCCUUUUUUGUUGUUACGUCUAGCCUCAGCAAUGGCUUCUGCCCUCACAGAUGAGGAUGUGGAUGAGAUGCUUCUCCCAAUUUCGUCUCUCCUCUCUGCAUGUUAAGUUUAAAAUUAGUGAGCCAUGUAAAACAUGUGGUUAAAUGACAAGAACAAAGGCACACAUGCACCAUGAAUGAGUUUCAUCACCUGUGGAUGCAGUUUGGUCAAUCGAGCCUCGUCUAUGGGAUGAUAACUCGAUCUUCCCUCCAGUUUUGGAAUUCUCAGACUCUUCUGUUAUAACAGCUUGAGGCUUCUCAAAUGCUGCACAAUUUGCACAAAUCUUAGUACACUAAUCUCCAAUAUUUUAGGAUUUUCAACACAGAGAAUGUAAGGAUACCCACCAUUUAGGUAAGUGAGAGCCACAGUGUAACAGAAGUUGAAGACUAAAAUGAAUCCAAGCAGUGCCCCAGCUCCUAUCCAGUACCAGUAUGCCUCUGUGAAGAACCCGCGAGACUUCAAUACUGCUACUCCAAGGGAUUCUGUUGAAUCGGUUGAAGAAUUCUGAAAAAUGGAAAUACAUUCAAUCAUCAGUUACUGACACAAAUAAACACAAAUAUUCACAUGAAACAUUCAUAAACUUACUUUGCUCCAACUCUUCCCAAGGAAUUCAUUUACCACUAUUGCGUUCUGUGCAUACAUCAGAGGGGAAGACCAGUAACCCCAAAUCCACCAUUUCUUGACAUUUUCUACAGCAAUGACCAAAUACAAGAAGGAAACAAAAAUUCAUUAUUAGGGUUUAUGAACAAGAAGGUCCUAGUUUCCUAAAAAAAAUCUUUCCUCCUUAUACCUCGUGACAGGACAAAACCACCCAAUGCAAAGAGCAAAAGUAAUGAAAAUGACCCAAAUGUGUUUGCAACAAUCAUGUUUCUACCAGCUGCUGCAAUAAAUCGAAACAAUGCAGAUGCCAUCUGAUUAACAAGCACGAGGAGAAGAUAUUGUUUAAACAACCUGCAAUAAGAAGAUUUGUUUAUUAGCAUUGAUCAUUUUGGAACAAAGAAAACAUUUGAAACAAAUCUGGACAUGUUUCUUUUACCUUCCCACAUUUGGAUCAAAUCCAAUGACAUAAUAAGACAUGAACACCCAAACAGCAACUUCAACAAAUGUGAUGGGGAUCUUGAGGAUCCAUGAGGGGAGUGCAUACGCCCAUGCAGGGUAGAAUAGUAGGCCUCUUUGCUUGUAAAAGACAGGAAGUUUUGCAAUGGUCAUGGCAAGUUCUGACAUUCCAUUAAACAUGAUCAUGACAACAGUGAAGAACAAAGCACCCGUGUAAAUGCUUCCAUCAUCUGUUGAAUUUUUGUGCAUCUCAGUUCUUAGGAAGAUUGUCAUGGAAAUUGCUGCCAUUAUUAUGAGCUAAAAGAAGAAACAAAAAUAAUAAAUUACGAUCAAAUGUACAAAAUUGAAAGCCAUUGUUAUAAGUAACAACAAUAAUAAUACUCACUUGGGUGAGCUUGAAAAUAUAGACAAAUGAAUUCCUCUUCAUCAGCAAGUACUCUCUUGAGAUGCAAGCAUCCAACAGUUCCUUCUUUCUAACACCAUAUUUUUCAGUUUUCAAAGCAGCUGGGUGGCUUUUGGUCUUGUCGAAUGGAGUUGCAAGCUCAUGUCCUAGUUUCCGUCCAAUGUGAAAUGACUGGAAUGCCUCGGCAAAUUCCUUGACUGUGACAAAACUGUAAGGCUCAUCUUUACGUGCCCAAUACUGCUGCUGAUCUUUCCUAGAUGUUACCUGUAAUGAAUUUUAAAAUUCAUGUUCUAGCUUGAUUUUUUCUAAAGAAGGAAAAAAAAAUUGAGAAGAUGCCUAAAGGUACAAAACUAUUAGCACUCACUUCUUGUAGGAAGUCUGCCACACCCUUCCUUUCAGGACAUCUGAAGCCCAUGGAUUCAAAAAAGUCAAGAACGUCUUCACGAGGACCCUGAUAAACAAUCUGGCUAUCAGAGAGGAGAAUGAUGUCAUCAAAAAGAUCGUAAGUCUCAGGUGCUGGCUGGAGGAGAGAGAUGAGAGCAGUCCCAUUGAGAAUGUGGAUGGUUUGCCUGAGAGAAUUCACGAUUUGAUAAGUUGUCGAGCUAUCCAACCCAGUAGAGAUCUCAUCCAUGAACAGUGCCUUCGAUGGUCCAACCAGCAUCUCCCCUGUCAUUCAUAUAUUUCACAGUUGAAUUAACUUAAAUUAAUGAACGAAAAAAUCUAAUUUAUUUUAUUUGGUUGGAAACCAAAUUAUCCUACCAGUUGUGACACGCUUCCGUUGUCCUCCAGAGAUACCCCUUAUCAUUUGAUCUCCUACCAAGGUGUCUGCACAGACUUCUAGUCCCAGAAUCUGUAAAUUUAAGUGUAAAUGAAAAUAAACAAAUUAUGACUUAGAAUUGGGUUUUCUCAGAAAUCUGCAUUCCAUCAUUGAAAGUUCUAUGGUUAUGAUACCUUCAGUGUAUAGUCAGUGAUUACAUUCUCCUUCUGGCCUUCCGUUGCCACUGCCUGAAAUAUUAAAAACCAAUAAUGUAAAUCUCACUCACCAUCAAACCAAUAAGUACCUUAAGAAAUUCCAAGGAUAAGAGAUUUUGCUCUGCAGAACUGGUUAAAAUUUCACUCAAAGUAGCUUCUGUCUCACCUUCAUGAAGACAUCGAUAUCAGGAUCAGGCUUAAUAUUUGCUGCCUUCUCUCUUCUUGAGAGCUCUGCUAACAUGUCUGCGAAUAGCCAAAUAAAAGUCAACCUCCUGGCUUAUGCAAAUUUCAUAUAACUAAAUUCACAAGCUUCAAAAACAAAGAAAAUAAAAGUAAAAGGCAAUGAAUGGUUUAGACCAACCAUAUCGAUCUCCAACACCCUGGCAUCUUGCAGAGAAGGCCAAGGUUUCCCGUACAGUCAUUUCUCCUAUAUGGGUAUCAUGUUGGCUGAUGUAGGUUGCAGUUCUCUGGGGUACAAAUUCAUUCAUGCCAUGACCAUUGUAUGUCACCUUUCCCGUAACCUAAAAGCAGGAAUUUCAGUUUCCAAAUUGGAUAUGAGAUUAAACAGCUAAAAAUUGAAUAUUCAUUAAAGAACAAAAGCAAUAAUUUUUUUUUCAUUCAACCUUUAGACUGGAAUCAAGCUUUCCGGACAAAGCCAAUAAGAGAGUGGUCUUUCCAGAACUUGGAGGACCCAAAAGCAAUGUCAUUCUGCAGAAAAAAAAUAUGCACAAAAGAUUGAGUAUGGAUCUUCAGGAUAUUCUAAAUUGGAGAAAGUAAAAAAAUCCAUUUGAUAGAUAUAUAUAUAUAUAUAUAUAUAUAUAUAUAUAUCUCAAUUAAUUUUUUUACAGAAAAAAAAAGAAAAAAAAUCAUAUUCUCACCUUCGAGGUUUGAUGAUUCCACUAACAUCGUGAAGAAUAGUGAGUUUCUUCUUUCUACUCGGAAGAAUCCGAAGAGUGUUCAAGAUAUCCUUUAAAACAGAAAGAAAAAUUAUAAUCUAAAAACAAACUUUCCCAAGAGAGUAUUUAUUGCUUAGCUAGUGAUCUGUAUUUGCAUUUUAGUUACCUCAAUUUGAUUAAAAGCAGAAUAAAUGAAUGAAGGCAAAGCUCUGCUUCCUACAUGAGCUUCUGCAUCAAUGGUAAGAUGCUCAAAUCUAACUUCAAUUUCGGGAAGAUCAAUCCCAACUCUGAAAAAUGAAAUAGACAUGCAAACCCAUUACUAAAAAGUCAAAGGAAGAUGUUUGGUUGUGAAGAAAAUGCAGGACUAUCAGUCACAUUUAAGGUGGAUUCUUUCUUUUCCACUGUUUUCAAUGUUAAAAAAGAAAAAGAAAAACGGCAAGAAAGGCAAGAGAAGAGGAGAAAUCGCACCUAUCUAUGCGAUUCCUGAGCUUCAACAAGAACUUCUCAUUGUCCUCUUCGGCAAUUUUCACCAACCGCUCCACUAAAUUCUUCUUUUCCUGAAACCCAAGGUUGUGUAUAUCAACUUCACUGGCCUCACCCGCCGAACCCAUCAGCAAGCCUUUCCUCAUCCGAUUGUAGGUGGGAAGUUUCUCGAGGGCGGCCCAUUUCAAAGCUUCCUCAUCAUCUUCAUCCCUCGAAGAACGGGAGAAAACCUCCUCACCAGAGUUCCUCCAUAUGGAAGAACUGUCCUUCCUUAAACUACCACCGGCUCUAUAAAUUUCACCUGUUGCCAUUGCAACACGAAACGAGGAACCCUCCUGCAAAACCCACCAAAACCCAGAAACCUUUCCUACAAAUUAGGGAGAACAAACCCAAAUUUUGAACUCUAGAGCUGAAAAGCUCAAAAUAAGAGAUGGUUCCCCUCCCGCUUUUCCCUGUGCAUGCAAUUGAUUCCGUCUCUUUGUAUUGCUAAAACUUUGUUGUAUGUUGGAAAAACACGAAGAAUGGAAGGUUUAUAUACUGAUUGGAAGAACAGAAAAAUGAGGCCACCCAUAAUUUUCAAGACUACUAAACGUCUUCGUAAUCGCAAUCGUAACUGCUGUUGUAUGCAAAUGCCACGAUGUUUGACCCUUCAAAGUCUUAUUUCACAAUUCGUAAUUUUCAGAUUUCCAGUACCUUGUUUGUCAAGGAACUCAAUAAUCAUUAAAUGUUUCCCAACUGCCAAACCAACUAACUUUCCCGCCCGCCGAAAUUGCACUGUGAAAGAUUUAUAGCAUUUUAUUUAUACUCUAGUUUAAUGACAUGAGACUUUCGGUUUGGAUUGCCUAUAUUAUUUUUAGUAAUUUACCUUAUAUCUUUAAAAUUAUUUCAAAAAAAAAACCCAUAAUAUUAAUUAUUAUAUAAGUUGGAUUUAUUAAAUAUUAAAUAACAUAUAAAUUAAUAUUAAUCAUAAAUUCCCAUAAUAUUAAUAAUUACAAAAGAGUACAUUUAUCAAAAAUUAAAUAAUAUAUAAAUUAAUAUAAUUGUAUAAUCAAUUCUAAAUUACACAUUAUUUAAUUAAAUCUAAAAAUAUUUUUAAAAUAUCAAAAUCAAGCCCUAAAUAACUCACCACUUUUUAAAAAAUAUUUAAUAAAAUAUCAAUUAUUUAUCUUCUUAUUAUUUUUUUAUGAUAUAUAGUAGAAUUUAAAGUGAAAUUUUAAAUUAACACACCAAAAAUUGUUUUAGAAGGAAAAAAAAUAUUUUUUUCUGAUAAUAUUUUUUAAAAUAUAUAUAUUUUUAGUCUAAAAUAUUUUUAAAGAAAAAAUCAACCUUUUGAUCAAAUUUUAAAAUAUUAUUAAAAAAUAAAAAUUAUUUAUAAUAUUAAAAAAAUUCAAAAAAAAUAUUUUAAUAAAAACAUUUUAAGUAGAAAUACUAUUUCGUAAGAUACAAGAUAAGAAUCGCACAUAAAAGCAUUAUAAAUUAUUAGAAUCGCAUCGCAUAAAUCAUACUAAAUCUAACAACUAACCAAACUCAUCCUCUCUAAAUUUCAAUUUGGUCUCUUCUCAAUUUAUUUUUGGAUUGCUUUUCAUCUAGAAAUAGCAACCACAUAAAGCAUAGGCCAAAUACUCUAAAAAUAGGUAGAUUUCUCAUUUCUCACAUGUAGCAUCUAGAAAAAAAAACCGGUAGGGUUGGCAGAAAUAUAGGAACCACAUAAAGCAUAGGACAGAUGUUAUAAAGAUAGGCAGAUUUCUCACAUGUUAGCAUCUAGAAAAAAAAACGGGUAUGGGCUGGCAGAAAUAUAGGAAGGUGGUGGUGUGUAACCAAGACUUUCAUUAUCCAAAUUCACAUUCUUAUGGGAAAAACGUGAUUGACUUCGACACUUGAAAAAAAAAAAACAAUGGAAAGAAAAAGGGAAAUCAUCUACCCAAAUACUUGAAUGAUGAAAUCAAAUCUUUGAUCAUAUCUGCUAGUUUGGAAAGUUCAGUUUGACAACUACAUUGAAGAAGAAAAAAAAAAUUAAAACAUUACAGGUUGUUUGUGAUUUAAAAAUAAUUUUUAAUUUUUUAAGAUUUUUAAUAUUAUUUUUGUCAUUAUUUUUCGAAAAUAAUAAUAAUUUUUAAAAAAUAAGAGUUAUUUUUAUCGAUUUUUAAAAAUAAAAAAAAAAUAUAGAUCUGUUUGAUCAUAUUUUCUUAAACUUAUUUUUAAAUUGAUUAAAAUAAAAAAAUAAAAAAAAUAUUAAAAAUACAUAUAAAAAUGGUUUAUUAAUUUAAAAUAUUUUUUAUUUUUUAUCUUCUAUUUUUUCUCAUUAUUUCAUUUUCAUUUUCCACUUCAAAAUUUUCAAUAUUCAACUAUUGAAUUCCGUACACUUUUUUUUUUAAUGAAAAAGAUGAGUUUUGACUUUUGACACUUUUUCAAAAAAGAUGCGUUUUGAUCCCUUCCCUAUAAUAAUAAAAAAAGAAAUAGUAAAUUUAUUGACGUCACUCCAUGCAUCAUCUUCCUUAAAAGUACAAAUCGUCCUCCUCUUCUUCUCUUACUAUGUUUUUUUUUUGUUUUCAAUUUAUUUAAAGAAAAAAAAAAAUCUUUGGUGUCCGGUGGAAUCAAUCGAAUGAACGAGUGGCUUCUAUUAUUACAAAUUUGAAAAUUUGGCUUAUUUUAUUUUUAAAUAUAGAAAAAAGGCUACAUGAUAACUCCAUAAUAUAUGGAACAUGCAUAUGCCACCCUUUUUGACCCUUCAAAUUCUUAUGUUCUCCGUUCAUAAUUUUCACGUGUGUUCAAGGAAGUAGGCAAGCCUACGUUAAACAAUAAAAAAGAUGUUUUAAAUUUUACCAAAAAAAAAAAAAGUCAAAGGAUUUUUUCAAAAGAAUCUUAAGAAGUAAUUGGACAUCUCAAUAAGAAAUUUUUAAAACUAUAAAUGUAAAAUAUUUUGUUGGCAUUUUAUUUAUAAUUUAAUAAACGUUUUCAAACUUUGGGUUUUUGGAUUACAUGUUUGGAUUAGUAAUUGAAAUGUUGGGAAAUAUCAACGAGGUUCGCCAUGAAUAUGGGAUCAAAAGUCAAUAAACGAUGUUUCAUUAGUUAAGGUUGCUGGCUCUCUUGGUCAAACUCCCUAAAAAAAGUUUAAGUUCCAAAAGGUUUGGGUUGAAGCUUGGCUACCACUAGGGUGAAUUCAAUUAAUAUAUGUGCACAAGUAUAUAUUAAAAUCCAUUAUUAAAAAAAUAUUUUAAUAAAUAAAUUAAUUCUACUUAUUUUAUUUAAUUGAUUACUAAAAUAUAAAAACCAUCAUUAUAAUUUUUUAACAAGACUUUUUUUUAUAUCAUUUAUGUGAUAAUUAAAUAUUAAAAAUAUAAAUAGGAUAAAAAAAUGCAUAUAAUUUUGAAUGUUUUUAUUUUAAAAUAUUGAAAAUAUAAAUUUAUUUGAAAAUUGUUAAAAUAUAAUAAUAAUAAUAAUAAUAAUAAUGAAGUUCUAAUAUUUUAUAAAUUAAAAUUAAUUUAAUAAGAUAAAUUAUUAAUAUAAUUUUAAUUAUUUAAAUAAAUCAAUGUCAAUAGCAAAAAGUUGUCACCAUAAGUAAUAAAAUUUUAAAAAUUAAAACUCAAAUAAAAUAUUUUAUAUAAGUCUUAAAAUGUAGUUAAUUUUUUUUAUUUGAAAUGUAAUAAAAUUUUUAAUUUUUAAAAUAAAUGAAUAUAAAUAUAUUAAAGGAAUUUGAGAUCAUUUUUUCUAUAAAAAAAUUUGAUAAAUAUUGUCCUUGACCAUACCUAUGUUAGUUACACCUACAAAAUAACUUUAACAUAUGUUUUUUUACUUAUUUUAUCAUUUAAAACUUUUUUAAAUAUUUUCAUGAAUUUUGAACAAUUUUCGUCUUAUCGAUAUUUCUGAUAUAUCCAUAAAAUUCAAAUACUGAUAUAUUCGUAAAAUCCAAUUAUUGAUAUAUAUAUACAUGUUUAUAGAUAUUUUCAUCUUUGCUUUGGAUGCAUUUUUCUAUUUUUUGUUUUUAAAUAGAAUACUUUAAAUGUAGAGAAAAAUAUAGGAAUUCUUAUAUAAAAAGUAGGUACAUAUCUUGUAUACAUAAAAACACUUUUUAAAUUUUAAAUAAGUAAACAUUUUCACUUCCAAAAAAUUUUAAAGUUUUGAAAAAAAAAUUAAAAUAUAAAGUAAAUUUGGACUUUUUGUAUAAGAGUUGUUAUAUUUUAUAUAGAAAUUUUUAUUUUUAAAAAUAAAAAAUAAGAAGUGUAUCUAAUAGCUAGACACCUAAAGUAUUUUUUUUACAAUUUUAUUUAUACUCUAAUCUAAUGUUUAUAGAUUGAGUUUGUAUUCAAGUUUAUAUUAUGAUCGAUAUAUUAAGGGAUGAAGCUAAAGUAACUACCGAAAUGUUAUUUAGGUGAGAAAUUAUAAAAAUUAUGAUUGUAAUAAAUAUUUGAUAAAUUUUCAUAAUUUAAAAAGUAGUUAACAAUACCCCUCAUUAUUAUUAAACAAAAUAAAAAACAAUGGACAUUAAUUAUAAAAAGAAAAAGAAAAUAUAUCUUAUAUCAAAUUGAAUAAGAAAAAUAUUAAAUACAUUGGUCAAGAAUAUUUUAGAUUUUAUAAAUAAAAAAAAUCAAAAAAUUAAAAGAUUUUUUCUUCAAAAGAAAUUUAAAAAAAAAAAAGUUAAACAUUUCAAUAAGAAACUUCUAAUAAUUUUGUUUUAUUAAAAAAAUCCUAAAAAUAAAUUUUUAAAAAAAUCAAUAAUUCCACUUAUAAAUUUCUUCUCUUUUUCAAAUAGCUAAAGAUAAUUGACUGAGGAAACCUUUCUAAAAAUAUAGUUUGGUGAACUCCACAAGUAAACUAUGAAUAACUAAGAAGAGUUUCGGAGUUAUUGUUUGUAAUUUAUAAAUAUCAUAUUAAGUUAUACAAUUUUUAUAAUUAAAGUUAAAUUCAAUAUCUCGUAAUUUGAGUCAUUACAUAAGAUUGAAUUUAUCAAAUAUUAGAUAACAUAUAAAUUAAUAUUAAUCAUAAAUUCCCAUAAUAUGAAUCAUUACAUAAGAUUACAUCUAUCAAAAAUUAAAUAACAUAUAAAUUCAUACAAUUUUGUUGGCAAUUCUAAAUUAGUGAUUAUUUGAUUAAAUCUCAAAAAAAAAAAUUAAAAAGUCAAAAUCUAGCUAUAAAAAAUUCGCCACUGAAAAAAUUUAAUAAAAUAUUGUUAAAAUAACGAGAAUAGGUAAUUUAAAAAAAACACUAACAGACAAAAAACACAUAAAUUUACGUGAAAAACUCUAAAUGAGAAAAAACACAAGUAGAAAAGACAGAAAUCCAUUAUAUCAAAAUAUUGGUAUAAGAGGGAAAAGUUGCCAGCAAUUACAGAAGAAACAUAAUUAUCCUAAUCCUAAAACUAUACAUCAUCAUAAUCCUCCCAAAAAUCUCAUAAUUAUAGUUUCACUACAUAUGUUGUACCACAAGGUUUUUGAAUCGGAUUAAAUAGAAUUCGGAUUACCAAAUUCUAAUAAAUGUCAACGAUAAAGUUACAAAAAAUUUAUUUAUUAUAAAUUUUAUGGUAUAUAGUGGGAUUUAAAUAAAAUUAAUUAUAUAAAUUUUCAAUAAAAUUAAAUAAAAACAAAUAAAUCAUCGAUAAAACCUAUAUACAUUCAUAUUUAUUUACUUAUUUUUUUUAUUUUGAUCUUCAACAAGUUUUCAAAAAUAAAACAUUCAUUUUUUCAAAUAGAGUUCAAGUGUGACCAUGAUGCAUAUCACCUUUAUGAGAAUUGCAGGCCCACACUCAAAAUUUUAAAUAAAUAUUUUUAAAUAAUAAUAAUAAUAAUAACAACAAAAAGAAUAAUAAUUAAAUAAAUAAAUAUGAAAUGGGAAUUUCGGAAAAUUAUUCUAAAAUGAAAGUUUUAAAAUUAUUUGAGAAAUGGAAUUAUGAAAGGAGUUUUGGAAAAUUGGAGUUAGGAAAAUUGUUAAAAUAAUAAGAAAAUAAAUAAAAAGUCAAAAUCUUAAUGGGGCCAUGUGCCAAAGUGACCACACUUAGAGGUGGGCCAAGGUCGAAAAAGGUUUUCAAAUGAUGUUUGAACAUCCUGGCAGCCCAAAGAAAAAUAAAACAAAAUCUUGCAACGUGCACAUCCAUGAAUUUACAUCUGUGGCCCCACCAUUCAAUAUCACCGCCAAACCAGAAGAAAACCCACAAGUCCGCAGGCCGUCCUAUGCCAUCAGCAAUAAGCACAAGCUCUGAUUUCUCAAAUUACAAAAUAGCCCCACGGAAAGAAAUUCAAUUUCGAAUCUCCACCAAAAACUCCAAUAAUUGCCUAUCGACUUCACCCAAACUGCAAAACACUAAGGCUAUGUUUGAUUUCCGGAAAGUACGAAGGAAAGAAAAAAAAUGCUAAAGAAAAUGAUUUUCUCAUAUUUGAUUAUCCUAUGAAAAAUAUCAAAGAAAAUAAAAUAUAAUUAAAAUUAAUUAAAAAUUUAUAUAUUUUUAAAUUAUUUAAUCUUUAUAUUGAUGAGUUAAAAUAAAUAAAAUGAGUUUGAAGUAACAAAAAAAUAAUUUAUCAACUUUUAAUCUAUUUUUUUAUUUUUCUUCACUUUUUCUUUCCUUCUAGUUUUCCUUUGUAUUUUCUUUCCCUCGUAUUUUCCCUCAAAUUUUCCGGGAACCAAACAUAGCCUAAUAAUUCAACCACCCUCCAGACCACGCGUAGACGCUCCACUUCCACAUAUUUUGGCACGUAUUCUGUCAAGAUUAUUGGAUGCUGCCCAUGAGGCCUGUUAAUUAGUCGAAUGGUUCUCAACCGAGCCUAAAGCUUUGUCGAGUCAUAACCAGCUUCCCCGUGUUGUUGGCUCUCAGUGAGGGAUACUUCGGACUGAAGACCUCUCUACCAUAUCUCUCAUAAUGUAUCAUGGGCAGAGAAGCAAUGGAGAUUGGAUUGAUUCUUCUUGCUUUCAGGAGCUCUAUUAACUCCAAUUCCAACUUAACUGGAAAUUCCGAACCAAUAAGAGUUAUGGGACCCGUACCCACACCGGAAUUUUCUACUAUCGUCUCCGGAUAACACGCCACCGCAUGGGUCAAUCAGGUUCGUUUUGUAUGCUGUCACUGUAAAUACUCUGAAUAAUCCCCCAAAAAUCUCAUAAUUAUAGUUUCACUACAUAUGUCAUACCGCAAACUUUUUGAAUCGUACUAAAUAAAAUUCGGAUCACUAAAUUCUAAUAAAUGUGACAAAGUUACAAAAAGUUUAUUUAUUAUAAUUUUUAUGGUUUAAGUGGGAUUUAAAUAAAAUUAAUUUAAAAUUUUUCAAUAAAAUUAAAUAAAAACAAAAUAAAUCAUCGAUAAAAACUAUAUACAUUCAUAUUUAUUUACUUUUUUUUUUAUUUUGAUCUUCAACAAGUUUUCAAAAAUAAAACAUUCAUUUUUUCAAGGGAGAAUUAUCUUUUGGGGGUAGAUGGGCCCUCAAAUUAACAAAAGGUUCAUAUAACUCUUGAAAUUGAGUUGAAGGAUAUGAAAUAAUAACGGACAAAUAUACCCUUUAGGAACACAUAUAAAAUAUUUUAUAAAAUUAAGUUAAAUAAUUUUUUUUCAAUAACUUUUUUUUUUUCAAAAAUACUAAAUUAAAUAAAAGUAGUUUUCAAAAAUAUUAAAUUAAAUAAUUUUUUUUUUCAAAAAUAUUAAAUUAUUUUUUUUUCAAAAAUAUUAAAUUAAAUUAAAGUAUUUAAAAAAAUAUUAAAUUAAAUAUUUUUUUAAAUAUUAAAUUAAAUAAAUUUAUUUUUAAAAAAUAUUAAAUUAAAUAAAAGUAUUUUAAAAAAUAUUAAAUUAAAUCAAAAAUAUUAAAUUAAAUAAAAGUAUUUUUCAAAAAUAUUAAUUUUUUUCUCAAAAUCAACAAAGGGUAUUUUUGGAAAUAUUGAAAGAUGAUAUCCUUCAACUCAAUUUCUAUACUUUCAUUGGGUCUUGGGCUCAAUUUGAAGAGUUACAUGGACCUUUUGUUAAUUUGGGGGUCCAUCUACCCCCAAAACAUAAUUCUCCUUUUUUUCAAAUAGAGUUUCAAGUGUGACCUUGAUGCAUAUCAUCUCUAUGCGAAAUGCAGGCCCACCCUCAUGGUGUUCUCUAUUCCCUACUAAAAUAAUUAUUCCUUAGUGGAGCUAAAUAUCCCCAACUCAUUGAGGCAUCCCCAACAAUUGUCAUUAUUACAUCCUUUAUUUCCCAACAACUUUCAUGAAGAGGUAAAGGUACUUUGACAUUCUGCCUAAUAUAGCCAUGGUAAGGCUUCUUAUGAGCAUUUUGCAGUUUGGUUUGUGUAUGGGGAUCAAGCAACUUUUUAAUGUAGAGAAGACUAUACAUUGUGCUAGCAGAUUCUUCAAUGCAAACAUGUUAAUAUAAGAAUACAAACCUUAUAUUUUUAUCUACCAUAUAUUGAUAGGGAUAUUCCAAAUAGUUUCCAAUAUUCUAUAAGAUAUUUAAUUGUAAUGACAUAUACUUAGGAAUUUGAGAUACUUUCUAAUAAUUUUAGUCUCGUAUCAAAUUCAAUUAAGUUAAUCUUUCAUCUUUUCAUGAUACACGCUUUCAAAAGACUUGUUUUAACCAAAUUCUAACUCCACAUCAUGACCAAAUCUUUACUUCACAUCAUAACUUCUUUAUACGCCACACUCUCCUCAUGUGUCACAUGGUUCCUUUUGUGCACCUCAUGUGUCACAUGGUUCCUUUUGUGCACUAUAGUCUUAUCAUGUGUCACGAUUCCCUCGUGUGCUAUGGAUUUAAAAUCAUUUUUUUCCAUUUUAAACAUGUUAUUUCUUUAUAGCAUUUACUGUCUUUUUCAUUCAAGUUUCCUUUUCCUUUACUUUUAGUAGGACAUUGUUAUAAAACUCUACCUCUCACUUGGUCCGUAGGUUCCUUAUUACACUACCAACACACGCUCUAUUCAAAUUAUAGUCUAGUCUCAAUGUUAAUUUUGCAGAGUUAGACGAUACCCUUACGUGUAUUUCACCCUUGUUUGGAUGGCAAAAAAAAGUUUAGGAACUCACAACGAAGUAGGGAUUGAUGUUGAAUUUGUUAUGGGAUGAUGAAUAGAAUACUUUCCUUCUUACUCCUCUAUUCUACAUAAAUGCACAUACGGACAAGUUCGGUAUAAGUUUGUACUAACUCAAUUGGUAAGUGUCACUUUUUUAAUUAAUAGAUGUUGACAAUUUUGUCUUAAAUUAUAUAUUUUAGUUUUAGGAAAAUCGGUAUAUGUAGAGUUUAGCUUUUAGAAAACUCCCUUUUUAGGUUGACUAAGACUAGGAACUUAUUGUUUAGGAUUAGGUCUAUAAAUAUGUGGCCUACAUAGGAUUUUUUUAAGAGAGUGAAAAGAAAGUAAGUGCAUCCAAUUAAGUGAAAUUGUGUCCUUUUUCAUAUUUAGUAGAUUAUUUAACGUUUGAGAGACCACAUUUGUGUGACUGAUUUAUUUAUAUUUGCAUAAGAAUUUUACUCUCUUUAAAGAAUAAGUAUAAAGAGACAAACUUAAAAUAGGUAAUAAAAUAUUAAUUUGGGGAUUAAUUCAAAGACCACACCUUCUCUAUUUCACUUUAUUUUUUUACUGCAUUUGGAUGUUGUGAUUUUCCUAAAAAGUGGUAUCAGAGCCGUGCAGAGAUAAUGGAAAAAUUAUUUUGAUGAAAAUGUCUAACAUAAAAUAUAAUAUUGAGUUCUUUGAUGGAAAUAAUAAUUUUAGUAUUUGGCAAAGUAUUAUUAAAGAUAUUUGGGUACAACAAGAACUUCUCAAAGUGUCACAAUAAAAAAAAAAAAAAAAAAAUCAGAGAACAUGAAGAUUAAUUAGAAGCAAGAAUGGUAAGUGCUAUUUAUCUAAUUUUGAUUCCUAAAAUAAAAUACAUUUUUUAAAAAUGAGAGAUCUCUUUUUUAUUUAUGAGAAAAUUUAGAGAAAAUUUAUAAGCCAAAAUUCUUAACACAUAAAUUAUAUUUGAAGAAACAAUUAUAUGAGUUGAAGAUAGAUGAAGGAACAAAUGUUAGGAAUCAUACAAAUAAAUUCAAUAAAUGCAUGACUUAGUUAUUAAGGGUAGUGGUCAAGAUUGAUAAGAAUGAUCAAGCUAUUAUUUUCUUAGUGUCUUUACGAAAUUAUAUGAGACAUUGGUGAGUACACAAUUAGUUAGAAAGAUGAUAUUAACCAUUAAUGAUCUAUCAACUACCCUUUAAAUAUUGACCAACCAAGUAAUUCGUCUUGUACCGCACAAGCUUUUGUGGUGAAGUUUGAAUCAAAUCGUGAUAAGAGUAAAUCACAAGGAAGAUAUUAUGAUAUGAGGGAUGAUUGUUCUCAACCACACUUCUAGAGGGAUGUGGAGUUUUACUAUUGCCUCAAAAAAUGACAUAUCAAAAAGUACUAUAAAGAAUUGACAAAACACUUAGAAUCAAAGAGGUAAGCUAAAUUCUAGGAGACUUCAAAUUUUACUAAUAUUGUUGAUAAAAAGUUUGAUACAGAUAAUGUUGUUCUUUUUAUUAUAAUUGAUGAUUUUUUUUUUUUUUUUUUUUACUUUUAGAUUUUGGAUUUUGAAUGUUCUUUUCAUAUGUACCCAUAUUAUAAGUGGUUUGAUACCUAUAAGACUUGCGAUGCUAUUACUAUUAUAAUGGGCAAUGAUUCAAACUAUAAAGCUAUUGGGAUUAGUAUUGGGAAGGUGAAGAUAUUGGAUGGUGUUGUGAGGAUAUUGAGUAAUGUUAAGUAUGCUCCUAAGUCGAGGGGGAGUUCAAUUUCUUUGAAGACUUUGGACAAUUUCAACCAUGACUUUUUUGCUAAAGAAGACAUUAUGAAUAUUAGUAAAGGUGCUUUGAUAAUUAUGAAGGAAGAAAGGUGAAAAUUUCAUACACUUUGAUUGAGAAUACAAUUUUAGAUGCAAUUAUGAUGGUGAAGUCAUGCCAUGAAGUGUCUUAUGCUAGUGUUAAAGAAAUUGUCAUAGCAGAAGAGCACAAAAAAAUACUGGUAGUAGAUGAAAAACACAGAAGUGAGAUGAUCAAGGCUUUGUUUUUGGUUAAAAAUACUUAGUGGCACAAAGAUAAAGACUAAUUGAAAAAGAAAAGUUAUGAAAAAAAGAAUGUUCAUCGAGUCAAAGCUAAUGAGAGACUGAACUUGACAUAUACUUAUUCUCAUUGAUUAUGUGGUGGUGGCAAGGGGUGCAAAGAUGGGUAUCAAGGAAAAAUAACCCUACAUAUAGAUUGAGAAUUUGAAUCAAGAUGGAGAUUAUUAGUAAUUUUGACUUAAAUUAUUUAUUUUUUAUUUUUAGGAAAGCCAAUAUUUGUUGAGUUUAGGUUUUAGUAAAUUACUUUUUUAAAUUUGACUAGGAUUAGGAAACUUAUUUUUAAGGUUAGGUAUAUAAAUAUAUGGUUUUACAUUAGAUUUUAGGAGAAAGUGAAAAAAUGAGCGAAAAAUAUAGAAAGAUAGACAAAUUAUGUAUUGGGUUUUGGUAGAGUGACGUUGAGAAGGUUUGAGUAUAUAUUUUUUAAGUUACUAAUAAAUUUGAUCUCUCUCUCCCAUGAAAUCAUGUAAAUCUUUUAUCUUCUCUAUUUUACUUUAUUCUUUAUAUUGUCUUUGGGUGUUGCAAUUUCCCAAUAAUAGAAUGGUUUGAUCUUAUUUUGUUUCUAAGUAAAAUGUAAAUAAGUUAUCAGGUUAGCAAAUUAUUCAUAUACAUUAUUUUUUUUAGUCAUAUCAUCCAUGAACUUUUUCAAGGUGGCAACCUAUUUGGAAAAACCACAUUUGAUUUAAAAAAAGGAGAAUUGUGUUUUGGGCCAAUUGGGCUCAAAAAUUAAUCAAAGAUCCAUAUAUCAUGCACAUUUAAGCCCAAGACUCAAAUAAAGUGUAAAAAAUUAAGUUGAAUGAUAUUAUCCUUCGUUAAUCCCUCAAAUACCCUUAACACCUACAUAGAUAUAUAGUAAGUGUAAAUUUCAAUUUUUUUUUAAGUGUUUUUUUCUCUUUUCUAUUCCCAAUUAAGUAUUACUCAUUUCUAACUUUUUGUUUUUUCUUUUCUUUUUUAAAGAUAUUGAAUCUUUUUACUCUUAUUAUAAGUAAGGAUAAAAAAUCUUCAUAUAAAAUUUAAUGGAUAAUCAAUGAAUAAAAUUUAAUUCUUUUUAUUAUUUUCAUAUAAAAAAUAGUACUAAACAAGGGUUUCAAUUUUUAUUUUUAAAAAUAGUUUUCAUUUUUUAAUUAAAUGUUUUUUCAAAAAGAAAUAUAAAAAUAUAAAUCAUAUUACCAUUUUUUAGAAAGUAUUUUUUUUAAAUAGUUUUUGAACGUAAUUUUUCUUUAUUUAUAAUUUAAAAUAGAAAAUAAUGUUGAUUUCAAUUAUUUAAAAAAAAUUAAAAAAAAACAAUGAAAAAUCCAAAUGGUUAAAAUAGAAUUAUUAUGAUUGCAUGAAUCGUAGUGCUAUAAAGACCAAAAAAGUUUAUAUGAAAAGUUAAUGAGUAUUUUGAUCUUUUGAUAUCUUAUAUCAUUUCCAUCAAUUAUGUAAGUUAUAUGGACGAAAUCUUAAUUUUUUUGUCUAACUCGCUCAAAAUUCCAUUAUCCCUUUAAAAAAUAAAAUAAAAAUCAAAUCCUCCUUAAACAAAGGAAAGAAAAAGAAACAACAAAUCUUGAAGUGAGGUUUCAACAGAUCUUUGUUCAAUAAAGCAGCCAAGCAUUAUGGGGCUUAGUUGAAAGUACUCAUUUUCAUGAGUCCAAACAAUGAAAGAUUUGAUAUCCAGAAGCAUUCACCUAGUCAAAAAAUUUAAUGAGUUUUUCAGCUUGGUAGAGUCAGGUCAAAUCCACAUGUAGUGAUUCUACAAUUCAGAAUAUAACUGCUUCACUUGGAAAUGAUCAUCAGGAUACCAAUGCAUGAGCACCAAAUCUUCUGAACUACUUUUCUUCAUGUGUCCAGCGUAUAAGUAGAAAAUGGAUCAGUAAGUGCAGGCAUGGAACUGUUGGCAAUAAGUCUGAUCUCUCUGAAGAAGGCCUAAGCUUCCCUUUUUGCUAGUUCAAGUCUAUAGAUGUAAUAGUUCUUGGAAAUGGUAUCUGAUUUCAGACUGGUUGGUGUUGAAACCAUACCAUUUUCUUGCUGUCAUUGUGUCUUAAUGUUUUCAGCUACUUAAAGAAGAGACUGAAAGUGGGGCACCAUAGUGGUAAGUUGGUAAUCGGGGAUGAAAGAAAUGCUCAAGGUUGUAUCAGUCUUGAAUUUCAAAUUGCAUAAAAUUGGCAGAAAAAAAAAUACAAGAAUUUAAUAAGAUAGAUGUUACCUGCUCAUUGCAGGGCUAUGAAAACUCUCUAAUAGCCUAUACAUCAAACGAAACCAGUUUUUUUCAUCUUAAAAUCAAAUGUGGAACUGAAAAGGUUACACACAUAUACAUUAACCAAGAGUCUCUGAAGAACUUUUGCUCCGUGUGACUUCUUAUCGCCUUUGGAAGUUCAAUGCCUUAAUGGCAUAGGCAAAGAUAAAUAAGAAAAGCACCACAAACCCAACGACCACAGCUGCAACCACUCCUAGGAAAUCAUGUUUGAAUCCAAAGUAGUCAUUCAAGUAGUCUUUCACUGUUACACCUGUGUUUAGUUCUUCUGUUAUAUCUCCAAACUGUGAUGUAACCAAUCCAUACAAAGUCCAUGAAACUGGGCAUAUCCAAUAGUACCAUCUCCACCACACGGGUAUUCUCUGUAUUCAUCAAGGAAGAAAUGCAUCAAAAUGAGUCAUUCCUGUAUCCAUGUGGCUAAAGAAAGUUGCAAUUUAAAGAACUAUGGGUUGAGAGCACUUACAUUUCGUGGGACUAUAAAACCUGAAAAGAGGUUCCACAAUCCAUAAAAUGCUGCGGCAACAAUGGAAGCGAUAUUUUGAUUUGGUGUGGCAGCCACAGCCAUCAUGCCAUAGAAGGUGAAGUACAUUAAGGUGAAGAACAUGAAAAACAGAUACCAGAAGAACUUAGCGGCUGUCCAUUGAAAUCCAAUCAUUGCAUAAACUAUAAGACCAUACACCACGGCUUGUGAAAAGAUAUAUGGUAUCUCAACU